This 307992-nucleotide long non-coding RNA is filed under the name Coffea arabica (coffee). RNAcentral describes it as "long non-coding RNA (CARA_LNC003476)". Lineage: Eukaryota; Viridiplantae; Streptophyta; Magnoliopsida; Gentianales; Rubiaceae. The record is from RNAcentral.
UAACCCCUAAUUUGAUUGUUUAUUUUAAUUAUGUCUAUCAGCUAUAUAUGUGUACUAAAUGCUUUUACUAUCAAGCGUUAAGAUAGGUUGUUUCUUAUUUCUAAUUAGACAAGAUGCUCGAACCUUUUCCUUUCAUUUUAGGGUUCCGUUGCUUUUUUUCUUGUCAAAUUAUAGGUAAAACAUGUUAUAUGUUUAUAAAUCAUUUACUUAUUUGAUAUUUUUUAAGUUAUACAAAAAUGUAUAUGAAUUUCGAAUUAAUUAAUUUAGUUAAUUUAAAAAUUUUUUAUGGGAUCUUACGAUCUUACGAUCCGAUCCUGUGAAACUAAAAUCGAUCCUACAUAAGAUCCCCCUCUUGCAAACCUUGAUUGUAACUAGUGAAGUAAAGGUUAAAGGCAAAUGUUUGCUAUAAAGGAACGAGGAAAAGAAGAGGUUACCGUUGCCCAUUAACCGGGAAUCUAGGACAAUGUCAUACGUUGGUGGGCAUUUUGGAACAUUCAGCUUGUCUUUUUGUUGACCAGUCAAAGUAUAAGGUAUCAGUCGAGACUCGAGGUUAACUAAUGCAAAGGAGCUCAUAUCCCUUUCGGUCAUAGCAUUAUCAGGGACCCGGACCUCCAAGUUUUUUUUUUUUUUUUUUUUUUUAUUGGAGACAGACAACUGUAGUAUAUUCUAAUCUAUUCUAUAGUAAGGGGAGGGGUGAAUCUAAGGAGGUUCAGGAAUAAUUCGAAAAGGAUUGAACUAUCACCGGACCAAACAGAUACAUGCUCGAAUUUUUUGAAGUAAGUUCACAUUUUAAUAUGAUGAUUGGUGGAAGGCAAACCCCACCAAAUUUUAAAGGCUUGAUGAUGGCCAACAGAGCAAAGGUUGGUAGUUGGACCUCUAUGGUAACAAGCACUGUUUUUAAAAUUCGGAUUGGACUGGUGGACUCCAUCAGUCAAAACGAAAGCGGUUACUUAUUCGAUUUGUUUCAUCUUUAAAAAUCGCAUGUUAGAAAUUCGUUCAAAUUCGAUCAAAAAUUGAAUUUGAGAAAAACCAAUAAAACCUGGUUUUAUACUUUUUUUUUGCUGUAUUUUUUCCCGUUGCUGAUUUCUUUUUCUUUUUCCCAAAAUUUUCUUCUUCUUUAGAGCCUUAAUUUGAUCCCUCCAACAAUUUGGUAAUAUGUAUUGGAAAUCACAAGCACAAAGUUCUAAGAGAAAAUAACAAAAAAGGAAGAGAGAAGAUAGAUCUAUGAAUAUAUCUUCAUUAUCAACUUCUAAAGAUCUAGAUCUAAAUGAAAAAAAAAAAGAAUGAAUGAAAAUAGAGGAAGAGAGAAGGAAUCCUGCCUAUUUGAAGAAAAGAAACAAAAAUGAAAAUCACAAAAUGAUAGGAAAAAAAAAAAGAAUGCAGAGAUUGAACCCCCUGGUAAUUUGGUGAUGAUGCAUGCUGCUGAUUUGAUGAUGUCGUGUUUUUUGUUUUUCCUUUUUAAUUUGGUGAAUUUCUAUUUUCGAAUAACAUUGAUUGAAGUUGACUGGAAAGAGCCAAAAAAAAAAAAAAAAAAAAAAAAGGGAAAAAGCAGGUUGAAACUUGAAAGUUGAAGAGAAGAAGGAGAAGAAAGAGGCCGAAAUGUUUCCACCUGGUGCAUGAGGAGUGGGGUAGGUGUUUGGACCGAAUGAAGAGUAGGAAGGCAAAAGAUAAGGCCAGGUGGCAACUGCCUUCCAAGUCUAAAAUUUUUCUAAUUUUGUGUUUUGACCCUUUAUGUUUUGAACAAUUACAAUUAUGCUUGCAAAUUUCUUUUAUAAUUCUCGUGUGCAACUUUAGCUUUUGUACUUUGUACAAAUAAUUGUCAAUUUUGUUUACGACUUAUCAUGCAUGUGCAUUUGAACUUUAUAAAAGUUAACAAAUUAAUUUGAAAUAUGAUUGUUGAAUUUUUAUUUAAAAUUCGUAUUAAGUAUUGGAUAUUGAUUUGUCAUUUUGUUCAAUUUGUAACUCAAUUGUGUUUUAAGAAUUUGAUGUGAUGCAAGGACUAUGAGGUAAAAAUGAACCUAAUUAAUGUAUUAAUAGUAUUUUUCUAUAUUUUUAUUUUUAAAAAUUAAUAUAUAUUAUGACAUCGUAAUGACAUCAUCCGAUUUUUAAUACCGGUCUAAUUCGAUCGAAUCCAUUGAUCAUGAAUUCUGUUGAACCAAUUGCCAGUCUGAGUUUUAAAAUAGGUUACAAGUGCCACCAUAGAGGGCUUUUUGUAGCCCAGAUGAGGCCAAGCUUGUCGUGAUCUAGGCAAUGAGAAGCUUGGCAUGAUUAACCUGCAAUCCUACCAGUCUCUCGCCCCAUUAUCAAUACUUAGCAUUACUUAGUACUAUGGUCAAACUUUAAAAUAUGAUUGGUAAUUUGGUCAAAUUUCAUGGAAAUACAUGCACAAUAGGUGUGACUUAUAAUUUGGCUAAAUCUCAAGGGAGAUGAAUAUACAAUACAUUUUACAUAUCACUUCCUAACUCACUCUCGGUCCAUCUUGUAUUAUAUUGUCAUAUAUUGUACAUGAACAACCUAUUUUAACUCUUUUUUUUUUCUUCUUCAGAAUUCCAAGAACCACUAACUAUGUAAAAAAAUGAUAAUAGACUAAAAUGCUAAAUUUUAAUUAAAAAAUCAAACUUUUACGAGUUUUUAGUAUAUAUAUAUAUAUAUCUCCUAUACUCAUUAAACAAACUAUAUACUUGCAGAAUUUGAGGUAAUUAGAUUAUUAAGUUUGGUUUAAGGCAAGACCUCGUCAAUUGGAUAAAUAAAAGGAAAACUAAAAGAAACGUAAUAGAGAGAAGCCCCACCCAGUUUCGCAAAUCAAGCUAUCAUACCUAAGGGAUUCUACGAUGGUGACCACGCUAUUAUUUCAAUAUAUAUUCUAUAGUUAAUUACCAUUCUAAUGCUUGCAAAAAGGCUAAAUAUGUAGAUAAUCACUGUCUUCGGAAGUAUAAGUCCACUUAAAAUUCUACCAUCUAUGACAAAUCAUGAGUGCUAUGAUCAGUAUGAUGCGCUUAUGCUGAAAUCUAUUUUGUACUAUAUGCCAAUGGUGAAAUUUACUCGUUGUACAAAUUCUACUAUCAUUCAUACCAAUUAUAAAUGCAUUAAAGGUGUGGAUUUAAAAUAAAGUUAUGCGAAUAUAGCCCUUUCAUUUUCAUUUUUGAUCCAGAAUUCAAUAAAAACAAAAAAAAAAUUGUAAGAUUUAAUUCUGUUUUUAACACUAGGAAAAAAAAUCUGGUCAGAGCAAGACUCCAGGACAUACCUUUAGUGGAACUAGGAGGAGGAACACCAGUGAAGGAAUGUAAGUUUGUCAUAGGCGGUGGUGCAGGGAAUGCACUAUUGUAGAAGCGUUGGAGCUCAUACCUAAUAUUACAGCUUGGAAAGAUUACUCUACCUCCCACUCUGAUAGCACAACACCAGGGCAGCAAUGCUAUAGCAUUUUUAAGGCACCAUUUGCAGUCAUCACCAGAUAUAUCUGGUGUGCACUGUGUAAGGGUAUACAACGUCUGAGAAGCGGAAAAGUUGGCUUGUUGAACAGCAAACUUUUUGCCCCGCGUAUCAUUUGCAGCCUGAUCCGCAGCGUUAUACAACAAAUUUCCCAAUAACAUUACGAAGCUGUACCAGUCCGGUCCAGUGACAUUCAUUACAUUGUAAAUAGCCAAUCUCACUCCGAAAUCAACCUUGGAGAAGAUUGUCUGGUCAGAAAAACGCAACAAGCACAUGUCAUACCAAACAAUAGCAGCCGUCUGAUUCGGGCACUCUUGAAAUACUCUUGUGCUGGCAUUUGCUACACAUUCUUUGCAAACAUCAGCGCUGAGAUCGCCUCGACAGAGAAAGAGGCCAUAGACCUUGUUUGAAGGGUCAUUGCCAGUACUGAAAUUAUAGAAGCCAUUGGUGUCUGUCCGAGAUGCAUUUGAAGAUAGGGUGUCAAGCACGAAAUUCAGGUUGGUUCUGUAAAUGCUGCCGGUAGGACUGUUAGGAUUGUAUGUAGUAUUUCCACAGUGAGACUCAAGAAAACUAGCGGGGCUAGUGAGUGUGGUAUGGAAGCUAAUAAGCAAACAAAGCAUGUAAUAAUGGAAGUGGAACAACAAAUUUCUGGAGAUCAUUUCAAAGGCAGGCAACAAAAGAAUAAAAGGCUAAAUAUCCACAAAUUACAGUCGUAAAAUAGGAGCCAAAAUUUUGGUUGAGGGAUCAUGAAAGUUGUACACGCCCCGAAAAUGAUUAGCCUAUAGGAUGACUUUACUUUAGCAAGUCGGAAUACGUCGUUUAUGGAUUUUGACGGGAGUGGAAAAUUCGAGGAUGCUGAGUAUAUUGAACAAUGUUAUUGUGACAGAUUAAUGGGGACCAAGCUAAAAGCUAGUGCUCUAAUCGUCCCAAAUUCAAUCUCUAUUUGGUAGUAGAAUCGUUCAACAUUACUGGGUUUUAACUUUGGAUUAUUCUUUCUAAACAUUGUCAGUGCAAAUCCAUUUCACACUAAUAAGAUGCAUGACACGUAAAUUUUCUUCAAAUUUUAAAUUCAUUUUUAACAUAUAUAGCAUGCACCUAAAUAAAAAAAAAAAUCUUUAUACUGAUGGUGUAUAUUAGAUUAAUCCUAUUUUUAAGAAAGAGUUCUUUAGAUACACUUGAAAAAUCAUGUAAAGUCUAUCAAAUUGUUUCUUUUGUUGCCUUUAUACAAAUAUCCAGCCAUUUCGCCACAAUUGACAGCCAAUUUUAUGUCUGCGACUGCUUUUCAAAUCAAGUUUGAUGGCCAGUUAAUUUUCUAACUUAUUUAUUUACAAUGGUGCCUGCUGCAUUAGUAAGAUAUAUCUUGGGCUGUAAAAGAUCCAGGGUUCAUGCCUUAGUUGAUACAGGAGUAACCACUUUGCUAGUUUCCUGGACAUGAGCCAUCGGAUGGCUAGUCUGUAACUAAAACUUCUAUACGCCAGUAAAGGAUUUUGAUGGAACUGGAAAUUUGAGGAUGCUAAAAACAUCAAAACAACGUUAUUGUGGAGGAUAAUUGUACUUCUACUAAUGCUCUAAAGAAUAAAUUCGACCUAAAUUUAAAAAAAAGUUGACCCAAAUUGAAUCUCUAUAUAGUAGUUCAACAGUGGUUUUAAGAAAGAGUUCUCUAAAUAUAGUUCAAAGGGGAAAUGAUGCACAGCCCCGUGGAUUCAUUCAUUGUCACAUGACUCUAUUAAUAUGUAAGAAUAUCCAUAUAAACUUUCUAUGGUUUCAUAUAAAGUGAAAAUUUGAUGGAAAAAUAACCUCUAAAAUAUAGUUAUUUGAAAUACCAGUAUUGCCUUUAUUUAAACAUUAAUUCAAACAAUGACCAGAUCAUCUUACAUAAACUAUAGGAGAAUUAUGUGAAUAAAUGCAAAAUCUACAAAGGAUUAAAAUGGAUAUUCAUACAAAUCAUACGGGAUACUAAGUAUAUAUCAUUAUUUCAUCACAUGCAUUUUUGGAGCACUUCUGUUCAAUCACUAUAGCCAUUGGUGUUUUCUAUCUAUUUAUUGUAUCCCAUUGACAGGUGCCGAACCUGUGCAAUAAUAAAUACCUACUUAAAUAAAAUACAAAUUCUGUAUAUAGCGGUAAGUAGGGUCGAAUCCACAGGGAUUGGGGAUAAUUUAAUUUCUUCUCAAGUUCCAGAUAUGAGGGGUUUUGAAAAUGAGAGUAACUAAAUUACUUGGAAUAAAGUAAAAUAAAAUAAAAUAACUACAACUCAAAUAACUAAUUAUCACAAUAAAAAUAAUAAUGGACGAACUCUAACCAAGAGACAACUUCGGAGAUGGUUCACUUAAUUCGAUCACAGAUGCAAGGAUUAUUCCAGUUACUAUCUGAUAAAUUAGUUAUAGUUGUCAUACACGCGAUAAACAACCAACUCUUCCUCAAUUUGUCGAUAGCCAAGGUACGACCGUUGACUAUUUCUCUAAUCAGGAAAUAACCCUAAGUACGACCAUAGAAGUUCAAUUCCCUAAUUGCAUGAAUAAUUAGAAGAGCCUAAUUCUAACCAAUCAACACGCUACGAGGGUCUCUUUAAGUUAGCAUGUCUAUCUCCCUGACACAAACCCAAUCAUGCCAGUUGCCACCAGUUUAGAAUAAUUAAACAAUUACGGAUUUAACUACCCUAAUUGGCUUCAGGUUAUUGAAUUAAUCUAGAAUCCGGGCCCUGGAUAAUCGAAUAAUAAAACAACCAUAUGAACAUAAAGCAGAAGAUAGACGAAUACCAGAAAAUAAUAGGAAAUAAAUAAAAACUAAUUCGAUCUCACAAAUUUAGUAGAACCACGUCCUCCGUUGUUCCUCGACUAGAUCAAAAACUUAGCCACGCCUCAUGAGAAAAUCUCCCCGUAAUUUAAUUGAGGUCCAGGCCAUCAAAGGAAAGAAUAAAACUAAACUAUGCUAAAAGCUAAGCUAAAACUCUUGACCAGGAAACCUCCUGUACGUUUCUCCCUUUUUAAAGCCAAAAGAAAGUCUAAUGCUAUCUCUAGUGGUCCCCACUGAAUUGAGAGUCCAAGGGCCAAAAGAAUUGGAGUUUUGCCAAAGUCCUUGUUUUUAGUUUCUCGUAAGACUCCUAGUACAAGUCCACCAUUUUCAGCAUAAAGAUAGGAAAUCCCCUUUUUGUAGCAUCCUGUGGAGCCCGGCUUGUAUUUCUUUUUAGAACUUCCCAUGUGUGGAGUGUUUUUCUCAAUAAAGUCUCCUUUUUAGCACUUGUUUGCUCCACUUCCUGUAAUUAGGGCCAAAUACCAAAUAUAAGUACAUUUCGACAAUUAAAACAAUAUUUGGCAAGGACAAAGAGGAAAAUUAAUCAUAAAAUUAACAACAAAUUAUGCCUUAUCAAUUUCCCCCACACCUAAAUCAUGCUUGCCCUCAAGUAUAAUAAUAGCAAUUGAACACCAAAAUUUGACAAUGGCUAUUGCUCUAACUAUCAUAUUGCCAAGAUACCCAGAAAAACAUAUAUCAAGCAUCACAGUUAAGAUCCAAGAAAAACCAGUCCGGUUAGCUUCCCAACUACCAACUCCUCCAAUUUAAAGCAAACUAAUCUAAGAAAAAGGAAUGGUUGCUCACAUUUAUUAGUAAAUGGUCCAACUAUUAACCAAAAUCUCAACAUUAAUUCCACAAAUCGGCAAGCUGACUUUUACCACUUAUUAACACAAUCUUCACUUUUCUUUCUUUCUUUUUUUUUCACACUUUUCUAUUUUCUCUUUUUCCCUUUUUUUUUUCAGAAUAGCAAAAGACUUAAUUUCUAGCCAUUAGAGCCUUUUGACGCGAACUCCAACAUUUGAUAGAUGGAGGAGCCCGGUUACUCAGCUCCAAUCGCUACGGGAUCACGCACUCAUAGCAAUUACUACCUUUUGACGCGAGAAUCGACAUUUUAGGUGAAGAUCCCCGGUUACUCAGUAGUAAUAACUAGCGGAGUACAGUCAUCUCUUAUUUACAAUCAUAUAGCACAAUAACUAAAAGUGACACAAAAGAACAGCAGCCAGCCUCAAAUUUCCAAAUAUGGAGAACUAAAAUUAAUAACUGGACCAAUUCACAUGAAAAUGCCAACAAUCAUUCCCUAUGCCUAGAAAAGUUAACCAAAAAUUGGAAAAGUCAAGCAAUUACCGAUAUUCACCAAAGAGAUAUUCCUGAAUUCAACCACAUUAACUUAAUACCCUUUUAUUAAUAAAACUUGGCAAUAACAUAAUUAGAGGCAACAAUCCAGCGUCAAAACUUGGUAGUCAUAGAAGAGCUGACCACUAAAAAAAAAAAAAAAGAAAAGGAAAUAAAUGAAAAAGGAGAUAAAUAUCAAACUAAAAACAAAGGAAAAACCUCCGGAACCUAAAAACUGAGAAUACUAGCACCACUAUGAUCCCCCCCCAACCUAAUUCACACAUUGCCCUCAAUGUGAUAAUGUAAGAGCAGAAGGAAGGAGAGGGGCAACGGUACUUCCCUGAAGUCAUCAAAAUAGGGGCGGUUCAGGUGGAAAUUGCGGAGCAACUCACAUCUGGAGCUGGUGCCAUUCGUGGCUUCACCAUGGACUCUAAAUUUCACUCUAAGCAACAAGAGACUACAAUUGCCAACAAAUAAUGGAAGCCGAAAAUUCAAAGCAAUAACAAUUUUUAAAGCCAUCUCAAUGAGCAAAAUGCACAAUUCAAUCUCCCACAGAUUAAACCAGACCCCAACACUUAUAGCAAAUGCAAUCAAUAAGUACUUAUGGACCCCAUGUAGUCAAAUUCAGAAUUAAGGCCGUCCAAAGUGCAACAACUGCUCCAAAUACCCCAAGCAAGUCAAUUAAAGGCAACCGACUUCAACAAGCAAAUGCAAACGGCGCAUUCAUAUCCCAAUUCAACAAAUAAACACAGGAAAGUAGCCACAAUACUAGAGCACAGCUCCCAAUAAUGCAACAGAACAGCAACUCAAACAAACUAGGAACUGUGCUAGUGUCUUAAUAAAUCAACAACUUUCAGCAAUUAGACACAAUCGGACCCAAUAUCGAAACAACUGUCUCCAAUUGGACAGUCAAUUACCCACUUCAGCCUGCUAAAAUCAGCAAGUGACCCAAGAAAAUGGCAACUCCAGCAACAACAGUUCAGAAGUUGGACAGAAACAACUCAACCACAAAUGCCCAGUAGUCGAUUAGGCAACCAAUAACACAGGAGUAACAAAUAUUAUGUAAACUACCCUCACCAGUACCACUGGUGCAUGCAAAAGGAAAAUUGAAAUCAAAUGGCCAACCCAAGACAUGUGAUAAAGCCAAACACACCAAUCAGUACCACUGAAUGGCAGAGAGUACCACGGGACCCAAUUGACAAGUAACUCCCAAAUUACCCCCAACAAUUUCCAAACAAAUAAACUGGCACAAAAGUCAUCAAAUUUUAUCCCCCAGAUGCAAUAGAAAUCUCAAGUAGUCAAAACCCAAAUAAUAUUCAACAAUAUAAUCAAUGCCAGAGAGCACCCCCAAAUGGGGUAGCAAAUAAAUUGAAUUCCACCCAAAAUUAACCCCAGAAAAUAAUUAAGCAAAUAAACAGAGCAAAAACCCCCUCAAAAACUAAAUAAACAGGCAACUAGAGUAAAGAUUCUCCCCAAAUACCACCGGUUGAGCACAAAAUUUACCAAAUAAUCAACAACCAACCACAGAUAUACCACAGCACCCAAACAAGCACAAAAUUUCUGUCCUCAGCUAGCAAAUCAAAAAUCUGGCAUCAGCUAAUGAAAAACUAGUACUCUGGCCUCAGCUACUUAGCGACUGAAAAAAAUAAAGAAAGAAUUCACCAGAUGUUUGGAGUAGGCAGUGGGUGCUAGUGAAGAGAGCAGGGGCAGCAAAGAGGUGGAGGAAUUCACCGCGCGGGCGUCGCACGCGCGCCUGGUCUACUCGCGCGAGGAGGAAACGCGGCUGUGAAGUCGCGCCUGGGCUCGCCUGUGUGCGACCUGCUGCCCUGGUGACCGCGCGCUGUGCUGCUGGAGGCGCUGUUCUGGUCGCGCGCGGAGGAAGCUGCUGGUGGACUGGCGGUGGAGCUCGGAGCUUGGCGGCGGGCUGGAGAGUGGCUGGGUUGAGUUGAGGGUAGAGUGGUGCGAGCUGGUGGUGGACCGUGAGGUAGAGAGAGAGGGAAGAGCUGACGGUGGCCGCGAGGUGGAGAGAGGCGCGGCUGAGGCCGCGCGACUGCAGAGGUGAGGCGGGCGCUGGGGUCGCUGGCCGCGAGCUGCGCGCAAGGCAGAGGAGAAAAGGGAGCUGGGUUGGCGGUCUGGAUAGCGGCGAACGAAGCUGGAGGAGGCGCACGGUGAUGGAGCAGGUCGUGGGUGGGGUGCGGCGAGCUAAGCUGAGGGGGCGGCGCUCCUGGAAGGUGAGAGUGGAGGAGAGGCGCGGCUUGGCCGCGAGUUGCGUGGGCUGUGCUCAAUGGAGCCGCGAGGUGAGCUGGACGAAUGAAGGACAAGAAGAAAAAGGGGAAAACAGAGGCAGCGGGGAAGAAGGAAGAAAGAAAAAGAAAGAAAGAAAAAAAAAAGAAGAAAAGAAAGAAAGAAAAAGAAUUUUUUUUUUUUUUGGAUUUUUUUUUUAUUGCACACUCAAAUUUCAAAACUCGAAUUGUGAGAACCAACACUGAAGGUGUAAAACGGAAAAUGUUUUUAUUUUGAAUUUUUGAUUUUUUUUUCAAGGAACCUCUGGCUUAGGCGUUGGCACGUCUAACUGCUAUAGAGUCCGCAGAUCCUGAACGAAAAUUUCUUUCCCUCAGGCGUGACCACCUGGCGUGGGCACGUCUAACUGCUAUAGAGUCCGCAGAUUUUGAACGAAAAUUUCUUUCCCUCAGGCGUGACCGCCUGGCGUGGGCACGUCUAACUACUAAUUUCCUGCCACCAAACAUCAAACUAUUAAUUGACACUAACACUUAACUAGAACUUCAAAAAUGCAUGAAAACUGAAACAAAUAGUCUUGGGUUGCCUCCCAAGUAGCGCCUUUUUUUAAUGUCUUUGGCUAGACAUGCUAUGCUUUGCUCAUGGAGGAUAAAAUCUUGUGGCUCGUUUCAAUGCUUCAUCUUCAAUGUGAUCCUGGUAACCCUCAUAGAUGGAGUAAUCCUUGAGCACACGAGUUACGGGCUUCCAUGGACUAGUGAAUGGCGCCAAACGAGUCGAUGAUAAUUUGCAUUCUCCAUUCACUCCUCCCUCACUUGCAUUUAUUGGUUCAAGAUAUCUCGCCAUCGCCACUCUUAAUUUAUUCCUGUCAUGAAAUUCAAAAUUGUCUAGUAUAAUAAAGUCAAUUUCGUUAACAGGAAUUGAAGAGUAAGAGUCAGGAGAAUAUUGAUGAAGGAGUGGAGGAGAUGUCACCGCAUUUGGAGAUUGUUCACUGGAUUCAUUCACUUGAACGAGUUGAUCUUGGAGUUUCAUUUCUUGCACUUUAGCUUCCUUUUCAACUGCAUCUUUAAAUCCGUUUUCUUGAAACUCUUGCAGUUCCAUGUCAUUUGGCCGGACAAUUGCACUCUCAUCUUCCUCAAGAUUGAUAUUGGUUUGUGCGGGCAAUUCUUCCAUUUGAGGAGCCAAUCGAUUUAUUCUGGAUGUCAAUAGACAUAGUUGAUCUGCCAGAUAACUCAUUGCAUCCUUCAUCAUCUCAUUUCUCAUUUGUGUCUCCUGUUGGAAUUGGUAUGUAUUAAUAAAUAAUUCACCCAAUUCCUGAAAAGACAUACCUGACAUGGACGAUGGUUGUUGAGACUCUUGCUGUUGAAAAUCCAUUGGCCCGGUCGCAUAAUCAAAAUUGGAAUUAUCCCACUAUCCUUGAUCAUACCCGUUUGAAUAAGGGUCAUACUGCGUUUGAUAUUGGGGUGGAAAAUCUCCAAAAGUAUCAAUUGGAGCACUUAGAUUAUCUUGAAAUGCGGGGCAUGUGUCAGUUGAAUAACCUGAGUCAAAAUAAGUUUCACAAUUUGCAACAGCCCAUUGAUCAUUAGGAAAAUCAUGAGUCUCAUAACCCCAUUCAGGAACAAAGUCCAGUCUAUCAUCAAAAUAUGGAAUGUUAGCAGCCAUAAAAAAAUAAAAAAAAAUAAAAAAGAGAAAACUAAAUUAAAAAUGAAAAUAAGGUGAACUCAAAAAGAAACAAAUUAAUCUGACACCAGUCCCCGGCAACGGCGCCAAAAAUUGACAGGUGCCGAACCUGUGCAAUAAUAAAUACCUGCUUAAAUAAAAUACAAAUUCUGUAUAUAGCGGUAAGUAGGGUCGAAUCCACAGGGAUUGGGGAUAAUUUAAUUUCUUCUCAAGUUCCAGAUAUGAGGGGUUUUGAAAAUGAGAGUAACUAAAUUACUUGGAAUAAAGUAAAAUAAAAUAAAAUAACUACAACUCAAAUAACUAAUUAUCACAAUAAAAAUAAUAAUGGACGAACUCUAGCCAAGAGACAACUUCGGAGAUGGUUCACUUAAUUCGAUCACAGAUGCAAGGAUUAUUCCAGUUACUAUCUGAUAAAUUAGUUAUAGUUGUCAUACACGCGAUAAACAACCAACUCUUCCUCAAUUUGUCGAUAGCCAAGGUACGACCGUUGACUAUUUCUCUAAUCAGGAAAUAACCCUAGGUACGACCAUAGAAGUUCAAUUCCCUAAUUGCAUGAAUAAUUAGAAGAGCCUAAUUCUAACCAAUCAACACGCUACGAGGGUCUCUUUAAGUUAGCAUGUCUAUCUCCCUGACACAAACCCAAUCAUGCCAGUUGCCACCAGUUUAGAAUAAUUAAACAAUUACGGAUUUAACUACCCUAAUUGGCUUCAGGUUAUUGAAUUAAUCUAGAAUCCGGGCCCUGGAUAAUCGAAUAAUAAAACAACCAUAUGAACAUAAAGCAGAAGAUAGACGAAUACCAGAAAAUAAUAGGAAAUAAAUAAAAACUAAUUCGAUCUCACAAAUUUAGUAGAACCACGUCCUCCGUUGUUCCUCGACUAGAUAAAAAACUUAGCCACGCCUCAUGAGAAAAUCUCCCCGUAAUUUAAUUGAGGUCCAGGCCAUCAAAGGAAAGAAUAAAACUAAACUAUGCUAAAAGCUAAGCUAAAACUCUUGACCAGGAAACCUCCUGUACGUUUCUCCCUUUUUAAAGCCAAAAGAAAGUCUAAUGCUAUCUCUAGUGGUCCCCACUGAAUUGAGAGUCCAAGGGCCAAAAGAAUUGGAGUUUUGCCAAAGUCCUUGUUUUUAGUUUCUCGUAAGACUCCUAGUACAAGUCCACCCUUUUCAGCAUAAAGAUAGGAAAUCCCCUUUUUGUAGCAUCCUGUGGAGCCCGGCUUGUAUUUCUUUUUAGAACUUCCCAUGUGUGGAGUGUUUUUCUCAAUAAAGUCUCCUUUUUAGCACUUGUUUGCUUCACUUCCUGUAAUUAGGGCCAAAUACCAAAUAUAAGUACAUUUCGACAAUUAAAACAAUAUUUGGCAAGGACAAAGAGGAAAAUUAAUCAUAAAAUUAACAACAAAUUAUGCCCUAUCACCCAUUAAAUCAUAGGGCGUUAUGUGGACAUUUUGAAAUGCAAAGGGAAUCAUGUGUCAAUGAAAAACCAACGGAGGUUAUGUGUAAUUUACAACAAGAUCAUGUAAAGUCUGUCACAUUUUAAUUGGAUUGAAACUUUAUAAUAAUUUUCAUUGUCAAAAAUGCCAAUAAACUGUCACACUACUUUUAAUUCUCUACGGUUCCUUGUGUUUGGUGAAGUGGACAAAUCAUAAGACAAGCAUUAAUUUAGAGGAAAGAAACGUCUGUGCAUUUUUUAAUGGCCAAUUCCAUGUCUGCGCUGGAUUUUCGAACAUAUUUACAAGGGUGCCUGCAGCAUUAGACCGUGUUAGAAGCCAUUGGUGUCUGUUCGAGAUGCAUUUGAAGAUAGGGUGUCAAGCGCGAAAUUUAGAUUGGUUCUGUAAAUGCUGCCGGUCGCACUGUUAGGGUUGUAUGUAGCGUUUCCACAGUAAGGCGCAAGAAAAUUAACGGGGCUAGUGAGUGUGGUAUGGAAGCUAAGGAAACAAAGCAUGUAAUAAUGGAAGUGGAACAACAAUUUUCUGGAGAUAAUUUCAAAGGCAGGCAUCAAAAGAAAAAAAGGCUAAAAAUCCAUAAAUUACAGUUGUAAAAUAGAGCCAAUGUUUUGGUUUUUUUUUUUUUUUUUUUUUUGCUGACACAAUGGAUAUCCGGAAUUCAACGAAUUAUAUUUUCGGGCAGGACUAAUCCAAUGUUUUGGUUGAGGGAUCAUGAAAGUUAUACACGCCACGAAAACGAGUAGUCUAUAGGAUGACUUUACUUUAGCAAUUCAGUCAACCAAGUCGCCUGCAUGUAACCACUGGGCCAUUGGCUCAGUGGCCACCACCUAGUUGGUGGGGUGGGAGGCAAGGUUUGAACCCUUGCCUCCCACUAAAAAUACUACAUUUAAGUGGCUUGUUUCCAAAAAAAUUCAGGCGGGUGUACUGUGCACCCGUUUGAUCCGAUGGUGGUUCAGUUCCCUCCGGGUUAUUCCCAAUACGUCAGUAAUGGAAAAAAAAUACAACAUUUGACCCUAAAUUGCAUCUAUUUAAUUUGUAUAUAUUUUAUCCAAUUUGAUACUUAAUCAUUAGUUUAUGUAUUCUUUUUGUUUUCUUCAUAUAUAAAUAUGUAACUGCUAUAUAUGUGUGUGUAGUAGUCAAGGGUAUUGUAAGAAAUUAUCAAGUUUUCAUUUGCAUUUUCGAAUGCCAAUUCUUGCAACCAUUGUGUUCAAUUUUCAAUUUUAUAUGAUUUUCAUAUUAUACGAGGUAAAAUUAAACAUAUUGCAAAAAUGUUAAACCAAAUUGCAACUCAUGAUUUUCUUUUGUUUCAAAUUUUAUCUUUUCAAUUUUAUUUUGAAAGUAAAAAUAUAAGUACAUUUUAAAAGGUAAAAUCAAAUUACAAGUUAUGGAAAUUUUUUCUUUUACUUCAAAGGUUAACCCCUCAAUUUGGAGGUUGAAUAUGGAUUCAACCACAAAAUUUCUCCUUUGAAAAUUUGAAAUCAUUUAAUUCAAUAUUUUUGUGUGUGGCCAAUUCAAAAUUAAUAUGAAAAAUAACUAAAUCUGAUUUUUUUAUACUUUUUGUUUUGAAUUUUCAUUUUAUAUUUUACUCGCCAAAUUUACUUUAUAGUAGUGUAACAUUGGCAAUAUGUUAAAUUAUGUUUUCAAUAAAAAAAAUAGAGAAAUUAAGACUCUUGGGCCAAUAGAGAUGGGAAAUGCCAAUCAUAAUUACUAUUAUUUAAAAAAGAAAAUUCCAACACAAACACAACAUAGUAUAUACAUAUGUGUACAUAUAAUUCUCAUAAGCAUAUAAGAGAAAAUUGUAGAUUUGCAUAGCAUAAUUUAUCUUAAAUGAAAAAUUUGUAGUAUUACUUUAUUCUGGUUUUGGCCAAGUGGAAGAAGAAGAAAGGAAUAAGGGAAGAGGAAUUGUAGGAGGUUGGGCGUGAGAGAUGGAGGUUGGAGGGGCUAUCCAAGGGUUUGGGAGAAUGAUGAAGAAAAAGGGGUGACAAAUUAGGGGGUGGGGAUAAGAAGUUAGAAGAGAGAGGAAUGGAAUACUAAGGAGUUAAAGAGUAACGGAAAAAGUUGAAAAAUGAAGAUGAACUACAAAGUUAGACGGAGAAAAAGGGAAAGAAAGAAAGGAAUUGUGGAGUAUGAUAGAGGUCGUAAAAAAUGAUAGGAAGAAUUGCUCUGUGAUUGAAGGUGCAAAGGUCAUAUGAGACAAUGGAUAGUCAGCUGACAAGUAAGAGAGAAUGAAAAUAAUGAUAGUUUCUAAUAAUUCUAAAAACGCAGCUUACAAAAAUAUUUUUAAUCUAUAUUAAAAUCUAUGAAAAACAUUAUUUUAAAAGCCCUCAACAAUUUUAGGGCUACAAGAUAGGAGAAAAUUUUUUUCUAAAAUUGUGGAAAAUAAAUUAGUCAUAAUUUAUGUUUUUAUAUUAUAAAUUUUGAUGUAUGGAUAUAUAUAUAUAUAUAUAUAUGGCUAUAAAUUUUAAUCGAUAUUAUAAAUUUAGUAUAACUUUUUAGCCUUUGUCAUAUAUUUUAUCCUAUAUUAAAAUAUAUAAAUAUGUAUUAUUAUUUUGAAUUGAAAUAUAAGCUCAUGCAUAGCACGGGCCAAAAUGCUAGUCCAUGUAAAUUGUAGAAGCUGUGGAUAAAUACAAAAUCUAUAGAGGGUUAAAGUGGAUAUUUAUAAAUUGUAGGAGCAUUAAAUGGAUAUUAUUAAUUCACCACAUGCAUUUUUGGAGCACUUGUGGUUCAAUCACUAUAACCAUUGGUGUUUUCCGUCUAUUUUUCAUAUUACAUGAAACAAUAGGAGUUUAUGUGGAUAUUUUAAGAUCUAAAGGAGAUCAUAUAGUAAUAUAAAAAUCCAGGGGGAUUAUAUGUAAUUUACCGUAAAAUCCGGCAAAGUCUGUCGCAUUUUAAUUGGAUUGAAAUUUCCAAUAAUUUUCGUUGUCAAAAAUGUCAAUAAACUGUCCCACUACUUGUGUUUGCAAUACAUACAAGUAUCUUCACAAUUUUGUUGAACCGAUUUGCAUUUCUUAAAUUCUUCUUCUUUUGGUAAAGUGGACACAUCAUAGGACAAGCAUUAAUUUAGAGAGACCUCAAGGAAAGAAACGUCUACCCAUUUAUUAAUGACCAAUUCCACAUUCGUGGUUGGUUUCAAAAAUAUAUCAAGUUUUUGAACAUAUUUACAAGGGUGCCUGCAGCAUCAGUAAGAAGCGACCAUUAUGAUGGUUGUUGAUCUUUGUUUUUUCAAGAAACCGGUCACAAUAGACCUACUCGCGAAAAUCCUCGUUUAUGUUAUCAGUUUUAGUGAACCACGUGCUUGUUAGCAUUUCAUUGCAACUUUAAUGUUACAAUUAAUUUUUUAGCAUUGCUUGUUUAUUUAUAUUAUUUUUCAUUCGUGUUAAGAAAUUUUGGUAUAGGAUUCAUAUCUCAUUCAGUAUUUUCCUUAUCGAAAUCACCCAAAUUUACAACAUAUGUAUAUUUUCAGCAUACACGUUCAUGUUCUUAAAAUUCUUGUAUCUAGUUGAGCUAUUUAUUCUGUUUAGUAAUUAUAAUAUGGUGCGUUCUUCUAGGGCCUAUUAGUGUUUUAAUUUCAUAUAUGCUCAAAUUAUCAAAUGGAAAUAAUUUUUAUUUUUAUAUAUUAAUUACAAUUAUGAGGCCCAAAAAAGGGAAAAGAAGAAUAGAUUUUUUAAAUUAAAAAAGAACUUAAAGAAAAAGGGUUUAUCGAGAAUGAAAGGGAACUAAUAUUCUCUUUCCCCAUAUUCGAACUUAAGCGAUGACCAACCUAAAAAUCCCCACUACACUACUAAGUAGUAGGCCAUAACAUAUGCUUUCUUGCUGUGGAUGAGAGAGAGAGAAUUGGAGGAGGAAAAGAAAGAGAAGGAAAUCUUUGUUAUUGUUUUACAUUAGAAUCUUUAAGAAUACCCUAUGGUACCUUAUGAUGAUGUUCUAAAGCAUAUAAUCCUGAAAAUCUAAUGAUGAAAACAAGAAGAAUUCAUGGCUGAAGAUUCGGUUUAAAUGAUGAAGGUUUGACAUUUUCAUGAUUUUGCACUUUCAAGAUCGUCAUCAUACUAGAAAAUUGGAGAACCUAUUAAACAUAUAAGAUCUAGUACCUUUUAUUCAAUCCCCCAAGUGCACGUAAUAGAAGCACCUGACUUUUAAGAACAAGUCAAUCAAAUUUUCGAGCAUAACGAAAGCCAAAAAAUUGUAUCAAGUUAUGGUAACGAUUGUUAUGGUAACGAAAUAAUUUUUACCUAAUAUAACAGGUUGAUGUACUUUUAGCGACUAUUUGAUUUCUUGUUGGACCUAUCCACCUAAAUAGAAUAAUAUCUAAAAAUAUGGAAGUAAGUUUUCCAUCUAAAACAGUAAGUUAAGCUUAAUAGAUUAGUAACUUUUAUACCUCAAAAAGUAAAUUGGAAAAAAUAUUAAACUUACUUUUUAAAUAAAUAAAUUACUACUUUAUAUCUCAAACUUAUUUUUUAGAGAGUAAGUUUAGUUCAAAUAACAGUAAGUUUUUAUACAUAAAUAGUAAUACUUACUAAUAACAUGGUAAAUUUGAUUAAGGAUCAAAAUUUACUGUUUUUUGGAAAACAUGUACAAUUUUACAUUAAAACCUUAUGUCAAACUAGUAUUAGGAAGUUUAUUUGAAAUAAUGAUAAGAUGUUUUAUUAAUGAUUAAAACUUAGUACCUUAGUUAGUAAGUACUCAUAAUAUACCUGUAUAAUAAAUGAUUAUAGGUAUAAUUUAAAUUUUUUUUGUAUUUAUAUAUUUUAAAAUACUAUGAAAAGUAGUUUCACUUUUCAGAUAACCUUGUAAAAUAUGUAAUAAAAUUUUGUCAUAUUAUAAGUUUUUAAUCAUUUUCAAUUUUUGAAAAGUUUGAAAGUUUGGAUAACAAUAACAACAAAUCUCCCUAGUUAUAUAUAGAAUAUCAUUUGUUUCUAUAUCACAAUUUUUAUAAUUUAACACCUAUGAAUAUAAUAAGAUAAUAAAGUUUUAAUAAAUUUACAUCUGGGACACAAGAAUUAAUAAGAGUUAAAGCCCAAACAAAAUGAGAAAUAAUAUAACAAUAAAAAUGACAAAAUUAAUAUAACGGUUAAUAUAAGAAAAUCAGUAUGAUCUGGACUUUUUUCCUUGGGAGAUUGUUCAUAAAAAUGAGAUCUAACAAUUAAAUGAAAAUCACUUGCACAUAUAAUCUAUUGUAUAAUCUAAAUUAAAUUUAGUUCACAUAUAAAACGAUCCUAAAAUAAUUAGCGCACUAUGAUACAAUGUUAUUUUAAUUGUAAUUUUUUUUACUGAAAGUCUCAAAUAUCCAUGCCAUAAAUAUGAGGGAUAUUUUACCAUAUUUGUGUCUAACUGUAAGCACAAAUUUCGUUGCCAAAAAUAAAAGACAUGAAAACUUGCACCAAUAUCAAAUUUAUUAAAUCAAAUAAUAAGAGAGUUACAAUCUCUAAAAAUUCUUUUUUCUUUUGAUAAUUACAAUCUCUAAAAAUUCUUGAAUCAAAGAAAUUAAUCCCCUAAUUCUUCUCUUCAAAAGCACUCCUAAUUAAAGCAUAAUAAAAUCAAGUUUUUUUUAACCUUUUAAUGUAGUAGUUAUGCUUACUAAAAAAAUUAGUAAACCAUUCCUACAAUGCAUUGCUUCUCCUAAAAGUACUAAUAUUUUGUAAAUAAAUUGAAAUAAUUUUGUAAAAGAUUUUAUGCAUUUUCACUAAUAUAAUCAAGAGAAUUUUACACCUUUAAAAUAUAAAUAGAAAGAAAGGAAAAUGGUAUGAGUAUAAAGGUGACCACAUGCAAUAUAUAUCACAUCAGGUGUUUAGAUAUGAUUUGUUAAGUAAUCAACAAUUUAGUCCUGGUCAAUAUAUGAGGCAUAUUGAUUUCUUAUAAAUAAAAACAUAAUUUAGCAAUUAUGCAUUAACAGAAUUCGUAGUUUGAAUGCAAUCAAUUGAGCACCUAUUUCUUUUUCUUAAGUAGCAAUUAUUUAUUUUAUUACUUAGGUUAUAUAUUUACAUUUAAAAUAACAACAAUAGCUUGCCAAUCCUCAGACCAAUAGAACGUCAAUUAUUGUUAACUAAACUAAUUUUACAUUGAUCAAAAUUAAUCUAGAAAAUGAAAUGUUAAUAGCAACAAUUGGUAAAAAAUAGCAAUCUUUUAAUUUUGGGAAAAUAAAAAAUAAGUUCCCAAAAUAUUUCACUUUUAUUUUCAAAAAAAUCUCAACUUGUUAAUUAAAUUCAAAAUGAUUUUAUUAUAAAAAAUAUUCUUCCUCAAAUUAACAUCAAUGAUUAGACAUGAGAUACAAAUAUGGGAAAAAAAAGAUAAAAAUAUGGUAAAAUAUCUCUCAUACAUAUGUCAUGGAUAUUGGAGACUUUUGGCAAAAAAAAAAUUUUGUUGUUAAAAUAAUAUGGUAUUGCAGUGUGCUAAUUAUUUUAGGAUCAUUUUGUAUAUGAACUAAAUUUAAUUUAAAUUAUACAAUAGAUUAUAUAUGCAUGUGAUUUUUGUUUAGUGGUUGGAUCUUAUAUUCGUGAACAAUAUCCAGAGAAAAAUUUUUCCAGAUUAUACUAAUUUUGUUAUUUUUAUUGUUGUAUUAAUUGUUACACUAUGUCUCUCAUUUUGUUAGGCCUAUAUUAAUACAAGUUUAAUUCUUAUUAUUUCUUGUGUCCUAGACAAUAAAUAUAUUAAAACUUUAUCAUCUUAACUAGGAAGAUAUGUUGUUAUUAUUAUCCAAACUUUUAAACUUUUCAAAAAUUAUUCAAAAUUAUAAUACGAUAAAAUUUUAUUAUUUUAUAAGGUUAUGUGAAAGGUCAAAAUAUUUUUCACAUAAUAUUUUAAAAUAUAUAAAUACAAAAAAAUUUUAAAUUAUACAUAUAAUCAUGUAUUAUACAAGUAUAUUACGAGUACUUACUAACUAAGGUACUAAGUUUUAAUCAUUAAUAAAAUAUUUUAUUGUUAUUUUAAAUGAACUUCCUAGUAUUGGUUUGGUAUAAGUUUUUUUAAGCAAAAUAGUACAUAUGUGCCAUAAAUUAGUAAGUUUUGGUCAUUAAUCAAAUUUACUAUGUUAUAAAUAAGAAUUACUAUUUAUGUAUAAAAACUUACUAUUACUUGAACUAAACUUACUCUCUCAAAAGUAUGUUUGUGAUAUAAAAUAGUAAUUUAUCUCUUUAAAAAGUAACUUUCAUAUUUAUUCAAAUUUACCUUUUGAGACACAAAAGUUACUAAUUAUUACGGUUAACUUACUAUUUUAGAUAAGAAACUUACUUCAUUAUUUUUAGGCAUUAUUCUAUUUAGGUGGAUAGGUCCAACAGGUAAUUAAAUGGUCGGUAAAAGUAUAAUAACCUGUUAUAUCAGGCAAAAACUGUUUAGUUACCAUGUCGAUAGUUACUACAGCAUUUUCCUCUUGCUGUGGAUGAAAGAGAGAGGAUUGGAGGAGGAAAAGAAAGAGAAGGAAAUCUUUUUUAUUGUUUUACAUUAGAAUCUUUAAGAAUACCCUAUGGUACCUUAUGAUGAUGUUCUAAAGCAUAUAAUCCUGAAAAUCUAAUGAUGAAAACAAGAAGAAUUCAUGGCUGAAGAUUCGGUUUAAAUGAUGAAGGUUUGACAUUUUCAUGAUUUUGCACUUUCAAGAUCGUCAUCAUACUAGAAAAUUGGAGAACCUAUUAAACAUAUAAGAUCUAGUACCUUUUAUUCAAUCCCCCAAGUGCACGUAAUAGAAGCACCUGACUUUUAAGAACAAGUCAAUCAAUUUUUCGAGCAUAACGAAAGCCAAAAAAUUGUAUCAAGUGGAAAGUCAAGCUUACAAUUGAAACUCAUAUCCAGCUCGAUGUUGAUUUCGAACCAGAGUUUGCAACAUCAUCAUUGAGCAUGUUAAAAAUAAGACUCAACCCGCUUAGAUUACACUUCGGCCCACACCAACCCAUCACUAAUCUCAAUAUUUGAAAUUCAUUGGUGCUCUAAACAGCAACCUAUCCUUUCUUGACAUGCGUCACAAUAAACUAUCAAUAGAUACUAUUAGGGAAUAACUUCAAACCCUUUGUUCUAUUUAUCCUAAGAAAUUAAUUUAAGUGGACUUUGUUUUUUAUGUACACCAUCGAUCCCUUUUAACUAAUUGUAAAUCAUUCGUUAGAAAACUCACUUAUUACAUUUGAGAGGGGGGAAACUAAGCUUGAGUAUAACUUUAUUAGAAAAAAAGGAAUAAAUCAAUAUUAAAUGAACAAAAAAUUGAAAAUGUUGAAAUAAAUUUUAGUGGUUAUAUUUUGAUUGAUUGUUAGCUCUAGGAAUUUUUCUUAGGGUACGUUUGGUUCCCCGUAGAAUUGGAGUGUAGAAUUGGAAUUGGAGCUCCAAUUCCAAUUCUUGUGUUUGGGUACUAUCUUUCCUGUAGAAUUAGAAUCGAAUUACAAUUCCAAAUUGAUCGAAUUCCAUGGUUCCAAUUCUUUGGCUGGACCAAAGAAUUCCAAUUCCAAUUCCACAACUAAACGGGUCCACACGCGGAUCUAGUAUGGGUCAAAAAUUAAAAUCGGGUCAAAGGAUAUUGGCACCCCUUUCUUCCUGUCUAACUCACCAUUUUCCUCAGCCGCUAGGGCUCUGCUCUCCACCAUCACUUCCACCUGCAAUCCUAAUAUCUUACCUUUCCCACCACCGUCUCCCCCCUGCCUUCCAUUUCUCUGGCCACUUCCUCCAUUCUUCGCCACUCUCGCCACUGUCCACCCCAAAUUUCAGACACAUUUAGGGCUUGUGAGACACCCAGGAAGGAUAAUGCGAACGCAACACAGCAGAGGAGCACCUUUUGGUCUCUGAGAUUUUGCCGCUACUAUUGUCCCGAAUCGAAAUGGCCUGUGCGGAACUUUGAGCCUAAAGAUGUACUAACACAUGGCAACCUCGAAUAGGGUACCGGUGGUUCGCGCUAAACACCCAUCAUAUUAGGGAAAUUACAAGCCAAGUUGGUAAGAGUUGUUUAUUAAUUUUUCCAGCAUCAAAAUAAUCUACUAUCAGAAUAAUCUCUUAAUCUUUCCAGCAUCUUUCUAGCACAAAAUUAUUUUUUUGCUUCAAAAAAAAAAGAAAAUUAUGAUUAAUUUUUUCAAUUAAUCAUUGGUUAUGGGCUUUAUUACAUAGCUUUUUUUUCAUUGGAUACAUUGCAAUGGUUUGUUUUGUUUUGUGAAGGUAAAUUUGUCUAAAUUUUUGCCAAUCAAACAACAUUUUUUUUUUUUGUAUUUUCUGAUAUUUUGCUCUAGUAUUUUUGGCUUCUAGAUUUAUGCUGUUAAUAAGGAUUAAAAAAAAAAGCACAAGUUGAUCGUUUGUUUCCUUUUUCUUAUUUUGGGUUUGAGUUCAAUUAGUUAAAUCGAGUCCAAGUUUUAGCUUGUUGGAAUAUAUAAUGUUAGUUUAAAAUCAUAUUGGUGAUGAAGAUGAAAGGGGUAAUCUCGUAUGUCUUCCUUAAAAUGGUUUUUUGAGAUCUAUUAGAAGGUUUUGCAUUGUGGAACCACAAAUUGAUACUGCAUUUGGAUUCUACACUAAAAGAUGAGAUAUUUAGCUGUGUUAUGUAGAAUUUCAGCUGAUUAUCCAUCCAUAAUUUUAAGGAUGCCACUCCAUUAGAGCUUCCCUCUAAAUGAGACUCUACUAAAUCUUUCCUUUUGAUGAGACUCAUAGAAGGCUUUAGAAGGAUUCUGAUGUUUCUCGUAGCCAAUUAGUCUUGUUUCUAGAAAGAAAGCUUUGUGCACAUAAGUGAUGAUCUUAGCAACAUCUCCAAAUUGCUUUUGCAAAAAGGUUCCGUCCAAAUAAGUCAGCAUAAGUUCUUCAUUUAACAUAUGUAUGGAUUUUUCUGGUGCAUAUUUGCCUCUCACUUUUAGUUCUAUAAUGCAGUGGCUGUUGAAUCUAUUCUUAAGAUAGUGUCAGAUUAAAAAAUCUUCUUAAAACCAGUUCUACUCUUCUUAACUUAGUAUCUAGAAUCAUAGAAGGAAUCACAAAUUUACUUUGACAGAGCGAAUUUUUAGUUCUAUACUACAGUUGUCCUGCAGUUCUUUGGUGUAUGUUUCUGUAUAUAAUCAAUUGUUACGCAUAUUUUAAAGCUUAUGUGGUGUAACAGUUGGGCCUUCCCUGCAAUUCAUUGCUAGUUAGGAAAUUGUAAAUAGCUAUCUUUAUCUCACACACACACAUAUAUAGAGGAGUUUCAAGGGGAAGAUAAUUAAUCUUUUGUUCUGUAACUCACAGAAUUGAGUGUAAUAGUUUCCCAAGCUUGUUUUUCAAGGCAAAAUGGGCAGUACCAAAUUGAAACACUAACCUGAUCAUAGCAAUGAAUCACAGAAGCUAAUAAUUAUGUUUACCAACAACUUGCACAAACUAAUGAAUUACAAAAUUGUAGCUAUUUCCUAAGCGAUCUCUAAAGUAUUAAAGGUGUAUAAGCCAAUAUAUUUGUUUCUGUCAAUAGUUGUAUUCACAAGCUGUAAAUGUAAUAUUUCAGGAAAGGCAAAAAUAUUAUUGCAGAUUAUUAUGUCAGAGGUUUCAUUAGCUAUCAUUUUAGCUUCAAUUGACUAUGUAGAAUUUAACACUCACUUUUUAAAAUUUGGUCUUUUGACUUACCUUUUCUUAUUGUUGUCGUGAUUUUGAAUUGCAGAAUUUGGAUAUUGACAUGGAUAAGGAAGGAGACGAGCAAAAAACAAAAAAGAGAAAAGUGGUAGUUGCAAAUUAUAUGGUAACAGUAGCCACAUUAGUAGUUUGGUGGCAUGAGAAACAUAUAGUAAAGGAGCCUUACUUGGACUUUAAAGUAACACGUGAAAUAUAUCUAAGGCGUCUUUACUAUGGAAACAAUAGAGUUUGUGUAGAGCAACUUAGACUCAAUAAACAUUGUUUUACUGUUUUAUGUACAAAUUUAAGAGAGCAUUGUGGGUUGAGGGAUACAAGAAAUAUUACUGUUGAAGAAGCAGUUGCAAUGUUUCUCUAUGUUCUUGCUCAUAACUUUAAGAAUCGCACUGUCAAUUUUAAUUUCAUAAGAUCAGGUGAGACAGUUAGUCGAUACUUUAAUAUAGUUCUAUGUGCUAUCAUAAAAUUGGGGAGACACUAUCUUAUCCAGCCUGAAACGGAAAUGGAAGGUUACGAGCAUGAAAAGUGGGAAUGGUUUCAGGUAAUCAAUAAUUUUUGAUAUUUGUUAAUGAAGAUAAUAUCUACAAGAUUCAUCAACUUAUGAUAUUUUGUUUAUAAUACAGGAUUGUCUUGGAGCGUUAGACGGUACUUAUGUUAAAGUACAUGUUCUUCUUAGAGAUCAAGGAAGAUAUAGGAAUAGGAAGAAUGAGAUAGCAACAAAUGUUUUAGGUGUAUGCUCCCGUGACAUGAGAUUUACAUAUGUAUUGCCUGGAUGGGAAGGUUCUGCAGCAGAUAGUAGAGUUCUACGGGAUGCGUUAGAUUAGAUCAGAUCCUUUUUUAUUUUUGCAAAAAAGGAACUAAUUUUUUUUUCUUUUAAAGCUUUAUUAACAAUUAGUUAAAUGCAAGAAAAAAUAAAUUAUUAAAGGUACUAAUUGAUUUUUUCCUUAAAGCUUUAGUAACAAUUAGCUAAAUGUUAAAAAAUUAUUAUAUAGUAAAAAAAAGAAAUUUUUUAUGUAAGGAAAUAUUAGUUGGAAACAAUUCUAAUUCCUAAUGAAUUCUUCUCUCAUACAAACAAAGAAUUUGGAAUUUCAAAUAAAUUCCAUAUCAAUUCUAUGCAUUUCCCAAACGAAAGAAUUGAAAUGAUUUGGAAUUCCAAUUCAUAGAAUUCCAAUUCUAUAGAAUUUCAAUUCUAAUUCAAUUAUAAUUCUGUAGAACCAAACGUACCCUUAGUUGAAUUUCAAAAGAGUUGUAAUAGUUGGAUAAUGUUGACUAUUUGAAGUACCAAUAAAAAUUUGGACAUUCUUAGAUGUGAAAACUUCAAAGCUGGGAAAAGCGAUGAAUUAGAUGAUAUAUAGGCACCUACACUAAAAAAAUCCAUAAAGAUUUAAAAAAUAAAUAAAAAAGCUUCAAAGCUUCCAGGCUCAACACUUGUUUCAAUAGUCCUUUUAUUCAAUUUUCUUGCUCCCGAUAGUCACAAAAUACUCAAAUCUCAAUAAGUUACUAAAUAACCUCCCCCUAAGGCGUACCAGAGGGUUCGGCGGACCGCCUGCCCAACUCUAGCCAGGACUCACUCAUUAUCUAAAACGAAUCGCGUGCGUACAUCCAAGAACCAUGAAUAACAUCCACAAUUCAAACUUAUAAUUUAUAUUAAUACAAUUCAAGGUACAAGGUCUCAAUAUACCAAACUAGUUCAAAGCGUAUACAAACCAAAUACAAAACAUUCUAUUCGAGAAAUAGCGCGAGUACAAGACGAAAAUCAAAAGUCAAACGACUAGACUACGCUAGCCUUUACACGUCUCACGCCUCGCUCGUACCCCCUGUAAGGAAAACAAAUAGCGUGGAAUGAGCUAAAAGCCCAGUGAGGUUCCAAAUAACAAAUUGUCCAUUUGAAAAGUACAAGUUUUCGAUAUAGCAAAGUAACGAGCAUGAAGAGUUCAUAAAAGUGAGUCAUAACACGUCAAGCAGCAAUCUCAAAAUGAGCAAGUGUAAAGGUUUUUCAGAAGAGUCAAUAAUCCAAUAAGCAAUAAUCAUUCCAAACUAUAAGGAUACGGACGGCUCUCAGGAGCCAAAUUCCCAUUGCAUUACCAAAAACUUGAUCACGUAGUAGUUGACACUCCAUCAACUUUCAAGUAAAGGAACUAAUCCAGUAGAGCACCACUUACGCUACUCUCCGUCCACCAUUCAAACCCCCUACUGGGCCCAAAAUCCUCAAGAAACACGGGUGGUAUUACUCGAGUAUACCGAUUAGUCGAGAAGGUAUCACUCCACUCGCCAAUCAAGAGACCCAGGGUUCGUUACCCAAUCGACCAAACCCUUGCCGGCUCGACUCGAGUAACUUGCCGCAGGAUUUUUGGAAUUCCAGGAAGUGCGCACAUCAUAAUCAAGUAUAUCAAAUCACUUUCAACAAUAAACAAUUAUAUAUCACGUGAGGGCAACUGCGAUAAAGUACACUCUUGCCCUAACAAUUCACGUAUAUAACAUGUAAUCACAUUGAUCACGUAUCAAGUACAAGUAUCAAGUUUAAUUCAGUAUUUGAAAUCAAUUCGGUAUUUGAAAGCACUCACCAAAAGAUAUAGUGCCUUACUGGUCACUUUCAGGUUGUACUCCGGGUUCGGAGUCCAAAUUUGCGAUAAAACUCAAUUUGAGAACUUUGAAACAUGACUAAGAUUCGAAACUUAGACGUUUCGUUCAAUAAGAAUCAAGAAAUGGAAAUUCACUCGGAUAGUAGUCGUGAAACACUUGCUCGCUUUUUAAACAGUAAAACUUUGUAACAUUUAUACUUGAAAUUGUCAUGCGAGUUGAAAGUACAAGGAAAACAUACUUCGAGCAAUCAUUAUUUCAUUUCUCAAGGGUACAAGUUCGGCCAAAUCCUUACUUAUAUACCUCGGAACAAGAAGACUCAAGUAUCCUAGAUGGUUCAAGUAGUAAUCACUCUUAACCCUUAUUCAAGUUGCAAGUAUAGUUUUCUAGUCCUCGAGCGUAAAUUUGGGCAGCAUGCCCUUUCUGUUUACCUAAUUUCCAGCCAUUAUGGCUUCAUUCUUUUACUCAAUCCAACCCAAAGUCAUACAUAUCAUAGAUUCAAGUAAAUAGCCGUUCCAUAGGCUCAUAACAACAUAAGAACAGAAAUCAAAGUGAUAACAAGUGCGGAAAUGUAACCUAGCAAAAGACAGAUUUGACGUGUGGUUGCGGAAAUAACACAUUCGAGGCUACGCUUAUCGGAUUGAGGCCAAAAUUAUACCGUUUCGAAGCUAAGACACAGGGCUACAAUGGUCAUGAAGAUCACUUAGUCCAGUUUCCAAUGCAACCUAGUCAAAUCCUCAAUUUACAGAACCAAAAUCUAACUAGUCGGCUAUUUAACCGCUCUGCACUGGAAUGGUCAUAUCUCAGGUUACCAAGGUCCGAUUAAGGUGUUCUUGGAGGCGUUUAAAAUCUAAGUCAGAAUACUAAAACUUUCAUGUUUUGGCAAAAAGCUAAAUCAGUACGGAUCCUAAUGAAUAAACGUGAUAAACUGGAUAAACUGACCAAACGGACUACUGGGAAAAACCUUAAAACAGUGAGGGUAUUUUGGUCUUUUCAUGGGCUGCAUUGCUCCGAUUGAGCUGAAAUUUUGUAGGCACCUAUAAAAUACCAUUCUAUACAACUUUAAUGUUUUAGGCCAAGCCUAAUUUGGCCUCUAACUAUGAGUAUUAAAAUCGGACAGAAUGUAAUCCUGAAAUUCCAGAAAUCUGGAAUUUUUGAAAUCUCAAGUCAAUCCUUCCAUUUUCUUGCUUCCAAUUCUACCAAAGCCCCUUAUCUACUCUUAUAUACAACAUAUACUAAAUAUAAAACAAGGUUAGGCAGAAAUUAAUCAAACCCUAGCUUGCAUAUCUCAUCCAAGAAUCAUCACAACAACUUGCUUAUCUUGUAAUCAAGCUAAAACAUGAUCUAAAUAACAUCUUAAAUCAAAAUUUAAAGGAGCAAGGAUCAUGAUCAGAUUUUUACCUCAAGAACAAGGCUUGGAAGAGUGAUACUCCACUUCCUUUGAAAUUUCUUAGUUCCUCUAGCCUUCCCACUCACCAACUAACACUUUAAUCGGUCUGGUUUCCUUUCUUUCUCACUUGGUUGAUCAAACUCAAGAUGAAAUGGUUGUUUUUCUUGUUUUUCUUGCUCUCCUUUUUCUCUCUCUCUCUCGGCUGUGAUGGUGCAGAAAUGAAGAGCUUUGGAGUUGGUUUUAGGGAUAAAUAUGAUGUAAAUUCAUUAGUCAACCAACCAAGGAAAGACUACCACUUGUUGCUUCAAGAUUGGUUCUUAAUUUUUUUCCUUUUCCUUGUUGUUUUUGGUCAAAAAAUUCGGCCAGCUUGCUCAGCUUUAUAGCUGAUGUUUGGCUCUAAUAUUAAAGAGAUUAAGUAUAUAAAAUAUGAUGGUCAAGUGGUGCGUUCAAUCGGUAGUGCACGGUACCCGUCGGUUCGCACCGUUUUUCUUAAAAACACAUGUACUAGGGUUUUUACUUCCUAUUCACCAACUCUAUAUCAUUGCUCCUAAUAACAUAUUAUUUCUCACUUAAAAGUCACUUUUAAUCACCAAAUUUGAUCCUUGCUCAGUACCGAAAAUUCAUCGGGCGAAAAAUCACAAAAACCCUAAUUUUGCUCCAAUCUUGAAACCAAAAGUGAAACCCUACUUUCUAGGUUUAGUUACACUUAUUGUGGAAAGAUUGGGUGGUAGGGCUUUAAUAAAUGAAUAAUUUCCAAAUAAAAGGAAAUUUUUAAGAAAAACGUGAGAGAUUUUACAAUUCUAGUAAUUAAAAUUAGGGUUUCAAUUAAAAUGUGAGAGAUUUAAGAAAACCGGUUAGUCACAAGUAAACUAGAGUUUUUGAUUAAAAUUUUAGGGUUUCUAAUCUUUUAAAACAAAAUAAGGUUUUAAAUCAAACCCAAAGAAAUACACUUUAGUAUCUUCUUUACAAACAACCUCCUAAUAUUCGGGGUGUCACAAUCUCCCCUCCUUAAAAGAAUUUCGUUCUCGAAAUUCAUACAUGCAUUUCGAAUAAUGUAGGGUAUUUUCCUUAUAUAUUCAUUUCCAACUCUCAGGUCUCAUUAUAGCCAAAACUUAGUUAAACAAUAGAAAUCACGAGUCAUACCUUCUACUAUCUCCGAUGGCUCGGGUAAUGCCUGUUGAUCCAAGGCGUAUACUCUAACUGGCACUCUUGGCUUAGUCCCUCCUACAUUUGCUUGUUCAGGGUUUAGGUGUGAUCUAUGGGGACAGGUUGCAAGCUGGUGUUCGGUACUACCACACCAUAAACAUUUUCCUGCUUUCCGCCAACAAUCAUUCUCCGUAUGAUUGACCUUUCCACAGUACCCACAAGAUACUUGAGGGGCUGAGGUCUGACCUCCUUGUGAGGCACCUCUUGCUUGGCCCCAGCCACGCGAAGCUCCUCUUGGAGUACUUUCCUUAGAUAUCCCUGAAAUUUUCUCACCACCAUCUCCUCGACCUAUCUUAGAGGGUGGCAUAUCGAAUUCACCUUGUCCUUGCCUAUGACUUCCACCAGGCGCACCUCUCCUUUUUGCAUGAAAAGCCCUCACUUGUGCCCUAGCAGUUUCUAUUCUUUGGGCCUUCUCCAAAACCUCCAUAAACGUGUUAAUCUGAGCUGCCGCUAAGACUUCUUGUAAUUCCACAUUUAGCCCUUGCACGAAUCUCUGUACUUUUCUUGGCUCCGUAGCAAUCAACUCAGGAGCAAAUUUUGACAAUUUUAUAAACUGAGUCUCAUACUCAGCUACACUCAACAUUCCCUGACGGAGUUUAAUGAAAUCGUCCUCUCGCUUCUCCUGGACGAUGGGUGGAAGGUAUUUUUCGUUAAACUCCCGUACGAAAUUUAACCAGGUCCAUGCAGUCGCCUCUCUCUCCCACUUGGCCCUCACUACGUUCCACCAAACCCUAGCUGGCCCCUCGUAUUGGAAAACAGCGAAUUGAACUUGCCUCUCCUCUGUAUAAUUUAAGGCAGCAAAAAUAUUAAUCAUGGCCUCUAGCCAUUUCUCGGCUCCGUCCGGGUCUGAUCCUCCUAAGAACUUGGGUGGAGAGAACUUCUGGAAUCUCUCUAAAGCCCUAUCUUGCCCCAUAUCGGGGUCCCUAGGUUGAUUUACAGGGGCUUGACCGUAUUGUUCCACUAAGCGGGCCAAAAUAUUGAUCAUUUGCCGAAUGGCAGUUGCCACUUGAUCUCCCCCUGCAGCUUGGGGUUCAGGUUGUGGCUCAAUCGUUGCCUCUCGCCCCUCUCUCGGUUCUGGCACCGGUUCCUGUGCUUGUCUACCCCCACGGCCACGACUAGGACCGCGUCCUCGGUUAGUUCCCCUGACUUGACUUCUUCUACCCUCCAUGUUUUGGAUUUAACCAACUAUAGACAUAUAAACAAAGUAAGGUAUGGCUCGUAUCGCACGUUGCAAAAGAUUAAUAGAGGUAAUAAAACACAUAAUAAACAAGUACUUUAUAUACAUAGCAAACAAAUCACAUAACCUAUAGGACAUUAACCCUAGGUAUUGCUCAGGCACUACACUUAAUCAAAACUCGAAGCACGUGAAUAAUAAGGAUCCCAAAUCCCAUGAAUAUCUUCAAUAUAUUUCAAGUCCAGACUAUUCGUAUUCCCGGUGCCUUUGCUUUCGCCAUCCAAACUUAUCCUAAUAUUACGCGAGAUCUCAACUUAUUGUCAAGGUAUCACUCUUUGGUACUUGGGGACAAGAAUCCGAAAAUAUGAUAAUUCACCACUCAAGCUGGCCAGGCUCAAGAGCAAAUCACUCUUAUUAGAGAUUCCUACCCAACAUACAUGUUUAAGGUCCCCAACAAUAGACAAUUGUUCCACACUUAACAAGUCAAUCCCCACAGUCCGAGAACCUUCUCCCGGCACGAGUUCGAUAGGAGCUCUGAUACCAUCUGUGACGAUCCCACCUACCCCUAAGGCGUACCAGAGGGUUCGGCGGACCGCCUACCCAACUCUCGCCAGGACUCACUCACUAUCUAAAACGACUCGCGUGCGUACAUCCAAGAACCAUGAAUAACAUCCACAAUUCAAACUUAUAAUUUACAUUAAUACAAUUCAAGGUACAAGGUCUCAAUAUACCAAACUAGUUCAAAGGGUAUACAAACCAAAUACAAAACAUUCUAUUCGAGGAAUAGCGCGAGUACAAGACAAAAAUCAAAAGUCAAACGACUAGGGUACGCUAGCCUUUACACGUCUCACGCCUCGCUCGUACCCCCUGUAAGGAAAACAAAUAGCGUGGAAUGAGCUAAAAGCCCAGUGAGGUUCCAAAUAACAAAUUGUCCAUUUGAAAAGUACAAGUUUUCGAUAUAGCAAAGUAACGAGCAUGAAGAGUUCAUAAAAGUGAGUCAUAACACGUCAAGCAGCAAUCUCAAAAUGAGCAAGUGUAAAGGUUUUUCAGAAGAGUCAAUAAUCCAAUAAGCAAUAAUCAUUCCAAACUAUAAGGAUACGGACGGCUCUCAGGAGCCAAAUUCCCAUUGCAUUACCAAAAACUUGAUCACGUAGUAGUUGACACUCCAUCAACUUUCAAGUAAAGGAACUAAUCCAGUAGAGCACCACUUACGCUACUCUCCGUCCACCAUUCAAACCCCCUACUGGGCCCAAAAUCCUCAAGAAACACGGGUGGUAUUACUCGAGUAUACCGAUUAGUCGAGAAGGUAUCACUCCACUCGCCAAUCAAGAGACCCAGGGUUCGUUACCCAAUCGACCAAACCCUUGCCGGCUCGACUCGAGUAACUUGCCGCAGGAUUUUUGGAAUUCCAGGAAGUGCGCACAUCAUAAUCAAGUAUAUCAAAUCACUUUCAACAAUAAACAAUUAUAUAUCACGUGAGGGCAACUGCGAUAAAGUACACUCUUGCCCUAACAAUUCACGUAUAUAACAUGUAAUCACAUUGAUCACGUAUCAAGUACAAGUAUCAAGUUUAAUUCAGUAUUUGAAAUCAAUUCGGUAUUUGAAAGCACUCACCAAAAGAUAUAGUGCCUUACUGGUCACUUUCAGGUUGUACUCCGGGUUCGGAGUCCAAAUUUGCGAUAAAACUCAAUUUGAGAACUUUGAAACAUGACUAAGAUUCGAAACUUAGACGUUUCGUUCAAUAAGAAUCAAGAAAUGGAAAUUCACUCGGAUAGUAGUCGUGAAACACUUGCUCGCUUUUUAAACAGUAAAACUUUGUAACAUUUAUACUUGAAAUUGUCAUGCGAGUUGAAAGUACAAGGAAAACAUACUUCGAGCAAUCAUUAUUUCAUUUCUCAAGGGUACAAGUUCGGCCAAAUCCUUACUUAUAUACCUCGGAACAAGAAGACUCAAGUAUCCUAGAUGGUUCAAGUAGUAAUCACUCUUAACCCUUAUUCAAGUUGCAAGUAUAGUUCUCUAGUCCUCGAGCGUAAAUUUGGACAGCAUGCCCUUUGUGUUUACCUAAUUUCCAGCCAUUAUGGCUUCAUUCUUUUACUCAAUCCAACCCAAAGUCAUACAUAUCAUAGAUUCAAGUAAAUAGCCGUUCCAUAGGCUCAUAACAACAUAAGAACAGAAAUCAAAGUGAUAACAAGUGCGGAAAUGUAACCUAGCAAAAGACAGAUUUGACGUGUGGUUGCGGAAAUAACACAUUCGAGGCUACGCUUAUCGGAUUGAGGCCAAAAUUAUACCGUUUCGAAGCUAAGACACAGGGCUACAAUGGUCAUGAAGAUCACUUAGUCCAGUUUCCAAUGCAACCUAGUCAAAUCCUCAAUUUACAGAACCAAAAUCUAACUAGUCGGCUAUUUAACCGCUCUGCACUGGAAUGGUCAUAUCUCAGGUUACCAAGGUCCGAUUAAGGUGUUCUUGGAGGCGUUUAAAAUCUAAGUCAGAAUACUAAAACUUUCAUGUUUUGGCAAAAAGCUAAAUCAGUACGGAUCCUAAUGAAUAAACGUUAUAAACUGGAUAAACUGACCAAACGGACUACUGGGAAAAACCUUAAAACAGUGAGGGUAUUUUGGUCUUUUCAUGGGCUGCAUUGCUCCGAUUGAGCUGAAAUUUUGUAGGCACCUAUAAAAUACCAUUCUAUACAACUUUAAUGUUUUAGGCCAAGCCUAAUUUGGCCUCUAACUAUGAGUAUUAAAAUCGGACAGAAUGUAAUCCUGAAAUUCCAGAAAUCUGGAAUUUUUGAAAUCUCAAGUCAAUCCUUCCAUUUUCUUGCUUCCAAUUCUACCAAAGCCCCUUAUCUACUCUUAUAUACAACAUAUACUAAAUAUAAAACAAGGUUAGGCAGAAAUUAAUCAAACCCUAGCUUGCAUAUCUCAUCCAAGAAUCAUCACAACAACUUGCUUAUCUUGUAAUCAAGCUAAAACAUGAUCUAAAUAACAUCUUAAAUCAAAAUUUAAAGGAGCAAGGAUCAUGAUCAGAUUUUUACCUCAAGAACAAGGCUUGGAAGAGUGAUACUCCACUUCCUUUGAAAUUUCUUAGUUCCUCUAGCCUUCCCACUCACCAACUAACACUUUAAUCGGUCUGGUUUCCUUUCUUUCUCACUUGGUUGAUCAAACUCAAGAUGAAAUGGUUGUUUUUCUUGUUUUUCUUGCUCUCCUUUUUCUCUCUCUCUCUCGGCUGUGAUGGUGCAGAAAUGAAGAGCUUUGGAGUUGGUUUUAGGGAUAAAUAUGAUGUAAAUUCAUUAGUCAACCAACCAAGGAAAGACUACCACUUGUUGCUUCAAGAUUGGUUCUUAAUUUUUUUCCUUUUCCUUGUUGUUUUUGGUCAAAAAAUUCGGCCAGCUUGCUCAGCUUUAUAGCUGAUGUUUGGCUCUAAUAUUAAAGAGAUUAAGUAUAUAAAAUAUGAUGGUCAAGUGGUGCGUUCAAUCGGUAGUGCACGGUACCCGUCGGUUCGCACCGUUUUUCUUAAAAACACAUGUACUAGGGUUUUUACUUCCUAUUCACCAACUCUAUAUCAUUGCUCCUAAUAACAUAUUAUUUCUCACUUAAAAGUCACUUUUAAUCACCAAAUUUGAUCCUUGCUCAGUACCGAAAAUUCAUCGGGCGAAAAAUCACAAAAACCCUAAUUUUGCUCCAAUCUUGAAACCAAAAGUGAAACCCUACUUUCUAGGUUUAGUUGCACUUAUUGUGGAAAGAUUGGGUGGUAGGGCUUUAAUAAAUGAAUAAUUUCCAAAUAAAAGGAAAUUUUUAAGAAAAAUGUGAGAGAUUUUACAAUUCCAGUAAUUAAAAUUAGGGUUUCAAUUAAAAUGUGAGAGAUUUAAGAAAACCGGUUAGUCACAAGUAAACUAGGGUUUUUGAUUAAAAUUUUAGGGUUUCUAAUCUUUUAAAACAAAAUAAGGUUUUAAAUCAAACCCAAAGAAAUACACUUUAGUAUCUUCUUUACAAACAACCUCCUAAUAUUCGGGGUGUCACAUAAUUAAGUGCAAGCCUUAUUUUUAGAAGUUCUAAACCUUUUGCUUUUUCAUCUAAAGCAACCACAAAUGUUUAAUUUUGAUUUUCAAAAGUUUAUUCUAUUGACAAGUUUUUUUUUUAUAUUAUCAAUAACUGUAACCUAGUCUAAAACCAUUCUUUUGGUUCUCCUAAUCAUUGCAGUAGAACUAGUUAAAUUCACUAUAUUCAUUAACACAAAACAAAAACAUUGAAGUUUAUCUAGUUGAAAAAUAGAGAAGUAAUUGUCAAUUUUAUUUAAUCUAAAAUGACAAUUUAUUGGACUAAUUAGGGAAGGGUAACUAAAUUUUAAACCAAUGGAGGCAAGAAAAUUAUAGUUAUUAUAAAUGUUAUCUAAUGACAUCCAAGAUCCAAAUUCACUUUAUAUAUAUAUAUUAAAUGCACAAAAUGAAAGUUUCAUCUUUGAAUGAAUAUAUAAAAAAAAGUUAUAACCAGGAAAAUCUAAAAGUCAAUUUUUGUCUUCCAUCAAAACGAAACAUAGAAAAACAAAAAAUUUGCGUAAUAGCUAAACUGAAUGCUGGAGCCUUGGGUUGAUGAAUUAAUGAAACAUUGCAAAUAAAAUUAUCUUAGCACAAAAUUUUGUAUAGAAAUUUACAAGACGAAAAUCAAGAAGUUACACAGGAUAGAAUAUGGAAUUUGUUUGGCUGUCAUUUUAAGGGAAAAAGAAUAAUUAAAAGAAAAAAAGACAAUAGGUAAUGGUGGGAUGGUGGGAUGGUGGGUCUUUCAAUUGUUUUGACUUGGGGUUUCUGUUAUAGGAUUGGAUAACUAAAUUGGAAUUGGGCAUUCUGAUUUUUCAUCGAAGUAGUACACAUGGUGGAAUUUUCAGUGCUACAUGAAUUUGGUUUUGGAUGGGAAUCAGAGUUGGACUUUUUUUUUUUAUUAGUACGAGACAUAUGCAUAAAUGUUAGGGGGACAGACUUCUUGUUGUUUUAAACUUUAAGAAUAAUUUGUAAGUAAAACUUUAAAAAAAAAGAAUAAUUUAUAAGUACAGUGUUGUUUCCGAGGAGAAAACAUUGCUUGUUGGAGUCAAGACUUCAACUAUGCCGUUCUAUUUCAGAUGAUUAUGCCAUAGUGUCUAAUUUAAAUUUAGAUCAAAGUGUUAUUUCAAAAUGGGUUUUUUGUAACCGGUGUCAAAAGGCCACUGUUGUAAAACUAAUAAAAUAAACCACUAUAAUAUCAAGUGAACUAUUGGAGAAAGAUGUAGAGAAAUGGAGAGUGAUAUUCUUAUUAUUCCAACUAAUACAAAAGUCUUCACAAAGGAUGUCAAUGUACCUCUAUAUAUAGGUACUACAAGAUUAAAGGUAUAUCAAUUCUAUUAAACACUCACUACUAUAAGAAUAUGAAGAAACCUAUGAAACGGUUUCUCCACUACAUGAAUAGAUUUAUGGAUUGUAACUUCUAUACAUAAUAUAGCCAUAAAUCAUGAAUUAAUCCUCUUGGGAAUACAAAGGGACAUCCACACUUUUAAUUAUUUCAUAACACUCCCCCUUGGAUGUCCAUUACACAAAGAAUAUGUCUCGUUAAAACCUUACUAGGGAAAAACCCAUCGGGACAAAAAUCCUAGUGAAGGAAAAAGAGUACACUAUUCUUGUGUAUUAAUUAAGAUGUCAACAAAUAUCCCAUGAUUAUUUAGAUAUUUUUAUGAUGCUUUAUCUUUUAUGUAAUUUUUCUUUCUAUUGAAUAUUUAUUUUCGCAUCUUUAUUAAUAUUUUUGUUUGAAAUUUUCUUCCUGAAGAAGAAAUGGAUGUCAAAUAUUUGGGAUUAAAUAAUGGUGAUGAUGAUAUUUGUCUCAUUGAUAGUGCUACUACGCACACCAUAUUGAAAAAUAAAAAAUGUUUUUCUGUUUAAAAAUGGGAGAGACAAACGUUAAUACCAUUAGUGGUAGUGCAAAAUUGAUUGAAGGCUCCGGAAGAGCCACUAUAUUUCUCCCUGAAGGGACAAAAAUUAUUGUAAAUAAUGCACUAUUCACUCCCAAGUCUCGAAGAAACUUGUUGAGUUUUAAAGAUAUCCGCGAAAAUGGAUAUCAUAUCGAGACAAUGACUGAGACAAAUGGUGAAUUUUUAUUAAUCACAAGUAUCAUUUAUGGGAAAAAAUGCGAAAUAGAAAAAUUACCUUCUUUUUCUUCUGGCUUAUAUUAUGCACAAAUUAGUGCAAUUGAAAUUCAUCACCUAGUAGACCAGAAGUCUACUCAUCCCAAUGAUUUUAUGGUUUGGCAUGAUCGUCUCGGACAUCCCGGAUCUAUAAUGAUGAGACGAAUAAUUGAGAAUUCACAUGGCCACUCAUUGAAAAAUCAAAAAGUAUUAAAAGCCAAUGAAUUCUCUUGUGUUGCUUGUUCUCAAGGGAAAUUAAUUAUUAGACCAUCACAAGUUAAAGUUGGGACUGAAUCCCCUGCAUUUCUAGAACGAAUUCAUGGUGAUAUAUGUGGGCCUGUAGAUCCACCAUGUGGACCAUUUCGAUAUUUUAUGGUGCUAAUUGAUGCAUCAACUAGAUGGUCACAUGUAUGUUUAUUAUCUACUCGCAACUUGGCAUUUGCGAGAUUGCUUGCUCAAAUAAUUAAAUUGCGAGCACAAUUUUCAGAUUAUCCAAUAAAGAAAAUUCGUCUAGAUAAUGCUGGUGAAUAUUCGUCACAUGCUUUUGACGAUUAUUGUAUGUCCAUUGGAAUAACUGUUGAACAUCCUGUAGCUUAUGUUCACAUACAAAAUGGUCUAGCCGAAUCACUUAUUAAACGGCUACAAUUAAUUGCUAGACCAUUGUUGAUGAGGUCUAAACUUCCUUCAUCUGCUUCGGGACAUGCUAUUUUACAUGCAGCAACACUUGUGAGAAUUAGGCCGACAAAUUAUCAUACUUAUUCUCCCCUACAAUUAACUUUUGGUUAUGAGCCAAAUAUUUCUCAUUUACGAAUAUUUGGUUGUGCGGUGUAUGUCCCAAUUGCACCGCCCCAACGUCGUAAAUUGGACUCACUGGCUAAAAGAAAAGUUUAUCAUAAAUAAAGCACUACUUUUUAUCAUGUCUCGGAAAAUUUAUUGAAUUUGAAUAUCCAUUGAAAUGGAUAUCAAAUUGAGACACUAAAUGAGACAAUAAUAGAGAUCAUGUUUAGAAAUCAAAUGAGAUAAAUGUUAAUUAUAUCAUAAUAACCAUUCGAGAGAGAAAUAGUUAUCGAUAUAGUUGUCUUCAUUCUUAUUUGAUUUAUAAUUAUCACCUGCAGUAAACCAGAAGUUUAUUGAUCCCAAUGGAUAUAUGAUUUGACAAAAGUGAUAAUAUUUGAGAGCCAACAAGUGUUUAUACAUACCCCCUUGAUAUUAUAUAUGGCUCCAAAAGAAAUUUAAAAUUUAUGUCGGGUAUGAAUCACCUUUUACGAUUAAAUAUCGUAAAAUAUUGAUGAGUGAUCUAUUGAAUGAUUUAUUUAUUCUGAUGAACUACGAUUCCCGACAUUAGGGGGAGGAAAAAAUCAACCGAAAGGAAAUCAUCUGAAAAAUUGAAUUUUCUCGAUCCUCAUACAAAAUAAUGUGAACUAGAACUUCAAGAAAUUCUUCAUUUGUAGAAAGUUAUAUUUAUCGACUCCAGAAGAGUCAUUAAAUCAACUAUUCCUGCAGGAAAUACUCUAGCUAAAAUUGAUGUCCCUGAAGGACAUGCACAAGUGCUACAAAUAAAUUUAAGGCCGGCCUACCUAAACAAAAUAUAAAUUGAUUUGAAAUAUCUUCGGAGAUUAAAUGUCAUGACAAAAUUCAACCUCUUGAAGAGGUUGCUCCUGAAGAGCCAACUCCUGAAGAGAAUGAAAUCAUAGAAAAUUUAAUUGGAGCCUAAUGAAAUGUAGCACUUGAUAUUAUAGAAGUUGAUGAGAAUCAUAAAUCUAAAUCGGUUGAUGAAUGUCGGUAUAGAAAUGAUUGUUCAAAGUGGAAAGAUACGAUCCAAUCUAAAUUGGAUUUAUUGGUUAAAAGAAAAGUUUUGGACUUGUAGUCCAAACACUUGAAGGUGUAAAGCUAGUAGAAGAUAAAUGGGUAUUUGUGAGAAAAAGAAAUGAGAAAAAUAAAAUUGUGAGGUAUAAGGCAAGACUUGGACCUCAAGAAUUUUCACAAAGUGGAUGCUAUCACAUUUAAAUAUCUUGUGAGUUUUACAGUACAUGAAAAAUUAGAUAUGCGUCUAAUGGACGUCGUUACUGCAUAUUUAUAUGGGAAUUUUGAAAAUGAUAUUUAUAUGAGAAUCCGCGAAGGAUUCAACAUGCCUGAAGCAUGCAAAUCAAAUUCUAAAAAUAUUUAUUCUAUUACAUUACAAAGGUCUCUGUAUGGGUUCAAACAAUCUGGACGUAUGUGGUAUAACCGCCUCAAUAAAUGUCUGACUAAAGAAGGUUAUACCAAUGAUCCAAUAUGUCCAUGCGUUUUUAUCAAGAAAAAUGGAUCAAAUUUUGUGAUAAUUGCUGUAUAUGUUGAUGAUCUAAAUUUUAUUGGAACUCCUGAAGAGAUUCAAAAUAAUGUUCAAUAUUUGAAGAAGGAAUUUGAUAUCAAAGAAUUUUGGAAAAACAAAAUUCUACCUUGAUUUACAAAUUGAGCAUUUGAGAGGUAGAAUUUUUGUUCACCAAACUGCAUAUACCCGGAAGGUAUUAAAGCAGUUUUAUAUGGAUAAGGCACAUAUAUUAAGUAUUCCAAUGAUCGUCAGAUCAUUAGAUCCUAAUAAAAAUUCUUUUAGACCGCGAGAGGAAGAUGGAGAGAUACUUGGUCCUGAAGUAUCAUAUCUCAGUGCAAUUGGUGAAGCAUGUUGAAAUGCGACGAUUAAAAGAUCUCAAAUGAUGUUUGCAUCAGGAGGAGAAAUUAAUACACAAGAAUAGUGUACUCUUUUUCCUUCACUAGGAUUUUUGUCCCGAUGGAUUUUUCCCUAGUAAGGUUUUAACGAGGCAUAUUCUUUGUGUAAUGGACAUCCAAGGGGGAGUGUUAUGAAACAAUUAAAAGUGUGGAUGUUUCUUUGUAUUCCCAAGAGGAUUAAUUCAUGAUUUAUGGCUAUAUUAUGUAUAGAAGUUACAAUCCAUAAAUCUAUUCAUGUAGUGGAGAAACCGUUUCAUAGGUUUCUUCAUAUUCUUAUAGUAGUGAGUGUUUAAUAGAAUUGAUGUACCUUUAAUCUUGUAGUACCUAUAUAUAGAGGUACAUUGACACCCCUCGAUGUUGCUGCUGCAGGAGCAUGUUAGAGACAUGAAAAGUAGAAAAUGUUUUCUCUAACAUAUCUUCAUCAGUGACUUUUCCGCCACAUAAUGAUAAUUGAGAAGUGAUUCUGAACAUGGCUGAAUUAUAUUCGUUGACAGAUUUAAAAUCUUGCAGCCGUAGGUGAAGCCAAUCAUAUCGGGUUUUUGGAAGAACGACCAACUUCAGGUGGUCGAAUCUUUCUUUCAAAUCUUGCCAAAGGACAAGAGGAUCUUUGACAGUAAGAUACUCUAUUUUUAAUCCUUCAUCUAAAUGAUGACGAAGGAAAAUCAUAGCUUUGGCACGGUCUUGGUUUGAGGAUUCAUUUUUUUCCACAAUAGUAUUACCAAGACCCAUUGCCUCAAGAUGGAUUUCAACAUCCAAUACCCAUGAUAAAUAAUUUUUUUCAGAAAUAUCAAGAGGUACAAACUCUUGUUUUGUAAGAUUAGCCAUAAGAAAUUGAAAUAAGUUUUUGAGUUAGAAAUUUACCUUAGAAUUUUCUUGAGCAGAAUUUCGAUAAAAUCUAGUGCUUCACUUUGUUCAAUGUAGAGCCUCCGUUUUACCCUUUUGCUCAAAAGUAGAGUCUCGUGCUAAUAACGUGUUGUAAAACUAAUAAAAUAAACCACUAUAAUAUCAAGUGAACUAUUGGAGAAAGAUGUAGAGAAAUGGAGAGUGAUAUUCUUAUUAUUCCAACUAAUACAAAAGUCUUCACAAAGGGUGUCAAUGUACCUCUAUAUAUAGGUACUACAAGAUUAAAGGUAUAUCAAUUCUAUUAAACACUCACUACUAUAAGAAUAUGAAGAAACCUAUGAAACGGUUUCUCCACUACAUGAAUAGAUUUAUGGAUUGUAACUUCUAUACAUAAUAUAGCCAUAAAUCAUGAAUUAAUCCUCUUGGGAAUACAAAGGGACAUCCACACUUUUAAUUGUUUCAUAAUAGCCACUUAUUAAUGAAACUAUAUUUCAUUCAAUCUAUCAUAGGGAAAAAUGCACUUUUCAUCCUCAAAGUUUGGGUUCUUGACCAAUUUCAUCUCAAAAUUUCACCCAAAACACAUUUCAUCCUCAAAGAUCCGUAAUUUUGGAAAUUAAGGACAAUUGACGGAAAUUUGCAUGUGAGCCGUUAGAACCAACUUUAAACCCAAUAAAAAAUGGGUAAAACCGAAUGGAGCCAUUUUUUAAUGGAACAAUAAUUUGCAACGGACGAAAACUAACAUUCUUCUCCUUCUUCCCUCUCCUUCAUUAUGAUCCACACACACUGCACUAUCCUUUCUUCCUUCCUCUCUUUGCUCUUUUUCUCUCAGAGAGUGAGAGAGGGCGAAGAGGAAAUGAGUUUUGGCGAUUUUUCCGUUCUUUUCUUUCUCCGCACCCAUCUCACCUCCCUCUGUUGCUCACGCCUCACGCCUCAUGCCUAAUGAUCCACGACCCUUUUAGUACCCUCAUGCCUAAUGCCUCAUGCCUAAUGCUCACGCUAUUAUCUCUAUCGCUACAUUAAAAGCUAGCUAACAAGCUGUAGAUGGAUUGGUGAAGGAAUUAAAGAAGUGCGGUUUUGGGGCCAUGGAAAAUGGGCUCUUACUGGAAGAGUUUUCACCAACUCUGCCGACCCUUUCGCAAGAAGGGCGCAUGGUCAGUGUAGCCGUUGGCAAUUGCAUGUACAAGAGCUACGCUAGUUUUAGCGCUUUCAAUUCUUGUAGCUCCUUCUCCAGCCUCCUGUUCUCGUCCGUCAGCGUCUCGUAGCAUUUCUUCAAGAACUCGCAGUCUACUUCCGUUUGCUUAAGGUUCGUCCUGCGUAUAGCCAAGAAAAAGCCCCCCUCUAUUAUUUCAAAUGGACAAAAUUUAUGCAUAUCUCAAAAAACCGGCUCGCACGAUCGAUUCUGUUUUUCCUCAACAUUGUUAAUCUUCGGGGAUGAGGGAUGAAGAAGCAAGUACCUGGCUCUUCUGUUCUGAAACCACACCUCAACUUGUCAAGGCCUUAAAUUCAGUUCCCUCGCCAAAUCUUGCUUUUGCUUCUGCAAAAUCAGCAAAUAUGUAUGUAUAUACACACGAUUUAAUUUGCCCUGUGAAAUGAUUGUUCAAAUGUUAAAAAAGAGAGCAAGGAAUGUUAUACUAUUACGUGUGAAAAUAAAUCAACUAGCCAGCCACAGAGAGAGAGAGAGAGAGAGAGAGAGAUGUUAUCGGAUUGCUAUGCUGCUUGAAGCUCUCUUCCAAAAGAGCAGACUGAGCUUUUGUGAGGCAAAGCUUCUUUCUUCCAUUAGAACCAUCAUCAUCUUCAUCACUUACUCUUAAGGAAACUGUCUCGAUCUCCACCUCUUCGCUGCUACCGAGCUCUCUCUCCCUCUUCACGCUAUUGUUGGAAAAGGAUGACGCAGCACUAUCUUGACGAUGCAAGUCAGCAGCAGAAGGUGGAGGCUCAUUAUUGGAGGCCUUAUUAGCAGAGUGAGUGAGAGGAAGAAGGAAACAUUUGUCUAUAUUUGCAGCAGAGUUUGACAUCCAUUCUUUCAUGUCAUCAACAGAUUUCGCGACCUUAAAGAUUUUGUCAUCAGAUUCGACUCCCAUUGCUGUCACAGACGCGUUUACAAGCCUUGAAGAAUCCUUGAACAAGACAUUGCAGUCUUUCAAAGCUGUCAAAGUUCUUGAAUCUUUGACCUCAGAGAUUGCCUUUUCAUUAGCUGAAAUCAAGUCCUCUAGUUGAUUGAUAGCAGCACGGAGAGAGAGGGUGAAAAUUCUUGAUGGGGUGGUCUUGAUCUCACCUAAAUCGGUGGAGAAAUUCGUGCGGAGGCACCAUAUAGAGUCGAAACAUGAGGUUGGUUUUGGAGUCAGAUUGCAGAUGGCGUGAAUUGCUCUAUCUGGAGUUGAAGCGGAGAGUAACUUAGACUCUUUUUCUUGUAUAAGAGCUAUGGAAACUGUGAUGAUUGAACCGAUGAUAACCGUGAAUAAGACGAUGAAAAAGACGUAGCUUCUUAUCUUCCUUUUCUGUCUCGAAGCUUGAUCUUCCAUCAGCUGCCUAUCCUUAUUGGUGACUGAGUUCAUAUAUGAUUUCCACACUUUCUUAUGGCAUUUGUUUGAGAAUAAGGAGAUGAUUCUUGUCGAGUGGGGAUAUGGAGUGGAAAAGAUAUAGUAGCUGCUUGAUUAUCUUCCAAACAGACAAGUAUAGAUACUGUGCAAGUUUUGUGGAAAUAGUCAAGUCAAUUCUGGCCUCAUCUAUUAUAAGUCUCCGAGCCAAUGAAACAAGAAGUCAAACUUUGGGAAAUUUUUAACCACGAUCUAAGACCAACACGCAAGUAAUUAUGAAAGUGGCUCCAUUCUAUUUGACCCCUUUUUGGUUGAGUAUAGAGUUGGAUUUGACAGAUAGUACUUCUCACGUGCAAAGUUCCGUUCAAAUUAAAUAGCUAUCCUUAAUUUCCCGUCAAUUGUCCUUGAUUGACUAAAAUUACGGAUCUUUGAGGAUGAAAUGUGUUUUUGGUGAAACUUUGAGGUAAAUUAGUCAAGAACCCAAACUUUGAGGAUGAAAAGUGCAUUUUUCCCAUCUAUCAUAUAUAAACAUACAUUAAUAAUCAUUAUCCAUCAAAUAGACCGAUUUUAAAUAAGGACCCUACAAUACUUGCUCUAUGAUAAGGAAGACAAAAAAAACAGGGGAAAUAUUUAUUAUUUUUGUUUCAUUUAUCUUUACAUUAAGAUUUUUUUAUUUGAUGCUUAAAGCGCCAAAUAAGCAUAUAGAAAAAGGAAAGCGGCCCACCAUUAAACCUUUAAAAUUACCAACACUUUAGCAAACAAAUUACCCUUCUGAAAAAAAAAAAGGAGACCCACUCCUUAUUUGGUGCUUUAAGAGCACAAAAUAUAAGCCCAAAAGUUAAGACAGCAUUUAAAUCAGUAACUAAUCUAAUCCAAUUUUAUUAGUUGAUGUCUAAUUUGAUAUUUAAAUGACAUUUACAUAUCUUAACUAAGGUGUAUAUCAGGAUCAUCAGGAUCAUCAUGAUUUGAGACUUUUUAGGCAUCCAAUUAUGUAUUGCAACCUAACUUCCUUUUUAAGUGUUCUACUGUUACACUAAUACGCCAUCACCUAUAAUAUCUGGACACCAAUUUGAGUUAAAAAGUUUUAAAAAAAUGAUGAAAUACGGAGUCCUCCUUAAAGUGCCAAUAUUUUUUCCUGCCAAUCACAACAUCACAAUUCCCUGGCCUUUCCCUACCCAGAAAAAUAAAGAGUGAAAUGAAGGAAAGAAAAAUCCAAGAUGAAGAAUAAGAAAUAUUUUGUUGAUCUGCCAUUAUCUCUCAUACACUUGCUAAGAUAUUCACUUGUAUAAUUUUGGGUUGAUAAUUUUGUAUUUUUUAAUAUCAACUUCCAUACUCUAAAUUUCAUCUAUGCAUUUGGGGAUUUCAUAGAAUUUUAUAUACCUUUAAAUUCUCAAGAUUUCUAGGUUAUUUGUGAUUAUUUAUGUAGCAGAAUAAUUCACAGAUGUAGUUAUUCACUUGAAAAAUUUCAUAUGCUAAAUGUGAAGAUUGUAUAAAUGCAUCAACUAUCCUUUUUCUUUUUUGCGUAAUCAUUGAUAGUUGGGAUAGCCAUCAUAUUUACACAAUUAUAUGAAUGGUUUUUUCUUUGCUUAAAGAAAAGGGAAAAAGAUUGGCUAAGUUACAUUAAAAAGAAGAAUAGAAAAAGGUAAGUGCAAUAAAGAAAAAGAAAAAAAAUUGGGUAAAUUACUUUGAACAAAAAAAGAAAAAAGAAAAGAAGGAAUAACAAAUAUGAAGAUUGUAUGAAUGCAACUACAUUGUUAUUACAAUAGAAUACUUAAGGAAGCUUAGGUGAUAAUAAAUCAUUGAAUGUUGAUUGAAUUUUGAAAAGGUCCCAAAUCAGGAUGAAUCUGAUAUACUUUAAACUCCUUUAACUAAUAACUCACUCCAAGAAUUGUGAACCAAGAGAGCCUUUAUAUUGGUUUUGUUACCAAAUGUAUACAUGAGUUUGUUUGGAUAGUGUGAACCAUUGUAAACCUGGGCUAUCCUGCAUAAAUCAUUGGUACAAUGAUAUAAUUGAUAGACUUAGUUUGGAAGCCAACUUUGCUAUGUACAAAUGAUAAAAGUUCAAGACAUACUGUUUGUUCGAUCAGAUGGCGAUUAAUGUUCAUAAAUAAAAUUUCUCUUCUAUUUUAAAAAAUAUCUAAAGAGCGACAACAACUUGCAUUUUCUUUCAAGCACAUCCUUAUACCCCUAAGGUGGAAGAAGUCAAUUAGUGUGAAGAAGCAAACAUUGAAACGAUCCCCUAAUUUCCAACAAUAGUGGGCAAAUUUCGAUACCUUCCUGGUAAAUGAAUCAUGCUUCAAAAUCUACAACAUAAUGCUGAUGAUGAACUUGAUAUUUUCUUCCCGAAUUGGCCUAUUUCUUCCUUCAUCUGGGAUAUGGUUCAGUAAUUGAUGCCUCAUUGACAGAGCUUGGAGCUGAAAUUCUUUGAGCGUUGGAUUGAUCAACUUUCAGCUCGUCUACCCUGCUCUCCGAUCCAUGGCUCCGGAAAACUGCCGGACGAUGUGGAGUUGGUAGGGGAACAGAACUAGGAUUGAGCAUGCAGACCACAGAAGCCAUUGUUGGUCUUUUAAUGACAUCUUCUUCAACACAUAGUAAGCCAACUUGGAUGCAUUGAAUGACUUCAUUUCUGGCAUAAGAAUCUCCAAUGCUUGAAUCCAAAAGAGCUAAAGUUUGGCCGCGUCUCCAAUGGUUCCAAGCCUUUUCGAAAUAAUCCCACUCAUAAGGUGUUCAUUCUUAAAAACUUCAAUUAGCUUAAAUAGAUAUACAGGUAAUGUCAAUAUUCACAAUAAGCAAUAGUCAAUACUCUCUAUUUCAAGUUUAAUCACAUAAAAAGAUGGAUUAAUCUUUCUUACACUACACAGUAUAUACAUUGUUGUCAGCGUUGGAUGAACAACAAUUAUAUAAAAUUUGAAUUUUAAAUUCAACUUUUGCAUACAUGUCAUAAAUCCAACGGUGAUAGUGUAUACACUGUCUAAUAUAUAAGAUUUAUUCAUAAAAGAUUUCGAAUCACAAUCUUUUUUCCCAUCAUUGUAGUUAAGUAUAACCUGAGAAAGAAGUACAAUGGUCUUUACUGAAAUUUACAAGUACUCUACUUUGAGUGUGUGACAACGUACAAAUGAGAGAAAGAAUAGCAAUUAUGACAAAUCUUGCAUCCGACAUCUAAAAAUUUCCAUGAGAAGCACAUAAACAGAAAUACGUAUUUAUUUAGGGCAGGUAGUUCAUAAAUUAUCAUGCCAUUUUGGUCUGGUUCACACAAAAUGUUGACCUUUAUGCUUUGCUUCAUCCCACAUCGGCCAAACGGAAGGAAAGGCUCCUUUGGAGAGCCUAUAAUAGAAGGGCCGAUUGAAGGUUUUAAAUGUACCAAACCAAGAGAGCAUUAAUGGGUUAUUUGGGUCUUUGGGUCAUUAAGCCUUUUGAAGUAGAAAUACUUUGGACUCUCUUAUGUUUUAGUAUUAGGUACCUCUUUGGCCUAGGAACCAUUUUUUUACGGCUUUUGUAUAUCUUCUUCAUAGUAGAAAUAUUGUUCCUCUUCCGCCCGUAGACGUAGGACAAUUUGACCGAACCACGUAAAUUUCUGUAUCUUUUAUUUUGCUUUGUUAUUUGUCUUUAUUGGGUUGCCACAACCCUUUUAUAUGAUCGGUUUUACCGCCUAAGUAUUAUAUGGCUGGUGUCUACCGCCUAAAUAUUAUAUGGUCGGUUAUAUUGUCUAAUAAGCAAACAGACUUAAUUCAUUUGUUCAAACAAAUCUGAAGUGUUUGUAAUAUUAAUCAAUCUACUUUACCACUUGUUUCCAGUGCCAUAGCAACAUAACUCUUCCGCAAUCUUCUUUUCAGGAAAACUAAAGCCAUGAUAAAUAGCACGACAGCAACCCCAAUUAAUGGGACAGCAAUCCGUAGGGGGCUUCGCCCUUUGCCUGGAUGAAAGUUAGUUUAAUUUAGCUUCGAAAGUCAGCUGAUCAUAGGAGAUCAAGUUUAUUAAACUUCGAGGUAGAGUCACUCUGAGACAGCCUUACAUAGACAAAAAGCUAGAGUUGAGAUCCUCUCUAUUACUUUCUCACUUAUGUGCCUAAAUUUUUCAUAACAAUCUAUUUAUGUCAAUAAUUUUACUUCCACAAGUAGAUCAACAUACUUAAAAUUCAUUCUCACUUAUGAAUUUUUUGUCAUUCAAUUUGUACAAAACACUUUGACGGUGCAAUAUGGGUCAAAAUUAUAUUAAAAAAAAUGUAAAGUUUGAUCCAAUAGUAAAAUUUAAUCAAUUUAAUUCAAAUUUUUUAAUAUACUUUAAACAACACCAGAAAUAUAAUUUGGAUGACCUUUUAUUUCAAACAUAGUAUUAUAACCAUGUUUACUUAGGUGUAAUGGAGAAAAAAUUUUCUUCAAUUAAUGGAGAAGAGCCUAACCCAAAAAGCUAUGCAAAAACACAUUAUUUGAAAGAAUUUUUUUUUCAAAUAUUCUUUAAAAGUUUUUCACUACCUUUUGGUAUCACAUGCUUCAUGUUGAUGGUAAAUGAAGAGAGAUUUUCAUCAUCAAUUUUCAAUAUUAUGGAUUAAUAUUAAGAAACUCCCCUGAGGUUUGAACAUACACAAGCUUAACUGUGUUUGGACCAAAUUACGACUACAAAUUGUAAGCGAGGCUGUCCAGACCUAGUGAUUAUAAAGAAAUGACAACAAUGGCAAAUAUUUUGGAAAUAAAACCAAACAAAUGAGAUUGCUUUUUUAGGCCAAAGAAUUGCUAUAGAAGAAAAAAGGUCGAAGAAAAUUAAUUACGAAAAUUAAGAAGAGAGACAAAUCACCAAAAAUUCUUUAGCCUAUGCACUUGCAGCCUUGUGUAGAAGUGCAAGUCCUUAUUUCUUAUUGUUGCAAGUCCUUAUAUGAAGAAUACAUGGCAAUAUGCAUAGUUAUUAAAUUCGAUCGGACAAGAAAUCCAACAAAGGGACCAAGGCAAUGGGUGACUAGUUUAACCAAUCAGUCAUUGGUUGAACUAGUGGGUACUAAAUUAAUAUUUACAAAUAUAAAAUAGAAAUAAAGUGCUUUUAAAUACAAAUUAUUAUACUUUGAAAGAUAUAUAAUGAACAUACAAAUAUUAAUAGAAGAUUCAAUUUCAUUUUACUGUACUUGCACAUAAUUAAAUAACACAUUCAAAUAUAGAACAAAAUUGUAUCACUUAUUUUCAAAGAUAUAGCAUAAUUUUUAUUAUUUUAUCUUUCAAAAAUAAAAUAAUUUUUAACAACUCAAAUAUUGUAAGUUUGAAAGUUAAAAUAAUUAAUUGUAUAACAAAAAAGUAAACAAGUUUAUGUGAUAAAACAUUUAAUUAUCAAGUAAAAACUAAGAAAGUAGUAAAAUUUUAUACACAUUUAAAUGAAAAUCCAACAUACAAAUCUAGUCAAAAGUAUAGUACACUUUAUUUCAAAAACAAUGAUCCACACUUGUAUUAGAAAAAAGAACCCAGUCAACUGGAAAACUAGAGGGGCUCCGAUUGAACCACCAUGUCAAACAGGUUUGAUCGGACUAAUUCAUUCUCCAAUCAAAUUGGAAAUCCUUUCGGCCGGAUGGUCGAGUUAUUGGUAGGGUUGCAAAUUAAUCGAACCGCUUACAAGCAAUUCAAUCCAAAGCUCAGCUCGAGCUCGAUGUGCUGCUCACGACAACUCGAGCUCGAUCAAGAUCGAACUCGAGUCGGGCUCAAUCUGAUCAAGUCGAACUCGAAUUCGAACUCGAGUUCAAAGAUAUUCAACUCAUUAAUUCAUAAGCCGACUUAAUUAUAUAUAAAUAUUUUAUUUUUUAUUUUAAUAAUAAAAUUACACAUAUAUUCCUAAUAGUUUAUUAUUUGUUAAGAAAAUUAUUAUUUUAUUCCCUUUUAAAAAAUAAAAUAAAUAUUUUUUUUAAGCUCAAGGUUGAAUUCAAUUUCGAUUCGAAUUUGAGUCAAACUCGAGCUCGAGUUGUUACAUUGGGAGAUCAUCGAGUUCGAGCUCAAGUUUGAGUUUGAUAAAACUAAGUCAAGUUUGGAUCGAUUAAACGAAAGUUGACUUGACUCAACUCAUUUGUAGCCGAUUUCAUUGGGCUGAUUGUUUCAACUGCUAGGGUCACGUCAGAUUCAAUAACUAUAGGGGAUGAAAUAAUAAGUAAAACAGAAAAUCCAUUGUGAAACAAAUGUAAAAAAAAUUUAUUUGGCAAGAAAACAAUGAUAGGAUUCAAAAGUGGAGGAGAAAGGGAAUUUGAAUCUAAGAUCUCUAAAUUCUAAGGUCUCAACCUUAGCCACUAAGCAUAUAGUGCGUUACCUCAUGAUCUCCAUGUCUAUGUGAAAUUAUCCUAUUAUCUUGGCCCCUUGAACUUUCUUGGGAAGUGGAUCACUGAUUUUUCCUUUUUAGGCUAAAUUAACUUCAAAGAGGGUAAAUAUGGUAUUGGUUGAUUUCAAUGCUAAUAUUUGUCUUGUAUAUUUUUUUCUCAGCUGUUUUCUACUUUGGGCUCUUGAACUAAAGACAUACUGCCCCUUUAAUCAUUAAAUUUCAAAGUAGAGCACUUUAUUUCUUAAAAUAUGAAAUUCAUCCUACUUUAGUUCUUAAUAAUUGUAUUCAAAAUUUUGACAGCUAGUUUUGUCACAAAACGAAGAAAGAUCAAAUGGCUUCACGUUACCAAAGCACAACUAAGGUAAAAUUGCGAUUUUGAAACCACAAGAGGUUAAGAGGCAAAACAUUAAACCACAGAGAAGUACCAUUAAUUUACUUAUUUAAUAUCAGAUUUCAAACUAGCAAACAAUUCUACUUCAACAUAUAUUCAGUAGUUAUUACAAUCCUAAUGCUUGCAAAAAGACUAAAUUUACUGUCCUAAGAAGUAUGACUCCACUUAAAAUCUUCCAUAAAUGACAAAUGAUGAUGCAUGUGAUCAGUAAGAUGUGCUAAUGCUGAAAUCUUACUGUUGCGUAUUCAACUAAAAUUUGACUUAGAAAAUUCAAUAAGUUACGUGGUGGUCUCCUAUAGGUACAUAUUUUCGUUUGAAAGUGAAUUCACACCCCUCAUCCUAUAUUUACAUAUUCUACUAACUUCAAUAAUGUUAAUUCCAAUAAUAAAGGUAUGAAUUUAAAAUGAAGGCAUGUGAAUUUAGUAUACUACAAACAAGAAAUUGUAAGAAUUAAGAUUGUAUUCAACACCAAUUCCAAGAAGAAACGGCCAUAGCAAGGCUGCAGAACUUACCUUCAGUGGAAUUAGGAGGAGGACCGCCAGGAGAGUUUGGCGAUGCAGAGGAUACAGUAUCAUAGAAGACGGAGACCUCAUACCUCAGAUUACAGCUUGGAUAGAUUACUCUCCCUCCCUGCUUCUUGGAACAGCAAGCGGGUACAACCACUAUAGCCUCUGUGAGGCACCUUUUGCAGUCAUAAGGGGAUAGAUCUGGUGUGCACUGCGUAAGGGUAUACAAUCUCUUUUGAUCAGUGGAAUAAUUGCCUUCUUGGACAGCAAACUUUUUGCCCAAGGUAUGAUUUGCAGCCUCAUCCGCAGCGUUGUGCAACAAAUUUUUCAAUACCAUUUUGAAUUUGUCCCAGUCAGGUCCAGGGACAUUAAUUGGAUUGCACCUAGUCAAAUUCUCUCCCAAAUCAGCCUUGGAGAAGAUCGUCUGGUCAGAAAAACGUAACAAGCACUCGUCAUACCAAACAAUAGCAGCUGUUUGAUUCGGGCACUCAUCAAGUAGUCGUAUGUGGGCAUCUGCUACGCAUUCUUUGCAAACAUCAGUGUUGACAUCACCUCGACAGAGAAAGACGCCAUAGACCUUGUUUGAAGCGUCAUCGCCAGUACUGAAAUUAUAGAAGCCAUUAUUGUCUGUCCGAGAUGCAUGCGAAGACAGAGUGUCAAGCAAGAAAUUCAGAUUGGUUCUGUAAGUGCUGCCGGAAUUGUAUGUAAUAUUUCCAUAGUAAGAGUCAAGAAUUGUGAACCAAGACAGCCUUUAUAUUGGUUUUGUUACCAAACGUAUACAUUGUAAACCCGGGCUAUCCUUCAUAAUUCGUUGGUACAAAGAUAUAAUUGAUAGAUUCAGUUUGGAAGCCAACUUUGCUAUGUACAAAUGAUAAAAGUUCAAGACACAUUGUUUGUUCGAUCAGCUGGGGAAUAAUGUUCAUAAAUAAAAUUGCUCUUCUAUUUUUAAAAAAUAUCUAAAGAGCGACAACAACUUGCAUUUUCUUUCAAGCACAUCCUUAUACCCCUAAGGUGGAAGAAGUCAAUUAGUGUGAAGAAGCAAACAUUGAAACGAUCCCCUAAUUUCCAACAAUAGUGGGCAAAUUUAGAUACCUUCCUGGUAAAUGAAUCAUGCUUCAAAAUCUACAACAUAAUGCUGAUGAUGAACUUGAUAUUUUCUUCCAGAAUUGGCCUAUUUCUUCCUUCAUCUGGGAUAUGGUUCAGUAAUUGAUGCAUCAUUGACAGAGCUUGGAGCUGAAAUUCUUUGAGUGUUGGGUUGAUCAACUUUCAGCUCGUCUACCCUGCUCUCCGAUCCAUUGCUCCGGAAAACCGCCGGACGAUGUGGAGUUGGUAGGGAAACAGAACCAGGAUUGAGCAUGCUGACCACGGAAGCCAUUUUGGGUCUUUUACUGGCAUCUUCUUCAACACAUAGUAAGCCAACUUGGAUGCAUUGAAUGACUUCAUUUCUGGCAUAAGAAUCUCCAACGCUUGAAUCCAAAAGAGCUAAAGUUUGGCCGCGUCUCCAAUGGUUCCAAGCCUUUUCGAAAUAAUCCCACGUAUAAGGAGUUCAGACUUAAAAAUUUCAAUUAGCUUAAAUAGAUAUACAGGUAACGUCAAUAUUCACAAUAGGCAAUUGUCAAUACUCUCUAUUUCAAGUUUAAUCAUAUAAAAAGAUUGAUCAAUCUUUCUUACAUUGACAGUGUAUACACUGUUGUCAGUGUUGGAUGAACAACAAUUAUGCAAAAUUUGAAUUUUAAAUUUAACUUUUGCAUACAUGUUAUGAAUCUAACGGUGAUAGUAUAUACACUGUGUGAUAUAUGAGAUUUAUUCAUAAAAGAUUUCGAAUCGCAACCUUUUUUCCCAUCAUUGUAGUUAAGUAUAACCUGAGAAAGAAGUACAAUGGUCUUUACUAAAAUUUACAAGUACUCUACUUUGAGUGUGUGACAACGUACAAAACGAGAGAAAGAAUAGCAAUUAUGACAAGUCUUGCAUCCGACAUCUAAAAAUUUCCAUAAGAAGCACAUAAACAGAAGUACGUAUUUAUUUAGGGCAGGUAGUUCAUAAAUUAUCGUGCCAUUUUGGUCUGGUUCACACAAAAAAUGGUAUUGCAAGUUUAGGUGAAUUUAAUAAUGAAAAAAAAGAAAAGAUAAAAGGUUGAAAAUUAGGAGUGCCAAUAUCAAAUCCUCCUCCCCAGUUCUGCAAAAGCCAAAAAAAAAAAAGGUAACAACUAUAGCAAAGGUUUUGCAAUUUGUACUUACAUAGCUUAGAAGGUCUUCGGAAUCUCUAGAUUGAUGGAAGUCACUGCUCUUCUUGCCCGUGACAAUUUCCAAAAUUACAACCCCAAAACUAAACACGUCUGACUUUAGUGAGAACUGACCCCACCUUGUGUAUUCAGGAGCCAUAUAACCACUACAAGCCACAACGAUUGUUAUAAUCAGCACAAAGAUAAUCCGAAUGAUGCAAUCAAAUGGAGGUGUACAUAAUUUUCCAUGAAAGAUUCAAAGUGAUAUUAUGUGAGAAAAGAUAGUAUGGGAGCAAAACUUACACUGUCCCUGCAAUUCUAUUUGUGUUUCCUUCAUAUUGAUCAACUCCACAAAUCUUUGCCAUGCCAAAAUCUGCUAUCUUUGGACUCAUAUUUUCAUCCAAUAAUAUAUUACUUACUUUGAGAUCGCGAUGAACAAUUCUUAGACGAGAAUCCUCAAGCAGAUAAAGAAGUCCUUUUGCUAUACCUCCUAUGAUAUUGUAACGUCUUGACCAGUUCAAUGAUCGUUUAUUUUCUGGAUCUACACAAAUUUAAACAAUAACUCCAUAGAGCAUAAUCAAAUAGGUAAAUUACAUUUGUAGCUUUUAAAAUAUAAAUGCACUCCACAGACACUUCACCCUAAAGGUUUUAAAUUGUCCCACUUCAGUAUAAUUAUUAAUGAAAUCAUCCCACUUUGACAAUUGAGUGAGUGAUUGUAAUGAUGUGUGACAAAUGUCAUGCUUUAGGAGGUGAAAUAUCCAAAAUUAAAGUUUAAAAACUAAAGUUUGAGUGCGUCUGUGGUUUAAGGGUCUAAACUAGAAUUAAACAUUUGUCUAGAGCCAUAAAUAGAACCCACCAUAGAUGGCAACAAAAAAUUACUAUAAGUAUGUCUAGAUUGAACCCACCAAAGAGAAAGUAGUCAAGGCUUUUGUUGGCAACAAAUUCAUAGAUGAGUAUCUUUUCUUCUCCUUCCAGGCAAAAUCCCAAUAGCCGAACUAGAUUUCUGUGUUGAAGCUUUGCAACUACUACAAUUUCAUUUUUAAAUUCUUCUGCACCUUGCACUGAGCUCCUUGACAGCCUUUUAACAGCUACUUCUUGUCCAUUACCAAGUACACCCUGAUUAAACAUGCAUACUAGAAUUUAAUUGAAAUAUUAAAUGUGUAGAUAUUCAAAUUCACAAAAGCAAAAUAUCUCAUGCAAAGACCUUGUAUACACGACCAAAUCCACCUUCGCCAAUUUUGUUAUCCACAGAGAAGUUAUUUGUGGCAAUUUGAAUUUCAGUUAAGCUAUACUGUAAGGAUUCGGCUGUUAAGAUCUCAGCAACUCCAUCUACACCAGGGAUAAGCAACUUCACUCAAUUUAUUAGUUCAAAAACCUCUGAGGUUUCCUGUAAUUGCAAUCAAUAAACUUUACCACUUGUUUCCGGUGCCAUUGCAACACGACUCUUCCGCAAUCUUCUUUUCAGGAAAACUAAAGCCAUGACAAAUAGCACAACAGCAACCCCAAUUAAUGGGACAGCAAUUGAAAAAGCUGCUCGCGGGGGGCUUCGCCCUUUGCCUGGAUGAAAGUUAGUUUAAUUUAGCUUCGAAAGUCAGCUGAUCAUAGGAGAUCAAGUUUAUUAAACUUCGAGGCAGAGUCACUCUGAGACAGCCUUACAUAGACAAAAAGCUAGAGUUGAGAUCCUCUCUAUUACUUUCUCACCAUUUAUGUGCCUAAAUUUUUCAUAACAGUCUAUUUAUGUCAAUAAUUUUACUUCCACAAGUAGAACAACAUACUUAAAAUUCAUUCUCAUUUAUGAAUUUUUUGUCAUUCAAUUUGUACAAAACACUUUGACGGUGCGAAAUGGGUCAAAAUAUAAUUACAAUAAAAAAUGUAAAGUUUGAUCCAAUAGUAAAAUCCAAUAGCUUAACUGUGUUUGGACAAAUCACCAAAAAAAUCUUUACCCUAUGCACUUGUAGCCUUGUGUAGAAGUGCAAAUCCUUAUUUCUUAUUUGCUGGAUGAUUUCGCACCACGCAUCUGUGGCCUGUGAAAUUGGAUAGCAUAAGUUUCCUUCUCUUUCAGAAGACCAUGGAUCUGAGGUGGGAAAUCACCCAACGAUGUGUUUCCUCUGCGGUGUUUUUUGUUCUUUUGUCAUGUAUUUGUUUUUAGUUAUUCCAUUUUGAUUUUUUAUGACCCUACAUGAAGAAUACAUGGCAAUAUGCAUAGUUAUUAAACUCGAUUGGACAAGAAAUCCAACAGAGGGACCAGGGCAACAGGUGACUAGUUUAACCAAUCAGUCAUUAGUUGAAGUAGUGGGUACUAAAUUAAUAUUUACAAUUAUAAAAUAGUAAUAAAGUACUUUUAAAUACUAAUUGUUAUACUUUGAAAGAUAUAUUAUGAACAUACAAAUAUUAAUAGAAGAUUCAAUUUCAUUUUACUGUACUUGCAUAUAAUUAAAUAACACAUUCAAAUAUAGAACAAAAUUGUAUCACUUAUUUUCAAAGAUAUAGCAUUAUUUUUAUUAUUUUAUCUUUCAAAAAUAAAAUAAUUUCUAACAACUCAAAUAUUGUAAGUUUGAAAGUUAAAAGAAUUAAUUGUAUAACAAAAAAGUAAACAAGUUUAUGUAAUAAAACAUUUAAUUAUCAAGUAAAAACUAAGCAAGUAGUAAAAUUUUAUACACAUUUAAAUGAAAAUCCAACAUACAAAUCUAGUCAAAAGUAUAUUACACUUUAUUUCAAAAACAAUGAUCCACAAUUGUAUUAGAAAAAAGAACCCAGUCAAGUGGAAAACCGGACAGGCUCCAAUUGAACCACCAUGUCAAAUAGGUUUGAUCGGACCAAUUCAUUCUCCAAUCAAACUAGAAAUCCUUUCGGCCGGAUGGUCGAGUUAUUGGUAGGAUUAAACGAAUCGAAUCACCUACGAGCAAUUCAAUCCAAAGCUCGAGUCGAGCUCGAUCAACAUCGAACUCGAGUCGAGCUCAACCUGAUCAAGUCAAACUCGAAUUUAAAUUCGAGUUCAAAGAUAUUCAACUCAUUAGUUCAUAAGCCGACUUAAUUAUAUAUAUAUAUUAUUUUUUAUUUUAAUAGUAAAAUUACGUUUAUAUUCCUAAUAUUUUAUUAUUUGUUAAGAAAAUUAUUAUUUUAUUUCCUUUUUAAAAAAUAAAAUAAUUUUUUUAAAUUCGAGUUUGAAUUCAAACUCGAUUCAAAUUUGAGUCAAGUUCGAGCUCAAGUUGUUACAUUGAGAGCUUGUUGAGUUCAAGCUCGAGUUUGAGCUUGAUAAAACUAAGUCAAGUUUGAAUCGAUUAAACCAAAGUCGACUCUACUCAACUCAUUUAUAGCCUAUUUCAUUGGGCUGAUUGUUUCAACUACUAGGGUCACGCCAGGUUCAAUAACUAUAGGGGAUGAAAUAAAAAGUAAAACAAAAAUUCCAUUGUGAAACAAAUGUAAAAAAAAUUUAUUUGGCAAGAAAACAAUGAUAGGAUUUAAAAGUGGAGGAGAAAGGAAAUUUGAAUUUAAGAUCUCUAAAUCCUAAGGUCUCAACCUUAGCCACUAAGCAUAUAGUGUUAUACCUCAUGAUCUCUUGUGCAUGUGAAAUUAUCCUAUUAUCCUGGCCCCUUGAACUUUCUUUGAAAGUGGAUCACUGAUUUUUCCUUUUUAGGCUAAAUUAACUUCAAAGAGGGUAAAUAUGGUAUUGGUUGAUUUCAAUGCUAAUAUUUGUCUUGUAUAUUUUUUUCUCAGCUAUUUUCUACUUUGGGCUCUUGAACUAUAGACAUACUACCACUUUAAUCAUUAAAUUUCAAAGUUAAGCACUUUAUUUCUUAAAAUAUGAAAUUCAUCUUACUUUAGUUCUUAAUAAUUGUAUUCAAAAUUUUGACAGCUAGUUUUGUCACAAAACAAAGAAAGAUCAAAUGGCUUCACGUUGCCAAAGCACAACUAAGGUAAAAUUGCGAUUUUGAAACCACAAGGGGUUAAGAGGCAAAACAUUAAACCACAAAGAAGUAACAUUAAUUUAAUUAUUUAAUAUCAUAUUUCAAACUAGCAAACAAAUAUAUUGCACUAUAACGGAAAAUCUUUUACAUGCAUACAAUACAUCAUCGAUCUUCUUCAAUGUCUUUGUCCUAAAGUGGAAAAACUAAAAUGGAUUCUUCUUUGCAUUAUGCCAUAGUAAUUUCAUUUUUUUACAUCAAUUUUGCUAUCAAUAGCAUUCAUAAUAUAACUCAUGUACUAUUUUAGUUAAACUCAAAAGUUAAAUUAAAAAUACCAAACUUUUUCCAUUUGAUUAAUCAUUGGAAAAUUUUCCAUGAACUUAAACCCUUUUACACUAUAUAAAUGUUUCUAGCAAAUUGAAUGCAAAAACUUUCUCAAAUGCACUUUAUAUUCAUGUAUGCUGAUCAAGCAAUCAAAAUAAAAUUAUAACAUAAGUAUAUGAGUUUUAAAAACCAUAUCAUAGAUAAAUGGAUAGAUAACUAAAUAAAAACGUAAUGCAAAAGUGCCCAACCCAUUUUCGGACGUCAGGCCAUCACGGUUAAAGGGAUUCCGCAAUGACCAUAACAAUACUACUUCAACAGUUGAACAUAUAUUCAAUAGUUAUUACAGUCCUAAUGCUUGCAAAAAGACUAAAUUUACUGUCCAUAAAUGACAAAUGAUGGAUCCAAAUUUGCAUGUGAUCUGCUAAUGCUGAAAUCUUACUGUUGCGUAUUCAACUAAAAUUUGACUUAGAAAAUUCAAUAAGUUACGUGGUGGUCUUCUAUAGGUACAUAUUUUCGUUUGAAAGUGAAUUCACACCCCUCAUCCUAUAUUUACAUAUUCUACUAACUUCAAUAAUAUUAAUUCCAAUAAUAAAGGUAUGAAUUUAAAAUGAAGGCAUGUGAAUUUAGUACUACAAACAAGAAAUUGUAAGAAUUAAGAUUGUAUUCAACACCAAUUCCAAGAAGAGACGGCCAUAGCAAGGCUGCAGAACUUACCUUCAGUGGAUUUAGGAGGAGGACCGCCAGGAGAGUUUGGCGAUGCAGAGGAUACAGUAUCAUAGAAGCUGGAGACCUCAUACCUCAGGUUACAGCUUGGAUAAAUUACUCUCCCUCCCUGCUUCUUGGAACAGCACGCGGGUACAUCUCUUAUAGCCUCUGUGAGGCACCUGUUACAGUCAUCAGGGGAUAGAUCUGGUGUGCACUGCGUAAGGGUAUACAAUCUCUUUUGAUCAGUGGAAUAAUUGCCUUCUUCGACAGCAAACUUUUUGCCCAUGGCAUGAUAUGCAGCCUCAUCCGCAGCGUUAUGCAACAAAUUGAUCAAUACCAUUAUGAAUUUGUCCCAGUCAGGUCCAGGGACAUCGACUGGAUUGCGCCUAGUCAAAUUCUCUCCCAAAUCAGCCUUGGAGAAGAUCGUCUGGUCAGAAAAACGUACCAAGCACUCGUCAUACCAAACAAUAGCAGCUGUUUGAUUCGGGCACUCAUGAAGUAGUCGUGUGCGGGCAUCUGCGACGCAUUCUUUGCAAACAUCAGUGUUGACAUCACCUCGACAGAGAAAGAGGCCAUAGACCUUGUUUGAAGGGUCAUCGCCAGUACUGAAAUUAUAGAAGCCAUUGUUGUCUGUCCAAGAUGCAUGCGAAGACAGAGUGUCAAGCAAGAAAUUCAGAUUGGCUCUGUAAAUGCUGCCGGAAGGACUGUUAGGAUUGUAUGUAAUAUUUCCACAGUAAGAGUCAAGAUAGUUCCAGGGGUUUGUGUCGUUGGAAGUGGAACAACAAUAUUCAAUGGUAUGGAAGCUAAGCAAACAAAGCAUGUAAUAUUUGAAGUGGAACAACAAAUUUCUGGAGAUCAUUUCAAAGGAAGGCAUCAAAAGAGUAAAAGGCUAACAACCUACAAACUAGAUUGGUAGAUUAGGAGCCAAAUUAAGUAUUGUUUGAGGGACCAUGAAAGUUGUAUAAGCCAGGAAAACUUAUGGCCUGGGAAAACUUGACCUUGGCAGACAACCAACUCGCCUGGACGUGAACCAUCAGCUGAAUGGUCUCUAACCAAAAUUCAAUACGUCAGUAAUAGAUUUUUACCUUUUGACAAAAAAAAAAAUAAUGGAUUUUGACGGGAAUGCAAAUUUCAGGAUGCUAACAACUAUCAAACAACGUCAUCGUGGAGGAUAAUUGUAAUUUGAGUAAAGUGGACCCAAAUUGAAUCUCUAUCUAUUAGUUCAAUACUUUUAAGAAAAAGUUCUCUAUAUAUAGUUAAAAGGAUAAAUUAUACACAUAAUCCCCUAUAGAUUCAUUGAUUGUCACAUGACAACCCUAAUAUUUUCAAUAUUCAUAUAAAACCUCUAUGGUUUCAUAUAAAAUAGAAAUUUUACAAAAAAAAAUCUUAUGUUACACAAUUAGUUGAACUACUAUUAUUGCCCUUACUUAAAUAUUAAAUCGAACAACAAUCAGACCACCUUGUAUAAAGUUAUAGAAGAAUUAUGUGGAUAAAUACAAAAUCUAUAGAGGGUUAAAGUAGAUAUUUAUAAAUUGUAGGAGCAUUAAGUGGAUAUUAUUAAUUCACCACAUGCAUUUUUGGAGCACAUCUAGUUCAAUCACUGUAACCAUUGAUGUUUUCCGUCUAUUUUUCAUAUUACAUGAAACAAUAGGGGUUUAUGCGGAUAUUUUGAAAUGUAAAGGAGAUCAUAUAUUAAUAUAAAAAUCCAAGGUGAUUACAUGUAAUUUACCAUAAAAUCCCGUAAAGUCUGUCGCAUUUUAAUUGGAUUGAAACUUUCCAAUAAUUUUUGUUGUCAAAAAUGCCAAUAAACUGUCCAACUACUUGUUUUGCAGUACAUACGUGUUCACCAUUUUGUCAAACUGAUUUACAUUUCUUAAUCUUCUUUUGAUUAAUUCAAAGGAACCCUCAAGGAAAGCAACGUCUACCCAUUUAUUAAUGACCAAUUCCGCGUUGCUUUGUUUUAAAAAAUUCAUCAAGUUUAAGAGCCACUUUUUGAACAUAGUUACAAGGGUGCCUGCAGCAUCAGUAAGAAGCGACCAUUAUGAUGGUUGCUGAUCUUUGUUUUUGCAAGAAACCGGUCACAAUAGAGCUACUCCUGUAAAUCCUCGUUUAUGUUAUCAGUUUUUGUGAACCAGGGUUUUUCGAGAAUGAAAAGGAACUAAUAUUCUCUUGCUCCAUAUUCUAACUUAAGCGAUGACCAACCUAAAAAUCCCCACUACACUACUAAGUAGUAGGCCAUAAUAUAUGCUUUCCUGCUGUGGAUGAGAGAGAGAGAGGAUUGGAGGUGGAAAAGAAAGAGAAGGAAAUCUUUGUUAUUGUUUUGCAUUAGAAUCUUUAAUAUAGGAAGAAAAUCUUUGUUAUUGUUUUGCAUUGGAGAACCUAGUAAAUUCUUUAAUAUAGGAAGAAAAUCAAAAGGAGCUCUAACAUUUAAAGGAAAUUUGUGAUCCUAUUGCCAAUUGCGUUUGUACACAUAUCUUCUCAAUGAUCUCAUUCUCAUACGUCGAGAGCUACAUACAUUAAGCAAAACCGCUAUGAUUAUCUAACCUAAAAAAUUUUAAAAAAAAAUUCUUCAACAAAAAAGGGAAAAAAAUGCAAAGAUUUGCAAGAUUACAGGAAAAUUAAGAAUUGUGUCUUGUCCCCAAUACUUCAAUGCUGCCAAGUCAAAUGCACGUGCAGAAGCUUCUUCAUCAUCGUAAGCUCCUGCCAGGAAAAAAACAAGUGACUCUUUUUUCUUUUCUUAUUUCAUAUGUCAGCACAAGAAGUUUAGUGAUAAACUUCUUUUCAAACCGAUAUAGUAAUAUUUCUUUCAAAUUUCGAAUUGAGGUUUAGUGAUAAUUAAAGAAUUUGAUAGUACCUUUUAUCCAAUCUACUAAGUGCACGUAAUAGAAGGACCUAAAUUUUAAGAAAAAGUCAAUCAAAAUUUCAAGCAUGACGAAAGUCAAAAUAUUGAAUGGAGUGGAAAGUCAAGCUUAAAAUUGAAACUCGAUGUUGAUUUCGAACCCGAGUUGGAGCAUGUUAAAAAUAAGGCUCAGCCGGAUUCGAUUACACUUCGGCCCACACCAACCCCCGUCACUAAUCUCAAUAUUUGAAAUUCCUUCGAGCUCUAAACGGCAACCUAUCCUUUCUUGACAUGCGUCACAAUAAACUAUCAAUAGAUACCAUUAGGGAACGGCUUCAAGCCCUUUAAAAAAAAUGAUGAAAUACAGAGUCCUCCUUAACGUGCCAAUAGUUUUUCCUGUCAAUCACAACAUCACAAUUCCCUAGCUUUUCCUGACCCAGAAAAAGAAAGAAUGAAAUGAAGGAAAGAAAAAUCCAAGAUGAAGAAUAAGAAAUAUUUUGUUGAUCUGCCAUUAUCUCCCAUACACUUGCUAAGAUAUUCACUUGUAUAAUUUUGGGUUGAUAAUUUUGUAUUUUUUAAUAUCAAUUUCCAUAUUCUAAAUUUCAUCUAUGCAUUUGGGGAUUUCAUAGAAUUUUAUAUACCUUUAAAUUCUCAAGAUUUCUAGGUUUUUUGUGAUUAUUUAUGUAGCAGAAUAAUUCACAGAUGUAGUUAUUCACUUGAAAAAGUUCAUAUGCUAAAUGUGAAGAUUGUAUAAAUGCAUCAACUAUCCUUUUUCUUUUUUGCGUAAUCAUUGAUAGUUGGGAUAGCCAUCAUAUUUACACAAUUAUAUGAAUGGUUUUUCUUUGCUUGAAGAAAAGGGAAAAAGAUUGGCUAAGUUACAUUAAAAAGAAGAAUAGAAAAAGGUAAGUCCAAUAAGGAAAAGAAUAAAGAAAAGAGAAAAUUAAAUGACAAAAUUGGGUAAAUACUUUAAACCAAAAAAAAAAAAGAAGGAAUAACAAAUACGAAGAUUGUAUGAAUGCAAGUACAAUGUUAUUACAAUAGAAUACUUAAGAAAGCUUAGGUGAUAAUAAAUCAUUGAAUGCUGAAAAAGUUCCAAAUCAGGAUGAAUCUGAUAUAAUUUAAACUCUUUUUAACUAAUAACACACUCCAAGAAUUGUGAACCAAGACAGCCUUCAUAUUGGUUUUGUUACCAAACGUAUACAAUGAUAUAAUUGAUAGACUCAGUUUGGAAGCCAACUUUGCUAUGUACAAAUGGUAAAAGUUCAAGACAAACUGUUUGUUCGAUCAGCUGGGGAUUAAUGUUCAUAAAUAAAAUUGCUCUUCUAUUUUUAAAAAAUAUCUAAAGAGCGACAACAACUUGCAUUUUCUUUCAAGCACAUCCUUAUACCCCUAAGGUGGAAGAAGUCAAUUAGUGUGAAGAAGCAAACAUUGAAGCGAUCCCCUAAUUUCCAACAAUAGUGGGCAAAUUUAGAUACCUUCCUGGUUAAUGAAUCAUGCUUCAAAAUCUACAACAUAAGGCUGAUGAUGAACUUGAUAUUUUCUUCCAGAAUUGGCCUAUUUCUUCCUUCAUCUGGGAUAUGGUUCAGUAAUUGAUGCAUCAUUGACAGAGCUUGGAGCUGAAGUUCUUUGAGUGUUGGAUUGAUCAACUUUCAGCUCGUCUACCCUGUUCUCCGAUCCAUUGCUCCGGAAAACUGCCGGACGAUGUGGAGUUGGUAGGGAAACAGAACCAGGAUUGUGCAUGCAGACCACGGAAGCCAUUGUGGGUCUUUUACUGGCAUCUUCUUCAACACAUAGUAAGCCAACUUGGAUGCAUUGAAUGACUUCAUUUCUGGCAUAAGAAUCUCCAAUGCUUGAAUCCAAAAGAGCUAAAGUUUGGCCGCGUCUCCAAUGGUUCCAAGCCUUUUCGAAAUAAUCCCACUCAUAAGGUGUACAUUCUUAAAAACUUCAAUUAGCUUAAAUAGAUAUACAGGUAAAUGUCAAUAUUCACAAUAGGCAAUUGUCAAUACUCUCUAUUUCAAGUUUAAUCAUAUAAAAGGAUGAAUUGAUCUUUCCUACACUGACAAGUUUAAUCAUAUAAAAGGAUGGAUUGAUCUUUCCUACACUGACAGUGUUGAAAUGCCUUGAAUUAGAUCUUCAACCCCCGCUGAGCUGUACGGUUUCGGGUCUUGUUUUGGGCCUAUUGUUGGGUCCAGUCUGUUUGGCUGUAUAUAUAUACACCUUAUGUUAGUUUGUAAACUAUUUUUCUGAUUGCAACCCUAAUAAAAUCUGAUUUCCCCCAAGUUGUUCUUGUCUGCUCUUGUUUGUUCUUCUGUUCCGCUGCAACUGAUAUAACAAACUGGUAUCAGAGCUCUAGGUUUGUCCUAGGGCUCGGAUCACGCAACAACAUGUCUGCUUUGAACAUCAAGAUCGACAAGUUCACUGGGAGAAAUAGUUUCAGUCUAUGGCAGAUCAAGAUGCGGGCUCUGUUAAAGCAACAGGGUCUGUGGAGUCCGCUGACGAAGAAGAAAUCGGAUUCCGUUGAUGAAGAGUCGAUGAGUCUGGAGGAAAAGGCUCACUCGACAAUCAUGCUGUGUCUGGCAGAUGAUGUCAUCACUGAGGUCGCCGGUGAAGAAACUGCUGCGGGUUUGUGGGUUAAACUUGAAAGUCUCUAUAUGACGAAGUCUUUAACCAACAAGUUGCUCCUAAAGCAACGUCUGUUCGGUCUGCGUAUGCAGGAAGGUACUCCUCUUCGAGAACAUUUAGAUCAAUUAAAUACAAUUCUUCUUGAAUUGCGUAAUAUUGAUGUUAAAAUUGAGGAUGAGGAUGCCGCGUUGAUUCUAUUAGUGUCUCUACCGUUAUCGUAUGAGAAUUUUGUUCAGUCUUUUAUUGGCGGUAAAGAUACAGUGACUUUAGAAGAAGUAAGAUCAGCACUGCAUAGUAGAGAGUUGCGCCAUAAGGCGGCUGGUAAUGUUACAGAUAAUCAGGCUGCUGGGCUAGUUGUCAGCAGUAGUAAGGGAAAAUUAGGGAAAAAGAAGUCCGGAAAUAAGAAGCAGUUCUCUAAAGGUCCCAAGCCGGAGGAUGUUUGUAACUAUUGCAAGGAAAAGGGUCAUUGGAAAUCUGAUUGUCCCAAGAAGAAGAAACAGCAGGAAAAACAACACGCUUCAGCUUCAGUUGCAGAAAAGGAAGCAGAAAAUUCAGAAGAAGACCUGGCCCUAAUUGCAAACGAACCAACACAUCACUCUGAUGUGUGGGUUCUUGAUUCUGGGGCGUCCUAUCACAUAUGUCCAAAUAGAGAAUGGUUUACAACAUAUGAGGAGAUAGAUGGCGGAAAUGUCGUUAAGGCUAAUAGCGCUGUCUGCAAGGCUGUUGGAAUCGGUUCGAUUAAGAUCAGGACACAUACUGGAAAAAUUGCCACACUGAACGAAGUCAGGCACGUCCCCAAAAUGACGAAGAAUCUGAUAUCACUUAGUACUCUUGACAGUAAGGGUUUCAGGUUCAGCGGAGGAAGUGGAGAGUUGUGCAUCAGUAAAGGUUCAUUAGUGGUUCUCAAAGGAGUUAAGCAUGGCACCCUGUACAUCUUACAAGGUUCUACGCUAACAGGUUCUGCUGCUGCUGCUGUUGCAUCUUCUGAAGAUCGCAGGUCUGAUAUGACCAAGCUAUGGCACAUUAGGCUUGGUCAUAUGAGCGAAAGGGGGAUGCAGAUUCUGUCUAAACGUGAUCUUCUAGAAGGCCACAAGGUCACCGAUCUUGGAUUCUGUGAACAUUGUACUUUCGGUAAACUACAUCGCAGAAAGUUUGGGAAGGCAAUUCACAGGACAAAAGGCACACUAGAUUACAUCCAUUCUGACUGUUGGGGUCCUUCACGAGUUGAGUCUUUGGGAGGCUGCCGGUAUUUUUUAUCCAUGAUUGAUGAUUAUUCAAGGAUGACUUGGGUAAUCGUUAUGAAGGAAAAAGGUGAAGCUUUCAAGAACUUCAAGCAGUGGAAGGCCUUAGUGGAGAAUCAAACUGGAAAGAAGAUCAAAAGGCUGAGAACUGAUAAUGGCCUGGAAUUCUGUUCAAAGGAGUUCGAUGAAUUCUGCAAAGAUGAAGGAAUUGCUCGGCAUCACACAGUUCGGCACACACCACAACAAAAUGGUGUAGCAGAACGCAUGAAUCAGACACUUCUAGAGAGAGCACGGUGUAUGCUCUUCAAUGCUGAGUUGCCAAGGAGGUUCUGGGCGGAAGCAGUAAGCACGGCCUGCUUCUUGAUCAACCGUGCACCUCAUACAGGUAUAGACUGCAAGAUACCUUAUGAAGUGUGGUCUGGUAUGUCCCCUACUUACUCAAAUUUGAAGGCUUUUGGUUGUACUGCGUAUUAUCAUGUCAGUGAGGGCAAACUAGAACCAAGGGCUAAAAAGGGAGUGUUUCUGGGAUAUGGAGAUGGGGUUAAAGGAUAAAGAAUCUGGUCACCCUCAGAAAAGAAAGUUAUACUUAGUAGAAGUGUAAUUUUUGAUGAAAACUCUAUACUUAACCCCCCUGUGAAGACUGUUGUUGAAGAAAGUGCAGGUGUUGAUAAACAGGUGGAGCUACAAAUCAUUCAAAAUGGUUUUGAAUCACAGCAGCAAUUUAGUGAUCAUCAACAACUAUCCUAUGAAACUGAACCUCCUGCAGAAGUAGAGUCUCCAGAACCUACAUCAGCAGAAAGGUUGGCACCUAUAUCCCAUACUGCGUCAGAAACUCAGCAGCAUGGUAUUGCUUAUGAUCGUGCAAGAAGAGUGGGAGUACAAGCUCCCAGCAGGUAUCGGGAUUUUGUAGGUUAUGCAUUUCAGGUUGCUGAGGAGGUGGAUUCUCCCGAACCCUCUACCUAUAGAGAAGCUAUUUCAGGCAGUGAGUCAGCUCAAUGGCUUGCUGCAAUGGGUGAUGAAAUGGAGUCGUUACACAAGAAUGGCACUUGGGAAUUGGUCAAACGGCCAGCAGAGAGAAAGGUUGUGACUUGCAAAUGGGUCUUUAAAAGGAAGGAAGGAAUUUCUCCAGCUGAGGGCAUCAAGUAUAAAGCACGUGUUGUUGCAAGAGGGUUCACUCAAAGAGAAGGAGUAGACUACAAUGAGAUUUUCUCACCAGUGGUCAGACAUACUUCUAUCAGGGUGCUACUAGCAAUGGUUGCACAUCAGGACUUAGAACUUGAGCAGCUAGACGUGAAGACAGCUUUCCUACAUGGAGAGUUAGAUGAAGAGAUUUAUAUGACUCAGCCAGAUGGAUUCCUUGUUCCGGGAAAAGAAGAUUAUGUAUGCAAGUUGAAGAAAUCUUUGCAUGGAUUAAAGCAGUCCCCAAGGCAGUGGUAUAAAAGAUUUGACGGCUACAUGAUUGAGCUAGGCUACAACAGAAGUCAGUAUGAUUGUUGUGUAUAUCACAACAAACUUGAAGAUGGUUCGAUGAUCUAUUUGAUUCUGUAUGUAGAUGAUAUGCUCAUAGCUGCGAGGAACAAAGCUGAUAUACAGAAGUUGAAAAGUCUUCUCAGUGCAGAGUUUGAGAUGAAAGACUUGGGUGCAGCACAGAAAAUUCUGGGAAUGGAGAUUUUCAGGGAUCGAAGUCAGAAGAAGCUUUUCUUAUCACAAAAGAGCUAUAUUGAGAAGGUAUUAUCCAGAUUUGGCAUGUCUACAGCAAAGCCCUUGAAUACUCCGAGUGCAGCGAAUGCUCAGCUAUCAGUUACGCUCGCACCACAGUCAGAAGCUGAGAUAGAGUAUAUGGCUAAGGUUCCCUAUUCUAGUGCAGUGGGUAGUUUGAUGUAUGCCAUGGUUUGCACUAGACCUGAUCUGGCACAUGCAGUCAGUGUUGUUAGCAGAUUUAUGGCUAAUCCUGGGAAGGAGCACUGGCUGGCCGUGAAACGAAUUUUUCGGUACUUGAGGGGUACAUCUGAUGUUGGUCUCAUCUAUGGAGGUGAUACAGAGUGUUUGGUUACAGGCUAUUCAGAUUCUGAUUAUUCUGGACAUGUUGAUAGUAGGAGGUCGAUGACUGGUUAUGUUUUCACUCUUGGGCAUUCUGUAGUUAGUUGGAAAGCAACUCUACAACCUACAGUGACUCUGUCCACUACUGAGGCAGAGUAUAUGGCACUGACGGAGGCUGUUAAAGAGGGAAUUUGGUUAAAGGGGCUGGUUGGAGAUCUUGGCCUACAUCAGGAUCAGGCUAAUAUAUAUUGUGAUAGUCUCAGUGCAAUAUGUCUAGCCAAGGAUCAAGUUCAUCAUGAGAGGACUAAACACAUUGAUGUCCGAUAUCACUUCUUGAGAUCUGAGACAAGGAUCAAGGUGAAGAAAGUUGGCACUGCUGACAAUCCUGCUGAUAUGUUCACCAAGCCGGUCCCUCAUAGCAAGUUCAAACAUUGUUUGGAUUUGCUAAAUGUCCUAAGUUUCUGAUGGCCCUUAUGGGCAUUCUGAUGGUACUUAGAGAUAAUUCUCUGAGUACUUCUGGCACUUCAUUAGUGCAUCUGUUACAUUCUUUCGGGGAAGAUUCAAGUCAAGGUGGAGAUUGUUGAAAUGCCUUGAAUUAGAUCUUCAACCCCCGCUGAGCUGUACGGUUUCGGGUCUUGUUUUGGGCCUAUUGUUGGGUCCAGUCUGUUUGGCUGUAUAUAUAUACACCUUAUGUUAGUUUGUAAACUAUUUUUCUGAUUGCAACCCUAAUAAAAUCUGAUUUCCCCCAAGUUGUUCUUGUCUGCUCUUGUUUGUUCUUCUGUUCCGCUGCAACUGAUAUAACAGACAGUGUAUACACUGUUGUCAGUGUUUGAUGAACAACAACUAUGCAAAAUUUGAAUUUCAAAUUUAACUUUUACACACAUAUCAUGAAUCUAAGGGUGAUAGUAUAUACACUGUCAGUGUACAUAUGAUUUAUUCAUAAAAGAUUUCGAAUCGCAACCUUUUUUCCCAUCAUUGUAGUUAAGUAUAACCUGAGAAAGAAGUACAAUGGUCUUUACUAAAAUUUACAAGUACUCUACUUUGAGUGUGUGACAACGUACAAAACGAGAGAAAGAAUAGCAAUUAUGACAAGUCUUGCAUCCGACAUCUAAAAAUUUCCAUAAGAAGCACAUAAACAGAAGUACAUAUUUAUUUAGGGCAGGUAGUUCAUAAAUUAUCGUGCCAUUUUGGUCUGGUUCACACAAAAAAUGGUAUUGCAAGUUUAGGUGAAUUUAAUAAUGAAAAAAAAAGAAAAGAUAAAAGGUUGAAAAUUAGGAGUGCCAAUAUCAAAUCCUCCUCCCCAGUUCUGCAAAAGCCAAAAAAAAAAAAGGUAACAACUAUAGCAAAGGUUUUGCAAUUUGUACUUACAUAGCUUAGAAGGUCUUCGGAAUCUCUAGAUUGAUGGAAGUCACUGCUCUUCUUGCCCGUGACAAUUUCCAAAAUUACAACCCCAAAACUAAACACGUCUGACUUUAGUGAGAACUGACCCCACCUUGUGUAUUCAGGAGCCAUAUAACCACUACAAGCCACAACGAUUGUUAUAAUCAGCACAAAGAUAAUCCGAAUGAUGCAAUCAAAUGGAGGUGUACAUAAUUUUCCAUGAAAGAUUCAAAGUGAUAUUAUGUGAGAAAAGAUAGUAUGGGAGCAAAACUUACACUGUCCCUGCAAUUCUAUUUGUGUUUCCUUCAUAUUGAUCAACUCCACAAAUCUUUGCCAUGCCAAAAUCUGCUAUCUUUGGACUCAUAUUUUCAUCCAAUAAUAUAUUACUUACUUUGAGAUCGCGAUGAACAAUUCUUAGACGAGAAUCCUCAUGCAGAUAAAGAAGUCCUUUUGCUAUACCUCCUAUGAUAUUGUAACGUCUUGACCAGUUCAAUGAUCGUUUAUUUUCUGGAUCUACACAAAUUUAAACAAUAACUCCAUAGAGCAUAAUCAAAUAGGUAAAUUACAUUUGUAGCUUUUAAAAUAUAAAUGCACUCCACAGACACUUCACCCUAAAGGUUUUAAAUUGUCCCACUUCAGUAUAAUUAUUAAUGAAAUCAUCCCACUUUGACAAUUGAGUGAGUGAUUGUAAUGAUGUGUGACAAAUGUCAUGCUUUAGGAGGUGAAAUAUCCAAAAUUAAAGUUUAAAAACUAAAGUUUGAGUGCGUCUGUGGUUUAAGGGUCUAAACUAGAAUUAAACAUUUGUCUAGAGCCAUAAAUAGAACCCACCAUAGAUGGCAACAAAAAAUUACUAUAAGUAUGUCUAGAUUGAACCCACCAAAGAGAAAGUAGUCAAGGCUUUUGUUGGCAACAAAUUCAUAGAUGAGUAUCUUUUCUUCUCCUUCCAGGCAAAAUCCCAAUAGCCGAACUAGAUUUCUGUGUUGAAGCUUUGCAACUACUACAAUUUCAUUUUUAAAUUCUUCUGCACCUUGCACUGAGCUCCUUGACAGCCUUUUAACAGCUACUUCUUGUCCAUUACCAAGUACACCCUGAUUAAACAUGCAUACUAGAAUUUAAUUGAAAUAUUAAAUGUGUAGAUAUUCAAAUUCACAAAAGCAAAAUAUCUCAUGCAAAGACCUUGUAUACACGACCAAAUCCACCUUCGCCAAUUUUGUUAUCCACAGAGAAGUUAUUUGUGGCAAUUUGAAUUUCAGUUAAGCUAUACUGUAAGGAUUCGGCUGUUAAGAUCUCAGCAACUCCAUCUACACCAGGGAUAAGCAACUUCACUCAAUUUAUUAGUUCAAAAACCUCUGAGGUUUCCUGUAAUUGCAAUCAAUAAACUUUACCACUUGUUUCCGGUGCCAUUGCAACACGACUCUUCCGCAAUCUUCUUUUCAGGAAAACUAAAGCCAUGACAAAUAGCACAACAGCAACCCCAAUUAAUGGGACAGCAAUUGAAAAAGCUGCUCGCGGGGGGCUUCGCCCUUUGCCUGGAUGAAAGUUAGUUUAAUUUAGCUUCGAAAGUCAGCUGAUCAUAGGAGAUCAAGUUUAUUAAACUUCGAGGCAGAGUCACUCUGAGACAGCCUUACAUAGACAAAAAGCUAGAGUUGAGAUCCUCUCUAUUACUUUCUCACCAUUUAUGUGCCUAAAUUUUUCAUAACAGUCUAUUUAUGUCAAUAAUUUUACUUCCACAAGUAGAACAACAUACUUAAAAUUCAUUCUCAUUUAUGAAUUUUUUGUCAUUCAAUUUGUACAAAACACUUUGACGGUGCGAAAUGGGUCAAAAUAUAAUUACAAUAAAAAAUGUAAAGUUUGAUCCAAUAGUAAAAUCCAAUAGCUUAACUGUGUUUGGACAAAUCACCAAAAAAAUCUUUACCCUAUGCACUUGUAGCCUUGUGUAGAAGUGCAAAUCCUUAUUUCUUAUUUGCUGGAUGAUUUCGCACCACGCAUCUGUGGCCUGUGAAAUUGGAUAGCAUAAGUUUCCUUCUCUUUCAGAAGACCAUGGAUCUGAGGUGGGAAAUCACCCAACGAUGUGUUUCCUCUGCGGUGUUUUUUGUUCUUUUGUCAUGUAUUUGUUUUUAGUUAUUCCAUUUUGAUUUUUUAUGACCCUACAUGAAGAAUACAUGGCAAUAUGCAUAGUUAUUAAACUCGAUUGGACAAGAAAUCCAACAGAGGGACCAGGGCAACAGGUGACUAGUUUAACCAAUCAGUCAUUAGUUGAAGUAGUGGGUACUAAAUUAAUAUUUACAAUUAUAAAAUAGUAAUAAAGUACUUUUAAAUACUAAUUGUUAUACUUUGAAAGAUAUAUUAUGAACAUACAAAUAUUAAUAGAAGAUUCAAUUUCAUUUUACUGUACUUGCAUAUAAUUAAAUAACACAUUCAAAUAUAGAACAAAAUUGUAUCACUUAUUUUCAAAGAUAUAGCAUUAUUUUUAUUAUUUUAUCUUUCAAAAAUAAAAUAAUUUCUAACAACUCAAAUAUUGUAAGUUUGAAAGUUAAAAGAAUUAAUUGUAUAACAAAAAAGUAAACAAGUUUAUGUAAUAAAACAUUUAAUUAUCAAGUAAAAACUAAGCAAGUAGUAAAAUUUUAUACACAUUUAAAUGAAAAUCCAACAUACAAAUCUAGUCAAAAGUAUAUUACACUUUAUUUCAAAAACAAUGAUCCACAAUUGUAUUAGAAAAAAGAACCCAGUCAAGUGGAAAACCGGACAGGCUCCAAUUGAACCACCAUGUCAAAUAGGUUUGAUCGGACCAAUUCAUUCUCCAAUCAAACUAGAAAUCCUUUCGGCCGGAUGGUCGAGUUAUUGGUAGGAUUAAACGAAUCGAAUCACCUACGAGCAAUUCAAUCCAAAGCUCGAGUCGAGCUCGAUCAACAUCGAACUCGAGUCGAGCUCAACCUGAUCAAGUCAAACUCGAAUUUAAAUUCGAGUUCAAAGAUAUUCAACUCAUUAGUUCAUAAGCCGACUUAAUUAUAUAUAUAUAUUAUUUUUUAUUUUAAUAGUAAAAUUACGUUUAUAUUCCUAAUAUUUUAUUAUUUGUUAAGAAAAUUAUUAUUUUAUUUCCUUUUUAAAAAAUAAAAUAAUUUUUUUAAAUUCGAGUUUGAAUUCAAACUCGAUUCAAAUUUGAGUCAAGUUCGAGCUCAAGUUGUUACAUUGAGAGCUUGUUGAGUUCAAGCUCGAGUUUGAGCUUGAUAAAACUAAGUCAAGUUUGAAUCGAUUAAACCAAAGUCGACUCUACUCAACUCAUUUAUAGCCUAUUUCAUUGGGCUGAUUGUUUCAACUACUAGGGUCACGCCAGGUUCAAUAACUAUAGGGGAUGAAAUAAAAAGUAAAACAAAAAUUCCAUUGUGAAACAAAUGUAAAAAAAAUUUAUUUGGCAAGAAAACAAUGAUAGGAUUUAAAAGUGGAGGAGAAAGGAAAUUUGAAUUUAAGAUCUCUAAAUCCUAAGGUCUCAACCUUAGCCACUAAGCAUAUAGUGUUAUACCUCAUGAUCUCUUGUGCAUGUGAAAUUAUCCUAUUAUCCUGGCCCCUUGAACUUUCUUUGAAAGUGGAUCACUGAUUUUUCCUUUUUAGGCUAAAUUAACUUCAAAGAGGGUAAAUAUGGUAUUGGUUGAUUUCAAUGCUAAUAUUUGUCUUGUAUAUUUUUUUCUCAGCUAUUUUCUACUUUGGGCUCUUGAACUAUAGACAUACUACCACUUUAAUCAUUAAAUUUCAAAGUUAAGCACUUUAUUUCUUAAAAUAUGAAAUUCAUCUUACUUUAGUUUUGUAUUCAAAAUUUUGACAGCUAGUUUUGUCACAAAACAAAGAAAGAUCAAAUGGCUUCACGUUGCCAAAGCACAACUAAGGUAAAAUUGCGAUUUUGAAACCACAAGGGGUUAAGAGGCAAAACAUUAAACCACAAAGAAGUAACAUUAAUUUAAUUAUUUAAUAUCAUAUUUCAAACUAGCAAACAAAUAUAUUGCACUAUAACGGAAAAUCUUUUACAUGCAUACAAUACAUCAUCGAUCUUCUUCAAUGUCUUUGUCCUAAAGUGGAAAAACUAAAAUGGAUUCUUCUUUGCAUUAUGCCAUAGUAAUUUCAUUUUUUUACAUCAAUUUUGCUAUCAAUAGCAUUCAUAAUAUAACUCAUGUACUAUUUUAGUUAAACUCAAAAGUUAAAUUAAAAAUACCAAACUUUUUCCAUUUGAUUAAUCAUUGGAAAAUUUUCCAUGAACUUAAACCCUUUUACACUAUAUAAAUGUUUCUAGCAAAUUGAAUGCAAAAACUUUCUCAAAUGCACUUUAUAUUCAUGUAUGCUGAUCAAGCAAUCAAAAUAAAAUUAUAACAUAAGUAUAUGAGUUUUAAAAACCAUAUCAUAGAUAAAUGGAUAGAUAACUAAAUAAAAACGUAAUGCAAAAGUGCCCAACCCAUUUUCGGACGUCAGGCCAUCACGGUUAAAGGGAUUCCGCAAUGACCAUAACAAUACUACUUCAACAGUUGAACAUAUAUUCAAUAGUUAUUACAGUCCUAAUGCUUGCAAAAAGACUAAAUUUACUGUCCAUAAAUGACAAAUGAUGGAUCCAAAUUUGCAUGUGAUCUGCUAAUGCUGAAAUCUUACUGUUGCGUAUUCAACUAAAAUUUGACUUAGAAAAUUCAAUAAGUUACGUGGUGGUCUUCUAUAGGUACAUAUUUUCGUUUGAAAGUGAAUUCACACCCCUCAUCCUAUAUUUACAUAUUCUACUAACUUCAAUAAUAUUAAUUCCAAUAAUAAAGGUAUGAAUUUAAAAUGAAGGCAUGUGAAUUUAGUACUACAAACAAGAAAUUGUAAGAAUUAAGAUUGUAUUCAACACCAAUUCCAAGAAGAGACGGCCAUAGCAAGGCUGCAGAACUUACCUUCAGUGGAUUUAGGAGGAGGACCGCCAGGAGAGUUUGGCGAUGCAGAGGAUACAGUAUCAUAGAAGCUGGAGACCUCAUACCUCAGGUUACAGCUUGGAUAAAUUACUCUCCCUCCCUGCUUCUUGGAACAGCACGCGGGUACAUCUCUUAUAGCCUCUGUGAGGCACCUGUUACAGUCAUCAGGGGAUAGAUCUGGUGUGCACUGCGUAAGGGUAUACAAUCUCUUUUGAUCAGUGGAAUAAUUGCCUUCUUCGACAGCAAACUUUUUGCCCAUGGCAUGAUAUGCAGCCUCAUCCGCAGCGUUAUGCAACAAAUUGAUCAAUACCAUUAUGAAUUUGUCCCAGUCAGGUCCAGGGACAUCGACUGGAUUGCGCCUAGUCAAAUUCUCUCCCAAAUCAGCCUUGGAGAAGAUCGUCUGGUCAGAAAAACGUACCAAGCACUCGUCAUACCAAACAAUAGCAGCUGUUUGAUUCGGGCACUCAUGAAGUAGUCGUGUGCGGGCAUCUGCGACGCAUUCUUUGCAAACAUCAGUGUUGACAUCACCUCGACAGAGAAAGAGGCCAUAGACCUUGUUUGAAGGGUCAUCGCCAGUACUGAAAUUAUAGAAGCCAUUGUUGUCUGUCCAAGAUGCAUGCGAAGACAGAGUGUCAAGCAAGAAAUUCAGAUUGGCUCUGUAAAUGCUGCCGGAAGGACUGUUAGGAUUGUAUGUAAUAUUUCCACAGUAAGAGUCAAGAUAGUUCCAGGGGUUUGUGUCGUUGGAAGUGGAACAACAAUAUUCAAUGGUAUGGAAGCUAAGCAAACAAAGCAUGUAAUAUUUGAAGUGGAACAACAAAUUUCUGGAGAUCAUUUCGAAGGAAGGCAUCAAAAGAGUAAAAGGCUAACAACCUACAAACUAGAUUGGUAGAUUAGGAGCCAAAUUAAGUAUUGUUUGAGGGACCAUGAAAGUUGUAUAAGCCAGGAAAACUUAUGGCCUGGGAAAACUUGACCUUGGCAGACAACCAACUCGCCUGGACGUGAACCAUCAGCUGAAUGGUCUCUAACCAAAAUUCAAUACGUCAGUAAUAGAUUUUUACCGUUUGACAAAAAAAAAAAUAAUGGAUUUUGACGGGAAUGCAAAUUUCAGGAUGCUAACAACUAUCAAACAACGUCAUCGUGGAGGAUAAUUGUAAUUUGAGUAAAGUGGACCCAAAUUGAAUCUCUAUCUAUUAGUUCAAUACUUUUAAGAAAAAGUUCUCUAUAUAUAGUUAAAAGGAUAAAUUAUACACAUAAUCCCCUAUAGAUUCAUUGAUUGUCACAUGACAACCCUAAUAUUUUCAAUAUUCAUAUAAAACCUCUAUGGUUUCAUAUAAAAUAGAAAUUUUACAAAAAAAAAUCUUAUGUUACACAAUUAGUUGAACUACUAUUAUUGCCCUUACUUAAAUAUUAAAUCGAACAACAAUCAGACCACCUUGUAUAAAGUUAUAGAAGAAUUAUGUGGAUAAAUACAAAAUCUAUAGAGGGUUAAAGUAGAUAUUUAUAAAUUGUAGGAGCAUUAAGUGGAUAUUAUUAAUUCACCACAUGCAUUUUUGGAGCACAUCUAGUUCAAUCACUGUAACCAUUGAUGUUUUCCGUCUAUUUUUCAUAUUACAUGAAACAAUAGGGGUUUAUGCGGAUAUUUUGAAAUGUAAAGGAGAUCAUAUAUUAAUAUAAAAAUCCAAGGUGAUUACAUGUAAUUUACCAUAAAAUCCCGUAAAGUCUGUCGCAUUUUAAUUGGAUUGAAACUUUCCAAUAAUUUUUGUUGUCAAAAAUGCCAAUAAACUGUCCAACUACUUGUUUUGCAGUACAUACGUGUUCACCAUUUUGUCAAACUGAUUUACAUUUCUUAAUCUUCUUUUGAUUAAUUCAAAGGAACCCUCAAGGAAAGCAACGUCUACCCAUUUAUUAAUGACCAAUUCCGCGUUGCUUUGUUUUAAAAAAUUCAUCAAGUUUAAGAGCCACUUUUUGAACAUAGUUACAAGGGUGCCUGCAGCAUCAGUAAGAAGCGACCAUUAUGAUGGUUGCUGAUCUUUGUUUUUGCAAGAAACCGGUCACAAUAGAGCUACUCCUGUAAAUCCUCGUUUAUGUUAUCAGUUUUUGUGAACCAGGGUUUUUCGAGAAUGAAAAGGAACUAAUAUUCUCUUGCUCCAUAUUCUAACUUAAGCGAUGACCAACCUAAAAAUCCCCACUACACUACUAAGUAGUAGGCCAUAAUAUAUGCUUUCCUGCUGUGGAUGAGACAGAGAGAGGAUUGGAGGUGGAAAAGAAAGAGAAGGAAAUCUUUGUUAUUGUUUUGCAUUAGAAUCUUUAAUAUAGGAAGAAAAUCUUUGUUAUUGUUUUGCAUUGGAGAACCUAGUAAAUUCUUUAAUAUAGGAAGAAAAUCAAAAGGAGCUCUAACAUUUAAAGGAAAUUUGUGAUCCUAUUGCCAAUUGCGUUUGUACACAUAUCUUCUCAAUGAUCUCAUUCUCAUACGUCGAGAGCUACAUACAUUAAGCAAAACCGCUAUGAUUAUCUAACCUAAAAAAUUUUAAAAAAAAAUUCUUCAACAAAAAAGGGAAAAAAAUGCAAAGAUUUGCAAGAUUACAGGAAAAUUAAGAAUUGUGUCUUGUCCCCAAUACUUCAAUGCUGCCAAGUCAAAUGCACGUGCAGAAGCUUCUUCAUCAUCGUAAGCUCCUGCCAGGAAAAAAACAAGUGACUCUUUUUUCUUUUCUUAUUUCAUAUGUCAGCACAAGAAGUUUAGUGAUAAACUUCUUUUCAAACCGAUAUAGUAAUAUUUCUUUCAAAUUUCGAAUUGAGGUUUAGUGAUAAUUAAAGAAUUUGAUAGUACCUUUUAUCCAAUCUACUAAGUGCACGUAAUAGAAGGACCUAAAUUUUAAGAAAAAGUCAAUCAAAAUUUCAAGCAUGACGAAAGUCAAAAUAUUGAAUGGAGUGGAAAGUCAAGCUUAAAAUUGAAACUCGAUGUUGAUUUCGAACCCGAGUUGGAGCAUGUUAAAAAUAAGGCUCAGCCGGAUUCGAUUACACUUCGGCCCACACCAACCCCCGUCACUAAUCUCAAUAUUUGAAAUUCCUUCGAGCUCUAAACGGCAACCUAUCCUUUCUUGACAUGCGUCACAAUAAACUAUCAAUAGAUACCAUUAGGGAACGGCUUCAAGCCCUUUAAAAAAAAUGAUGAAAUACAGAGUCCUCCUUAACGUGCCAAUAGUUUUUCCUGUCAAUCACAACAUCACAAUUCCCUGGCUUUUCCUGACCCAGAAAAAGAAAGAAUGAAAUGAAGGAAAGAAAAAUCCAAGAUGAAGAAUAAGAAAUAUUUUGUUGAUCUGCCAUUAUCUCCCAUACACUUGCUAAGAUAUUCACUUGUAUAAUUUUGGGUUGAUAAUUUUGUAUUUUUUAAUAUCAAUUUCCAUAUUCUAAAUUUCAUCUAUGCAUUUGGGGAUUUCAUAGAAUUUUAUAUACCUUUAAAUUCUCAAGAUUUCUAGGUUUUUUGUGAUUAUUUAUGUAGCAGAAUAAUUCACAGAUGUAGUUAUUCACUUGAAAAAGUUCAUAUGCUAAAUGUGAAGAUUGUAUAAAUGCAUCAACUAUCCUUUUUCUUUUUUGCGUAAUCAUUGAUAGUUGGGAUAGCCAUCAUAUUUACACAAUUAUAUGAAUGGUUUUUCUUUGCUUGAAGAAAAGGGAAAAAGAUUGGCUAAGUUACAUUAAAAAGAAGAAUAGAAAAAGGUAAGUCCAAUAAGGAAAAGAAUAAAGAAAAGAGAAAAUUAAAUGACAAAAUUGGGUAAAUACUUUAAACCAAAAAAAAAAAAGAAGGAAUAACAAAUACGAAGAUUGUAUGAAUGCAAGUACAAUGUUAUUACAAUAGAAUACUUAAGAAAGCUUAGGUGAUAAUAAAUCAUUGAAUGCUGAAAAAGUUCCAAAUCAGGAUGAAUCUGAUAUAAUUUAAACUCUUUUUAACUAAUAACACACUCCAAGAAUUGUGAACCAAGACAGCCUUCAUAUUGGUUUUGUUACCAAACGUAUACAAUGAUAUAAUUGAUAGACUCAGUUUGGAAGCCAACUUUGCUAUGUACAAAUGGUAAAAGUUCAAGACAUACUGUUUGUUCGAUCAGCUGGGGAUUAAUGUUCAUAAAUAAAAUUGCUCUUCUAUUUUUAAAAAAUAUCUAAAGAGCGACAACAACUUGCAUUUUCUUUCAAGCACAUCCUUAUACCCCUAAGGUGGAAGAAGUCAAUUAGUGUGAAGAAGCAAACAUUGAAGCGAUCCCCUAAUUUCCAACAAUAGUGGGCAAAUUUAGAUACCUUCCUGGUUAAUGAAUCAUGCUUCAAAAUCUACAACAUAAGGCUGAUGAUGAACUUGAUAUUUUCUUCCAGAAUUGGCCUAUUUCUUCCUUCAUCUGGGAUAUGGUUCAGUAAUUGAUGCAUCAUUGACAGAGCUUGGAGCUGAAGUUCUUUGAGUGUUGGAUUGAUCAACUUUCAGCUCGUCUACCCUGUUCUCCGAUCCAUUGCUCUGGAAAACUGCCGGACGAUGUGGAGUUGGUAGGGAAACAGAACCAGGAUUGUGCAUGCAGACCACGGAAGCCAUUGUGGGUCUUUUACUGGCAUCUUCUUCAACACAUAGUAAGCCAACUUGGAUGCAUUGAAUGACUUCAUUUCUGGCAUAAGAAUCUCCAAUGCUUGAAUCCAAAAGAGCUAAAGUUUGGCCGCGUCUCCAAUGGUUCCAAGCCUUUUCGAAAUAAUCCCACUCAUAAGGUGUACAUUCUUAAAAACUUCAAUUAGCUUAAAUAGAUAUACAGGUAAAUGUCAAUAUUCACAAUAGGCAAUUGUCAAUACUCUCUAUUUCAAGUUUAAUCAUAUAAAAGGAUGGAUUGAUCUUUCCUACACUGACAAGUUUAAUCAUAUAAAAGGAUGGAUUGAUCUUUCCUACACUGACAGUGUUGAAAUGCCUUGAAUUAGAUCUUCAACCCCCGCUGAGCUGUACGGUUUCGGGUCUUGUUUUGGGCCUAUUGUUGGGUCCAGUCUGUUUGGCUGUAUAUAUAUACACCUUAUGUUAGUUUGUAAACUAUUUUUCUGAUUGCAACCCUAAUAAAAUCUGAUUUCCCCCAAGUUGUUCUUGUCUGCUCUUGUUUGUUCUUCUGUUCCGCUGCAACUGAUAUAACAAACUGGUAUCAGAGCUCUAGGUUUGUCCUAGGGCUCGGAUCACGCAACAACAUGUCUGCUUUGAACAUCAAGAUCGACAAGUUCACUGGGAGAAAUAGUUUCAGUCUAUGGCAGAUCAAGAUGCGGGCUCUGUUAAAGCAACAGGGUCUGUGGAGUCCGCUGACGAAGAAGAAAUCGGAUUCCGUUGAUGAAGAGUCGAUGAGUCUGGAGGAAAAGGCUCACUCGACAAUCAUGCUGUGUCUGGCAGAUGAUGUCAUCACUGAGGUCGCCGGUGAAGAAACUGCUGCGGGUUUGUGGGUUAAACUUGAAAGUCUCUAUAUGACGAAGUCUUUAACCAACAAGUUGCUCCUAAAGCAACGUCUGUUCGGUCUGCGUAUGCAUGAAGGUACUCCUCUUCGAGAACAUUUAGAUCAAUUAAAUACAAUUCUUCUUGAAUUGCGUAAUAUUGAUGUUAAAAUUGAGGAUGAGGAUGCCGCGUUGAUUCUAUUAGUGUCUCUACCGUUAUCGUAUGAGAAUUUUGUUCAGUCUUUUAUUGGCGGUAAAGAUACAGUGACUUUAGAAGAAGUAAGAUCAGCACUGCAUAGUAGAGAGUUGCGCCAUAAGGCGGCUGGUAAUGUUACAGAUAAUCAGGCUGCUGGGCUAGUUGUCAGCAGUAGUAAGGGAAAAUUAGGGAAAAAGAAGUCCGAAAAUAAGAAGCAGUUCUCUAAAGGUCCCAAGCCGGAGGAUGUUUGUAACUAUUGCAAGGAAAAUGGUCAUUGGAAAUCUGAUUGUCCCAAGAAGAAGAAAUAGCAGGAAAAACAACACGCUUCAGCUUCAGUUGCAGAAAAGGAAGCAGAAAAUUCAGAAGAAGACCUGGCCCUAAUUGCAAACGAACCAACACAUCACUCUGAUGUGUGGGUUCUUGAUUCUGGGGCGUCCUAUCACAUAUGUCCAAAUAGAGAAUGGUUUACAACAUAUGAGCAGAUAGAUGGCGGAAAUGUCGUUAAGGCUAAUAGCGCUGUCUGCAAGGCUGUUGGAAUCGGUUCGAUUAAGAUCAGGACACAUACUGGAAAAAUUGCCACACUGAACGAAGUCAGGCACGUCCCCAAAAUGCGAAGAAUCUGAUAUCACUUAGUACUCUUGACAGUAAGGGUUUCAGGUUCAGCGGAGGAAGUGGAGAGUUUUGCAUCAGUAAAGGUUCAUUAGUGGUUCUCAAAGGAGUUAAGCAUGGCACCCUGUACAUCUUACAAGGUUCUACGCUAACAGGUUCUGCUGCUGCUGCUGUUGCAUCUUCUGAAGAUCGCAGGUCUGAUAUGACCAAGCUAUGGCACAUUAGGCUUGGUCAUAUGAGCGAAAGGGGGAUGCAGAUUCUGUCUAAACGUGAUCUUCUAGAAGGCCACAAGGUCACCGAUCUUGGAUUCUGUGAACAUUGUACUUUCGGUAAACUACAUCGCAGAAAGUUUGGGAAGGCAAUUCACAGGACAAAAGGCACACUAGAUUACAUCCAUUCUGACUGUUGGGGUCCUUCACGAGUUGAGUCUUUGGGAGGCUGCCGGUAUUUUUUAUCCAUGAUUGAUGAUUAUUCAAGGAUGACUUGGGUAAUCGUUAUGAAGGAAAAAGGUGAAGCUUUCAAGAACUUCAAGCAGUGGAAGGCCUUAGUGGAGAAUCAAACUGGAAAGAAGAUCAAAAGGCUGAGAACUGAUAAUGGCCUGGAAUUCUGUUCAAAGGAGUUCGAUGAAUUCUGCAAAGAUGAAGGAAUUGCUCGGCAUCACACAGUUCGGCACACACCACAACAAAAUGGUGUAGCAGAACGCAUGAAUCAGACACUUCUAGAGAGAGCACGGUGUAUGCUCUUCAAUGCUGAGUUGCCAAGGAGGUUCUGGGCGGAAGCAGUGAGCACGGCCUGCUUCUUGAUCAACCGUGCACCUCAUACAGGUAUAGACUGCAAGAUACCUUAUGAAGUGUGGUCUGGUAUGUCCCCUACUUACUCAAAUUUGAAGGCUUUUGGUUGUACUGCGUAUUAUCAUGUCAGUGAGGGCAAACUAGAACCAAGGGCUAAAAAGGGAGUGUUUCUGGGAUAUGGAGAUGGGGUUAAAGGAUAUAGAAUCUGGUCACCCUCAGAAAAGAAAGUUAUACUUAGUAGAAGUGUAAUUUUUGAUGAAAACUCUAUACUUAACCCCCCUGUGAAGACUGUUGUUGAAGAAAGUGCAGGUGUUGAUAAACAGGUGGAGCUACAAAUCAUUCAAAAUGGUUUUGAAUCACAGCAGCAAUUUAGUGAUCAUCAACAGCUAUCCUAUGAAACUGAACCUCCUGCAGAAGUACAGUCUCCAGAACCUACAUCAGCAGAAAGGUUGGCACCUAUAUCCCAUACUGCGUCAGAAACUCAGCAGCAUGGUAUUGCUUAUGAUCGUGCAAGAAGAGUGGGAGUACAAGCUCCCAGCAGGUAUCGGGAUUUUGUAGGUUAUGCAUUUCAGGUUGCUGAGGAGGUGGAUUCUCCCGAACCCUCUACCUAUAGAGAAGCUAUUUCAGGCAGUGAGUCAGCUCAAUGGCUUGCUGCAAUGGGUGAUGAAAUGGAGUCGUUACACAAGAACGGCACUUGGGAAUUGGUCAAACGGCCAGCAGAGAGAAAGGUUGUGACUUGCAAAUGGGUCUUUAAAAGGAAGGAAGGAAUUUCUCCAGCUGAGGGCAUCAAGUAUAAAGCACGUGUUGUUGCAAGAGGGUUCACUCAAAGAGAAGGAGUAGACUACAAUGAGAUUUUCUCACCAGUGGUCAGACAUACUUCUAUCAGGGUGCUACUAGCAAUGGUUGCACAUCAGGACUUAGAACUUGAGCAGCUAGACGUGAAGACAGCUUUCCUACAUGGAGAGUUAGAUGAAGAGAUUUAUAUGACUCAGCCAGAUGGAUUCCAUGUUCCGGGAAAAGAAGAUUAUGUAUGCAAGUUGAAGAAAUCUUUGUAUGGAUUAAAGCAGUCCCCAAGGCAGUGGUAUAAAAGAUUUGACGGCUACAUGAUUGAGCUAGGCUACAACAGAAGUCAGUAUGAUUGUUGUGUAUAUCACAACAAACUUGAAGAUGGUUCGAUGAUCUAUUUGAUUCUGUAUGUAGAUGAUAUGCUCAUAGCUGCGAGGAACAAAGCUGAUAUACAGAAGUUGAAAAGUCUUCUCAGUGCAGAGUUUGAGAUGAAAGACUUGGGUGCAGCACAGAAAAUUCUGGGAAUGGAGAUUUUCAGGGAUCGAAGUCAGAAGAAGCUUUUCUUAUCACAAAAGAGCUAUAUUGAGAAGGUAUUAUCCAGAUUUGGCAUGUCUACAGCAAAGCCCUUGAAUACUCCGAGUGCAGCGAAUGCUCAGCUAUCAGUUACGCUCGCACCACAAUCAGAAGCUGAGAUAGAGUAUAUGGCUAAGGUUCCCUAUUCUAGUGCAGUGGGUAGUUUGAUGUAUGCCAUGGUUUGCACUAGACCUGAUCUGGCACAUGCAGUCAGUGUUGUUAGCAGAUUUAUGGCUAAUCCUGGGAAGGAGCACUGGCUGGCCGUGAAACGAAUUUUUCGGUACUUGAGGGGUACAUCUGAUGUUGGUCUCAUCUAUGGAGGUGAUACAGAGUGUUUGAUUAUAGGCUAUUCAGAUUCUGAUUAUGCUGGAGAUGUUGAUAGUUGGAGGUCGAUGACUGGUUAUGUUUUCACUCUUGGGCAUUCUGUAGUUAGUUGGAAAGCAACUCUACAACCUACAGUGACUCUGUCCACUAUUGAGGCAGAGUAUAUGGCACUGACGGAGGCUGCUAAAGAGGGAAUUUGGUUAAAGGGGCUGGUUGGAGAUCUUGGCCUACAUCAGGAUCAGGCUAAUAUAUAUUGUGAUAGUCUCAGCGCAAUAUGUCUAGCCAAGGAUCAAGUUCAUCAUGAGAGGACUAAACACAUUGAUGUCCGAUAUCACUUCUUGAGAUCUGAGACAAGGAUCAAGGUGAAGAAAGUUGGCACUGCUGACAAUCCUGCUGAUAUGUUCACCAAGCCGGUCCCUCAUAGCAAGUUCAAACAUUGUUUGGAUUUGCUAAAUGUCCUAAGUUUCUGAUGGCCCUUAUGGGCAUUCUGAUGGUACUUAGAGAUAAUUCUCUGAGUACUUCUGGCACUUCAUUAGUGCAUCUGUUACAUUCUUUCGGGGAAGAUUCAAGUCAAGGUGGAGAUUGUUGAAAUGUCUUGAAUUAGAUCUUCAACCCCCGCUGAGCUGUACGGUUUCGGGUCUUGUUUUGGGCCUAUUGUUGGGUCCAGUCUGUUUGGCUGUAUAUAUAUACACCUUAUGUUAGUUUGUAAACUAUUUUUCUGAUUGCAACCCUAAUAAAAUCUGAUUUCCCCCAAGUUGUUCUUGUCUGCUCUUGUUUGUUCUUCUGUUCCGCUGCAACUGAUAUAACAGACAGUGUAUACACUGUUGUCAGUGUUUGAUGAACAACAACUGUGCAAAAUUUGAAUUUCAAAUUUAACUUUUACACAUAUAUCAUGAAUCUAAGGGUGAUAGUUGUAGACACCAAAUUUUGAAAUAAUUUGUAUGCUUCGUUUUAGUGAUAAUUCUUAUCUGUUGAUUUUUGUUAAUUUCAUGUUUUUGUUUUAGAUGGUUUGCAUUUUAGUUCAUUAUUGUUUGUUUAGCCCUUUUAGGUGUUGUUUUAUUUUAGUUUUAUUCACUUUUUAGUUUUUAGUUUUUUUUAUUUUUAAGUUUUAGCGUAGAAUUUCUAGAAAAAGGGAAAAAGAAGGAAAAAUAUUCAAAAAUAUGCUGAGUUGUUUUAAUACAAUGUUUUCUUAAAGGAAAAGGAAAAAAGAGAAAAAAAAGAAAAAAAAAAAAGAUAGGAAAAAGAAAAAGGAAAAAACAUGGUUUAGGGCAUAUUGGCUUAUUUUUGACAAAAAGUGAAAAGUUUGAAAAUUGAAGGAAAAUCUUUUUAGUGUAAUAGAAAUUAUUACUUUUUGAUACAUUUUAACUAUUUUCAAAGAAAAGAAAAUUUUCAAAAAAUAUUAAUUUAGGGGCAAGUUGGUUUUAUUUCAGGUUACAAGCAUUUUUUGAUUGCAUUUUAUUUUUGUUUCUAUUAUUGUUAUUAUUAUUUAUAUUUUAUCAAUUUUGUAUAGUUAAAAAAAAAAAAAAUAUGUGUCGCGGCAUGCACGCUGCAAUUUUUUGUAGCGUGCAAAGGACAGCCACGGUUGCCCUUUGGAAGGCUGGAUGUGAAGGCAAGGGUAAGCCCUUCAUCCUCACCAUUCGGGAGAGGGUUUAUGAAUGAGUGAGUUCAUAUAAAAGGGAAGAGAGCAGCAGCCGCAGGAGAGGUUCUUUAGAGAGUUGACGGGCUAAUAGAAAAAACUGGGGGAGUUUUUGGAGAGAAAAGGGGCGGCUGAGAUUGGGAAGGAGAGAAUAGAGAGUGGCAUCUGAAAAGGAAAAAAAAAACGCAGGAGACUAAGAGGGAGUUAGGAGAAUAAUAACGAGGGAAAAAUUCUGAGGAAGACACAAGAGAGGAUCUGGGAGCAAGCAAAGCAAAUCUGGAAAAUUUUGAAGAAGGCUUCAAAGCUGAGAACGAUAGGAAGGAGAUCGCUCGUCAAGGCAGGAGCUUCUGCAGCAAAAAUUCCCAACCGUAUUUCUUGGAACCCUCAUGCGUUUCUGGGUAGAUUUCAAGGUCACUCAACCGUGCUAGCAUUCUCAGGUAAAAAUGGCUCUUAUUUUGUGGGUUUAAACAUUUUUUUUAUGAGAAGAUAUGCCACGAAGGUGAAUCUUUUGAAUGAUCUGUUGCUGUUUUUGAGUUUUUGCUGGUCUCAUGACUUGGCCAUGAUUGUUUGGUAGCUAAGAUAGAGCAUAAUAAGAGCCUAUAGGAUGGGUUUAGGGAUUUUAUAAGGUUGUAUGAUGAAUGCAUGAGCUCUGAUUUUUCACGUGUUUGUAUGAACAAAACCAGAAAAACUGCAAAAGCUUUCGGCUUUAUGAUUUUUGUCAUGUUUGGGACUCUUAAUGCUUCCCUGAUUGCUGUUUUAUGUUUUUUUUACGAUGUUGGUGAUGGGUUUUGGCAAUGAAAGGCUCAGAUAUCAUGGUUUUCCCUCUCCCCUUUGUUCCAAAGUCCAGCGUACGAAUUAGAUUCUGGUUUGGGUCUGGGUAUUUGUUGCAUGAGGUUGCUAAAAUCUAGAGGCACCAGAAAUUGCAGGUGCUUCAUCAGUUGCAUGUCUACAUUUCUGCUUAGCUCCUUUAGCUAGUAUUUGAUUGAAGUUUGAUUAACCAUGUCGAUUUCCAGCUUCCUAAUGUAUAAAGAGCUCGCUGCCUAUUCUUUCUUUGUUGCUGUCCAUUUGCUGCGAUAAUGUUGUUCCGUGCCUUUUGUUGCAUUGUAAAACAAGUAGAUCAGGUGGUGUUUUGUUGUCUUGCACGAAUUACAUUCAGUUUGGGCUGUCAAAUGUGUAGAGUUUGUUUGAGUUCUCACACACAAACAUAUUUGGGCUGAAAUAGAAAAAGCUGCUGCAUUUGUUUCCUUUUCUCUGCCGUGUUUCCUUCUGCACUUCAGUUUCGUGUUCAAUCUUGUGUUAAGGUGGGGAAAUGGAAGUUUGGGUGUUGUGUAUGCAUGUUUGAAACUCUGAAACACUCGAGCUAUGGCCAAGCACUUGCUGGAAAAAUGCAUUUCAACUUGCCAAAUCAGUUUCAUAUGCUUCCAGAUUUUUCAAUUUGCUGAACGUAUUUCAUUUUUUUUUGUUGCAUUGGAUCUUGCUAAGUUUUUUGUUUGAUUGGAUGAUGGCUUGCUGCUUAGUUUAAAGCCUUGUGUGUGGACUUGACUAUGUUUGAAAGCUGGCUUGACAAGGUGCCAAAUUGCAGAAAGUCUUCAUCCGAAAAUUACAGAAGCAAAGAAAGCUUCGGUUUGCCGAAAGCUUCAUAUGCUUGUUGAAACCUUGUUGCAGCUUGAUUUUGCAUCAUUUCUUGCUGUGUUUUACUGGUUUGAAUAUCCAAGUUGUGUGCUGUGCUGUUUAAUUCAAAGCUUGGUCGUUGGUUUGAGAGAGUUAGAUCAAAGCUUGAGUUAGUUUUUCUGAAAUUUAUGGUUAAAGGUGAAAGCGCAGCCAGCAUUCUAGUUGCAGCAGGUUAAAAUGCAGAAAUCUUCUUCGUAUGCAUGCUUUGCAUGAAGAAAUAACUUCCAAAAAUUGCACUCCAACCCCUUGGCUUCUAUCUAAUGCUUCCAUGGCCCAAUUAAUUGGAAAACUUAAUUAAUUUUGUCCUCCUAACAUGCCAUUUUCUCUUUAAUACCUCUUGAUUUGUUUUGGGUAGAUACUUAAGGAGUUGUAGAAUGAAUUUGAAGGGGCUAAUAACUUUUUUUUUCUAGAUUUGUAGGCAAUUUGAUUUUUCUUGGAUUCUUUGGCAUUUUGUUGCUUAGAUACUAGCAAAUUGUUCCUCAUUUACCUUUUGUGAAUUUUCUCGUUUGAUUUGGUAUGUUUCACCUUCGAAUCUUAAUUUUAUUUUAUAUUUUUUUUGAGACCCUUAGUGUUUAUAAUAAUAAUAAAUUGGCCCGUUAAACCUCUUUAAUUUUUUCAAUUGGGUCUUUGCUUGUCUUAAUUGGUUAAGUACGAGUAGUUUACUUUCCUUGGAAUGCUUCGAGUGAUUCAAUUUGGCGUUUAUUCCCAUUUUCUCUGAUUUAGUUGAUAAUUUAAAUGGUACCUUGACCUUUUUAUUAUUUUGGAGGGUAAAUUAGUAAUUUCACUACGUUAGGGCGUCGAUUCAAGGGAGGUACACUCUAUCCCUUAUAUUUGCACUUCAUUUGACCCUACGUGCUCCUACGUGUUAUGUGAAUAUGCAUGUCUAUUUCGCUUUCCUUACCUUUCCUUAAUUCCUUGCAUUUAAUUUAUUUAAUUUUACUUUUAUUUAAGUUAUUCAUUAUGGGGUAUGUGUACACCUCUUGGCUUGUAAUGGAUAGGGUUUGGCGAGCAAUUUGGUCCAUUUUCCCCUUCCCUUUUUGUUUUAGUUAGCAAAUGUAAUAGAUUCAUUAGUUUGGUUGCAUGCCUAUGUGUUAUGUGUUAAGUGCUUUAUUAGGCUCUUGCAUCUAGUCGAGCAUGCUAAGUGUUAUGUGCUACGUGUUUAUAAGUGAUUCGCAUGUCUACUCGCUUUUUUAUAGUCAUGAAUGAAUGUGAUGGAUGAAUGGACGUCACCACACUAGUCCAAUACUAGUUGUGGCCCCCUUUCCCGUCACCACACUAGUCCAACGCUAGUUGUGGUUCAUUGUCCCGUUUCCACUAGUCCAAUGCUAGUAGGAAUUCAUAGAAAGGGCUUGUCCAACGCUAGACCCAAUAGGCCGUCCCUUUCGAUAGUGCAUAUUUGCAUGUUCACUACAUGUCAUGCAUUUUUCUUAGUUUUAUCAUUUGGCAUGCUCCUCGAACCCCUUUUCCCCUCAUGCUAGUUAUAGGGUACAUUUGCUUGAGAGUCCCCUUUCGAUAAGGGAAACGAGCGAGUUUGGCUGCGAAAUAGCCUUAGCACGCUAGUUUUUCCUUCUAAUCCAAGGAAAAAUCAAAGUCGUAAAGUUAGGAGUCCUUCCCGUGCCCGACUUGAUGCAUUCCCUUAGGGUCAUACACUUGCAUUCCUUUUAUAUCACCUCUUCACCUUUUAACCACAUUUUCUCACUUUUCUCAAUCCACACUUCCUCAACACCUUUUUAUCGCUUAUUUAUUUCUUACCUCACAAAUGGCACUCAAAAUUGCGCUUAUAUAUCUACUAUUCUAUUUUUCAUCCAUUUGCACACGAACACAUUUCUUUUUCUCACACUUACACACUUACACUUAAGUCCUCAUUUGCAUUUACCACAACUUCUAUGAGAGCUUUCCCUAUUGGCCACCACAAUUCAUGUGGUUGAGACCAAAAAGCCUCAUAAGAAACAUUUAGAUUUAGGAUCGCAUUUUUCUUUCCUUCUUGCAUUCAUAUAGUUAUAUACAACAUGCGAUACAUACUUUGGGUAGAAAAACUAGGAAAAGAAGGGUUAAGUCACGCAACUAGCCUUUGCUAGGGUAAGGGAGUGCCUUAGGCUUUGCCUUCGCCUUCUCCCUUAUCAAAUGUGACCCCCGAUACCUCGCUUUGGUUACGUAGACCUAAAAGUUUUAAAAAGGGUUUGUCUAUUUCGCUUUUCCAAAAAAUCACUUUUGGGUGACUUGGUACACCCUAACUCUAUACCAAGUGGCGACUCCAUUUUCUUUAAAAAACCCUUUUUGAACUUCGUUUGGCCAAAAUCGUCGCAUUCUCAAGUCCCAUGGCCUUUUACUUUUCAUUUUCACACGUUCACAUGUAUAUCAUACACACUACUCACUCUCACACACACCACACACCACAUCAUCAAAAAGUGGGGCGCGACAGUUGGCGACUCCACUGGGGAUUUUCUAAGUGGGUCCAAGCAUUUGAUUUGGCCAUUCUUUUCCCUUUUCUACCCUUUUUAUGCAUAGCAUUGGAUAUUAGGGUUGCAUUUUCUACUUUAGGACUUUUUUGCCUCGCGCGCAUAUCAAACUAUUCCCUCACUCACGUAUGUAUGAUUGGUUGUUUGGAUGUAUAUUCUACUUGUUUUAUCUCGCGCUUUGCAUUGCAUUUGGGUGGGGGGAUAUACCCUAGAGCCUCGCGUUGGUUCUUGAUCCCUCCCCUCCAAACGAGCACUAGCAUACGUGCAUACGCUUUAAUUUUUUACCGCUCAUUUAUUUUUCUUUUAGUGGCCUGUCACGCCACUCCACCCUACUAGGAUUUUAGGCGACUCACUUGGACUUGUGAUCGCGACACGAUGUGUGCGUAGCAUGAUCCGAGGAGUCACUCGAUCUUCCAUUUUAAGCUUUGGGUUCAUAACCUUUAGCUUUUAAUUGAAGAUUGAGGAUUUUUGAUAGAUUCACUCAUGACAUGUAGCCGUGACACGAUGUGUGCGUAGCAAUGUCUGGGGAAUCGCUCGAGCCACCGACAAGGAACCUUGGAAUUGAUGACCCUCGGUUUCCAAGUCUGAAGGCUCGGGGACCUAAAACCUAUCGAGUCUAGAUGCAUUAGUGAGCCAACCCCAUGCAUCCAUAAUAGUUUUACCUAGGGUAGCGUCUGCCUUACCCUAUUAUGAAUACUAUUCACGAGGGGAGGGGUCCAACCCCUUUCUCCUUUUUAUUGCUUUAUUUCUUUGUGUUGAUUUCGUUGCUACAAGGUGUUAUGUGUAUUUAUGUGAUUGAACUAACCUUUCUUGGUUUUGUCUCCAUUGCAUUCAUUAGCCCUAGAAAAUAAGAGUCCUGGCAUGGCACUCUCUAAGAACCUACCCCAUUUGAUGUGACACGUUUAAAUUCAAUGCUUCACAUAUGUAGCAUGAAUACAUUUCAUUUUAGGCUUACCCUGGCAAAUAAAUGGUCCCUUAGGUCAUGCUUCAUUUCAAAUUACAUGUUUUACUGCUUUAAUAAACGGGCAUCACGCAUAAACCCUAGAAAGGGAAUGCCAUUUAGGGGAUCCUGUGUUAGGAAUAGGCCACCUUGUGUCUCGGAUAUUUAAUCCAGUGAGACUUGCACGUUUACAUUUUGUACCAUCCAAAGGGGCAGUGCACAAGGUAAGGUAGGAUCCGAUCAUUUUCAUAGAGUGAUCUUUGGAAUAUGAGCAUCUAAUAAUCACUUUUUGGCCAUUUUAUCAAAAAUUGGUAAAAAUCCCUUGCGUGAAGGGCAUUAAUUUGAAGAAAUUCACAAAUGAUUCCUCCUAUUGAAACGAUAAAUAAAUUGAGGCAAAAUUUUGAUUUUUAGAAGGUCAUAGACUAAUGCACCUCAAUAAUUUUGAAAUAACCAAUGGCUGGACAAUUCAACCAAUCCAUUUUGCCAAUUCAUUCAAUUCAUUUGACCUGUUUCCCUUUAUAGGGUAAACCGGUCGAUUUUUAAUAAAUUGUCAAUUUCAUUUGACCAAUUAGGGUUUCAAUGUCGAAUUUCAAAAUGGAAAACCUAGUCGAUUUUGAGAAAAACAUCCAUUGCAUCCAGCCAUUUGAUCAGUUGGAGUUUUGACCUGCGCUUCACUAAGAAAAUUUGUUAACAAGUUCCAAUCUCUUUGAUAGGAAGUUCGUCAAAGUCAAAACCCGUGCAUUUUUUUUGCAAAUUCUUGUAUCGAUCAAAAGUGAUCAAUCUAUUUGGUCGUUGACCUCAUUUUGACAAAGUGUCUCUCGUCAAUCCAAUUGACCAAAUUUUUCAAAAUUAUUUUUCACUCAAUGAGUUGAUCAGAUCCAUCAGGUAUGGUAUAGUGCCUACCUCAGAGGAUUGCAUUUUCAUGCUAGGCCUACCCUUGGCACAAAAGGGCUCCCCCGCAGGACAUGCAUCCGAAUUUUUUGGAUAUUUACUAACUCUUGUCUUUUUCUUUUCCUUUUCUUUAUUUUCUUGGAAUAACUAAGCGAGGGUUAAAUCUAAAGGCAAUUUUUCAAAAAUUCUCAGGUAAUAUUUAAACAUAGCUUCUCGUCGAAACCCCAUCAUAACGCGAUCCCGUAGUCAAGCCUAGAGGAGUCGUGUAAACAUGAGUUCGCAACCGAAACUGUCGGAUAAGUCUGCUACUACAGCCCAACCUGAGACUGCAAGUUUGGGGGUCCAACUGACCGAGAUGCUUACGAAGUUUGGUGAGAUGGCAUCUGAAAUGGCCGUCCAAAAGAAAUUAAUCGAUGAGCUUAUCAGUAGCGGAGUUCAACCCGAGCCUGUACUCGUCAGUCAAUCGGGGCCAGAAUCAUUGGUCAUGCCCACGACCCAAACUACUUUUACUCCAUCCUUCAUCAUUCCACCCGAAGGAACUUUCACCUAUCCCACCAUAAAUUUGCCAUACACUUACCCUCCUAACCCUUCGUUCUUUCCUACUCACAUGCAAGGUCCCCAACCGCAAAUCACUUCAAACAUACCACCUGAGCUACAUACCUUUUAUCACGCUGCUGCUGAGCCUUUCUUGCCAGACCAUACCAUUCAAAACAAGCCAGCAAUGGGAGAAUCUUCUGCUCCCAUUGAUAUGAAGUUUCUCAAGCGCCUUGACCGUUUUGAUGAAUUUAUGAGGAAAAGUCAGGGUUUAAACAAGCAAGGAGUGCUGGACUAUGAUGAACUGUGUCUCUUUCCAAAUGUUCAAUUGCCUGAGGGGUUCAAAACUCCGAAGUUUAACAAAUACGAUGGCACGGGCAAUCCCAAGACACACCUCCGAUUGUUCGCCAAUAAGUUGGGUAGGCCGGUAGAUGAUGAAAAUCUACCUUUAAGGCUAUUCCCAGAAAGUCUGGAAGGCGACGCACUUGAUUGGUAUUCAACUUUGAAGUCUGAGGAGAUAAAAACUUGGCUGGACCUGUCCAAUGCUUUUGUAAGGCAAUACGAGUACAAUUGUGAGCUGGCUCCGACACGAACUAUGUUGGAGGGGACAAAGAGGAAGCCAUCCGAGGAUCACAAGACUUAUGCCAAGAGGUGGAGGAAAAUAGCUGCAAAAGUCGAGCCACCAAUGACGGAGGACGAAAUCAUACGUACUUUCAUUAAAGCACAUGAUCCGCCGUAUUUUGAAGAAAUAUUUCGCAUGACUGGAUGCUCGUUCGCCGCCAUUGUCAAUAAGUUUGAGGAGUAUGAUGACUUCGUGAAAGCUGGGAAGAUUGUUAAUGUCUCUGCCCUCAAAUCCCAGUUGGAUGCCUUGCAAGGACAGGGGAAUAGUGGGAAGAACCCGCAACUUAAAAAGAAAGAGGGGGAAGCUGCCUCCAUAUGGGAUCAAAACCCUAUUCCAAGGCCUAGACCUCGACAAUACCCUACAUACUCAAACCCUUACCCUUAUUAUUCCAACCCUCAUCCUGUUUAUCACGCCAAUAUCAGUCACCCUCGACCUCGCCCAAGCUAUCCUAAUCCACCUUUAGCCCCUUUGCAAAUUUCUCAACCAAAUCCUCACCAAAAUCGUCAUCGGCCUCCAUUCAAUCCAGGAAUGCCUCCACCAACCGUUUACAACUACCCUCAGCCCCCUAAAGCCAACAACCCGGGACGUAACCGCACAUUCACCAAUCUCGACAGGCCUUUGGAUCAAUUAUAUGACCAAUUGAAGGCUGCUGGGAAAAUAGGUAUCAUUCCCCCUCCAACCUAUCCGUAUGGCAUACCCGUAGGGUAUAACCCACAAGCUGUCUGUGCUUAUCAUUCAGGGGCACCUGGCCAUCCGAUUGCUGAGUGUAAAGCACUCAAGCAUAAAAUUCAAGACAUGAUUGAAGCUGGAGAGAUUGUAAUUAGAAGAAAAGAGGCACAAGCGCCAAAUGUGGAUAAGAACCCCCUGCCAGAGUACGAUAACACCAUUGGAUUUAUUAUGGACAAUAUGGAAUUUAAGGAGCCUGUUAGAAACUCGUCAAGUGAGGCUGAGGUGUUUGGAAAUGAUGCAGAAUUUCCCGACAUUCCUGAAGGAUCAAUUUUCAAUUGAACAGCCGAGUUUCUGCCAUUCAGAAGGAGUUUCGUAAACUUAAAGGGGUUUGUCAUCCAUGCGAACUCAUUGAAAAUGCUUUUGCAUCUGUAAAUAGCUAAUGAAAGCAUCUUUAUUUUUGACUAAGAGUUUGCACAUGUUUUCAUUUCAUUUUCACUUGCUUUCCUUUUAUUUUUGCUUUCAAUCAAAGGUUUUAUGAAAAGGCACAAGUCAUUCUUGUCAUGUUAUUUUGUUUAUUCGUUUGUUUAUAUUUCGGUCAUAUUGCUUGUUCAUUUGUUUGUUGUAUACUUGUUUGUUAUCCCAAAUUCCUUAAUUCUUUCAGAUGGCCAAAAAUAAAGCUAUUUGACCCUUUGGAUAUCACCAUUCUGGAAUUUAGUAAAGGCAAUCUCUAUCUCACUCACGACUUGAGAAUUUUGGAACCCAAAUUUUCAAGCGAGAGUGAUAAUAAGAAAAUAUUUGAUUCUUUUCAAAAAUCUUGAACAAUAUGAGGAGAAAUUCGAACCAAACCAAGAAGCCACAGCAAUUGUUCACUUUGGCACUGAGAAUGAGGUCAAGAAGACAUAAGUCAGCAUUCGUUUGGACGAAGUGAUAGGGUAUAUUUUGUUAGUAAUUUUAUUAGUAAUUUCCCCUUCUAUCCCUGACAAAUAUUGCGUUAGUUGCUGAUAUUUACUCAUAUUUGGUAUUUGGAAUCAAUUUCAGGAGUGAAGCAGAAAUAUUACCAAAUGGAGGGACUUUCUAGAGCAUAUUACUAAGGGUCAAUUCGGCAGGGCCGAGCAUUGGCAAUUCAUCUUCUUAAUUUCGGUGGGGGCCCAUGGAAUAAAGAUCACUAGUCAUUUGGCCAACAGCAGACAACGUACAAAGCCUAAGUACUAAGAAGAAAUUCGGCAGACUUGUGCCAAUUGAAGGGGACCACUGGAGAGAAGACAUGGAGUUGGCCUGGCCCACGGAAAUUGAAGCCUUAGUCAUCCUUUUGGCUUGAGAAAGAAAAAGGACGUAAAGAGGCUGCUGCUUGGAAUCUCUUUUGGGUUUUUCCUAAUUGUGGUGGGACCGCAGAGGAGAUGGUUUGAGUCAACUCCCUUUUGUUUCUUUAAAAGGAAAAGAACGUACAGAAGCAAGGGACCACCUUUUAGUUUUAGCUUUUAGUUCAGUUUUAGUUCUUCUUUCUCCUGACUGGCCUCUGACACACGCCAGGUGUUCGACAAUAUUCCCCAACGGGAAAAACACUUUUAUUCCUUGCUUCUUAAUAGAAAACGCAAUGCCUUUGCAAUUUAUUAAUUCGUGUGGUGAUUUAAUUAUGCGGCGUGGCUAAGUCUUCCGUCUAGUCAGGGGUCAACUCGACGGCGCAGUCCCGGAAAUCUGUGAGAUCUAAUUAGUUUUCACGUGUUCCUUUAUCUAUUAAUAUUUGCAUGUUGCCUGAUUUAACUUUCAUGGGAUUAUUUUAUUAAUUGGAUGUCAAGGGCCCGAUGUUCAAUGUGAUAUAUUAAACUCGUGCCAAUUUAGUCAAUUAAAUCCGUAAUUGUUUGAUUGAUUAAUAUUAGUGGCAACUGGUGUGUUUACACAUUAGGGGAGCAUGCAAUCUAAUUUAAAUAACCCUCGUAGCGUGUUAUUGAUUAGGACUAGGUUUUUCUGGUUAUUAAUGCAAUUGGAAAAUUAAUUCCUACGGUCGUACCUAGGAGUACUUUUCUGGUUAGGGGUGACUAAUGGUCGUACCUUGGUCACCUAUAAAUUAAGGAAAAAUUGGUCAUUAGAGUUCCUUGAUGGCUAUAACUAGUCUAUUAAUAAAUUAAGUGAACCUCUCUUGCAUCAAUAAUCGGAUAAAUGGACUGUGCCUGAGUAGUUGCUUCCUUGGCUAGAAUUUAUUUAUUCCUGAUUAAGUUCCUGCUAUAUUUGUGCUAGUUAUUUAUUCAUUUUUAGUUAAAUUGUUUAAUUGUUUUUAGUUUUAUUCCUGUGAAAUCCCCCCUUAUCAAUUGGACUUUAAAAGAGACAGAUAUCUCCAGUCCCUGAGGAGACGACCCUACUUGCCAUUGUCUACUAUUUAGUAAUUUUUGUCAACUAAUUAAUUCUGGUAUAUCAGGUUAAGCAAACUCUUCGGGAACAGGGUGAAUCAAGUAACCCAUUGCACACCUAGAGUCCCUGCUCCAGUACCUAGGAUUAAUUACUGACUACUUUUAGUGGUAACUAGGUUCUAUUUUUAUUAUUAUUAUUGCACAGGUUUGACGACCUGUCAAUUUUUGGCGCCGUUGCCGGGGACUGGCGUUAUUAUUUGCUUCUUUAUUAAGUUCAUUUUUGCACUAAUUUUCUGGUAUUUUUCUAGUGUAUGCCUAGGUCUUCUCGUACAGGUGAAUUGAUUUUUGACCCUGAAGUAGAGAAGACCGUGCGUAGAACGAGAAAGGAAACCAGACAGCUCAGAGAGGAGCACUCCAGUGCUGCAUCUCAGAGAUCUGAGCCCGAAGUUGAACCAUCAGAUUCGGUUGGUGACACUUCAAGUGAUUCGUACCAAGAGAACGUCGCCAUGGCCAACACACAAACAUUAAGGGAGUUGGCUGCUCCAAACUUGACCCAACAACCUCUUUGCAUAACUUUUCCUCGCCUUAGUGAGAAUGCAGCUUUUGAAUUAAAACCUGGUUUAAUACAUUUGUUGCCUGUUUUUCAUGGUCUGCCAGGAGAGGAAUCCCACAAACACAUGCAGGAAUUUGAUGUAGUGUGUUCGAGUAUGAAGCCCUCGGGAGUAACUGAUGAACAAAUUAAAUUAAGGGCCUUCCCUUUUUCUCUCAAGGAUUCGGCAAAGGACUGGUUAUACUGUCUACCUGCAGGCAUUAUCACCACGUGGCCAGAGAUGCAGAAAAAAUUUUUUGAAAAAUAUUUCCCUGCAUCUAGAGCUGCUAGUUUGCGAAAGGAAAUAUGUGGCAUCAAGCAAUUUCAGGGGGAAUCCUUGUAUGAAUAUUGGGAGAGGUUCACCAGGCUGCGUACCCGAUGCCCUCAUCACCAAAUAAGUGAUCAACUGCUGAUUCAGUACUUCUAUGAGGGGCUACUGAUGAACGAUAGAAAUAUCAUUGAUGCAGCAAGUGGUGGUGCACUGGUGAAUAAGACUACCCAGGAGGCAUGGGACUUAAUCGAGCGAAUGGCAGAGAAUUGCCAGCAGUUUGGUACGAGAGCAGAUGUUCCUACGAGAAAGGUCAACGAGGUAAGUUCAUCUUCCAUUCAACAGCAGUUAUCUGAAUUAACCUCAUUUGUUCGACAGAUAGCUGUAGGAAAUGCACAGCAGGCCAAAGUGUGUGGGAUUUGUACGAAUAUUGGUCAUACAGCUGACGCAUGCCCACAGUUACAAGAGGAGGGAAUUGAGCAAGCAAACAUGGCUGGCAACAUGCCCAUGCCACGUAGACAGUAUGACCCCUAUUCCAACUCAUACAAUCCGGGUUGGAGGGAUCAUCCAAAUCUGAGCUAUGGGGGAAAUAAGCAACAAAAUUUCAUCCCCAAUAGACAGCAGGGCUUCCAGCAACAAUAUCAAACAAGGAAUCAACCAUCCUCUGCCUCAGGUAUGUCCCUAGAAGACAUGGUUAAAACCAUAGCCUCUAAUACUAUGAAAUUUCAACAGGACACUGAGGCCAGCAAUCAAGAGAUGAAAGCACGUAUGCAAAACUUGGAAAAUCAGAUGAGUCAAUUAGCCUCAAUUGUCAACCGACUAGACUCCCAGGGAAAGGGAAAACUUCCAUCCCAACCUGAGGUGAAUCCCAAGAAUGUAAGUGCAAUGACCCUCAGGAGUGGGAAAGAGGUUGAAGGACCAGCGCCAGUAGCUCCGAAGGACAAGAAUGAGGACCGCAUUGAGAAGGAGCUCGGGCAAGAAGGAACGCCCGGCACAGAUAAAGAGGUAAUACGUAACCCAGUGGUUCCAGUAAAGCCUAACCCACCACCUUUUCCUAGCAGGUUGGAAAGGCCUAAAAAGCAAGACAAGGAAAAGGAAAUUUUGGAGAUGUUUAGGAAGGUGGAGAUAAAUAUCCCCUUACUUGACGCAAUUAAGCAAGUACCCCGGUAUGCCAAAUUUUUGAAGGACCUAUGCAUCAAUAGGAAGAAACUGAGGGGAGAUGAAAGGAUAAUUGUGGGGGAGAACGUAUCUGCAGUGCUUCAAAGAAAACUUCCACCCAAGUGCGGAGACCCAGGUAUGUUCACUAUCCCUUGUAAAAUAGGGAACACUAGCAUUAGGAAUGCCAUGUUAGAUUUAGGAGCCUCUAUAAAUGUGAUGCCCAAGGCUAUUUAUGCUUCUCUAAAUUUGGGUCCCUUAAAGGAAACUGGCAUUAUAAUUCAAUUGGCUGAUAGGACUAAUGCUUAUCCCGAUGGGGUGAUAGAAGAUAUGUUAGUGCAAGUGAACAAUUUAGUGUUCCCUGCUGAUUUUUAUAUUCUUGAUAUGGGUGACGAACGUUCUCCAAAUCCAUCACCAAUUUUGUUGGGGAGGCCCUUCUUGAGCACAGCUCGUACAAAAAUUGAUGUUAGUGAGGGCACCCUAACGAUGGAAUUUGAUGGAGAAAUAGUUCAUUUCAGUAUAUUUGAGGCCAUGAAAUAUCCAUGUCAUUCUAAUGCUAUUUUUGCUGUGAGUGUAAUUGACCCUUUGGUGCAAGAAGUAUUUGAGAUUAAUGGCAGGGAUGAAUUGGAGGUAGCAAUCACUAAACAUUUGGAUCUGGAAGCAGCCUACGAAAUGGAGUUAGACAUCAGUUUGUAAAGAAUGAUUGGAGCCUUGCAUUCACUGGGCCAAAGUCCUCUAAGGUAUGAUGUUGCUCCUAUAUUUGUGCCUGAACCGCACCUAAAGUUAUUACCUUCUAUCGUGCAGGCACCUGAAGUGGAGUUGAAACCCCUGCCCAAGCAUUUAAAGUAUGCCUAUCUGGGUGAAAAAGAGACGUUACCAGUGAUAAUCUCAUCCAAAUUAUCACCCACGGAGGAGGAUAAGCUGCUACGGGUUUUAAGGGAGCAUAAGGAAGCUAUAGGGUGGACAAUUGCAGACAUCAAGGGUAUAAGCCCGUCCGUAUGUAUGCAUCGAAUUCGCCUGGAAGAGGAUGCUAGACCGAUAAGACAACCACAAAGAAGAUUGAACCCCAACAUGAUGGAAGUGGUCAAGAAAGAGGUAAUCAAGCUUCUGGACGUAGGAAUUGUUUUUUCUAUCUCAGAUAGCCCAUGGGUGAGCCCGGUACAAGUGGUGCCGAAGAAAGCAGGGGUAACUGCGGAGGAAAAUCAUGAAGGGGACCUUGUUCCAAUUCGAAAGCCUACGGGUUGGCGCCAGUGCAUCGAUUACCGUAAAUUGAACGCAGUGACCAAGAAGGAUCAUUUUCCCCUUCCAUUCAUUGAUCAAAUGGUUGAAAGGUUAGCUUGUCGUGCCUAUUAUUGUUUUUUAGAUGGUUUCUCUGGUUAUUUUCAGAUAGCAAUUGCGCCAGAGGAUCAAGAGAAAACAACUUUCACUUGCCCCUUUGGCACUUUUGCCUAUCGAAGGAUGCCCUUUGGAUUGUGCAAUGCCCCCGCAACAUUCCAGAGGUGCAUGAUUAGCAUUUUUUCUGAGUAUGUGGAGAGAAUAAUUGAGGUAUUCAUGGAUGACUUCAGUGUCUAUGGUGAUAGCUUUGACGAUUGCUUAGAUAACUUGACGUUGAUUUUAAAAAGAUGCAUUGAGACUAACCUAGUGCUCAAUUGGGAAAAAUGUCACUUUAUGGUUGAGCACGGGAUAGUUCUAGGACAUGUAGUGUCAUCUAGAGGAAUUGAAGUUGAUAAAGCUAAAAUAGAUGUAAUAUCUGCUUUGCCUUACCCCGUAACUGUACGGCAAGUUCGUUCCUUUCUAGGACAUGCAGGUUUCUAUCGCAGAUUUAUCAAGGACUUCUCAAAGAUUGGGGCACCACUUUUCAGGCUUUUACAAAAGGAUGUUAUUUUUGAAUUCAACGAGGAGUGCAAGGAAGCGUUCGAGAAGUUGAAGAAAUUACUCACUUCUCCACCUGUCAUCCAACCACCUGACUGGAAUCUCCCGUUUGAAAUUAUGUGUGAUGCCAGUGACUACUCUGUGGGAGCAGUCUUGGGACAAAGGGUGGAGAAAGCGGCACACGCAAUAUAUUAUGCCUCCAGAGCUUUAAAUGGCGCCCAACUCAAUUACUCUACCACGGAGAAAGAACUCUUAGCUGUUAUUUUUGCUUUAGAAAAAUUCAGACCUUAUUUGCUAGGUGCUAAAGUAAUUGUGUAUUCUGACCAUGCAGCUCUGAGGUACCUACUGACCAAGAAGGACGCUAAACCCCGCUUGAUAAGAUGGAUAUUGCUCCUGCAGGAAUUUGACUUGGAAAUCAGAGAUAAAAAAGGAGCAGAGAAUCUAGUAGCUGACCACCUCAGUCGAAUACUGGUAGCGGAGGAAGAAUUACCAUUAAGGGAGUCUUUUCCUGAAGAGCAUUUACUUUCUAUUAAUUCAUCCCCUCCUUGGUUUGCAGAUAUUGUGAAUUAUUUGGUUACUGACAAAUUGCCCGCAGGUUGGCCCAAGGCAAAAAGGGACAAACUAAAAAGUGAUGCAAAGUACUAUGUCUGGGAUGAUCCCUAUCUGUGGAAACAAGGUGCUGACCAAAUAAUGAGACGAUGUGUAAGUGAAGGUGAAUUCCAAUCUAUAUUGACUUUCUGUCACUCUUUUGCAUGUGGGGGUCAUUUUGGACCUAAACGGACUGCUAGAAAAGUGUUGGAAAGUGGUUUUUUUUGGCCUACCUUAUUUAAGGAUGCUUACUUGUUUUGUAAGACAUGUGAUAAAUGUCAGAGGGUAGGCAAUUUAUCCCGAAGGGAUCAACUGCCACAGGUGCCCAUGCUUUUCAUUGAAAUUUUUGAUACUUGGGGUAUAUAUUUCAUGGGUCCCUUUCCAAAUUCUUGUGGAUUUUUAUACAUUUUACUAGCAGUAGAUUAUGUCUCGAAGUGGGUGGAAGCAAAAGCCACCCGCACUAAUGAUUCUAAGGUUGUUGCAGACUUCAUAAAAUCUAACAUUUUCGUGCGAUUUGGAAUGCCACGGGCAGUUGUGAGUGAUAGGGGGACACAUUUUUGCAACAAGACAAUUGCUGCUUUGUUCAGGAAAUAUGGGGUACUUCAUAAGGUUUCUACUUCCUACCAUCCACAGACCAAUGGCCAGGCUGAAGUCUCGAAUAGGGAAGUAAAGUCUAUUUUGGAAAAAAUGGUCCGCCCUGAUAGGAAGGACUGGAGUUCAAGGUUGGAAGAUGCGUUGUGGGCAUACAGGACCGCUUACAAGACACCUAUAGGGAUGUCUCCCUAUAGGUUGGUAUUUGGUAAGCCUUGCCAUCUUCCAGUGGAAUUCGAGCAUAAAGCAUUUUGGGCGGUUAAGCAAUGCAAUAUGGACAUCGAAGAGGGCGGAAUUCGAAGGAAGCUACAGUUACAAGAAUUGGAGGAGAUUCGCAAUGAAGCCUAUGAGAAUGCUGUGAUCUAUAAGGAGAAAAACAAGAUUUUUCAUGACCAGCAGGUCUCUAGGAAGACGUUCGAAAGUGGGCAAAAAGUUCUACUGUACCACUCAAAAUUGAAGUUAUUUCCGGGUAAGUUACGUUCUCGUUGGAUUGGUCCCUUUGUGGUAACUAAUAUCUUUGAUUAUGGUGCAGUGGAGAUCCAGAGUCUAAGGACAGAGAAGAAAUUUGUGGUGAAUGGCCAUCGUCUUAAGCCGUAUUAUGAAGGGGUUCCAGUUGAGCGGGUAGAGAUGAUGCAUUUGGAGGACCCAAUUUGCUUAGUUUAAGCAAAUUAUGGGUUAUGUCUAGCCAAAGACACUAAAGAAAGGCGCUAGUUUGGGAGGCAACCCGAAUAUUAGUCUUGUUAUUUCUAGUUGUUUUGAUUAUUUCUAGUUGUUCUUCUUUUGCAUUGGGUCAUUUACUCGUUGGGUAGUAUCUGUAUUAAUAUUUCCUUCACUGCAAUCAGGAAGUGAGAUCUUGGCGUGCCCGCGCGGUGUUUGGAUCUUCUGAGACCAGAGGACGAAGACCAAUCUUGGCGUGCCCGCGCGGUGUUGGACGACCCAAACCAUGUUUUUGCAGUACAACAAAAAAAAAAAAAAAUUUAUUUAUUAUUAUGAUUAUUAUUAUUAAUACUUUCAUUAAAAGAAAAAGAAAAGAUUGUUUUCUUUCCAAUUCAAAGAUUCAAACUACGGCAAGACAUAUAAAAAAAAAAAAAACAGUUUUUCUUGUCUUUCUUUUCUUUCUUUCCUUUUUUUUUUCUUUUUCUUUCUUUCUUCUUCUUUCUUUCUUUUUUUCUUUCUUUCUUCUCCUCUGUUUUGCUCUGUCCGCCGCCCGUGCCCACCGCCAUCUCCAAUUCCAUCGCACGCCGCUCCCCCCUGCCGCUCGUCGACGCGGCCCACGCCCCUCGCCACCGCCGCACACCAGCUCUCCUCCCACUUCCUCGCACGCCGCCGCCCGCUGCUGACCUCUGCGCGUGGCCAGAGCUUCACGCUGCGCCACCCACCUCGCGCGGGCCUCUCGAUCUGCACAGCUCCAGCCGUCCCAGCCGCCCAGCCGCCACUCUCGCGCCAGCCGCACGAAGCUCCAGCCACGCCACAGCCGCCGCACUUCCUCAGCCGCAGCCGCAGCUAGCAUUCGCCACAGCCACGCUCGCGCCAGCUCGCGGCCAAGUAUUCCAGGGCAGGCGGAGGUAUUCGAAUUUUCACCUUGAUUUGUAUUUCUCUAGUCCUUAAAUUGCUGGAAUUUGCGUUUUUGUUUCUUGGGCUUCUUGUUGGAAAACAGCAGGCAGUGAUUUUAGACAGUUUCUGGGGCUAAUUUGGGUAGAGUUGAGUUAAACUACUGCGAUAUUUGGGGGUACCUGGGGAGUAAGUGCCAAUUGCUUCUGGUUUUAAUUUCCGCUCAUUUUUUUUUUUUUGCGCUACUUGGGUGUUCAGAUCUGUUUUGUUCAGUAGGUUGGUUAUUUACUUUAAUUUCUCCCUAUAUACUCACCAGUGGUACUGGUGAGGGUAGUUGUUUAACAUCUGAUAAUUUGUGUGCUGGAUUGCCUAAUUCAGCGAAUUGUGACUACUGGGCAUUUGUGAUUGGGUCCACCCUGUGAUUGAGUGGUUGGAUAGAGCAGGGAGUGAUUUAGUUAUUUUCUGGGGGAGCUGUUUGGACAAAUUUGGGUUUACUUGCUGCCAAAGUGGGGGUAUUUUCUACUAUUAGUUGAACAGCUAGCCUUUUGAUUACUUUUUCCCCUGCGACUCGCCAGUGGUACUGGUUGAGAUCUUGUACCUUUCGUUGUGGUUUAUAUUUGAAGAUACUUGCUAGCUCUUUGGGUGAAUUGCUGCAAUUGCUGGUUGAAAUUGGGGGCGCCCGUGACGCUUAUAUUUGCUACUUGGUUGUUUUGGUUUGCCUGUUGGUCACCAUGGUGAGGCCUCGAUCUUCUGCUAGGUCUAGGACCCCUCAGCCCCCUCCACCCCAGCAUUCCAUUCCCGCCUCUGACCCCUCGCACGAUCCUUCAUCCUCUGGGAGGCGGGCUCGUCUUGGGCGACAAAGAGGCGUCCAUAUCUCUGACCCUGCACAUUUUGGGGGUCAUUUAGACUUCACCAGGGCGACCGACAAGCGGCGGUAUGCUGAGGCUUGUGAACGGCGAAUUAUUCCAUGCCGUUAUCGGGACGCCGCCACCUUGGGCCUUCUGAAUAUUAGCGUCCCCUUCCACGAUUUGAUUGAGGCAAUCGGGUGGCGACCAUAUUCUCGUAUCACUGACCUCCCAGCCUUUGUUGAGUUAGUUAGGGAAUUCUAUGCCACAUUUGAAUUCGACCUUCCCACUGGUUACACAGUUUCCAUCCCUGAUGUCAUCCGCUUCCGUUUAAUGGGUCAGGAAUUCCACCAUUCCAUAACCGACUUCAACCUGGCUUUUGGUUUCAUUGAUCCUGCCUAUGCUGAGUCUAGGGAGUAUGCCAAGAGUGCGUGUGACUUUGUCCAACCGUUUUUCUCCCGCUAUCGCUUUAUUUGGGAUGAGAUGUCCGUGGACAGGGAUAAUUAUGACCCCCGUCUAUCUAAGGGUUCUUAUCUGAAGGACCCGGCCUCUCGCUAUAUCCACCGUUUUUUGGCCUAUAGUUUCUCGGGUAGGCGAGAUAGUUCGGGCAUUCUGUCUAAGUCCGAAUUUUUCUUUAUAUGGUGCAUGCAUCACAAGAUUAAGGUUAAUCUGGGGUGCUGGCUCGCGUCUCAGUUCAAGUCCAUUUUGCCUAAAAAGAAGCGCCCCUUGAUUCUUGGGUCUUACAUUACUCACUUGGCUAUGAAUUUGCAUGUACUUGAUAUUUCUAACCAUAACUUGCAUAUAGCCUGUCAAAUGGAGCCUUUGGAUAUCCCGUGCUUAGAGAAAAUGGGCUUAGUUCGGGAGGGCGACGAUGGUUGGGAGGUAGUUCCACCGGGGCCGCUACGCCCUCCCCCUCGGUCAUCUUUUGCCCGAGCUUCCACUGAGGGCGGCGACCCUGGCCCGUCUUCCUCCGCUCCGCCACCUACCGCCCCAUCGGCCGACGAUUGGACCCAACUCCGGAACACCGUUGAUAGACUGGAGACUCACGUAACUCACAUUGGCAUCAACUUGCAUAACAUGGCUCAAAACCUGGCUGCGUUUAUGCAGCAGGCCGGCUUUCCACCUCAGUUCGCGCCUGAUCCACCCCUGUUUUGACGAUUACAGGGAAGUAUCGUUGCCCCUCUCCUUACUUUUUGCUGUUACAUUAUCACAUUGAGGGCAAUGUGUGAAUUAGGUGUGGGGGGGUCAGUUUGGGUGCUGAAUAUUUCCAGUUUUUCCAGUUUAGGUGUUUUCCUAUGUUUUUAGUUCAAGUGUUUUCUGUUUAGGUGUUGGUCCUUUAUUCCUUUUGGAUGUUUUUACCUUGCUGAUAUCUGGGUAAAUAUGUUGGCAGCUUACUCUUUUAUUGCUAGUUGUAGUUUAUACUUUGAGUUGAGUUUCGGUGGCAAGUAAGAGCAUGCUGUCUUGGUGAAUAUUUUGAGUUUAACGACUUGGGGCGAUUUAUGGCUAACUUGUUUAGGCAAUAUAAAUAUUUUGCUGGCAUUGUUGUGUGGUUUGGUCCCCUGUUGACCUUGGUCCUUCAUGUUUAGGAGAUGACGUGGGCCAUGAUCUUAAAAGUGUUUGUUAUUUUGGUACGUUAGUGAGAAUAACGUAUGGCUAUACUCCGCUAGUGCCGCCACCUAGUAACCGGAAGUCUUCACCACAAGUGUCGACUCUCGCGUCAAAAAGUGGCGAUAUCCAUGAGUAAAUAGUCCUGGAGCUAUGAAAGGUCGAGUAACUGGGCUCUUUCAUCUAAAAAUGUCAGAGUUCACGUCAAAAGACUUGAAUAGCUCGGGACUAAGCAUUACUCUUUGCAAUCUAAAAAAAAAAGAAAAAGGAAAAAAGCAAAAAAGAAAAUCAGAUGUGGAGAAUAUGUGAGUUUAUGAUCAUGUUGGCCUGCCGAUCCUUGGUUCGUAUUGUUGAGAUUUUGGUUGACAGUUGACUUGAUUACUGAUUGUUGCUAGUUAAUAUUUGGAUUUCCUACGCGAAUUAGCCAUGAAUUGGACAGGUCUAUGAACUGAGGAGCUAACCGGGAGAGACACGUCUUGAUACUUAGUCACUAGAUCUUGAUUUUGGGUAUAAGCGCAGCUGGCUAUGAUAAUGUGAAAGCUAGCCAUUGUUGAGUUGAAUUGUCUCCAUGCUUGAGGGCAAGCAUGAUUCAGGUGUGGGGGGAAUUGAUAGGGUAUAUUUUGUUAGUAAUUUUAUUAGUAAUUUCCCCUUCUAUCCCUGACAAAUAUUGCGUUAGUUGCUGAUAUUUACUCAUAUUUGGUAUUUGGAAUCAAUUUCAGGAGUGAAGCAGAAAUAUUACCAAAUGGAGGGACUUUCUAGAGCAUAUUACUAAGGGUCAAUUCGGCAGGGCCGAGCAUUGGCAAUUCAUCUUCUUAAUUUCGGUGGGGGCCCAUGGAAUAAAGAUCACUAGUCAUUUGGCCAACAGCAGACAACGUACAAAGCCUAAGUACUAAGAAGAAAUUCGGCAGACUUGUGCCAAUUGAAGGGGACCACUGGAGAGAAGACAUGGAGUUGGCCUGGCCCACGGAAAUUGAAGCCUUAGUCAUCCUUUUGGCUUGAGAAAGAAAAAGGACGUAAAGAGGCUGCUGCUUGGAAUCUCUUUUGGGUUUUUCCUAAUUGUGGUGGGACCGCAGAGGAGAUGGUUUGAGUCAACUCCCUUUUGUUUCUUUAAAAGGAAAAGAACGUACAGAAGCAAGGGACCACCUUUUAGUUUUAGCUUUUAGUUCAGUUUUAGUUCUUCUUUCUCCUGACUGGCCUCUGACACACGCCAGGUGUUCGACAAUAUUCCCCAACGGGAAAAACACUUUUAUUCCUUGCUUCUUAAUAGAAAACGCAAUGCCUUUGCAAUUUAUUAAUUCGUGUGGUGAUUUAAUUAUGCGGCGUGGCUAAGUCUUCCGUCUAGUCAGGGGUCAACUCGACGGCGCAGUCCCGGAAAUCUGUGAGAUCUAAUUAGUUUUCACGUGUUCCUUUAUCUAUUAAUAUUUGCAUGUUGCCUGAUUUAACUUUCAUGGGAUUAUUUUAUUAAUUGGAUGUCAAGGGCCCGAUGUUCAAUGUGAUAUAUUAAACUCGUGCCAAUUUAGUCAAUUAAAUCCGUAAUUAUUUGAUUGAUUAAUAUUAGUGGCAACUGGUGUGUUUACACAUUAGGGGAGCAUGCAAUCUAAUUUAAAUAACCCUCGUAGCGUGUUAUUGAUUAGGACUAGGUUUUUCUGGUUAUUAAUGCAAUUGGAAAAUUAAUUCCUACGGUCGUACCUAGGAGUACUUUUCUGGUUAGGGGUGACUAAUGGUCGUACCUUGGUCACCUAUAAAUUAAGGAAAAAUUGGUCAUUAGAGUUCCUUGAUGGCUAUAACUAGUCUAUUAAUAAAUUAAGUGAACCUCUCUUGCAUCAAUAAUCGGAUAAAUGGACUGUGCCUGAGUAGUUGCUUCCUUGGCUAGAAUUUAUUUAUUCCUGAUUAAGUUCCUGCUAUAUUUGUGCUAGUUAUUUAUUCAUUUUUAGUUAAAUUGUUUAAUUGUUUUUAGUUUUAUUCCUGUGAAAUCCCCCCUUAUCAAUUGGACUUUAAAAGAGACAGAUAUCUCCAGUCCCUGAGGAGACGACCCUACUUGCCAUUGUCUACUAUUUAGUAAUUUUUGUCAACUAAUUAAUUCUGGUAUAUCAGGUUAAGCAAACUCUUCGGGAACAGGGUGAAUCAAGUAACCCAUUGCACACCUAGAGUCCCUGCUCCAGUACCUAGGAUUAAUUACUGACUACUUUUAGUGGUAACUAGGUUCUAUUUUUAUUAUUAUUAUUGCACAGGUUUGACGACCUGUCAAUUUUUGGCGCCGUUGCCGGGGACUGGCGUUAUUAUUUGCUUCUUUAUUAAGUUCAUUUUUGCACUAAUUUUCUGGUAUUUUUCUAGUGUAUGCCUAGGUCUUCUCGUACAGGUGAAUUGAUUUUUGACCCUGAAGUAGAGAAGACCGUGCGUAGAACGAGAAAGGAAACCAGACAGCUCAGAGAGGAGCACUCCAGUGCUGCAUCUCAGAGAUCUGAGCCCGAAGUUGAACCAUCAGAUUCGGUUGGUGACACUUCAAGUGAUUCGUACCAAGAGAACGUCGCCAUGGCCAACACACAAACAUUAAGGGAGUUGGCUGCUCCAAACUUGACCCAACAACCUCUUUGCAUAACUUUUCCUCGCCUUAGUGAGAAUGCAGCUUUUGAAUUAAAACCUGGUUUAAUACAUUUGUUGCCUGUUUUUCAUGGUCUGCCAGGAGAGGAAUCCCACAAACACAUGCAGGAAUUUGAUGUAGUGUGUUCGAGUAUGAAGCCCUCGGGAGUAACUGAUGAACAAAUUAAAUUAAGGGCCUUCCCUUUUUCUCUCAAGGAUUCGGCAAAGGACUGGUUAUACUGUCUACCUGCAGGCAUUAUCACCACGUGGCCAGAGAUGCAGAAAAAAUUUUUUGAAAAAUAUUUCCCUGCAUCUAGAGCUGCUAGUUUGCGAAAGGAAAUAUGUGGCAUCAAGCAAUUUCAGGGGGAAUCCUUGUAUGAAUAUUGGGAGAGGUUCACCAGGCUGCGUACCCGAUGCCCUCAUCACCAAAUAAGUGAUCAACUGCUGAUUCAGUACUUCUAUGAGGGGCUACUGAUGAACGAUAGAAAUAUCAUUGAUGCAGCAAGUGGUGGUGCACUGGUGAAUAAGACUACCCAGGAGGCAUGGGACUUAAUCGAGCGAAUGGCAGAGAAUUGCCAGCAGUUUGGUACGAGAGCAGAUGUUCCUACGAGAAAGGUCAACGAGGUAAGUUCAUCUUCCAUUCAACAGCAGUUAUCUGAAUUAACCUCAUUUGUUCGACAGAUAGCUGUAGGAAAUGCACAGCAGGCCAAAGUGUGUGGGAUUUGUACGAAUAUUGGUCAUACAGCUGACGCAUGCCCACAGUUACAAGAGGAGGGAAUUGAGCAAGCAAACAUGGCUGGCAACAUGCCCAUGCCACGUAGACAGUAUGACCCCUAUUCCAACUCAUACAAUCCGGGUUGGAGGGAUCAUCCAAAUCUGAGCUAUGGGGGAAAUAAGCAACAAAAUUUCAUCCCCAAUAGACAGCAGGGCUUCCAGCAACAAUAUCAAACAAGGAAUCAACCAUCCUCUGCCUCAGGUAUGUCCCUAGAAGACAUGGUUAAAACCAUAGCCUCUAAUACUAUGAAAUUUCAACAGGACACUGAGGCCAGCAAUCAAGAGAUGAAAGCACGUAUGCAAAACUUGGAAAAUCAGAUGAGUCAAUUAGCCUCAAUUGUCAACCGACUAGACUCCCAGGGAAAGGGAAAACUUCCAUCCCAACCUGAGGUGAAUCCCAAGAAUGUAAGUGCAAUGACCCUCAGGAGUGGGAAAGAGGUUGAAGGACCAGCGCCAGUAGCUCCGAAGGACAAGAAUGAGGACCGCAUUGAGAAGGAGCUCGGGCAAGAAGGAACGCCCGGCACAGAUAAAGAGGUAAUACGUAACCCAGUGGUUCCAGUAAAGCCUAACCCACCACCUUUUCCUAGCAGGUUGGAAAGGCCUAAAAAGCAAGACAAGGAAAAGGAAAUUUUGGAGAUGUUUAGGAAGGUGGAGAUAAAUAUCCCCUUACUUGACGCAAUUAAGCAAGUACCCCGGUAUGCCAAAUUUUUGAAGGACCUAUGCAUCAAUAGGAAGAAACUGAGGGGAGAUGAAAGGAUAAUUGUGGGGGAGAACGUAUCUGCAGUGCUUCAAAGAAAACUUCCACCCAAGUGCGGAGACCCAGGUAUGUUCACUAUCCCUUGUAAAAUAGGGAACACUAGCAUUAGGAAUGCCAUGUUAGAUUUAGGAGCCUCUAUAAAUGUGAUGCCCAAGGCUAUUUAUGCUUCUCUAAAUUUGGGUCCCUUAAAGGAAACUGGCAUUAUAAUUCAAUUGGCUGAUAGGACUAAUGCUUAUCCCGAUGGGGUGAUAGAAGAUAUGUUAGUGCAAGUGAACAAUUUAGUGUUCCCUGCUGAUUUUUAUAUUCUUGAUAUGGGUGACGAACGUUCUCCAAAUCCAUCACCAAUUUUGUUGGGGAGGCCCUUCUUGAGCACAGCUCGUACAAAAAUUGAUGUUAGUGAGGGCACCCUAACGAUGGAAUUUGAUGGAGAAAUAGUUCAUUUCAGUAUAUUUGAGGCCAUGAAAUAUCCAUGUCAUUCUAAUGCUAUUUUUGCUGUGAGUGUAAUUGACCCUUUGGUGCAAGAAGUAUUUGAGAUUAAUGGCAGGGAUGAAUUGGAGGUAGCAAUCACUAAACAUUUGGAUCUGGAAGCAGCCUACGAAAUGGAGUUAGACAUCAGUUUGUAAAGAAUGAUUGGAGCCUUGCAUUCACUGGGCCAAAGUCCUCUAAGGUAUGAUGUUGCUCCUAUAUUUGUGCCUGAACCGCACCUAAAGUUAUUACCUUCUAUCGUGCAGGCACCUGAAGUGGAGUUGAAACCCCUGCCCAAGCAUUUAAAGUAUGCCUAUCUGGGUGAAAAAGAGACGUUACCAGUGAUAAUCUCAUCCAAAUUAUCACCCACGGAGGAGGAUAAGCUGCUACGGGUUUUAAGGGAGCAUAAGGAAGCUAUAGGGUGGACAAUUGCAGACAUCAAGGGUAUAAGCCCGUCCGUAUGUAUGCAUCGAAUUCGCCUGGAAGAGGAUGCUAGACCGAUAAGACAACCACAAAGAAGAUUGAACCCCAACAUGAUGGAAGUGGUCAAGAAAGAGGUAAUCAAGCUUCUGGACGUAGGAAUUAUUUUUUCUAUCUCAGAUAGCCCAUGGGUGAGCCCGGUACAAGUGGUGCCGAAGAAAGUAGGGGUAACUGCGGAGGAAAAUCAUGAAGGGGACCUUGUUCCAAUUCGAAAGCCUACGGGUUGGCGCCAGUGCAUCGAUUACCGUAAAUUGAACGCAGUGACCAAGAAGGAUCAUUUUCCCCUUCCAUUCAUUGAUCAAAUGGUUGAAAGGUUAGCUUGUCGUGCCUAUUAUUGUUUUUUAGAUGGUUUCUCUGGUUAUUUUCAGAUAGCAAUUGCGCCAGAGGAUCAAGAGAAAACAACUUUCACUUGCCCCUUUGGCACUUUUGCCUAUCGAAGGAUGCCCUUUGGAUUGUGCAAUGCCCCCGCAACAUUCCAGAGGUGCAUGAUUAGCAUUUUUUCUGAGUAUGUGGAGAGAAUAAUUGAGGUAUUCAUGGAUGACUUCAGUGUCUAUGGUGAUAGCUUUGACGAUUGCUUAGAUAACUUGACGUUGAUUUUAAAAAGAUGCAUUGAGACUAACCUAGUGCUCAAUUGGGAAAAAUGUCACUUUAUGGUUGAGCACGGGAUAGUUCUAGGACAUGUAGUGUCAUCUAGAGGAAUUGAAGUUGAUAAAGCUAAAAUAGAUGUAAUAUCUGCUUUGCCUUACCCCGUAACUGUACGGCAAGUUCGUUCCUUUCUAGGACAUGCAGGUUUCUAUCGCAGAUUUAUCAAGGACUUCUCAAAGAUUGGGGCACCACUUUUCAGGCUUUUACAAAAGGAUGUUAUUUUUGAAUUCAACGAGGAGUGCAAGGAAGCGUUCGAGAAGUUGAAGAAAUUACUCACUUCUCCACCUGUCAUCCAACCACCUGACUGGAAUCUCCCGUUUGAAAUUAUGUGUGAUGCCAGUGACUACUCUGUGGGAGCAGUCUUGGGACAAAGGGUGGAGAAAGCGGCACACGCAAUAUAUUAUGCCUCCAGAGCUUUAAAUGGCGCCCAACUCAAUUACUCUACCACGGAGAAAGAACUCUUAGCUGUUAUUUUUGCUUUAGAAAAAUUCAGACCUUAUUUGCUAGGUGCUAAAGUAAUUGUGUAUUCUGACCAUGCAGCUCUGAGGUACCUACUGACCAAGAAGGACGCUAAACCCCGCUUGAUAAGAUGGAUAUUGCUCCUGCAGGAAUUUGACUUGGAAAUCAGAGAUAAAAAAGGAGCAGAGAAUCUAGUAGCUGACCACCUCAGUCGAAUACUGGUAGCGGAGGAAGAAUUACCAUUAAGGGAGUCUUUUCCUGAAGAGCAUUUACUUUCUAUUAAUUCAUCCCCUCCUUGGUUUGCAGAUAUUGUGAAUUAUUUGGUUACUGACAAAUUGCCCGCAGGUUGGCCCAAGGCAAAAAGGGACAAACUAAAAAGUGAUGCAAAGUACUAUGUCUGGGAUGAUCCCUAUCUGUGGAAACAAGGUGCUGACCAAAUAAUGAGACGAUGUGUAAGUGAAGGUGAAUUCCAAUCUAUAUUGACUUUCUGUCACUCUUUUGCAUGUGGGGGUCAUUUUGGACCUAAACGGACUGCUAGAAAAGUGUUGGAAAGUGGUUUUUUUUGGCCUACCUUAUUUAAGGAUGCUUACUUGUUUUGUAAGACAUGUGAUAAAUGUCAGAGGGUAGGCAAUUUAUCCCGAAGGGAUCAACUGCCACAGGUGCCCAUGCUUUUCAUUGAAAUUUUUGAUACUUGGGGUAUAUAUUUCAUGGGUCCCUUUCCAAAUUCUUGUGGAUUUUUAUACAUUUUACUAGCAGUAGAUUAUGUCUCGAAGUGGGUGGAAGCAAAAGCCACCCGCACUAAUGAUUCUAAGGUUGUUGCAGACUUCAUAAAAUCUAACAUUUUCGUGCGAUUUGGAAUGCCACGGGCAGUUGUGAGUGAUAGGGGGACACAUUUUUGCAACAAGACAAUUGCUGCUUUGUUCAGGAAAUAUGGGGUACUUCAUAAGGUUUCUACUUCCUACCAUCCACAGACCAAUGGCCAGGCUGAAGUCUCGAAUAGGGAAGUAAAGUCUAUUUUGGAAAAAAUGGUCCGCCCUGAUAGGAAGGACUGGAGUUCAAGGUUGGAAGAUGCGUUGUGGGCAUACAGGACCGCUUACAAGACACCUAUAGGGAUGUCUCCCUAUAGGUUGGUAUUUGGUAAGCCUUGCCAUCUUCCAGUGGAAUUCGAGCAUAAAGCAUUUUGGGCGGUUAAGCAAUGCAAUAUGGACAUCGAAGAGGGCGGAAUUCGAAGGAAGCUACAGUUACAAGAAUUGGAGGAGAUUCGCAAUGAAGCCUAUGAGAAUGCUGUGAUCUAUAAGGAGAAAAACAAGAUUUUUCAUGACCAGCAGGUCUCUAGGAAGACGUUCGAAAGUGGGCAAAAAGUUCUACUGUACCACUCAAAAUUGAAGUUAUUUCCGGGUAAGUUACGUUCUCGUUGGAUUGGUCCCUUUGUGGUAACUAAUAUCUUUGAUUAUGGUGCAGUGGAGAUCCAGAGUCUAAGGACAGAGAAGAAAUUUGUGGUGAAUGGCCAUCGUCUUAAGCCGUAUUAUGAAGGGGUUCCAGUUGAGCGGGUAGAGAUGAUGCAUUUGGAGGACCCAAUUUGCUUAGUUUAAGCAAAUUAUGGGUUAUGUCUAGCCAAAGACACUAAAGAAAGGCGCUAGUUUGGGAGGCAACCCGAAUAUUAGUCUUGUUAUUUCUAGUUGUUUUGAUUAUUUCUAGUUGUUCUUCUUUUGCAUUGGGUCAUUUACUCGUUGGGUAGUAUCUGUAUUAAUAUUUCCUUCACUGCAAUCAGGAAGUGAGAUCUUGGCGUGCCCGCGCGGUGUUUGGAUCUUCUGAGACCAGAGGACGAAGACCAAUCUUGGCGUGCCCGCGCGGUGUUGGACGACCCAAACCAUGUUUUUGCAGUACAACAAAAAAAAAAAAAAAUUUAUUUAUUAUUAUGAUUAUUAUUAUUAAUACUUUCAUUAAAAGAAAAAGAAAAGAUUGUUUUCUUUCCAAUUCAAAGAUUCAAACUACGGCAAGACAUAUAAAAAAAAAAAAAACAGUUUUUCUUGUCUUUCUUUUCUUUCUUUCCUUUUUUUUUUCUUUUUCUUUCUUUCUUCUUCUUUCUUUCUUUUUUUCUUUCUUUCUUCUCCUCUGUUUUGCUCUGUCCGCCGCCCGUGCCCACCGCCAUCUCCAAUUCCAUCGCACGCCGCUCCCCCCUGCCGCUCGUCGACGCGGCCCACGCCCCUCGCCACCGCCGCACACCAGCUCUCCUCCCACUUCCUCGCACGCCGCCGCCCGCUGCUGACCUCUGCGCGUGGCCAGAGCUUCACGCUGCGCCACCCACCUCGCGCGGGCCUCUCGAUCUGCACAGCUCCAGCCGUCCCAGCCGCCCAGCCGCCACUCUCGCGCCAGCCGCACGAAGCUCCAGCCACGCCACAGCCGCCGCACUUCCUCAGCCGCAGCCGCAGCUAGCAUUCGCCACAGCCACGCUCGCGCCAGCUCGCGGCCAAGUAUUCCAGGGCAGGCGGAGGUAUUCGAAUUUUCACCUUGAUUUGUAUUUCUCUAGUCCUUAAAUUGCUGGAAUUUGCGUUUUUGUUUCUUGGGCUUCUUGUUGGAAAACAGCAGGCAGUGAUUUUAGACAGUUUCUGGGGCUAAUUUGGGUAGAGUUGAGUUAAACUACUGCGAUAUUUGGGGGUACCUGGGGAGUAAGUGCCAAUUGCUUCUGGUUUUAAUUUCCGCUCAUUUUUUUUUUUUUGCGCUACUUGGGUGUUCAGAUCUGUUUUGUUCAGUAGGUUGGUUAUUUACUUUAAUUUCUCCCUAUAUACUCACCAGUGGUACUGGUGAGGGUAGUUGUUUAACAUCUGAUAAUUUGUGUGCUGGAUUGCCUAAUUCAGCGAAUUGUGACUACUGGGCAUUUGUGAUUGGGUCCACCCUGUGAUUGAGUGGUUGGAUAGAGCAGGGAGUGAUUUAGUUAUUUUCUGGGGGAGCUGUUUGGACAAAUUUGGGUUUACUUGCUGCCAAAGUGGGGGUAUUUUCUACUAUUAGUUGAACAGCUAGCCUUUUGAUUACUUUUUCCCCUGCGACUCGCCAGUGGUACUGGUUGAGAUCUUGUACCUUUCGUUGUGGUUUAUAUUUGAAGAUACUUGCUAGCUCUUUGGGUGAAUUGCUGCAAUUGCUGGUUGAAAUUGGGGGCGCCCGUGACGCUUAUAUUUGCUACUUGGUUGUUUUGGUUUGCCUGUUGGUCACCAUGGUGAGGCCUCGAUCUUCUGCUAGGUCUAGGACCCCUCAGCCCCCUCCACCCCAGCAUUCCAUUCCCGCCUCUGACCCCUCGCACGAUCCUUCAUCCUCUGGGAGGCGGGCUCGUCUUGGGCGACAAAGAGGCGUCCAUAUCUCUGACCCUGCACAUUUUGGGGGUCAUUUAGACUUCACCAGGGCGACCGACAAGCGGCGGUAUGCUGAGGCUUGUGAACGGCGAAUUAUUCCAUGCCGUUAUCGGGACGCCGCCACCUUGGGCCUUCUGAAUAUUAGCGUCCCCUUCCACGAUUUGAUUGAGGCAAUCGGGUGGCGACCAUAUUCUCGUAUCACUGACCUCCCAGCCUUUGUUGAGUUAGUUAGGGAAUUCUAUGCCACAUUUGAAUUCGACCUUCCCACUGGUUACACAGUUUCCAUCCCUGAUGUCAUCCGCUUCCGUUUAAUGGGUCAGGAAUUCCACCAUUCCAUAACCGACUUCAACCUGGCUUUUGGUUUCAUUGAUCCUGCCUAUGCUGAGUCUAGGGAGUAUGCCAAGAGUGCGUGUGACUUUGUCCAACCGUUUUUCUCCCGCUAUCGCUUUAUUUGGGAUGAGAUGUCCGUGGACAGGGAUAAUUAUGACCCCCGUCUAUCUAAGGGUUCUUAUCUGAAGGACCCGGCCUCUCGCUAUAUCCACCGUUUUUUGGCCUAUAGUUUCUCGGGUAGGCGAGAUAGUUCGGGCAUUCUGUCUAAGUCCGAAUUUUUCUUUAUAUGGUGCAUGCAUCACAAGAUUAAGGUUAAUCUGGGGUGCUGGCUCGCGUCUCAGUUCAAGUCCAUUUUGCCUAAAAAGAAGCGCCCCUUGAUUCUUGGGUCUUACAUUACUCACUUGGCUAUGAAUUUGCAUGUACUUGAUAUUUCUAACCAUAACUUGCAUAUAGCCUGUCAAAUGGAGCCUUUGGAUAUCCCGUGCUUAGAGAAAAUGGGCUUAGUUCGGGAGGGCGACGAUGGUUGGGAGGUAGUUCCACCGGGGCCGCUACGCCCUCCCCCUCGGUCAUCUUUUGCCCGAGCUUCCACUGAGGGCGGCGACCCUGGCCCGUCUUCCUCCGCUCCGCCACCUACCGCCCCAUCGGCCGACGAUUGGACCCAACUCCGGAACACCGUUGAUAGACUGGAGACUCACGUAACUCACAUUGGCAUCAACUUGCAUAACAUGGCUCAAAACCUGGCUGCGUUUAUGCAGCAGGCCGGCUUUCCACCUCAGUUCGCGCCUGAUCCACCCCUGUUUUGACGAUUACAGGGAAGUAUCGUUGCCCCUCUCCUUACUUUUUGCUGUUACAUUAUCACAUUGAGGGCAAUGUGUGAAUUAGGUGUGGGGGGGUCAGUUUGGGUGCUGAAUAUUUCCAGUUUUUCCAGUUUAGGUGUUUUCCUAUGUUUUUAGUUCAAGUGUUUUCUGUUUAGGUGUUGGUCCUUUAUUCCUUUUGGAUGUUUUUACCUUGCUGAUAUCUGGGUAAAUAUGUUGGCAGCUUACUCUUUUAUUGCUAGUUGUAGUUUAUACUUUGAGUUGAGUUUCGGUGGCAAGUAAGAGCAUGCUGUCUUGGUGAAUAUUUUGAGUUUAACGACUUGGGGCGAUUUAUGGCUAACUUGUUUAGGCAAUAUAAAUAUUUUGCUGGCAUUGUUGUGUGGUUUGGUCCCCUGUUGACCUUGGUCCUUCAUGUUUAGGAGAUGACGUGGGCCAUGAUCUUAAAAGUGUUUGUUAUUUUGGUACGUUAGUGAGAAUAACGUAUGGCUAUACUCCGCUAGUGCCGCCACCUAGUAACCGGAAGUCUUCACCACAAGUGUCGACUCUCGCGUCAAAAAGUGGCGAUAUCCAUGAGUAAAUAGUCCUGGAGCUAUGAAAGGUCGAGUAACUGGGCUCUUUCAUCUAAAAAUGUCAGAGUUCACGUCAAAAGACUUGAAUAGCUCGGGACUAAGCAUUACUCUUUGCAAUCUAAAAAAAAAAGAAAAAGGAAAAAAGCAAAAAAGAAAAUCAGAUGUGGAGAAUAUGUGAGUUUAUGAUCAUGUUGGCCUGCCGAUCCUUGGUUCGUAUUGUUGAGAUUUUGGUUGACAGUUGACUUGAUUACUGAUUGUUGCUAGUUAAUAUUUGGAUUUCCUACGCGAAUUAGCCAUGAAUUGGACAGGUCUAUGAACUGAGGAGCUAACCGGGAGAGACACGUCUUGAUACUUAGUCACUAGAUCUUGAUUUUGGGUAUAAGCGCAGCUGGCUAUGAUAAUGUGAAAGCUAGCCAUUGUUGAGUUGAAUUGUCUCCAUGCUUGAGGGCAAGCAUGAUUCAGGUGUGGGGGGAAUUGAUAGGGUAUAUUUUGUUAGUAAUUUUAUUAGUAAUUUCCCCUUCUAUCCCUGACAAAUAUUGCGUUAGUUGCUGAUAUUUACUCAUAUUUGGUAUUUGGAAUCAAUUUCAGGAGUGAAGCAGAAAUAUUACCAAAUGGAGGGACUUUCUAGAGCAUAUUACUAAGGGUCAAUUCGGCAGGGCCGAGCAUUGGCAAUUCAUCUUCUUAAUUUCGGUGGGGGCCCAUGGAAUAAAGAUCACUAGUCAUUUGGCCAACAGCAGACAACGUACAAAGCCUAAGUACUAAGAAGAAAUUCGGCAGACUUGUGCCAAUUGAAGGGGACCACUGGAGAGAAGACAUGGAGUCGGCCUGGCCCACGGAAAUUGAAGCCUUAGUCAUCCUUUUGGCUUGAGAAAGAAAAAGGACGUAAAGAGGCUGCUGCUUGGAAUCUCUUUUGGGUUUUUCCUAAUUGUGGUGGGAACGCAGAGGAGAUGGUUUGAGUCAACUCCCUUUUGUUUCUUUAAAAGGAAAAGAACGUACAGAAGCAAGAGACCACCUUUUAGUUUUAGCUUUUAGUUCAGUUUUAGUUCUUCUUUCUCCUGACUGGCCUCUGACACACGCCAGGUGUUCGACAAUAUUCCCCAACGGGAAAAACACUUUUAUUCCUUGCUUCUUAAUAGAAAACGCAAUGCCUUUGCAAUUUAUUAAUUCGUGUGGUGAUUUAAUUAUGCGGCGUGGCUAAGUCUUCCGUCUAGUCAGGGGUCAACUCGACGGCGCAGUCCCGGAAAUCUGUGAGAUCUAAUUAGUUUUCACGUGUUCCUUUAUCUAUUAAUAUUUGCAUGUUGCCUGAUUUAACUUUCAUGGGAUUAUUUUAUUAAUUGGAUGUCAAGGGCCCGAUGUUCAAUGUGAUAUAUUAAACUCGUGCCAAUUUAGUCAAUUAAAUCCGUAAUUGUUUGAUUGAUUAAUAUUAGUGGCAACUGGUGUGUUUACACAGUAGGGGAGCAUGCAAUCUAAUUUAAAUAACCCUCGUAGCGUGUUAUUGAUUAGAACUAGGUUUUUCUGGUUAUUAAUGCAAUUGGAAAAUUAAUUCCUACGGUCGUACCUAGGAGUACUUUUCUGGUUAGGGGUGACUAAUGGUCGUACCUUGGUCACCUAUAAAUUAAGGAAAAAUUGGUCAUUAGAGUUCCUUGAUGGCUAUAACUAGUCUAUUAAUAAAUUAAGUGAACCUCUCUUGCAUCAAUGAUCGGAUAAAUGGACUGUGCCUGAGUAGUUGCUUCCUUGGCUAGAAUUUAUUUAUUCCUGAUUAAGUUCCUGCUAUAUUUGUGCUAGUUAUUUAUUCAUUUUUAGUUAAAUUGUUUAAUUGUUUUUAGUUUUAUUCCUGUGAAAUCCCCCCUUAUCAAUUGGACUUUAAAAGAGACAGAUAUCUCCAGUCCCUGAGGAGACGACCCUACUUGCCAUUGUCUACUAUUUAGUAAUUUUUGUCAACUAAUUAAUUCUGGUAUAUCGGGUUAAGCAAACUCUUCGGGAACAGGGUGAAUCAAGUAACCCAUUGCACACCUAGAGUCCCUGCUCCAGUACCUAGGAUUAAUUACUGACUACUUUUAGUGGUAACUAGGUUCUAUUUUUAUUAUUAUUAUUGCACAGGUUUGACGACCUGUCACGAAGGCAGGAAAGGAGAUGAUUAAUGGUUUGACCAUGUGUCAAAGUACACAGAUGGUUGGAUGCAGUCUCGUUUGCAGCAGCAGAAAUUCUAUCUUUGCACACUCCAAUGGGAGUUCAACCAAAAAAAUUCCGUUUGUCAUGAAAAGUUACAAAAAUGCAUGGCCUGGGCCUACAACAAGGAGUUUCAUCAGUAUACAUUCUGAGGAAGGCGACAAAGCACUCAAGCGAAUACAGGACGAAGGCAGAGGCAAAUAUGCUCCAAAUCAGAAAGGGCCGUUCAUUGUCCAAAAGGUAUUACCUGGCAAAACACUUAUUUCGACAGAAAUGGAUAGACGAACAUUUCCCUCAACCCAUCAACUCAGAUAUGUGUAAGAAGUUUUUCAUUUGAUCAUGCAAAUUUUCUUUAGAAAUUCAUGCAAAUGGCGAAAUGCAAGUCAGGCCAUCUUCUUUUACACUUAAAACAUUCUAUCCCUACUUGUCCCCUUUGGGCCAUCAGAAUUGACAAAUUUUCGUUUGAUAACCCCUGAGAAUUGCAAACCCCACACUGGGGCAAAUUUAUUUUGAAAAAGAGAUGAUCGAAGAGGAAAGAAAACCCACACUGGGGCAAAGUUAUUUUUGAAAGAAAGAUAAAAGAGGGAGAGAGGAAAGAAGGAGAACCCCACACUGGGGCAAAUGUGGUUUUUAAAGAAAAACUAAGUCCAAUCAAUGCAAAAGUGAGGAAAAUGCAAUGCAAAAAGAGAAAAUCCGAUCAAACUGGGGCAAAUUUUUCCUCAGUUUCGUUCAAAAUUGGAGACAAUUUCAAAAUAAUGCAAUCUUAAGUUAUUUCACACCUCGCAUCGAAAUUUGCUUUCAAACCUCAACUUUUCUUGAAAACACCCCACCUGACCUCAUUACAAGAGCCCAAAGUCCUGGCUUUCGUCACUUGCUGCAUUUCUACUUGAAAUUUGUUAAUCAAUUGGCAAGUGAUGUCCAUAAUGCCUUCGCCUAAUCUUACCAGAGAAGUGCAUUUUACUGAUGCCCGCAAUCUUUAACUCACAUUUCUGAGUCGAUCAUGGUCGAGAUAUUUCGUUGUUCUUUAGGUGAAAACCCGAAAGGGCGCCUCGAAAAAAAGAAAAAGAAAGAAAAAAGAAGAAAAGAAAGAAAAAGAAAGAAAAAGAAGGAAAAGAAAGAAAAAGAAGGAAAAGAAAGAAAGAAAGAAAAGACAAAACAAAAACAAAAAAGGAGGGUGGGGGGCAACUUUGCUGAAAAUCCGAGAGGGCGCCAAGGCAGUUUUUCUCAACAGACGAGCACGAGACGGAACAGCUGGGGAACUGGUUCAUUUGAAUUUUUUCUCAUUUUUGUGAUACUUCUGCCAGUAUCGAAUUCCGAAGCGGAUAUAUCCAAAGUCUUGAAUAUGAUAUUCGUUGGCCAAAUUUGUAUUUUUUCUUUACAAAUAUCCUUUUGCAAAAUGUAUCUUCAUAAACCUCUUGAUUUUUUCUUUUUUUCGAUUACUUGCGUUCGACUGCUUGUGGUUGUGUGUCUUCUUUUGCAUACUCAUUCUUGUCUGACAUAGGAAAUCAUCUUGUAUAUAUCAUUGAUUUUUAUAUUUUCAUGCAUCACUCAUUCUUUCACCAUUGGAUUCGAAUGGAUGAUAAACCCUAAGGCUUGUGAAAUACGUUGGAUUCGAUCAUCUAUUAAAAUGGGUGAAAUACAACAAACUUGCUACACAGAUUUGUGGAUGUGGCGAAUGCGUACUUCAUCAGUCUCAGGAGUCAAAAGGUUUUCACAAAUUCAACCAAACCAGACACCGCAGAGUAGAGUCAAAAGCAUCAAAAGACUCAUGUUUGCACGAUUCUCAAGGGAAACUGGAUCCAAUGAUGGUGGCAAGUUCGUUAUUUCCUCUUUUUCUCGCAUGAAUGCUACAUCUACAAAUGGAAACAACCACCAUCUUUUCUCGCCCAAAUUAGUGUCGGAAAAGCUCCCCAGUGGACAAAAGACGAAUCAACAAUACUAUUGGCAAGUGCAGUCAGGAAAAAACAAUACGUCAAAACAAAGUCAGCUACCAUUUUGGCUACAAGGACCAAAGUUUUCCUCGAUACAAAACUUUUAGCUGUUCUCAGGCAAAAACUCAACUCAUUGUUUUAAAUCCCGUGGGUCUAUCCCAUUUACAUUUCAGUCCGGGUCUAUCCCGUGGGUCUAUCCCGUUUACAUUUCAGUCCGGGUCUAUCCCGUGGGUCUAUCCCAUUUACAUUUCAGUCCGAGUCUAUCCCGUGGAUCUAUCCCGUUUACAUUUCAGUUCGGGUCUAUCCCGUGGGUCUAUCCCGUUUACAUUUCUGUCCGAGUCUAUCUCGUGGGUCUAUCCCAUUUACAUUUCAGUCCGGGUCUAUCCCAUUUACAUUUCAGUCCGGGUCUAUCCCGUGAGUCUAUCCCGUUUACAUUUCUGUCCGGAUCUAUCCUGUGGGUCUAUCCCAUUUACAUUUCUAUCCGGGUCUAUCCCGUGGGUCUAUCACAUUUACAUUUCAGUCCGGGUCUAUCCCGUGAGUCUAUCCCGUUUACAUUUCUGUCCGGGUCUAUCCCGUGAGUCUAUCCCAUUUACAUUUCUGUUCGGGUCUAUCCCGUGGGUCUAUCCCCUUUACAUUUCUGUCCGGGUCUAUCCCGUGGGUCUAUCCCAUUUACAUUUUUGUCCGGGUCUAUCUCAUUUAAAUUCCCGUUCGGGUCAGUCCCGUUUUUAAAUUCCUGUUCGGGUCAGUCCCGUUUUAAAUUCCUGUUCGGGUCAGCCCCGUUUUAAAUUCUUGUUUCGGGUCAGUCCCAUUUUAGAAUUUUGUUAGAGAGGUCAGUCCUCAUUUCAAAAACAGCAGUCGUUCGAAUAAGUGACAGCCGAAUGGCACAGGUAGGUAUUUGGUGUCUACUUCUUUGUCUCAAGUUUUUCAAAACUCAGACAAAGAGGGGCAAACUGUAGACACCAAAUUUUGAAAUAAUUUGUAUGCUUCGUUUUAGUGAUAAUUCUUAUCUGUUGAUUUUUGUUAAUUUCAUGUUUUUGUUUUAGAUGGUUUGCAUUUUAGUUCAUUAUUGUUUGUUUAGCCCUUUUAGGUGUUGUUUUAUUUUAGUUUUAUUCACUUUUUAGUUUUUAGUUUUUUUUAUUUUUAAGUUUUAGCGUAGAAUUUCUAGAAAAAAGGGAAAAAGAAGGAAAAAUAUUCAAAAAUAUGCUGAGUUGUUUUAAUACAAUGUUUUCUUAAAGGAAAAGGAAAAAAGAGAAAAAUAAAGAAAAAUAAAAAAAAGAAAGGAAAAAGAAAAAGGAAAAAACAUGGUUUAGGGCAUAUUGGCUUAUUUUUGACAAAAAGUGAAAAGUUUGAAAAUUGAAGGAAAAGCUUUUUAGUGUAAUAGAAAUUAUUACUUUUUGAUACAUUUUAACUAUUUUCAAAGAAAAGAAAAUUUUCAAAAAAUAUUAAUUUAGGGGCAAGUUGGUUUUAUUUCAGGUUACAAGCAUUUUUUGAUUGCAUUUUAUUUUUGUUUCUAUUAUUGUUAUUAUUAUUUAUAUUUUAUCAAUUUUGUAUAGUUAAAAAAAAAAAAAUGUGUCGCGGCAUGCACGCUGCAAUUUUUUGCAGCGUGCAAAGGACAGCCACGGUUGCCCUUUGGAAGGCUGGAUGUGAAGGCAAGGGUAAGCCCUUCAUCCUCACCAUUCGGGAGAGGGUUUAUGGAUGAGUGAGUUCAUAUAAAAGGGAAGAGAGCAGCAGCCGCAGGAGAGGUUCUUUAGAGAGUUGACGGGCUAAUAGAAAAAACUGGGGGAGUUUUUGGAGAGAAAAGGGGCGGCUGAGAUUGGGAAGGAGAGAAUAGAGAGUGGCAUCUGAAAAGGAAAAAAAAACGCAGGAGACUAAGAGGGAGUUAGGAGAAUAAUAACGAGGGAAAAAUUCUGAGGAAGACACAAGAGAGGAUCUGGGAGCAAGCAAAGCAAAUCUGGAAAAUUUUGAAGAAGGCUUCAAAGCUGAGAACGAUAGGAAGGAGAUCGCUCGUCAAGGCAGGAGCUUCUGCAGCAAAAAUUCCCAACCGUAUUUCUUGGAACCCUCAUGCGUUUCUGGGUAGAUUUCAAGGUCACUCAACCGUGCUAGCAUUCUCAGGUAAAAAUGGCUCUUAUUUUGUGGGUUUAAACAUUUUUUUUAUGAGAAGAUAUGCCACGAAGGUGAAUCUUUUGAAUGAUCUGUUGCUGUUUUUGAGUUUUUGCUGGUCUCAUGACUUGGCCAUGAUUGUUUGGUAGCUAAGAUAGAGCAUAAUAAGAGCCUAUAGGAUGGGUUUAGGGAUUUUAUAAGGUUGUAUGAUGAAUGCAUGAGCUCUGAUUUUUCACGUGUUUGUAUGAACAAAACCAGAAAAACUGCAAAAGCUUUCGGCUUUAUGAUUUUUGUCAUGUUUGGGACUCUUAAUGCUUCCCUGAUUGCUGUUUUAUGUUUUUUUUACGAUGUUGGUGAUGGGUUUUGGCAAUGAAAGGCUCAGAUAUCAUGGUUUUCCCUCUCCCCUUUGUUCCAAAGUCCAGCGUACGAAUUAGAUUCUGGUUUGGGUCUGGGUAUUUGUUGCAUGAGGUUGCUAAAAUCUAGAGGCACCAGAAAUUGCAGGUGCUUCAUCAGUUGCAUGUCUACAUUUCUGCUUAGCUCCUUUAGCUAGUAUUUGAUUGAAGUUUGAUUAACCAUGUCGAUUUCCAGCUUCCUAAUGUAUAAAGAGCUCGCUGCCUAUUCUUUCUUUGUUGCUGUCCAUUUGCUGCGAUAAUGUUGUUCCGUGCCUUUUGUUGCAUUGUAAAACAAGUAGAUCAGGUGGUGUUUUGUUGUCUUGCACGAAUUACAUUCAGUUUGGGCUGUCAAAUGUGUAGAGUUUGUUUGAGUUCUCACACACAAACAUAUUUGGGCUGAAAUAGAAAAAGCUGCUGCAUUUGUUUCCUUUUCUCUGCCGUGUUUCCUUCUGCACUUCAGUUUCGUGUUCAAUCUUGUGUUAAGGUGGGGAAAUGGAAGUUUGGGUGUUGUGUAUGCAUGUUUGAAACUCUGAAACACUCGAGCUAUGGCCAAGCACUUGCUGGAAAAAUGCAUUUCAACUUGCCAAAUCAGUUUCAUAUGCUUCCAGAUUUUUCAAUUUGCUGAACGUAUUUCAUUUUUUUUUGUUGCAUUGGAUCUUGCUAAGUUUUUUGUUUGAUUGGAUGAUGGCUUGCUGCUUAGUUUAAAGCCUUGUGUGUGGACUUGACUAUGUUUGAAAGCUGGCUUGACAAGGUGCCAAAUUGCAGAAAGUCUUCAUCCGAAAAUUACAGAAGCAAAGAAAGCUUCGGUUUGCCGAAAGCUUCAUAUGCUUGUUGAAACCUUGUUGCAGCUUGAUUUUGCAUCAUUUCUUGCUGUGUUUUACUGGUUUGAAUAUCCAAGUUGUGUGCUGUGCUGUUUAAUUCAAAGCUUGGUCGUUGGUUUGAGAGAGUUAGAUCAAAGCUUGAGUUAGUUUUUCUGAAAUUUAUGGUUAAAGGUGAAAGCGCAGCCAGCAUUCUAGUUGCAGCAGGUUAAAAUGCAGAAAUCUUCUUCGUAUGCAUGCUUUGCAUGAAGAAAUAACUUCCAAAAAUUGCACUCCAACCCCUUGGCUUCUAUCUAAUGCUUCCAUGGCCCAAUUAAUUGGAAAACUUAAUUAAUUUUGUCCUCCUAACAUGCCAUUUUCUCUUUAAUACCUCUUGAUUUGUUUUGGGUAGAUACUUAAGGAGUUGUAGAAUGAAUUUGAAGGGGCUAAUAACUUUUUUUUUCUAGAUUUGUAGGCAAUUUGAUUUUUCUUGGAUUCUUUGGCAUUUUGUUGCUUAGAUACUAGCAAAUUGUUCCUCAUUUACCUUUUGUGAAUUUUCUCGUUUGAUUUGGUAUGUUUCACCUUCGAAUCUUAAUUUUAUUUUAUGUUUUUUUUGAGACCCUUAGUGUUUAUAAUAAUAAUAAAUUGGCCCGUUAAACCUCUUUAAUUUUUUCAAUUGGGUCUUUGCUUGUCUUAAUUGGUUAAGUACGAGUAGUUUACUUUCCUUGGAAUGCUUCGAGUGAUUCAAUUUGGCGUUUAUUCCCAUUUUCUCUGAUUUAUUUGAUAAUUUAAAUGGUACCUUGACCUUUUUAUUAUUUUGGAGGGUAAAUUAGUAAUUUUACUACGUUAGGGCGUCGAUUCAAGGGAGGUACACUCUAUCCCUUAUAUUUGCACUUCAUUUGACCCUACGUGCUCCUACGUGUUAUGUGAAUAUGCAUGUCUAUUUCGCUUUCCUUACCUUUCCUUAAUUCCUUGCAUUUAUUUUAUUUAAUUUUACUUUUAUUUAAGUUAUUCAUUAUGGGGUAUUUGUACACCUCUUGGCUUGUAAUGGAUAGGGUUUGGCGAGCAAUUUGGUCCAUUUUCCCCUUCCCUUUUUGUUUUAGUUAGCAAAUGUAAUAGAUUCAUUAGCUUGGUUGCAUGCCUAUGUGUUAUGUGUUAAGUGCUUUAUUAGGCUCUUGCAUCUAGUCGAGCAUGCUAAGUGUUAUGUGCUACGUGUUUAUAAGUGAUUCGCAUGUCUACUCGCUUUUUUAUAGUCAUGAAUGAAUGUGAUGGAUGAAUGGACGUCACCACACUAGUCCAAUACUAGUUGUGGCCCCCUUUCCCGUCACCACACUAGUCCAACGCUAGUUGUGGUUCAUUGUCCCGUUUCCACUAGUCCAAUGCUAGUAGGAAUUCAUAGAAAGGGCUAGUCCAACGCUAGACCCAAUAGGCCGUCCCUUUCGAUAGUGCAUAUUUGCAUGUUCACUACAUGUCAUGUAUUUUUCUUAGUUUUAUCAUUUGGCAUGCUCCUCGAACCCCUUUUCCCCUCAUGCUAGUUAUAGGGUACAUUUGCUUGAGAGUCCCCUUUCGAUAAGGGAAACGAGCGAGUUUGGCUGCGAAAUAGCCUUAGCACGCUAGUUUUUCCUUCUAAUCCAAGGAAAAAUCAAAGUCGUAAAGUUAGGAGUCCUUCCCGUGCCCGACUUGAUGCAUUCCCUUAGGGUCAUACACUUGCAUUCCUUUUAUAUCACCUCUUCACCUUUUAACCACAUUUUCUCACUUUUCUCAAUCCACACUUCCUCAACACCUUUUUAUCGCUUAUUUAUUUCUUACCUCACAAAUGGCACUCAAAAUUGCGCUUAUAUAUCUACUAUUCUAUUUUUCAUCCAUUUGCACACGAACACAUUUCUUUUUCUCACACUUACACACUUACACUUAAGUCCUCAUUUGCAUUUACCACAACUUCUAUGAGAGCUUUCCCUAUUGGCCACCACAAUUCAUGUGGUUGGGACCAAAAAGUCUCAUAAGAAACAUUUAGAUUUAGGAUCGCAUUUUUCUUUCCUUCUUGCAUUCAUAUAGUUAUAUCCAACAUGCGAUACAUACUUUGGGUAGAAAAACUAGGAAAAGAAGGGUUAAGUCACGCAACUAACCUUUGCUAGGGUAAGGGAGUGCCUUAGGCUUUGCCUUCGCCUUCUCCCUUAUCAAAUGUGACCCCCGAUCCCUCGCUUUGGUUACGUAGACCUAAAAGUUUUAAAAAGGGUUUGUUUAUUUCGCUUUUCCAAAAAAUCACUUUUGGGUGACUUGGUACACCCUAACUCUAUACCAAGUGGCGACUCCAUUUUCUUUAAAAAAACCCUUUUUGAACUUCGUUUGGCCAAAAUCGUCGCAUUCUCAAGUCCCAUGGCCUUUUACUUUUCAUUUUCACACGUUCACAUGUAUAUCAUACACACUACUCACUCUCACACACACCACACACCACAUCAUCAAAAAGUGGGGCGCGACAGUUGGCGACUCCACUGGGGAUUUUCUAAGUGGGUCCAAGCAUUUGAUUUGGCCAUUCUUUUCCCUUUUCUACCCUUUUUAUGCAUAGCAUUGGAUAUUAGGGUUGCAUUUUCUACUUUAGGACUUUUUUGCCUCGCGCGCAUAUCAAACUAUUCCCUCACUCACGUAUGUAUGAUUGGUUGUUUGGAUGUAUAUUCUACUUGUUUUAUCUCGCGCUUUGCAUUGCAUUUGGGUGGGGGGAUAUACCCUAGAGCCUCGCGUUGGUUCUUGAUCCCUCCCCUCCAAACGAGCACUAGCAUACGUGCAUACGCUUUAAUUUUUUACCCCUCAUUUAUUUUUCUUUUAGUGGCUUGUCACGCCACUCCACCCUACUAGGAUUUUAGGCGACUCACUUGGACUUGUGAUCGCGACACGAUGUGUGCGUAGCAUGAUCCGAGGAGUCACUCGAUCUUCCAUUUUAAGCUUUGGGUUCAUAACCUUUAGCUUUUAAUUGAAGAUUGAGGAUUUUUGAUAGAUUCACUCAUGACAUGUAGCCGUGACACGAUGUGUGCGUAGCAAUGUCUGGGGAAUCGCUCGAGCCACCGACAAGGAACCUUGGAAUUGAUGACCCUCGGUUUCCAAGUCUGAAGGCUCGGGGACCUAAAACCUAUCGAGUCUAGAUGCAUUAGUGAGCCAACCCCAUGCAUCCAUAAUAGUUUUACCUAGGGUAGCGUCUGCCUUACCCUAUUAUGAAUACUAUUCACGAGGGGAGGGGUCCAACCCCUUUCUCCUUUUUAUUGCUUUAUUUCUUUGUGUUGAUUUCGUUGCUACAAGGUGUUAUGUGUAUUUAUGUGAUUGAACUAACCUUUCUUGGUUUUGUCUCCAUUGCAUUCAUUAGCCCUAGAAAAUAAGAGUCCUGGCAUGGCACUCUCUAAGAACCUACCCCAUUUGAUGUGACACGUUUAAAUUCAAUGCUUCACAUACGUAGCAUGAAUACAUUUCAUUUUAGGCUUACCCUGGCAAAUAAAUGGUCCCUUAGGUCAUGCUUCAUUUCAAAUUACAUGUUUUACUGCUUUAAUAAACGGGCAUCACGCAUAAACCCUAGAAAGGGAAUGCCAUUUAGGGGAUCCUGUGUUAGGAAUAGGCCACCUUGUGUCUCGGAUAUUUAAUCCAGUGAGACUUGCACGUUUACAUUUUGUACCAUCCAAAGGGGCAGUGCACAAGGUAAGGUAGGAUCCGAUCAUUUUCAUAGACUGAUCUUUGGAAUAUGAGCAUCUAAUAAUCACUUUUUGGCCAUUUUAUCAAAAAUUGGUAAAAAUCCCUUGCGUGAAGGGCAUUAAUUUGAAGAAAUUCACAAAUGAUUCCUCCUAUUGAAACGAUAAAUAAAUUGAGGCAAAAAUUUGAUUUUUAGAAGGUCAUAGACUAAUGCACCUCAAUAAUUUUGAAAUAACCAAUGGCCGGACAAUUCAACCAAUCCAUUUUGCCAAUUCAUUCAAUUCAUUUGACCUGUUUCCCUUUUUAGGGUAAACCGGUCGAUUUUUAAUAAAUUGUCAAUUCAUUUGACCAAUUAGGGUUUCAAUGUCGAAUUUCAAAAUGGAAAACCUAGUCGAUUUUGAGAAAAACAUCCAUUGCAUCCAGCCAUUUGAUCAGUUGGAGUUUUGACCUGCGCUUCACUAAGAAAAUUUGUUAACGAGUUCCAAUCUCUUUGAUAGGAAGUUCGUCAAAGUCAAAACCCGUGCAUUUUUUUUGCAAAUUCUUGUAUCGAUCAAAAGUGAUCAAUCUAUUUGGACGUUGACCUCAUUUUGACAAAGUGUCUCUCGUCAAUCCAAUUGACCAAAUUUUUCAAAAUUAUUUUUCACUCAAUGAGUUGAUCAGAUCCAUCAGGUAUGGUAUAGUGCCUACCUCAGAGGAUUGCAUUUUCAUGCUAGGCCUACCCUUGGCACAAAAGGGCUCCCCCGUAGGACAUGCAUCCGAAUUUUUUGGAUAUUUACUAACUCUUGUCUUUUUCUUUUCCUUUUCUUUAUUUUCUUGGAAUAACUAAGCGAGGGUUAAAUCUAAAGGCAAUUUUUCAAAAAUUCUCAGGUAAUAUUUAAACAUAGCUUCUCGUCGAAACCCCAUCAUAACGCGAUCCCGUAGUCAAGCCUAGAGGAGUCGUGUAAACAUGAGUUCGCAAUCGGAACUGUCGGAUAAGUCUGCUACUACAGCCCAACCUGAGACUGCAAGUUUGGGGGUCCAACUGACCGAGAUGCUUACGAAGUUUGGUGAGAUGGCAUCUGAAAUGGCCGUCCAAAAGAAAUUAAUCGAUGAGCUUAUCAGUAGCGGAGUUCAACCCGAGCCUGUACUCGUCAGUCAAUCGGGGCCAGAAUCAUUGGUCAUGCCCACGACCCAAACUACUUUCUCCAUCCUUCAUCAUUCCACCCGAAGGAGCUUUCACCUAUCCCACCAUAAAUUUGCCAUACACUUACCCUCCUAACCUUUCGUUCUUUCCUACUCACAUGCAAGGUCCCCAACCGCAAAUCACUUCAAACAUACCACCUGAGCUACAUACCUUUUAUCACGCUGCUGCUGAGCCUUUCUUGCCAGACCAUACCAUUCAAAACAAGCCAGCAAUGGGAGAAUCUUCUGCUCCCAUUGAUAUGAAGCUUCUCAAGCGCCUUGACCGUUUUGAUGAAUUUAUGAGGAAAAGUCAGGGUUUAAACAAGCAAGGAGUGCUGGACUAUGAUGAACUGUGUCUCUUUCCAAAUGUUCAAUUGCCUGAGGGGUUCAAAACUCCGAAGUUUAACAAAUACGAUGGCACGGGCAAUCCCAAGACACACCUCCGAUUGUUCGCCAAUAAAUUGGGUAGGCCGGUAGAUGAUGAAAAUCUACCUUUAAGGCUAUUCCCAGAAAGUCUGGAAAGCGACGCACUUGAUUGGUAUUCAACUUUGAAGUCUGAGGAGAUAAAAACUUGGCUGGACCUGUCCAAUGCUUUUGUAAGGCAAUACGAGUACAAUUGUGAGCUGGCUCCGACACGAACUACGUUGGAGGGGACAAAGAGGAAGCCAUCCGAGGAUCACAAGACUUAUGCCAAGAGGUGGAGGAAAAUAGCUGCAAAAGUCGAGCCACCAAUGACGGAGGACGAAAUCAUACGCACUUUCAUUAAAGCACAUGAUCCGCCGUAUUUUGAAGAAAUAUUUCGCAUGACUGGAUGCUCGUUCUCCGCCAUUGUCAAUAAGCUUGAGGAGUAUGAUGACUUCGUGAAAGCUGGGAAGAUUGUUAAUGUCUCUGCCCUCAAAUCCCAGUUGGAUGCCUUGCAAGGACAGGGGAAUAGUGGGAAGAACCCGCAACUUAAAAAGAAAGAGGGGGAAGCUGUCUCCAUAUGGGAUCAAAACCCUAUUCCAAGGCCCAGACCUCGAUAAUACCCUACAUACUCAAACCCUUACCCUUAUUAUUCCAACCCUCAUCCUGUUUAUCACGCCAAUAUCACUCACCCUCGACCUCGCCCAAGCUAUCCUAAUCCACCUUUAGCCCCUUUUCAAAUUUCUCAACCAAAUCCUCAUCAAAAUCGUCAUCGGCCUCCAUUCAAUCCAGGAAUGCCUCCACCAACCGUUUACAACUACCCUCAGCCCCCUAAAACCAACAACCCGGGACGUAACCGCACAUUCACCAAUCUCGACAGGCCUUUGGAUCAAUUAUAUGACCAAUUGAAGGCUGCUGGGAAAAUAGGUAUCAUUCCCCCUCCAACCUAUCCGUAUGGCAUACCCGUAGGGUAUAACCCACAAGCUGUCUGUGCUUAUCAUUCAGGGGCACCCGGCCAUCCGAUUGCUGAGUGUAAAGCACUCAAGCAUAAAAUUCAAGACAUGAUUGAAGCUGGAGAGAUUGUAAUUAGAAGAAAAGAGGCACAAGCGCCAAAUGUGGAUAAGAACCCCCUGCCAGAGUACGAUAACACCAUUGGAUUUAUUAUGGACAAUAUGGAAUUUAAGGAGCCUGUUAGAAACUCGUCAAGUGAGGCUGAGGUGUUUGGAAGUGAUGCAGAAUUUCCCGACAUUCCUGAAGGAUCAAUUUUCAAUUGAACAGCCGAGUUUCUGCCAUUCAGAAGGAGUUUCGUAAACUUAAAAGGGGUUUGUCAUCCAUGCGAACUCAUUGAAAAUGCUUUUGCAUCUGUAAAUAGCUAAUGAAAGCAUCUUUAUUUUUGACUAAGAGUUUGCACAUGUUUUCAUUUCAUUUUCACUUGCUUUCCUUUUAUUUUUGCUUUCAAUCAAAGGUUUUAUGAAAAGGCACAAGUCAUUCUUGUCAUGUUAUUUUGUUUAUUCGUUUGUUUAUAUUUUGGUCAUAUUGCUUGUUCAUUUGUUUGUUGUAUACUUGUUUGUUAUCCCAAAUUCCUUAAUUCUUUCAGAUGGCCAAAAAUAAAGCUAUUUGACCCUUUGGAUAUCACCAUUCUGGAAUUUAGUAAUGGCAAUCUCUAUCUCACUCACGACUUGAGAAUUUUGGAACCCAAAUUUUCAAGCGAGAGUGAUAAUAAGAAAAUAUUUGAUUCUUUUAAAAAAUCUUGAACAAUAUGAGGAGAAAUUCGAACCAAACCAAGAAGCCACAGCAAUUGUUCACUUUGGCACUGAGAAUGAGGUCAAGAAGACAUGUGUCAGCAUUCGUUUGGACGAAGGCAGGAAAGGAGAUGAUUAAUGGUUUGACCAUGUGUCAAAGUACACAGAUGGUUGGAUGCAGUCUCGUUUGCAGCAGCAGAAAUUCUAUCUUUGCACACUCCAAUGGGAGUUCAACCAAAAAAAUGCCGUUUGUCAUGAAAAGUUACAAAAAUGCAUGGCCUGGGCCUACAACAAGGAGUUUCAUCAGUAUACAUUCUGAGGAAGGCGACAAAGCACUCAAGCGAAUACAGGACGAAGGCAGAGGCAAAUAUGCUCCAAAUCAGAAAGGGCCGUUCAUUGUCCAAAAGGUAUUACCUGGCAAAACACUUAUUUCGACAGAAAUGGAUAGACGAACAUUUCCCUCAACCCAUCAACUCAGAUAUGUGUAAGAAGUUUUUCAUUUGAUCAUGCAAAUUUUCUUUAGAAAUUCAUGCAAAUGGCGAAAUGCAAGUCAGGUCAUCUUCUUUUACACUUAAAACAUUCUAUCCCUACUUGUCCCCUUUGGGCCAUCAGAAUUGACAAAUUUUCGUUUGAUAACCCCUGAGAAUUGCAAACCCCACACUGGGGCAAAUUUAUUUUGAAAAAGAGAUGAUCGAAGAGGAAAGAAAACCCACACUGGGGCAAAGUUAUUUUUGAAAGAAAGAUAAAAGAGGGAGAGAGGAAAGAAGGAGAACCCCACACUGGGGCAAAUGUGGUUUUUAAAGAAAAACUAAGUCCAAUCAAUGCAAAAGUGAGGAAAAUGCAAUGCAAAAAGAGAAAAUCCGAUCAAACUGGGGCAAAUUUUUCCUCAGUUUCGUUCAAAAUUGGAGACAAUUUCAAAAUAAUGCAAUCUCAAGUUAUUUCACACCUCGCAUCGAAAUUUGAUUUCAAACCUCAACUUUUCUUGAAAAACCCCACCUGACCUCAUUACAAGAGCCCAAAGUCCUGGCUUUCGUCACUUGCUGCAUUUCUACUUGAAAUUUGUUAAUCAAUUGGCAAGUGAUGUCCAUAAUGCAUUUGCCUAAUCUUACCAGAGAAGUGCAUUUUACUGAUGCCCGCAAUCUUUAACUCACAUUUCUGAGUCGAUCAUGGUCGAGAUAUUUCGUUGUUCUUUAGGUGAAAACCCGAAAGGGCGCCUCGAAAAAAAGAAAAAAAAAGAAAAAAGAAGAAAAGAAAGAAAAAGAAAGAAAAAGAAGGAAAAGAAAGAAAAAGAAGGAAAAGAAAGAAAGAAAGAAAAGACAAAACAAAAACAAAAAAGGAGGGUGGGGGGCAACUUUGGUGAAAAUCCGAGAGGGCGCCAAGGCAGUUUUUCUCAACAGACGAGCACGAGACGGAACAGCUGGGGAACUGGUUCAUUUGGAUUUUUUCUCAUUUUUGUGAUACUUCUGCCAGUAUCGAAUUCCGAAGCGGAUAUAUCCAAAGUCUUGAAUAUGAUAUUCGUUGGCCAAAUUUGUAUUUUUUCUUUACAAAUAUCCUUUUGCAAAAUGUAUCUUCAUAAACCUCUUGAUUUUUUCUUUUUUUCGAUUACUUGCGUUCGACUGCUUGUGGUUGUGUGUCUUCUUUUGCAUACUCAUUCUUGUCUGACAUAGGAAAUCAUCUUGUAUAUAUCAUUGAUUUUUAUAUUUUCAUGCAUCACUCAUUCUUUCACCAUUGGAUUCGAAUGGAUGAUAAACCCUAAGGUUUGUGAAAUACGUUUGAUUCGAUCAUCUAUUAAAAUGGGUGAAAUACAACAAACUUGCUACACAGAUUUGUGGAUGUGGCGAAUGCGUACUUCAUCAGUCUCAGGAGUCAAAAGGUUUUCACAAAUUCAACCAAACCAGACACCGCAGAGUAGAGGCAAAAGCAUCAAAAGACUCAUGUUUGCACGAUUCUCAAAGGAAACUGGAUCCAAUGAUGGUGGCAAGUUCGUUAUUUCCUCUUUUUCUCGCAGGAAUGCUACAACUACAAAUGGAAACAACCACCAUCUUUUCUCGCCCAAAUUAGUGUCGGAAAAGCUCCCCAGUGGACAAAAGACGAAUCAACAAUACUAUUGGCAAGUGCAGUCAGGAAAAAACAAUACGUCAAAACAAAGUCAGCUACCAUUUUGGCUACAAGGACCGAAUUUUUCCUCGAUACAAAACUUUUAGCUGUUCUCAGGCAAAAACUCAACUCAUUGUUUUAAAUCCCGUGGGUCUAUCCCAUUUACAUUUCAGUCCGGGUCUAUCCCGUGAGUCUAUCCUGUUUACAUUUCAGUCCGGGUCUAUCCCGUGGAUCUAUCCCGUUUACAUUUCAGUUCGGGUCUAUCCCGUGGGUCUAUCCCGUUUACAUUUCUGUCCGAGUCUAUCCCGUGGGUCUAUCCCAUUUACAUUUCAGUCCGGGUCUAUCCCAUUUACAUUUCAGUCCGGGUCUAUCCCGUGAGUCUAUCCCGUUUACAUUUCAGUCCGGGUCUAUCCCGUGGGUCUAUCCCGUUUACAUUUCAGUCCGGAUCUAUCCCGUGGGUCUAUCACAUUUACAUUUCAGUCCGGGUCUAUCCCGUGAGUCUAUCCCGUUUACAUUUCUGUCCGGGUCUAUCCCGUGAGUCUAUCCCAUUUACAUUUCUGUUCAGGUCUAUCCCGUGGGUCUAUCCCCUUUACAUUUCUGUCCGGGUCUAUCCCGUGGGUCUAUCCCAUUUACAUUUUUGUCCGGGUCUAUCUCAUUUAAAUUCCCGUUCGGGUCAGUCCCGUUUUUAAAUUCCUGUUCGGGUCAGUCCCGUUUUAAAUUCCUGUUCGGGUCAGCCCCGUUUUAAAUUCUUGUUUCGGGUCAGUCCCAUUUUAGAAUUUUGUUAGAGAGGUCAGUCCUCAUUUCAAAAACAGCAGUCGUUCGAAUAAGUGACAGCCGAAUGGCACAGGUAGGUAUUUGGUGUCUACUUCUUUGUCUCAAGUUUUUUCAAAACUCAGACAAAGAGGGGCAAACUGUAGACACCAAAUUUUGAAAUAAUUUGUAUGCUUCGUUUUAGUGAUAAUUCUUAUCUGUUGAUUUUUGUUAAUUUCAUGUUUUUGUUUUAGAUGGUUUGCAUUUUAGUUCAUUAUUGUUUGUUUAGCCCUUUUAGGUGUUGUUUUAUUUUAGUUUUAUUCACUUUUUAGUUUUUAGUUUUUUUUAUUUUUAAGUUUUAGCGUAGAAUUUCUAGAAAAAAGGGAAAAAGAAGGAAAAAUAUUCAAAAAUAUGCUGAGUUGUUUUAAUACAAUGUUUUCUUAAAGGAAAAGGAAAAAAGAGAAAAAUAAAGAAAAAUAAAAAAAAGAAAGGAAAAAGAAAAAGGAAAAAACAUGGUUUAGGGCAUAUUGGCUUAUUUUUGACAAAAAGUGAAAAGUUUGAAAAUUGAAGGAAAAGCUUUUUAGUGUAAUAGAAAUUAUUACUUUUUGAUACAUUUUAACUAUUUUCAAAGAAAAGAAAAUUUUCAAAAAAUAUUAAUUUAGGGGCAAGUUGGUUUUAUUUCAGGUUACAAGCAUUUUUUGAUUGCAUUUUAUUUUUGUUUCUGUUAUUGUUAUUAUUAUUUAUAUUUUAUCAAUUUUGUAUAGUUAAAAAAAAAAAAAAUGUGUCGCGGCAUGCACGCUGCAAUUUUUUGCAGCGUGCAAAGGACAGCCACGGUUGCCCUUUGGAAGGCUGGAUGUGAAGGCAAGGGUAAGCCCUUCAUCCUCACCAUUCGGGAGAGGGUUUAUGGAUGAGUGAGUUCAUAUAAAAGGGAAGAGAGCAGCAGCCGCAGGAGAGGUUCUUUAGAGAGUUGACGGGCUAAUAGAAAAAACUGGGGGAGUUUUUGGAGAGAAAAGGGGCGGCUGAGAUUGGGAAGGAGAGAAUAGAGAGUGGCAUCUGAAAAGGAAAAAAAAACACAGGAGACUAAGAGGGAGUUAGGAGAAUAAUAACGAGGGAAAAAUUCUGAGGAAGGCACAAGAGAGGAUCUGGGAGCAAGCAAAGCAAAUCUGGAAAAUUUUGAAGAAGGCUUCAAAGCUGAGAACGAUAGGAAGGAGAUCGCUCGUCAAGGCAGGAGCUUCUGCAGCAAAAAUUCCCAACCGUAUUUCUUGGAACCCUCAUGCGUUUCUGGGUAGAUUUCAAGGUCACUCAACCGUGCUAGCAUUCUCAGGUAAAAAUGGCUCUUAUUUUGUGGGUUUAAACAUUUUUUUUAUGAGAAGAUAUGCCACGAAGGUGAAUCUUUUGAAUGAUCUGUUGCUGUUUUUGAGUUUUUGCUGGUCUCAUGACUUGGCCAUGAUUGUUUGGUAGCUAAGAUAGAGCAUAAUAAGAGCCUAUAGGAUGGGUUUAGGGAUUUUAUAAGGUUGUAUGAUGAAUGCAUGAGCUCUGAUUUUUCACGUGUUUGUAUGAACAAAACCAGAAAAACUGCAAAAGCUUUCGGCUUUAUGAUUUUUGUCAUGUUUGGGACUCUUAAUGCUUCCCUGAUUGCUGUUUUAUGUUUUUUUUACGAUGUUGGUGAUGGGUUUUGGCAAUGAAAGGCUCAGAUAUCAUGGUUUUCCCUCUCCCCUUUGUUCCAAAGUCCAGCGUACGAAUUAGAUUCUGGUUUGGGUCUGGGUAUUUGUUGCAUGAGGUUGCUAAAAUCUAGAGGCACCAGAAAUUGCAGGUGCUUCAUCAGUUGCAUGUCUACAUUUCUGCUUAGCUCCUUUAGCUAGUAUUUGAUUGAAGUUUGAUUAACCAUGUCGAUUUCCAGCUUCCUAAUGUAUAAAGAGCUCGCUGCCUAUUCUUUCUUUGUUGCUGUCCAUUUGCUGCGAUAAUGUUGUUCCGUGCCUUUUGUUGCAUUGUAAAACAAGUAGAUCAGGUGGUGUUUUGUUGUCUUGCACGAAUUACAUUCAGUUUGGGCUGUCAAAUGUGUAGAGUUUGUUUGAGUUCUCACACACAAACAUAUUUGGGCUGAAAUAGAAAAAGCUGCUGCAUUUGUUUCCUUUUCUCUGCCGUGUUUCCUUCUGCACUUCAGUUUCGUGUUCAAUCUUGUGUUAAGGUGGGGAAAUGGAAGUUUGGGUGUUGUGUAUGCAUGUUUGAAACUCUGAAACACUCGAGCUAUGGCCAAGCACUUGCUGGAAAAAUGCAUUUCAACUUGCCAAAUCAGUUUCAUAUGCUUCCAGAUUUUUCAAUUUGCUGAACGUAUUUCAUUUUUUUUUGUUGCAUUGGAUCUUGCUAAGUUUUUUGUUUGAUUGGAUGAUGGCUUGCUGCUUAGUUUAAAGCCUUGUGUGUGGACUUGACUAUGUUUGAAAGCUGGCUUGACAAGGUGCCAAAUUGCAGAAAGUCUUCAUCCGAAAAUUACAGAAGCAAAGAAAGCUUCGGUUUGCCGAAAGCUUCAUAUGCUUGUUGAAACCUUGUUGCAGCUUGAUUUUGCAUCAUUUCUUGCUGUGUUUUACUGGUUUGAAUAUCCAAGUUGUGUGCUGUGCUGUUUAAUUCAAAGCUUGGUCGUUGGUUUGAGAGAGUUAGAUCAAAGCUUGAGUUAGUUUUUCUGAAAUUUAUGGUUAAAGGUGAAAGCGCAGCCAGCAUUCUAGUUGCAGCAGGUUAAAAUGCAGAAAUCUUCUUCGUAUGCAUGCUUUGCAUGAAGAAAUAACUUCCAAAAAUUGCACUCCAACCCCUUGGCUUCUAUCUAAUGCUUCCAUGGCCCAAUUAAUUGGAAAACUUAAUUAAUUUUGUCCUCCUAACAUGCCAUUUUCUCUUUAAUACCUCUUGAUUUGUUUUGGGUAGAUACUUAAGGAGUUGUAGAAUGAAUUUGAAGGGGCUAAUAACUUUUUUUUUCUAGAUUUGUAGGCAAUUUGAUUUUUCUUGGAUUCUUUGGCAUUUUGUUGCUUAGAUACUAGCAAAUUGUUCCUCAUUUACCUUUUGUGAAUUUUCUCGUUUGAUUUGGUAUGUUUCACCUUCGAAUCUUAAUUUUAUUUUAUGUUUUUUUUGAGACCCUUAGUGUUUAUAAUAAUAAUAAAUUGGCCCGUUAAACCUCUUUAAUUUUUUCAAUUGGGUCUUUGCUUGUCUUAAUUGGUUAAGUACGAGUAGUUUACUUUCCUUGGAAUGCUUCGAGUGAUUCAAUUUGGCGUUUAUUCCCAUUUUCUCUGAUUUAUUUGAUAAUUUAAAUGGUACCUUGACCUUUUUAUUAUUUUGGAGGGUAAAUUAGUAAUUUCACUACGUUAGGGCGUCGAUUCAAGGGAGGUACACUCUAUCCCUUAUAUUUGCACUUCAUUUGACCCUACGUGCUCCUACGUGUUAUGUGAAUAUGCAUGUCUAUUUCGCUUUCCUUGCCUUUCCUUAAUUCCUUGCAUUUAUUUUAUUUAAUUUUACUUUUAUUUAAGUUAUUCAUUAUGGGGUAUGUGUACACCUCUUGACUUGUAAUGGAUAGGGUUUGGCGAGCAAUUUGGUCCAUUUUCCCCUUCCCUUUUUGUUUUAGUUAGCAAAUGUAAUAGAUUCAUUAGCUUGGUUGCAUGCCUAUAUGUUAUGUGUUAAGUGCUUUAUUAGGCUCUUGCAUCUAGUCGAGCAUGCUAAGUGUUAUGUGCUACGUGUUUAUAAGUGAUUCGCAUGUCUACUCGCUUUUUUAUAGUCAUGAAUGAAUGUGAUGGAUGAAUGGACGUCACCACACUAGUCCAAUACUAGUUGUGGCCCCCUUUCCCGUCACCACACUAGUCCAACGCUAGUUGUUGUUCAUUGUCCCGUUUCCACUAGUCCAAUGCUAGUAGGAAUUCAUAGAAAGGGCUAGUCCAACGCUAGACCCAAUAGGCCGUCCCUUUCGAUAGUGCAUAUUUGCAUGUUCACUACAUGUCAUGCAUUUUUCUUAGUUUUAUCAUUUGGCAUGCUCCUCGAACCCCUUUUCCCCUCAUGCUAGUUAUAGAGUACAUUUGCUUGAGAGUCCCCUUUCGAUAAGGGAAACGAGCGAGUUUGGCUGCGAAAUAGCCUUAGCACGCUAGUUUUUCCUUCUAAUCCAAGGAAAAAUCAAAGUCGUAAAGUUAGGAGUCCUUCCCGUGCCCGACUUGAUGCAUUCCCUUAGGGUCAUACACUUGCAUUCCUUUUAUAUCACCUCUUCACCUUUUAACCACAUUUUCUCACUUUUCUCAAUCCACACUUCCUCAACACCUUUUUAUCGCUUAUUUAUUUCUUACCUCACAAAUGGCACUCAAAAUUGCGCUUAUAUAUCUACUAUUCUAUUUUUCAUCCAUUUGCACACGAACACAUUUCUUUUUCUCACACUUACACACUUACACUUAAGUCCUCAUUUGCAUUUACCACAACUUCUAUGAGAGCUUUCCCUAUUGGCCACCACAAUUCAUGUGGUUGGGACCAAAAAGUCUCAUAAGAAACAUUUAGAUUUAGGAUCGCAUUUUUCUUUCCUUCUUGCAUUCAUAUAGUUAUAUCCAACAUGCGAUACAUACUUUGGGUAGAAAAACUAGGAAAAGAAGGGUUAAGUCACGCAACUAACCUUUGCUAGGGUAAGGGAGUGCCUUAGGCUUUGCCUUCGCCUUCUCCCUUAUCAAAUGUGACCCCCGAUCCCUCGCUUUGGUUACGUAGACCUAAAAGUUUUAAAAAGGGUUUGUCUAUUUCGCUUUUCCAAAAAAUUACUUUUGGGUGACUUGGUACACCCUAACUCUAUACCAAGUGGCGACUCCAUUUUCUUUAAAAAACCCUUUUUGAACUUCGUUUGGCCAAAAUCGUCGCAUUCUCAAGUCCCAUGGCCUUUUACUUUUCAUUUUCACAUGUUCACAUGUAUAUCAUACACACUACUCACUCUCACACACAUCACACACCACAUCAUCAAAAAGUGGGGCGCGACAAUAGUAUAUACACUGUCAGUGUACAUAUGAUUUAUUCAUAAAAGAUUUCGAAUCGCAACCUUUUUUCCCAUCAUUGUAGUUAAGUAUAACCUGAGAAAGAAGUACAAUGGUCUUUACUAAAAUUUACAAGUACUCUACUUUGAGUGUGUGACAACGUACAAAACGAGAGAAAGAAUAGCAAUUAUGACAAGUCUUGCAUCCGACAUCUAAAAAUUUCCAUAAGAAGCACAUAAACAGAAGUACGUAUUUAUUUAGGGCAGGUAGUUCAUAAAUUAUCGUGCCAUUUUGGUCUGGUUCACACAAAAAAUGGUAUUGCAAGUUUAGGUGAAUUUAAUAAUGAAAAAAAAGAAAAGAUAAAAGGUUGAAAAUUAGGAGUGCCAAUAUCAAAUCCUCCUCCCCAGUUCUGCAAAAGCCAAAAAAAAAAAAGGUAACAACUAUAGCAAAGGUUUUGCAAUUUGUACUUACAUAGCUUAGAAGGUCUUCGGAAUCUCUAGAUUGAUGGAAGUCACUGCUCUUCUUGCCCAUGACAAUUUCCAAAAUUACAACCCCAAAACUAAACACGUCUGACUUUAGUGAGAACUGACCCCACCUUGUGUAUUCAGGAGCCAUAUAACCACUACAAGCCACAACGAUUGUUAUAAUCAGCACAAAGAUAAUCCGAAUGAUGCAAUCAAAUGGAGGUGUACAUAAUUUUCCAUGAAAGAUUCAAAGUGAUAUUAUGUGAGAAAAGAUAGUAUGGGAGCAAAACUUAUACUGUCCCUGCAAUUCUAUUUGUGUUUCCUUCAUAUUGAUCAACUCCACAAAUCUUUGCCAUGCCAAAAUCUGCUAUCUUUGGACUCAUAUUUCCAUCCAAUAAUAUAUUACUUAUUUUGAGAUCGCGAUGAACAAUUCUUAGACGAGAAUCCUCAUGCAGAUAAAGAAGUCCUUUUGCUAUACCUCCAAUGAUAUUGUAACGUCUUGACCAGUUCAAUGAUCGUUUAUUUUCUGGAUCUACACAAAUUUAAACAAUAACUCCAGAAAGCAUAUGUUUAGCUUUUAAAAUAUAAAUGCACUCCACAGACACUUCACCCUAAAGGUUUUAAAUUGUCCCACUUCAGUAUAAUUAUUAAUGAAAUCAUCCCACUUUGACAAUUGAGUGAGUGAUUGUAGAAUUCACACCAAUUAAACAUUUCUAGAGGCGAUUUGUCCGUCAUUUCCAUAAAAUGGCAAGUCACAUGGAACAACAAAAAAUUACUAUAGAACAAGAUCACAUGGAACAACAACAAAUAGAACAAGAUCACAUGGAACAACAAAAAAUUACUAUAAGUAUGUCUAGAUUGAACCCACCAAAGAGAAAGUAGUCAAGGCUUUUGUUGGCAACAAAUUCAUAGAUGAGUAUCUUUUCUUCUCCUUCCAGGCAAAAUCCCAACAGCCGAACUAGAUUUCUGUGUUGAAGCUUUGCAACUACUACAAUUUCAUUUUUAAAUUCUUCUGCACCUUGCACUGAGCUCCUUGACAGCCUUUUAACAGCUACUUCUUGUCCAUUACCAAGUACACCCUGAUUAAACAUGCAUACUAGAAUUUAAUUGAAAUAUUAAAUGUGUAGAUAUUCAAAUUCACAAAAGCAAAAUAUUUCAUGCAAAGACCUUGUAUACACGACCAAAUCCACCUUCGCCAAUUUUGUUAUCCACAGAGAAGUUAUUUGUGGCAAUUUGAAUUUCAGUUAAGCUAUACUGUAAGGAUUCGGCUGUUAAGAUUUCAGCAACUCCAUCUACACCAGGGAUAAGCAACUUCACUCAAUUUAUUAGUUCAAAAACCUCUGAGGUUUCCUGUAAUUGCAAUCAAUAAACUUUACCACUUGUUUCCGGUGCCAUAGCAACAUAACUCUUCCGCAAUCUUCUUUUCAGGAAAACUAAAGCCAUGACAAAUAGCACAACAGCAACCCCAAUUAAUGGGACAGCAAUUGAAAAAGCUGCUCGCGGGGGGCUUCGCCCUUUGCCUGGAUGAAAGUUAGUUUAAUUUAGCUUCGAAAGUCAGCUGAUCAUAGGAGAUCAAGUUUAUUAAACUUCGAGGCAGAGUCACUCUGAGACAGCCUUACAUAGACAAAAAGCUAGAGUUGAGAUCCUCUCUAUUACUUUCUCACCAUUUAUGUGCCUAAAUUUUUCAUAACAAUCUAUUUAUGUCAAUAAUUUUACUUCCACAAGUAGAUCAACAUACUUAAAAUUCAUUCUCAUUUAUGAAUUUUUUGUCAUUCAAUUUGUACAAAACACUUUGACGGUGCAAUAUGGGCCAAAAUUAUAUUUAAAAAAAUGUCAAGUUUGAUCCAAUAGUAAAAUUUAAUCAAUUUAAUUUGAAUUUUUUAAUAUACUUUAAACAACACCAGAAAUAUAAUUUGGAUGACCUUUUAUUUCAAACAUAGUAUUAUAACCAUGUUUACUUAGGUGUAAUGGAGAAAAAAUUUUCUUCAAUUAAUGGAGAAGAGCCUAACCCAAAAAGCUAUGCAAAAACACAUUAUUUGAAAGAAUUUUUUUUUCAAAUAUUCUUUAAAAGUUUUUCACUACCUUGGUCUCACAUGCUUCAUGUUGAUGGUAAAUGAAGAGAGAUUUUCAUCAUCAAUUUUCAAUAUUAUGGAUUAAUAUUAAGAAACUCCCCUGAGGUUUGAACAUACACAAGCUUAACUGUGUUUGGACCACAUUACGACUACAAAUUGUAAGCGAGGCUGUCCAGACCUAGUGAUUAUAAAGAAAUGAGAACAAUGGCAAAUAUUUUGAAAAUAAAACCAAACAAAUGAGAUUGCUUUUUUAGGCCAAAGAAUUGCUAUAGAAGAAAAAAGGUCGAAGAAAAUUAAUUACGAAAAUUAAGAAGAGAGACAAAUCACCAAAAAUUCUUUAGCCUAUGCACUUGCAGCCUUGUGUAGAAGUGCAAGUCCUUAUUUCUUAUUUGCUGGAUGAUUUCGUACCGCACAUUUGUGAAAUUGGAUAGCAUAAGUUUCCUUCGCUUUCAGGUGACCACGGAUCUGAGGCGGGAAAUCAUCCAACGAUGUGUUUCCCCUACUGUGUUUUUUGUUCUUUGGUCAUGUAUUUGUUUUUAGUUAUUCCAUUUUGAUUUUUUAUGACCUUAUAUGAAGAAUACAUGGCAAUAUGCAUAGUUAUUAAAUUCGAUCGGACAAGAAAUCCAACAAAGGGACCAAGGCAAUGGGUGACUAGUUUAACCAAUCAGUCAUUGGUUGAACUAGUGGGUACUAAAUUAAUAUUUACAAAUAUAAAAUAGUAAUAAAGUGCUUUUAAAUACUAAUUAUUAUACUUUGAAAGAUAUAUAAUGAACAUACAAAUAUUAAUAGAAGAUUCAAUUUCAUUUUACUGUACUUGCACAUAAUUAAAUAACACAUUCAAAUAUAGAACAAAAUUGUAUCACUUAUUUUCAAAGAUAUAGCAUAAUUUUUAUUAUUUUAUCUUUCAAAAAUAAAAUAAUUUUUAACAACUCAAAUAUUGUAAGUUUGAAAGUUAAAAGAAUUAAUUGUAUAACAAAAAAGUAAACAAGUUUAUGUGAUAAAACAUUUAAUUAUCAAGUAAAAACUAAGAAAGUAGUAAAAUUUUAUACACAUUUAAAUGAAAAUCCAACAUACAAAUCUAGUCAAAAGUAUAGUACACUUUAUUUCAAAAACAAUGAUCCACACUUGUAUUAGAAAAAAGAACCUAGUCAACUGGAAAACUGGAGGGGCUCCGAUUGAACCACCAUGUCAAACAGGUUUGAUCGGACUAAUUCAUUCUCCGAUCAAACUGGAAAUCCUUUCGGCCGGAUGGUCGAGUUAUUGGUAGGGUUGCAAACUAAUCGAACCGCUUACAAGCAAUUCAAUCCAAAGCUCAGCUCGAGCUCGAUAUGCUGCUCACGACAACUCGAGCUCCAUCAACAUCGAACUCGAGUCGGGCUCAACCUGAUCAAGUCGAACUCGAAUUCGAACUCGAGUUCAAAGAUAUUCAACUCAUUAAUUCAUAAGCCGACUUAAUUAUAUAUAUAUUAAUUUUUAUUUUAAUAAUAAAAUUACACAUAUAUUCCUAAUAGUUUAUUAUUUGUUAAGAAAAUUAUUAUUUUAUUCCCUUUUAAAAAAUAAAAUAAAUAUUUUUUUUAAGCUCAAGGUUGAAUUCAAUUUCGAUUCGAAUUUGAGUCAAACUUGAGCUCGAGUUGUUACAUUGAGAGCUCAUCGAGUUCGAGCUCAAGUUUGAGUUUGAUAAAACUAAGUCAAGUUUGGAUCGAUUAAACGAAAGUUGACUUGACUCAACUCAUUUGUAAGCCGAUUUCAUUGGGCUGAUUGUUUCAACUGCUAGGGUCACGUCAGAUUCAAUAACUAUAGGGGAUGAAAUAAUAAGUAAAACAGAAAAUCCAUUGUGAAACAAAUGUAAAAAAAUUUUAUUUGGCAAGAAAACAAUGAUAGGAUUUAAAAGUGGAGGAGAAAGGGAAUUUGAAUCUAAGAUCUCUAAAUUCUAAGGUCUCAACCUUAGCCACUAAGCAUAUAGUGCGUUACCUCAUGAUCCCCUUGUGCAUGUGAAAUUAUCCUAUUAUCUUGGCCCCUUGAACUUUCUUGGAAAGUGGAUCACUGAUUUUUCCUUUUUAGGCUAAAUUAACUUCAAAGAGGGUAAAUAUGGUAUUGGUUGAUUUUAAUGCUAAUAUUUGUCUUGUAUAUUUUUUUCUCAGCUAUUUUCUACUUUGGGCUCUUGAACUAUAGACACACUGCCACUUUAAUCAUUAAAUUUCAAAGUAGAGCACUUUAUUUCUUAAAAUAUGAAAUUCAUCCUACUUUAGUUCUUAAUAAUUGUAUUCAAAAUUUUGACAGCUAGUUUUGUUACAAAACAAAGAAAGAUCAAAUGCCUCCACGUUACCAAAGCACAACUAAGGUAAAAUUGCGAUUUUGAAACCACAAGAGGUUAAGAGGCAAAACAUUAAACCACAAAGAAGUACCAUUAAUUUACUUAUUUAAUAUCAGAUUUCAAACUAGCAAACAAAUUAUAUUGCACUAUAACGGAAAAUCUUUUACAUGCAUACAAUACAUCCUCGAUCUUCUUCAAUGUCUUUGUCUUAAAUUGGAAAAACUAAAACGGAUUCUUCUUUGCAUUAUGCCAUAGUAAUUUCAUUUUUUUACAUCAAUUUUGCUAUCAAUACCAUCCAUAAUAUAACUCAUGUACUAUUUUAGUUACACACAAAAGUUAAAUUAAAAAUACCAAACUUUUUCCAUUUGAUUAAUCAUUGCAAAAUUUCCAUGAACUUAAACCCUUUUACACUAUGUAAAUGUUUCUAGCAAAUUGAAUGCAAAAACUUUCUCAAAUGCACUUUAUAUUCAUGUAUGCUGAUCAACCAAUCAAAAUAAAAUUAUAACAUAAGUAUAUGAGUUUUAAAAACCAUAUAAUAGAUAAAUGGAUAGAUAACUAAAUAAAAACGUAAUGCAACGGAUUCCGCAAUGACCAUAGCAAUUCUACUUCAACAUCUAUUCAAUAGUUAUUAUAGUCCUAAUGCUUGCAAAAAGACUAAAUUUACUGUCCUAAGAAGUAUGACUCCACUUAAAAUCUUCCAUAAAUGACAAAUGAUGAUGCAUGUGAUCAGUAAGAUGUGCUAAUGCUGAAAUCUUACUGUUGCGUAUUCAACUAAAAUUUGACUUAGAAAAUUCAAUAAGUUACGUGGUGGUCUCCUAUAGGUACAUAUUUUCGAUUGAAAGUGAAUUCACACCCCUCAUCCUAUAUUUACAUAUUCUACUAACUUCAAUAAUAUUAAUUCCAAUAAUAAAGGUAUGAAUUUAAAAUGAAGGCAUGUGAAUUUAGUACUACAAACAAGAAAUUGUAAGAAUUAAGAUUGUAUUCAACACCAAUUCCAAGAAGAAACGGCCAUAGCAAGGCUGCAGAACUUACCUUCAGUGGAAUUAGGAGGAGGACCGCCAGGAGAGUUUGGCGAUGCAGAGGAUACAGUAUCAUAGAAGACGGAGACCUCAUACCUCAGAUUACAGCUUGGAUAGAUUACUCUCCCUCCCUGCUUCUUGGAACAGCAAGCGGGUACAACCAUUAUAGCCUCUGUGAGGCACCUUUUGCAGUCAUAAGGGGAUAGAUCUGGUGUGCACUGCGUAAGGGUAUACAAUCUCUUUUGAUCAGUGGAAUAAUUGCCUUCUUGGACAGCAAACUUUUUGCCCAAGGUAUGAUUUGCAGCCUCAUCCGCAGCGUUGUGCAACAAAUUUAUCAAUACCAUUUUGAAUUUGUCCCAGUCAGGUCCAGGGACAUCGAAUGGAUUGCACCUAGUCAAAUUCUCUCCCAAAUCAGCCUUGGAGAAGAUCGUCUGGUCAGAAAAACGUAACAAGCACUCGUCAUACCAAACAAUAGCAGCUGUUUGAUUCGGGCACUCAUCAAGUAGUCGUAUGUGGGCAUCUGCUACGCAUUCUUUGCAAACAUCAGUGUUGACAUCACCUCGACAGAGAAAGACGCCAUAGACCUUGUUUGAAGCGUCAUCGCCAGUACUGAAAUUAUAGAAGCCAUUAUUGUCUGUCCGAGAUGCAUGCGAAGACAGAGUGUCAAGCAAGAAAUUCAGAUUGGUUCUGUAAGUGCUGCCGGAAUUGUAUGUAAUAUUUCCACAGUAAGAGUCAAGAUAGUUCCAGGGGCUUGUGUCGCUGGAAGUGGAACAACAAUAUUCAAUGGUAUGGAAGCUAAGCAAACAAAGCAUGUAACAUUUGAAGUGGAACAACAAAUUUCUGGAGAUCAUUUCAAACGAAGGCAUCAAAAGAGUAAAACGCUAACAACCUACAAACUAGAUUGGUAGAUUAGGAGCCAAAUUAAGUAUUGUUUGAGGGAUCAUGAAAGUUGUAUAAGCCAGGAAAACUUAUGGCCUGGGAAAACUUGACCUUGGCAAGUCUUACAACCAACUCGCCUGGACCUGAACCAUCAGCUGACUGGUCUGUGACCAAGAUUCUAUAGUCAGUAGAUGCUAAGGGUAUCGAACAACGACACUUGGUGGAGGAUAAUUGGAAAUUGACUAAUGCUGAGAAGAAUAAAGUGGACCCAGAUGGAAUCCCUACCCAGUAGUUCAGAGUUCAUACUGGUUUGAGAAAGAGUUCUCUAUAUACAGUUAAAAGGAUAGAUUAUAGAUAAUCCCCCCGUGGAUUCAUUAGUUGUCGUAUAAACGACCUUAUAUUUCUAAAUACCCACAUAAAUCUCAUGUGAUUUCAUAUAAAGUGAAAACUUGAAGGAAAAUAAAUCCCGUAAUAUUGUUAGUUACUAGUACUGUCCUUAUUCAAGCACACUAAAUCAAUCAAUACUUUAACCACCUUAUAUAAAAUCAUACGGGAAUAAUGUGGAUAAAUGGAAAAAUUAUUGAGGGCUAAAGUGAAUAUUCAUGCAAAUCGUAGGGACUUUAAAUGGAUAUUUUGAUGUUAUCACACACUUUUUUAUAUAUAGUUCAAUCAGUGUAACUAUUGGUGCUUCCUGUCCAUUUUUCAUAUCAUAUGAAAUCAUAGGAGGUUACAUGAAUAUUUAGAAAUCCUAAAGGGAUUGUGUGGGAAUAUGAAAAUUAUUUUUUUUUGGGGAGGGGGAGAGGUUAAUUUAACCUAGUCAAAUCAUGUAAAGUCUGUCGCAUUUUCGUUAUUGGAUUGAAACUUCCAAAUAAUUUUCGUUGUUGAAAAUACCAUUUGCAAUAUAUAUUAGUGUGUUCACCAUUUUGUCCAACUUGUUUACAUUUCAUAGACUUUUCUUUUUCUUUGGCUAAAGUGGGAAUAUCACGAGACAAGCAUUAAAUCAAAGGGCCCUCCAACGAAAGAAAUACCUGUCCAAUUUAUAUUACCAAUUUAAUACUCCAUGUGCUUGUUGGCUUCUAAUUUAUGUGAAAAUUAACUUUUCAAGAUUGGUGUUCUGUUUAUAUUGUUUUUUGUUCGUGUUAAGAAAUUAUUGUGCAGGAUUUAUAUCUAAUUCAGUAUUUUUGUUGUCAAAAUCACCCAAUUUUACAAAUAUGUAUAUUUUGGAGUACAUAUUUGUGUUGUUCAUAAGAUGCUUGUAUCUAGUUUAGAUAUUUAUCCUGUUUAGUAAUUAUAAGGAUGCACAUUCUUCUACGACCUAUUAGUGUUUUAGUUUCAUAAAUGCUGAAAUUAUCAAAUGUGAAUAAUUUUUAUUUUUUUAGUUAUUAUUAACAUUUAUCAUUGCCCAGAAAGGGAAAAGAAGAACAGAUUUUUGAAAAAAAAAAAAAAAAAAAAAAACUUAGAGGAAAGGGGUUUUUCACGAAUGAAAGGAACCAGUAUUUUCUUGCUUCGCAUUGGAACUUUAGCAAAGGAAUUUUAAGUGCUGUCCAACCUAAUUCCAUAAAGAUUAAACAAGUACCAAAAUGUUAAGUAUUGAAGGAUCCUAAAAAACCCUUUAUCGCUACCCUUAGUACCAAGAAGCUAGUAGGAAGAUAUAUUCCUUAGUAAUUGUGGUUCUGUAAAUGCUGCCGGUAGUACUGUUAGGAUAGUGAGUGCGGUAUGGAAGCUAAUAAGCAAACAAAGCAUGUAAUAAUGGAAGUGGAGCAACAAAUUUCUGGAGAUCAUUUCAAAGGCAGGCACCAAAAGAGCAAAAGGCUAAAAAUCCACAAAUUACAGUUGUAACAUAGGUGCCAAAGUUUUGGUUGAGGGAUCAUGAAAGUUGUACAGGUCACGAAAACGAGCAGUCCAUAAGAUGACUUUAUUUUAGAAAGUCGGUCAACCAAGUAGCCCGGACGUGAACCAUCAGCUGAACGGUCUCUAACCAAAAUUCAAUACGUCAGUAAUAGAUUUUGACCGUUCGACAAAAAAAAUAAUAAUGGAUUUUGACAAUAAUAGGUUGCAAAUUUCAGGAUGCUAACAAAUAUCAAACAGCGUCAUCGUGGAGGAUAAUUGUAAUUUGACUAAUGCUCUAUUGAGUAAAGUGGACCCAAAUUGAAUCUCUACCUACUAGUUCAAUACUUUUAAGAAAAAGUUCUCUAUAUAUAGUUAAAAGGAUAAAUUAUACACAUAAUCCCUAUAGAUUCAUUGAUUGUCACAUGACAACCCUAAUGUUUUCAAUAUUCAUAUAAACCCUCUAUGGUUUCAUAUAAAAUAGAAAUUUUACAAAAAAAAUAUCUUAUGUUACACUAUUAGUUGAACUACUAUUAUUGCCCUUACUUAAAUAUUAAAUCGAACAACAAUCAGACCACCUUGUAUAAAGUUAUAGAAGAAUUAUGUGGAUAAAUACAAAAUCUAUAGAGGGUUAAAGUGGAUAUUUAUGAAUUGUAGGAGCAUUAAGCGGAUAUUAAUAAUUCACCACAUGCAUUUUUGGAGCACAUCUAGUUCAAUCACUGUAACCAUUGAUGUUUUCCGUCUAUUUUUCAUAUUACAUGAAACAAUAGGGGUUUAUGCGGAUAUUUUGAAAUACAAAGGAGAUCAUAUAUUAAUAUAAAAAUCCAAGGUGAUUACAUGUAAUUUACCAUAAAAUCCCGUAAAGUCUGCCGCAUUUUAAUUGGAUUCAAACUUUCCAAUAAUUUUCGUUGUAAAAAAUGCCAAUAAACUGUCCAACUACUUGUGUUUGCAAUACAUACGUGUUCACCAUUUUGUCAAACUGAUUUACAUUUCUUAAUCUUCUUUUGAUUAAUUCAAAGGAACCCUCAAGGAAAGCAACGUCUACCCAUUUAUUAAUGACCAAUUCCGCGUUGCUUUGUUUUAAAAAAUUCAUCAAGUUUAAGGGCCACUUUUUGAACAUAUUUACAAGGGUGCCUGCAGCAUCAGUAAGAAGCGACCAUUAUGAUGGUUGUUGAUCUUUGUUUUUGCAAGAAACCGGUAACAGUAGAGCUACUCGUGUAAAUCCUCGUUUAUGUUAUCAGUUUUUGUGAACCAUUUUAAUGUUAAAAUUAAUUUUUUAGCAUUGCUUGUUUAUUUAUAUUAUUUUUCAUUCGUGUUAAGAAAUUUUGGUAUAGGAUUCAUAUCUCAUUCAGUAUUUUCCUUAUCGAAAUCACCCAAAUUUACAACAUAUGUAUAUUUUCAGCAUACACGUUCAUGUUCUUAAAAUUCUUGUAUCUAGUUGAGCUAUUUAUUCUGUUUAGUAAUUAUAAUAUGGUGCGUUCUUCUAGGGCCUAUUAGUGUUUUAAUUUCAUAUAUGCUCAAAUUAUCAAAUGGAAAUAAUUUUUAUUUUUAUAUAUUAAUUACAAUUAUGAGGCCCAAAAAAGGGAAAAGAAGAAUAUAUUUUUUAAAUUAAAAAAGAACUUAAAGAAAAAGGGUUUAUCGAGAAUGAAAGGGAACUAAUAUUCUCUUUCCCCAUAUUCGAACUUAAGCGAUGACCAACCUAAAAAUCCCCACUACACUACUAAGUAGUAGGCCAUAACAUAUGCUUUCUUGCUGUGGAUGAAAGAGAGAGGAUUGGAGGAGGAAAAGAAAGAGAAGGAAAUCUUUGUUAUUGUUUUACAUUAGAAUCUUUAAGAAUACCCUAUGGUACCUUAUGAUGAUGUUCUAAAGCAUAUAAUCCUGAAAAUCUAAUGAUGAAAACAAGAAGAAUUCAUGGCUGAAGAUUCGGUUUAAAUGAUGAAGGUUUGACAUUUUCAUGAUUUUGCACUUUCAAGAUCGUCAUCAUACUAGAAAAUUGGAGAACCUAUUAAACAUAUAAGAUCUAGUACCUUUUAUUCAAUCCCCCAAGUGCACGUAAUAGAAGCACCUGACUUUUAAGAACAAGUCAAUCAAAUUUUCGAGCAUAACGAAAGCCAAAAAAUUGUAUCAAGUGGAAAGUCAAGCUUACAAUUGAAACUCAUAUCCAGCUCGAUGUUGAUUUCGAACCAGAGUUUGCAACAUCAUCAUUGAGCAUGUUAAAAAUAAGACUCAACCCGCUUAGAUUACACUUCGGCCCACACCAACCCAUCACUAAUCUCAAUAUUUGAAAUUCAUUGGUGCUCUAAACAGCAACCUAUCCUUUCUUGACAUGCGUCACAAUAAACUAUCAAUAGAUACUACUCCCUCCGUCCCAUUGAUAGUGUCAUACUUUCCUUUUUUAUCCGUCCCAAAAUGAUUGUCACUUACUAAAAUUGGCAAUGAAAACUCUCACACAUUUCCGCUCCAUAUCCUUCAAUGUGACAGCCUUUUCUUAUCUUUUAGUGGGCCCAAUUAUGCACUUCCCAAGUACCAACACUGCACUUGAUAGAUCGUGAUUCUCACAUGAAAUGCAAACAACAAUCGUGCAUGACACUUUCCUCUAAAGUAGUGUGGAGACUUUUCAUUCUUUUGGAUCCCACAUGUCUUAUCACAACUUAUGACCCCCUUAUCAUUCAAUCACGUAUGGAAACAUUGAAAGUCAAGGGGUAUUGCCGGAACUUAAACACAAAUCAUUUAAAAGUCUUGCACUGUUGAUAAAAAUUACAAGUUUCGAAGCGCGACACAAAUUCUGGGACGGAGGGAGUAUUAGGGAAUAACUUCAAACCCUUUGUUCUAUUUAUCCUACGAAAUUAAUUUAAGUGGACUUUGUUUUUUAUGUACACCAUCGAUCCCUUUUAACUAAUUGUAAACCAUUCGUUAGAAAACUCACUUAUUACAUUUGAGAGGGGGGAAACUAAGCUUGAGUAUAACUUUAUUAGAAAAAAAAGGAAUAAAUCAAGAUUAAAUGAACAAAAAAUUGAAAAUGUUGAAAUAAAUUUUAGUGGUUAUAUUUUGAUUGAUUGUUAGCUCUAGGAAUUUUUUCUUAGUUGAAUUUCAGAAGAGUUGUAAUGGUUGGAUAUUGUUGACUAUUUGAAGUACCAAUAAAAAUUUGGACAUUCUUAGAUGUAAAAACUUCAAAGCUGGGGAAAGGGAUGAAUUAGAUGAUAUAUAGGCACCUACACUAAAAAAAUUCAUAAAGAUUUAAGAAAUAAAUAAAAAAGCUUCAAAGGUUCCAGGCUUAACACUUGUUUCAAUAGUCCUUUUAUUCAAUUUUCUUGCUCCCGAUAGUCACAAAAUACUCAAAUCUCAAUAAGUUACUAAAUAACCUGAAAAAUCACUAGUAUAAUUAAGUGCAAGCCUUAUGUUUUAGAAGUUCUAAACCUUUUGCUUUUUCAUCUAAAGCAACCACAAAUGUUUAAUUUUGAUUUUCAAAAGUUUAUUCUAUUGACAAGUUUUUUUUUUAUAUUAUCAAUAACUGUAACCUAGUCUAAAACCAUUCUUUUGGUUCUCCUAAUCAUUGCAGUAGAACUAGUUAAAUUCACUAUAUUCAUUAACACAAAACAAAAACAUUGAAGUUUAUCUAGUUGAAAAAUAGAAGAAGUAAUUGUCAAUUUUAUUUAAUCUAAAAUGACAAUUUAUUGGACUAAUUAGGAAAGGGUAACUAAAUUUUAAACCAAUGGAGGCACGAAAAUUAUUGUCAUCAUAAAUGUUAUCUCGUGACACCCAAGAUCCAAAUUCACUUUAGUUAUAUAUAUUAAAUGCACAAAAUGAAAGUUUCAUCUUUGAGUGAAUAUAAAAAAAAAGUUAUAACCAAAAAAAAAUCUAAAGGUCAAUUUUUGUCUUCCAUCAAAACGAAACAUAGAAAAACAAAAGAUUUGCCCAAUAGCUAAACUGAAUGCUGGAGCCUUGGGUAGAUGACUUAAUGAAACAUUGCAAAUAAAAUUAUCUUCGGACAAAAUUUUAUAUAGAAAUUUACAAGACGAAAAUCAAGAAGUUACACAGGAUAGGAUAUGGAAUUUGCCUGGUUGUCUUUUUAAGGGAAAAAGAAUAAUUAAAAAAGAAGACAAUAGGUAAUGGUGGGUUUUUCAAUUGUUUUGACUUGGGCUUUCUGUUAUAGGAUUGGAUAACUAAAUUGGUAUUGGGCAUUCUUAUUUUUCAUGGAAGUAGUUGACAUGGUGGAAUUUUCGGUGCCAUUUGAAUUUGGUUUUGGAUGGGAAUCAGAGUUGGACUUUCUUUGUUUUAUUAGUACGAGACAUAUGCAUAAAUGUUAGGGGACAGACUUCUUGUUGUUUUAAACUUUAAGAAUAAUUUGUAAGUAAAAUUAAAAGAAAAAGAAUAAUUUAUAGGCACUUGCUUGGUGUCAAAAGGGCACUUGUUAACAAAUCUAUAUUUCAUCCGAAAUAUUAUAUAUAAACACACAUUAAUAAUCAUUAUUCGUCAGAUAGACCGAUUUUAAAUAAAGACCCUAGAACACUUGCUCUAUGACAAGGAAGACAAAAAAAUAGGGGAAAUUUUAUUAUUUUUUUCAUUUAUAAUUACAUUAAGACUUUUUUAUUUGAUGCUUAAGAAAUCUUAGGUGAUAAUAAAUCAUUGAAUGCUGAAAAAGUUCCAAAUCAGGAUGAAUCUGAUAUAAUUUAAACUCCUUUUAACUAAUAACACACUCCAAGAAUUGUGAACCAAGACAGCCUUUAUAUUGGUUUUGUUACCAAACGUAUACAUUGUAAACCCGGCCGGGCUAUCCUUCAUAAUUCGUUGGUACAAAGAUAUAAUUGAUAGACUCAGUUUGGAAGCCAACUUUGCUAUGUACAAAUGAUAAAAGUUCAAGACACAUUGUUUGUUCGAUCAGCUGGGGAAUAAUGUUCAUAAAUAAAAUUGCUCUUCUAUUUUUAAAAAAUAUCUAAAGAGCGACAACAACUUGCAUUUUCUUUCAAGCACAUCCUUAUACCCCUAAGGUGGAAGAAGUCAAUUAGUGUGAAGAAGCAAACAUUGAAACGAUCCCCUAAUUUCCAACAAUAGUGGGCAAAUUUAGAUACCUUCCUGGUAAAUGAAUCAUGCUUCAAAAUCUACAACAUAAUGCUGAUGAUGAACUUGAUAUUUUCUUCCAGAAUUGGCCUAUUUCUUCCUUCAUCUGGGAUAUGGUUCAGUAAUUGAUGCAUCAUUGACAGAGCUUGGAGCUGAAAUUCUUUGAGUGUUGGGUUGAUCAACUUUCAGCUCGUCUACUGAUAGGGUGUAAUUUUAUCAUUUAUUUUAUUAUUAAUUUUCCCUAUUACCUGACCCGAUGUGGAUUAAUUGCUGGAUUCUACUCAUUUUUAGUGUUUUGCAUAUAUUUCAGGGAGUAGAACGAAAAUAUGAUAACAAGUGCUAAUUUGACAAAAAAGGAGUCUAAGGCACAGAGCUCACCCCAGGGGCAUUGUUGGCAAGCUUAUGCCCAUUUUAGUAAUUGCCGAAGACAAAAGCAUUAAAAGGAGCAACGAAGGGCUGAAGGCAGGGGUCGGCUUCUUCCUCUCCGGAAGGAGAGCCGCCGCAGAGGAGAUAGGAAAUAUAGAAAUAGCAUAGGACUAGCACUACGGAAGCUUAGCUUUUGAUUUCUCUUUGGAGAGCUUUUCGUCUUGUAGCUUAGCCGCAGUUGUUGACUUUUCUUCUUAGUCUUUGUUAGUUAGCUUUUUCUUACGCAUGGAAGAUUGCUGAGGAGCUUAGCUUAUGUCUUUGAUUCUGCCUAUUCAAUUUCUCUUCUCCGAAUGUCGGGCAAAAGCGAACACACUCAGUGGACUCUUGUAGCUUUCUUUCUUUAUUGAAUAGACGAAUUGAAUUCGCCCAGCUUCCCAAUUGAUGGCCGCAGCUUUUGCAACAAUUUCUGGCGGAUUUAGUUCAUCAAUUAUGAACUAAUUUUCUUUCUCUAGUCAAGGGACAAUGGAUGCUUUGGAUUGCCUAAAACUUGUGAGAUCGAUUUAAUUUUAUCUUUUUCUCUUAUUUAUUGGUAUUUGCAUAUUUCCUGAUUGCAGUGCUUAUGGUUGUUUAAUUAAUUGAUUGUCUUGGAUCCGGAUAAUUAGUUAAUUUAAUAAUCUAUUGUCAAUUGAGGUGUUAAAUCCGUAAUUGUUUAAUUGUCUCAAAAUAUUGAUAACUGGCAUGAUUGGGUUUGUGUCAGGGGAAUACGCGGGCUAAUCUAAAAUAACCCUGGUAGUGCGUUAUUUGGUUAGAAUAGGGCUCCUCUAAUACGUAAGGCAAUUGAGGAAUUAAAUUCUACGGGCGUACCUAGGAUUAUUUCUCAAUUAGAGCAGUGAUUAACGGGCGUACCUUGAUCACCGACACAGUAAGGAGGGGUUGACUGUCAUCGCUUGUUUGGCAGUUAUAACCUAUUUAUUAGUAAAUAAUUGGAAUUGCCUUUGCUUAUCGAUGAUCAAUUAGGUGCACCUUUGCUGAAGUUAUUCCUUGGCUAGAUCCUUAAUUAUCACUCAUUUGAUUUUAGUAAUUUGUUAUUUAAUUUUUAGUAGCUUUUUAUUUUAGUUGAAUUUCUUUGAUUGUCACCUUCUGCAUAAAAACACUCCCCUUGUCACUGUGAGCUUGAAAAGAAAUAAUUACUCCCAGUCCCUGUGGAUUCGACCCUGCUCACCACUAUCUACAGAAACUACUUUUAGUUUGAGCAGGUAUUUAUUAUUGCACAGGCUUCGACAACCUGUCAAUUUUUGGCGCCGUUGCCGGGGACUGGUGCCAGAUUAAUUUGUUUCUUUUUGAGUUCAUCUUGUUUUCAUUUUCUUUUAAUUUAUUUUUCCUCUUAUUAUUUUUUAUUUAUUUAUUUAUUUUUUAUUUUUGAUAUAGUUUAUGACUUCUAACACUCCGUAUUUUGGUGAUGUAUUGGAUUUUAUUUCCAGGCAAGGCGAUGAGAUUUGUUUUUUUCCUGAGUUGGCAUAUGCAGAGGCAGUAAACUCUAUUAGAAAAAGAAUGGCUGCUGCAACCUGUAAAAUUUGUUAUGCCAGGGAUCAUUCAACAGGUAUGUGCCCCGAAUAUCAAGAUAAUCUGAGUGUCUCAUUCGAUAAUUAUGGAGAAUUUUCACCCUGGUCUCAAACGUGGUAUGACCCUAAUCCAAACGGGUAUGAUCAAGGAUGGUGGGAUAACUCCAAUUAUAAUUAUACAACGGGGCCAAUGGAUUUUCAGCAGUAUGAGACUCAUGUUUUUCCUAAUGAUCAAUGGGCUGUUGCAAAUUGUGGAACUUAUUUUGACUCAGGUUAUUCAACUGACACAUGCCCCGCAUUUCAAGACAAUCUAAGUGCUCCAAUUGAUACUUUUGGAGAUUUUCCACCCCAAUAUCAAAUGCAGUAUGACCCUUAUUCAAAUGGGUAUGAUCAAGGAUGGUGGGAUAAUUCCAAUUUUGAUUAUGCGACCGGGCCAAUGGAUUUUCAACAGCAAGAGUCUCAACAACCAUCGUCCCUGUCAGGUAUGUCUUUUCAGGAAUUGGGUGAAUUAUUUAUUAAUACAUACAAAUCCCAACAGGAGACACAAAGGAGGAAUGAGAUGAUGAAGGAUGCAAUGAGUUAUCUGGCGGAUCAACUAUGUCUAUUGACAUCCAGAAUGAAUCGAUUGGCUUCUCAAAUGGAAGAAUUGCCCUCGAAAACCAUUGUUGAUCUAGAAGAAAAUGAGAGUGCAAUUUGCCUGACUAGUGAUGAGGAGAUGCAAGAGUGUCAAAAUGAGAAAUCUACAGAUGCAGUUGAAAAAGAAGCCGAAAUGGAAGAAAUGAAACCCCAACCGCAACCCAUUCAAGUGAAUGAAUCCAGUGAACAAUCUCCAAAUGCGGUGAAAUCUCCUCCACUCCUUCAUCAAUAUUCUCCUGACUCUUACUCUUCAAUUCCUGUUAAUGAAAUUGACUUUAUUAUACCAGACAAUUUUGAAUUUCAUGACAGGAAUAAAUUAAGAGUGGCGAUGGCAAGAUAUUUUGUGCCAAUAAAUGCAAGUGAGGGAGGAGUGAAUGGAGAAUGCAAAUUAUCAUCGACUCGUUUGGCGCCAUUUACUAGUCCAUGGAAGCCCGUAACUCGUAUGCCCAAAGAUUAUUCUAUCUACGAGGGCUAUCAGGACUAUGUAGAGGAUGAAGCAAUGAGACGAGCCACAAGAUUUUAUCCUCCAUGAAAAAAAACGUGAUAAUGUCUAGCCAAAGACAGUAAAGAAAGGCGCUCAUUGGGAGGCAACCCAAUUGUUUCUUUUAAUUGGUUGUUGGUUUCGUGUCAUAGUUUAAAUCUGUUUUCCUUGAAUUUGACUGAUUUUGGGUGUUAGUUUUCGUUUUUGCUGCUUUAUAGGUGCCAUUCAGUCAUGACGCGCCCGCGUGGUGACGAGCAGGAAGCUCACGAUCAGAAACUUCAAACUUCUGGGAGCUCUCUUGCCCUCAUGACGUGCCCGCGUGGUGACGUGCAGAAAGCUCACGACCUGAACUUCUGGGAGCUCUCUUGUUCUCUUGACGCGCCCGCGUCACGUUCGCGGAAAAGGUAAGAAUUCAAAAAAAUAAAAAAAAUAAAAAAUAAAAAAAAAGAAGAAAAAAAAGAAUUUUUUUGAAUAAAUGAAAUGAUAACAAAUCAAAUAAAAAAUAAUUAAAAAAAAAGAGAAGAAGAAAAAUCUUUCCUCUUAACCGUAGCAAGAGAAAAAAAAAAAAUUCCUUUUUCUUUUCUUUCUCUUCUUUUCUUUCUUUUCUUUCUUUUCCUUUCUUUUUUUUUCUUCUUCUUUCUUUCUUCUUCCCCUGUUUCUUCUUCCCUCUGCGCACGCCGACGCCCCGAUUGCCGCCGCCCUCCUCGCGGCUGCCAGCUCUCUCACCCGAGGCCGCGCCUCCCUCUAUCUACCGUAGCUCCAUCGCCACCACCUCGCGCGACCAGCGUCGCGCCGCAAGCCACUCCACCUCACACCAGCUCAUCUUCCCCCUGUUGCCGCCCAAGCCGCCAACUCCGCUGCCCAAUCUCGCGCGUGGCGAGCCAUCCACCAGCGCAGCUCCCUCGCGUGCCUCGCCCUUGCUCACGGCCGCAUCACCACCUCAUCCGCCACCAAGCAACUGCACGCAGACCCUGCGGUCUUCUCCUUCUCUGUCGCACAGCUCACCCAAGCUCCGGCUCACCGCCGCCACUACUAUGGACGCUGUCCACCAUCACCACCUGUCAAACAAAUUGACGGGUGGAGGUAGUGCUGUUCACCUCUGUUUCUAAAUUUUUUUUUUUCUGGAUUUUAAACUGCUGGAGUUGUUGCCAUUUUCUUGUGUUUUUGGGUGGAUAUUAGCAAGUGGUAUAUUGCUUGAUUUUCUUUACCUGUGCCUUGCUUGGAGUUUCUAGUGCAUGUUUGGGGCUGCCUUGGGAGUUAUUUGCCACAAUUGAUUGCCAUUUGGUUUCUUCUAUUUCUGGUACUGCUUGUGCUGAUGGAUUUAUCAGUGUUUUGGGCGGCCUAUUCGAAUUGCUUCUUCCCUAUGUGUUUGGUCAGCUGUUUGCUUGAAAACCCAAACCCUUGUGCUUAUAUUUGCUCCCAGUUGAGUUAUGUAUUGGACUUUCCAAUUGGUGACAACUUUUGGGCUUUAGGGGUGAGUUCAUUUUGUCAUUAUUUGCUACCUUGUUGGGGUCAUUUUUGGUUUCACCUGAGUCUAUUGUCCUGCCUUCUGUCUUGAGUCCAUUGGAGUGAGUAAUUUCUGCUUUUGUUUGUUGAUUUGGAAGGCUACUGUGCCACUUUCAUUGCUUAUUGCUUAGUGAUUAUGUCUAAUUAACAAUGUGCAUAGCAUGGCGCAGAAUUUGGCAGCAUUCAUGUAGCAUGCGGGUCUUAUACCUCAAUUGGGUACCUCUAUUUGGUUGGCUGCGUUCUUAUUGUCCAAUAUCUAUGCUGUUUUCAUUGGAAUUGCUGAUCUUGGGUUAAGACUUUAGCUGGCCAACUGGAGCCAUUUGUUGAGAUUUUGGGUGAACUGCAAUACUGCACUUGUUUGUUCAAUUGGGAGUUUGUUCAGUGCGCAUUCUCUACGCCAAGUGGCAAGGAUGUCUCAGAACUCGACUUCCCUCCACUGUUCCCUCCUAUCCCUUAGCUGUUCAACAGGGAAGUUUCAUUGUUCUCUUCGCUUUAAUUACUUUAUUACCUCCAUUGAGGACAAUGUAGGAUUUAGGUGUGGGGGGAGCAGUUAUGGUGCUAGUGUCUUUCAUUCAUUUUCUUUUUCUUCUUUUUAGUGAUUGGCUCGUAAGUGCAUGCCAAGGUUUGAUGUUGGAUUAUUGCCUCUAUUUCUGCUAUUGCCAAUUUUAAUAAUAAAAGGGUAUCAAGUUAAUGUGGUUGAAUCCAAAAACAUCUCUUUGGUGAAUAUCAAUAAUUAUUUUACUCUUAUAAUUUUUUGUUAACUUUCCUAGGCAUAGGGAAUGAUUAUUGGCAUUUUCAUGUGAAUUGGUCCGGUUAUUAAUUUUAGUUCUCCAUGUUUGAAAAUGAGGCUAGCUGAUGCAAGUUUUCUUUUGGUUCUUGUGUUAUAUUGAGUUUUUGUGAUUUUUAGUUAUGAAUAAAUUUGACUGUACUUCGCUAUUAGUUACUACUGAGUAACCGGGGAUCUGCACCUAAAAGUGUUGAUUCUCGCGUCAAAAGGUAGUAAUUGCUAUGAGUACGUGGUCACGUGGCGAUAGAAGCUGAGUAACCGGGCUCUUUCAUCUGGCCAAUGUUGGAGUUCGCGUCAAAAGGCUCCAAUGGCUAGCGACUAAGUCUUUUGUUACUAUUGAAAAAAGAAAAAAAAUCAAAAAAAAAAGAGAAAAGAAAAAAAAAAGAAGAAGAAAAAUGUGAAAAAAAGUGAAGGUUGUGUUAGUGUGUAAUAAAAAUCAGCUUGCCGAAUUAUGGAUUUAAUGUUGAGAUUUUGGUUAAUAGUUGGACCAUUUGCUGAUAAAUGUUAUGCGUCAUUCAUUUUUCUUAGAUUAGUUAACCUGAAAUUAGAGGAGUUUGUGGUUUAGAAGCUAACCGAAGUGAUGUUUCUUGGAUCUUGGUCACCCAUGCUUGAUAUAUAUUUUUCUUGGUAUUUUGACAAUACGGUAGAUGGAGCAAUGACCAUUGUCAAAUAUUGGUACUUAUUUGCUGUUCUCAUGCUUGAGGACAAGCAUGGUCUAGGUGUGGGGGGAAUUGAUAGGGUGUAAUUUUAUCAUUUAUUUUAUUAUUAAUUUUUCCUAUUACCUGACCCGAUGUGGAUUAAUUGCUGGAUUCUACUCAUUUUUAGUGUUUUGCAUAUAUUCCAGAGAGUAGAACAAAAAUAUGAUAACAAGUGCUAAUUUGACAAAAAAGGAGUCUAAGGCACAGAGCUCACCCCAGGGGCAUUGUUGGCAAAGGCAAGCUUAUGCCCAUUUUAGUAAUUGCCGAAGACAAAAGCAUUAAAAGGAGCAACGAAGGGCUGAAGGCAGGGGUCGGCUUCUUCCUCUCCGGAAGGAGAGCCGCCGCAGAGGAGAUAGGAAAUAUAGAAAUAGCAUAGGACUAGCACUACGGAAGCUUAGCUUUUGAUUUCUCUUUGGAGAGCUUUUCGUCUUGUAGCUUAGCCGCAGUUGUUGACUUUUCUUCUUAGUCUUUGUUAGUUAGCUUUUUCUUACGCAUGGAAGAUUGCUGAGGAGCUUAGCUUAUGUCUUUGAUUCUGCCUAUUCAAUUUCUCUUCUCCGAAUGUCGGGCAAAAGCGAACACACUCAGUGGACUCUUGUAGCUUUCUUUCUUUAUUGAAUAGACGAAUUGAAUUCGCCCAGCUUCCCAAUUGAUGGCCGCAGCUUUUGCAACAAUUUCUGGCGGAUUUAGUUCAUCAAUUAUGAACUAAUUUUCUUUCUCUAGUCAAGGGACAAUGGAUGCUUUGGAUUGCCUAAAACUUGUGAGAUCGAUUUAAUUUUAUCUUUUUCUCUUAUUUAUUGGUAUUUGCAUAUUUCCUGAUUGCAGUGCUUAUGGUUGUUUAAUUAAUUGAUUGUCUUGGAUCCGGAUAAUUAGUUAAUUUAAUAAUCUAUUGUCAAUUGAGGUGUUAAAUCCGUAAUUGUUUAAUUGUCUCAAAAUAUUGAUAACUGGCAUGAUUGGGUUUGUGUCAGGGGAAUACGCGGGCUAAUCUAAAAUAACCCUGGUAGUGCGUUAUUUGGUUAGAAUAGGGCUCCUCUAAUACGUAAGGCAAUUGAGGAAUUAAAUUCUACGGGCGUACCUAGGAUUAUUUCUCAAUUAGAGCAGUGAUUAACGGGCGUACCUUGAUCACCGACACAGUAAGGAGGGGUUGACUGUCAUCGCUUGUUUGGCAGUUAUAACCUAUUUAUUAGUAAAUAAUUGGAAUUGCCUUUGCUUAUCGAUGAUCAAUUAGGUGCACCUUUGCUGAAGUUAUUUCUUGGCUAGAUCCUUAAUUAUCACUCAUUUGAUUUUAGUAAUUUGUUAUUUAAUUUUUAGUAGCUUUUUAUUUUAGUUGAAUUUCUUUGAUUGUCACCUUCUGUAUAAAAACACUCCCCUUGUCACUGUGAGCUUGAAAAGAAAUAAUUACUCCCAGUCCCUGUGGAUUCGACCCUGCUCACCACUAUCUACAGAAACUACUUUUAGUUUGAGCAGGUAUUUAUUAUUGCACAGGCUUCGACAACCUGUCAUCUACCCUGCUCUCCGAUCCAUUGCUCCGGAAAACCGCCGGACGAUGUGGAGUUGGUAGGGAAACAGAACCAGGAUUGAGCAUGCUGACCACGGAAGCCAUUUUGGGUCUUUUACUGGCAUCUUCUUCAACACAUAGUAAGCCAACUUGGAUGCAUUGAAUGACUUCAUUUCUGGCAUAAGAAUCUCCAACGCUUGAAUCCAAAAGAGCUAAAGUUUGGCCGCGUCUCCAAUGGUUCCAAGCCUUUUCGAAAUAAUCCCACGUAUAAGGAGUUCAGACUUAAAAACUUCAAUUAGCUUAAAUAGAUAUACAGGUAACGUCAAUAUUCACAAUAGGCAAUUGUCAAUACUCUCUAUUUCAAGUUUAAUCAUAUAAAAAGAUUGAUCAAUCUUUCUUACAUUGACAGUGUAUACACUGUUGUCAGUGUUGGAUGAACAACAAUUAUGCAAAAUUUGAAUUUUAAAUUUAACUUUUGCAUACAUGUUAUGAAUCUAACGGUGAUAGUAUAUACACUGUGUGAUAUAUGAGAUUUAUUCAUAAAAGAUUUCGAAUCGCAACCUUUUUUCCCAUCAUUGUAGUUAAGUAUAACCUGAGAAAGAAGUACAAUGGUCUUUACUAAAAUUUACAAGUACUCUACUUUGAGUGUGUGACAACGUACAAAACGAGAGAAAGAAUAGCAAUUAUGACAAGUCUUGCAUCCGACAUCUAAAAAUUUCCAUAAGAAGCACAUAAACAGAAGUACGUAUUUAUUUAGGGCAGGUAGUUCAUAAAUUAUCGUGCCAUUUUGGUCUGGUUCACACAAAAAAUGGUAUUGCAAGUUUAGGUGAAUUUAAUAAUGAAAAAAAAGAAAAGAUAAAAGGUUGAAAAUUAGGAGUGCCAAUAUCAAAUCCUCCUCCCCAGUUCUGCAAAAGCCAAAAAAAAAAAAGGUAACAACUAUAGCAAAGGUUUUGCAAUUUGUACUUACAUAGCUUAGAAGGUCUUCGGAAUCUCUAGAUUGAUGGAAGUCACUGCUCUUCUUGCCCGUGACAAUUUCCAAAAUUACAACCCCAAAACUAAACACGUCUGACUUUAGUGAGAACUGACCCCACCUUGUGUAUUCAGGAGCCAUAUAACCACUACAAGCCACAACGAUUGUUAUAAUCAGCACAAAGAUAAUCCGAAUGAUGCAAUCAAAUGGAGGUGUACAUAAUUUUCCAUGAAAGAUUCAAAGUGAUAUUAUGUGAGAAAAGAUAGUAUGGGAGCAAAACUUACACUGUCCCUGCAAUUCUAUUUGUGUUUCCUUCAUAUUGAUCAACUCCACAAAUCUUUGCCAUGCCAAAAUCUGCUAUCUUUGGACUCAUAUUUCCAUCCAAUAAUAUAUUACUUACUUUGAGAUCGCGAUGAACAAUUCUUAGACGAGAAUCCUCAUGCAGAUAAAGAAGUCCUUUUGCUAUACCUCCAAUGAUAUUGUAACGUCUUGACCAGUUCAAUGAUCCUUUAUUUUCUGGAUCUACACAAAUUUAAACAAUAACUCCAGAAAGCAUAAUCAAAUAGGUAAAUUACAUUUUUAGCUUUUAAAAUAUAAAUGCACUCCACAGACACUUCACCCUAAUGAAAUCAUCCAAAAUUAAAGUUUAAAAACUAAAGUUUGAGUGCGUCUGUGGUUUAAGGGUCUAAACUAGAAUUCACACCAAUUAAACAUUUCUAGAGGCGAUUUGUCCGUCAUUUCCAUAAAAUGGCAAGUCACAUGGAACAACAAAAAAUUACUAUAGAACAGGAUCACAUGGAACCACAACAAAUAGAACAAGAUCACAUGGAACAACAAAAAAUUACUAUAAGUAUGUCCAGAUUGAACCCACCAAAGAGAAAGUAGUCAAGGCUUUUGUUGGCAACAAAUUCAUAGAUGAGUAUCUUUUCUUCUCCUUCCAGGCAAAAUCCCAACAGCCGAACUAGAUUUCUGUGUUGAAGCUUUGCAACUACUACAAUUUCAUUUUUAAAUUCUUCUGCACCUUGCACUGAGCUCCUUGACAGCCUUUUAACAGCUACUUCUUGUCCAUUACCAAGUACACCCUGAUUAAACAUGCAUACUAGAAUUUAAUUGAAAUAUUCAAUGUGUAGAUAUUCAAAUUCACAAAAGCAAAAUAUUUCAUGCAAAGACCUUGUAUACACGACCAAAUCCACCUUCGCCAAUUUUGUUAUCCACAGAGAAGUUAUUUGUGGCAAUUUGAAUUUCAGUUAAGCUAUACUGUAAGGAUUCGACUGUUAAGAUUUCAGCAACUCCAUCUACACCAGGGAUAAGCAACUUCACUCAAUUUAUUAGUUCAAAAACCUCUGAGGUUUCCUGUAAUUGCAAUCAAUAAACUUUACCACUUGUUUCCGGUGCCAUUGCAACACAACUCUUCCGCAAUCUUCUUUUCCGGAAAACUAAAGCCAUGACAAAUAGCACAACAGCAACCCCAAUUAAUGGGACAGCAAUUGAAAAAGCUGCUCUUCGCCCUUUGCCUGGAUGAAAGUUAGUUUAAUUUAGCUUCGAAAGUCAGCUGAUCAUAGGAGAUCAAGUUUAUUAAACUUCGAGGUAGAGUCACUCUGAGACAGCCUUACAUAGACAAAAAGCUAGAGUUGAGAUCCUCUCUAUUACUUUCUCACCAUUUAUGUGCCUAAAUUUUUCAUAAAAGUCUAUUUAUGUCAACAAUUUUACUUCCACAAGUAGAACAACAUACUUAAAAUUCAUUCUCAUUUAUGAAUUUUUUGUCAUUCAAUUUGUACAAAACACUUUGACGGUGUGAAAUGGGUCAAAAUUACGAUAAAAAAUGUAAAGUUUGAUCCCAUAGUAAAAUCCAAUAGCUUAACUGUUUUUGGACAAAUCACCAAAAAAUUCUUUACCCUAUGCACUUGUAGCCUUGUGUUGAAGUGCAAAUCCUUAUUUCUUAUUUGCUGGAUGAUUUCGCACCACGCAUCUGUGGCCUGUGAAAUUGGAUAGCAUAAGUUUCCUUCUCUUUCAGAAGACCAUGGAUCUGAGGUGGGAAAUCACCCAACGAUGUGUUUCCUCUGCGGUGUUUUUUGUUCUUUUGUCAUGUAUUUGUUUUUAGUUAUUCCAUUUUGAUUUUUUAUGACCCUACAUGAAGAAUACAUGGCAAUAUGCAUAGUUAUUAAACUCGAUCAGACAAAAAAUCCAACAGAGGGACCAGGGCAACAGGUGACUAGUUUAACCAAUCAUUCAUUAGCUGAAGUAGUGGGUACUAAAUUAAUAUUUACAAAUAUAAAAUAGUAAUAAAGUGCUUUUAAAUACUAAUUAUUAUACUUUGAAAGAUAUAUUAUGAACAUACAAAUAUUAAUAGAUGAUUCAAUUUCAUUUUACUGUACUUGCAUAUAAUUAAAUAACACAUUCAAAUAUAGAACAAAAUUGUAUUACUUAUUUUCAAAGAUAUAGCAUUAUUUUUAUUAUUUUAUCUUUCAAAAAUAAAAUAAUUUUUAACAACUCAAAUAUUGUAAGUUUGAAAGUUAAAAGAAUUAAUUGUAUAACAAAAAAGUAAACAAGUUUAUGUAAUAAAACAUUUAAUUAACAAGUAAAAACUAAGCAAGUAGUAAAAUUUCAUACACAUUUAAAUGAAAAUCCAACAUACAAAUCUAGUCAAAAGUAUAUUACACUUUAUUUCAAAAACAAUGAUCCACAAUUGUGUUAGAAAAAAGAACCCAGUCAAGUGGAAAACCGGACAGGCUCCAAUUGAACCACCAUGUCAAACAGGUUUGAUCGGACCAAUUCAUUCUCCAAUCAAACUGGAAAUCCUUUCGGCCGGAUGGUCGAGUUAUUGGUAGGAUUACAAACGAAUCGAAUCACCUACGAGCAACCAAAUCCAAAGCUCGACUCGAGUUCAACCUAAUCAAGUCGAACUCGAAUUCAAACUCGAGUUCAAAGAUAUUCAGUUUAUUAGUUCAUAAGCCGACUUAAUUAUAUAUAUAUAUUAUUUUUUAUUUUAAUAGUAAAAUUACGUAUAUAUUCCUAAUAUUUUAUUAUUUGUUAAGAAAAUUAUUAUUUUAUUCACUUUUUCAAAAAUAAAAUAAUUUUUUUAAACUCGAGUUUGAACUCAAACUUGAUUCAAAUUUGAGUCAAGUUCGAGCUCAAGUUGUUACAUUGAGAGCUUGUUGAGUUCAAGCUCGAGUUUGAGUUUGAUAAAACUAAGUCAAGUUUGAAUCGAUUAAACCAAAGUCGACUCUACUCAACUCGUUUAUAGCCUAUUUCAUUGGGCUGAUUGUUUCAACUGCUAGGGUCAUGCCAGGUUCAAUAACUAUAGGGGAUGAAAUAAAAAGUGAAACAAAAAAUCCAUUGUGAAACAAAUGUAAAAAAUUUUAUUUGGCAAGAAAACAAUGAUAGGAUUUAAAAGUGGAGGAGAAAGGAAAUUUGAAUUUAAGAUCUCUAAAUCCUAAGGUCUCAACCUUAGCCACUAAGCAUAUAGUGCGUUACCUCAUGAUCUCUUGUGCAUGUGAAAUUAUCCUAUUAUCCUGGCCCCUUGCACUUUCUUUGAAAGUGGAUCACUGAUUUUUCCUUUUUUGGCUAAAUUAACUUCAAAGAGGGUAAAUAUGGUAUUGGUUGAUUUCAAUGCUAAUAUUUGUCUUGUAUAUUUUUUUCUCAGCUAUUUUCUACUUUGGGCUCUUGAACUAUAGACAUACUACCACUUUAAUCAUUAAAUUUCAAAGUUAAGCACUUUAUUUCUUAAAAUAUGAAAUGCAUCUUACUUUAGUUCUUAAUAAUUGUAUUCAAAAUUUUGACAGCUAGUUUUGUCACAAAACAAAGAAAGAUCAAAUGGCUUCACGUUGCCAAAGCACAACUAAGGUAAAAUUACGAUUUUGAAACCACAAGGGGUUAAGAGGCAAAACAUUAAACCACAAAGAAGUAACAUUAAUUUAAUUAUUUAAUAUCAUAUUUCAAACUAGCAAACAAAUUAUAUUGCACUAUAACGGAAAAUCUUUUACAUGCAUACAAUACAUCAUCGAUCUUCUUCAAUGUCUUUGUCUUAAAGUGGAAAAACUAAAAUGGAUUCUUCUUUGCAUUAUGCCAUAGUAAUUUCAUUUUUUUACAUCAAUUUUGCUAUCAAUACCAUUCAUAAUAUAACUCAUGUACUAUUUUAGUUAAACUCAAAAGUUAAAUUAAAAAUACCAAACUUUUUCCAUUUGAUUAAUCAUUGCAAAAUUUUCCAUGAACUUAAACCCUUUUACACUAUAUAAAUGUUUCUAGCAAAUUGAAUGCAAAAACUUUCUCAAAUGCACUUUAUAUUCAUGUAUGCUGAUCAACCAAUCAAAAUAAAAUUAUAACAUAAGUAUAUGAGUUUUAAAAACCAUAUCAUAGAUAAAUGGAUAGAUAACUAAAUAAAAACGUAAUGCAAAAGUGCCCAACCCAUUUUCGGACGUCAGGCCAUCACGGUUAAAGGGAUUCCGCAAUGACCAUAACAAUACUACUUCAACAGUUCAACAUAUAUUCAAUAGUUAUUACAGUCCUAAUGCUUGCAAAAAGACUAAAUUUACUGUCCAUAAAUGACAAAUGAUGGAUCCAAAUCUGCAUGUGAUCUGCUAAUGCUGAAAUCUUACUGUUGCGUAUUCAACUAAAAUUUGACUUAGAAAAUUCAAUAAGUUACGUGGUGGUCUUCUAUAGGUACAUAUUUUCGUUUGAAAGUGAAUUCACACCCCUCAUCCUAUAUUUACAUAUUCUACUAACUUCAAUAAUAUUAAUUCCAAUAAUAAAGGUAUGAAUUUAAAAUGAAGGCAUGUGAAUUUAGUACUACAAACAAGAAAUUGUAAGAAUUAAGAUUGUAUUCAACACCAAUUCCAAGAAGAGACGGCCAUAGCAAGGCUGCAGAACUUACCUUCAGUGGAUUUAGGAGGAGGACCGCCAGGAGAGUUUGGCGAUGCAGAGGAUACAGUAUCAUAGAAGCUGGAGACCUCAUACCUCAGGUUACAGCUUGGAUAAAUUACUCUCCCUCCCUGCUUCUUGGAACAGCACGCGGGUACAUCUAUUAUAGCCUCUGUGAGGCACCUUUUGCAGUCAUAAGGGGAUAGAUCUGGUGUGCACUGCGUAAGGGUAUACAAUCUCUUUUGAUCAGUGGAAUAAUUGCCUUCUUCGACAGCAAACUUUUUGCCCAUGGUAUGAUUUGCAGCCUUAUCCGCAGCGUUAUGCAACAAAUUGAUCAAUACCAUUUUGAAUUUGUCCCAGUCAGGUCCAGGGACAUCGAAUGGAUUGCGCCUAGUCAAAUUCUCUCCCAAAUCAGCCCUGGAGAAGAUCGUCUGGUCAGAAAAACGUAACAAGCACUCGUCAUACUAAACAAUAGCAGCUUUUUGAUUCGGGCACUCAUCAAGUAGUCGUGUGUGGGCAUCUGCGACGCAUUCUUUGCAAACAUCAGUGUUGACAUCACCUCGACAGAGAAAGAGGCCAUAGACCUUGUUUGAAGGGUCAUCGCCAGUACUGAAAUUAUAGAAGCCAUUGUUGUCUGUCCGAGAUGCAUGCGAAGACAGAUUGUAAAGCAAGAAAUUCAGAUUGGCUCUGUAAAUGCUGCCGGAAGGACUGUUAGGAUUGUAUGUAAUAUUUCCACAGUAAGAGUCAAGAUAGUUCCAGGGGUUUGUGUCGUUGGAAGUGGAACAACAGUAUUCAAUGGUAUGGAAGCUAAGCAAACAAAGCAUGUAAUAUUUGAAGUGGAACAACAAAUUUCUGGAGAUCAUUUCAAAGGAAGGCAUCAAAAGAGUAAAAGGCUAACAACCUACAAACUAGAUUGGUAGAUUAGGAGCCAAAUUAAGUAUUUUUUGAGGGACCAUGAAAGUUGUAUAAGCCAGGAAAACUUAUGGCCUGGGAAAACUUGACCUUGGCAGACAGCUAACUCGCCUGGACGUGAACCAUCAGCUGAAUGGUCUCUAACCAAAAUUCAAUACGUCAGUAAUAGAUUUUUACCGUUUGACCAAAAAAAAAUAAUGGAUUUUGACGGGAAUGCAAAUUUCAGGAUGCUAACAACUAUCAAACAACGUCAUCGUGGAGGAUAAUUGUAAUUUGACUAAUGCUCUAUUGAGUAAAGUGGACCCAAAUUGAAUCUCUAUCUACUAGCUCAAUACUUUUAAGAAAAAGUUCUCUAUAUAUAGUUAAAAGGAUAAAUUACACACAUAAUCCCCUAUAGAUUCAUUGAUUUUCAAUAUUCAUAUAAAACCUCUAUGGUUUCAUAUAAAAUAGAAAUUUUACAAAAAAAAAUAUCUUAUGUUACACAAUUAGUUGAACUACUAUUAUUGCCCUUACUUAAAUAUUAAAUCGAAUAACAAUCAGACCACCUUGUAUAAAGUUAUAGAAGAAUUAUGUGGAUAAAUACAAAAUCUAUAGAGGGUUAAAGUGGAUGUUUAUAAAUUGUAGGAGCAUUAAGUGGAUAUCAUUAAUUCACCACAUGCAUUUUUGGAGCACAUCUAGUUCAAUCACAAUAACCAUUGAUGUUUUCUGUCUAUUUUUCAUAUUACAUGAAACAAUAGGGAUUUAUGCGGAUAUUUUGAAAUGUAAAGGAGAUCAUAUAUUAAUAUAAAAAUCCAAGGUGAUUACAUGUAAUUUACCAUAAAAUCCCGUAAAGUCUGUCACAUUUUAAUUGGAUUGGAACUUUCCAACAAUUUUCGUUGUCAAAAACGCCAAUAAACUGUCCAACUACUUGUUUUGCAGUACAUGCGUGUUCACCAUUUUGUCAAACUGAUUUACAUUUCUUAAUCUUCUUUUGAUUAAUUCAAAGGAACCCUCAAGGAAAGCAACGUCUACCCAUUUAUUAAUGACCAAUUCCGCGUUGCUUUGUUUUAAAAAAUUCAUCAAGUUUAAGGGCCACUUUUUAAACAUAUUUACAAGGGUGCCUGCAGCAUCAGUAAGAAGCGACCAUUAUGAUGGUUGCUGAUCUUUGUUUUUGCAAGAAACCGGUCACAAUAGAGCUACUCCUCGUUUAUGUUAUCAGUUUUUGAGAACCAGGGUUUUUCGAGAAUGAAAAGGAACUAAUAUUCUCUUGCUCCAUAUUCUAACUCAAGCGAUGACCAACCUAAAAAUCCCCACUACACUACUAAGUAGUAGGCCAUAAUAUAUGCUUGCUUGCUGUGGAUGAGAGAGAGAGAGAGAGGAUUGGAGGAGGAAAAGAAAGAGAAGGAAAUCUUUGUUAUUGUUUUGCAUUAGAAUCUUUAAGAAUACCUUAUGAUGAUGUUCUAAAGCAUAUAAUCGUGAAAAUUUAAUGAUGAAAACAAGAAGAAUUCAUGGCUGAAGAUUCGGUUUCAAUGAUGAAGGUUUGACAUUUUCAUUGGAGAAAAUCAAAAAGAGCUGUAACAUUUAAAGGAAAUUUGUGAUCCUAUUGCCAAUUGCGUUUGUACACAUACCUUCUCAAUGAUCCAAUAUACUCUUCUUUAGACUGACCCUCCAUUUCGUUGACCUCAUUUUCAGACGUCGAGAGCUACAUACAUUAAGCAAAACCGCUAUGAUUAUCUAACCUAAAAAAAAUUUUUAAAAAAAAAUUCUUCAACAAAAAAGGGAAAAAAAAUGCAUAGAUUUGCAAGAUGAAUUAUAGAUUACAGGAAAAUUAAGAAUUGUGUCUUGUCCCCAGUACUUCAAUGCUGCCAAGUCAUAUGCACGUGCAGCCGCUUCUUCAUCAUCGUAAGCUCCUGCCAGCAAAAAAGAAAAAAAGAAAAAAAAUUCCCCGAUUCAUGGAGCACCCACUUGUACAAUAUUACUUGUAUCCACGUAGCUACACUAAAGUGACUCUUUUUUCUUUUCUUAUUUCAUAUGUCAGCACAAGAAGAGUGGACCUUUUCAAACCGAUAUAGUAAUAUUUCUUUCGGGGUUCGGUUCACUGGUUGUAGUCCCAGUUGGGGGAGAGUCAGGUCACGGGAUCGAAUCCCCGGUUUACCGUGGCUGGUAAUGCUUAGGGCGAGCCGCUCCCAGCCCGCAGUGGAAUUAGUUGGGCCGUACGGUAACCAAUCUAUGGGUCCAGAUACCCACUGUGAAGAAAAAAAAAAUAUAUGUAUAUAUAUAGUAAUAUUUCUUUCAAAUUUCGAAUUGAGGUUUAGUGAUAAUUAAAGAAUUUGAUAGUACCUAGCACCUUUUAUCCAAUCUACUAAGUGCACGCAAUAGAAGGACCUAACUUUUAAGAAAAAGUCAAUUAAAAUUUCAAGCAUAAUGAAAGUCAAAAUAUUGUAUCGAGUGGAAAGUCAGGCUUAAAAUUGAAACUCAUAUCCAGCUCGAUGUUGAUUUCGAACCCGAGUUGGAGCAUGUUAAAAAUAAGGCUCAGCCCGAUUCGAUUACACUUCGGCCCUCACCUACCCCGUCACUAAUCUCAAUAUUUGAAAUUCCAUCGAGCUCUAAACAGCAACCUAUCCUUUCUUGACAUGCGUCACAAUAAACUAUCAAUAGAUACCAUUAGGGAACGGCUUCAAACCCUUUGCUCUAUUUAACCUGAGGAAUUAAGCGGACUUUGUUUUGGAUGUACAUCAUUGGUCCCUCUUAACUAAUUGUAAAUAGUUCGUUAAAAAACUCAUGAAUUAGCAUAUUGCAUUUGAAAUCAGGAUGGGAUGGAGCAGUGGCGGUGCCAGGAAUUUGUUAUAGGGGGAGAGAGGGGGGGGGGAACUAAGCUUGAGUAUAACUUUAUUUUAAAAAAAAAGGAAUAAAUCAAGAUUAAAUGAGCAAAAAAAAUUCAAAACGUUGAAAUAAAUUUAGUGGUUAUAUUUUGAUUGAUUUUUAGCUCUACGAAUUUCUUGCUUAGUUGAAUUUCAGAAGGGUCGUAAUAUUUGGAUAAUGUGGACAUUCUUAGAUGUAGAAACUUCAAAGCUGGGGAAGGGAUGAAUUACACUAACAAAAUCCAUAAAGAUUUUAAAAAUAAAUAAAAAAGCUUCAAAGAUUCCAGGUUCAACACUUGUUUCAAUAGUUCUUUUAUUCAAUUUUCUUGCUCAAAACGUAUAUGCUACCAAAUACUCAAAUCUCAAUAAGUUACUAAUUAACCUGAAAAAUCACUAGUAUAAUUAAGUGCAAGCUUUAUGUUUUAGAAGUUCUAAAGCUUCUGCUUUUUCAUCUAAAGCAACCACAAAUGUUUUAUUCUGAUUUUCAAAAGUUUAUUCUAUUGAAAAGUUUUUUUUUUUUAAAUAUUAGCAAUAAUUGUAACCUAGUCUAAAACCAUUCUUUUAGUUCUCCUAAUCAUUGCAGUAGAACUAGUUAAAUUCACUAUAUUCAUUAACACAAAACAGAAACAUUGAAGUUUAUCUAAUUGAAAAAUAGAAGAAGUAAUUGUCAAUUUUAUUUAAUCUAAAAUGACAAUUUAUUGGACUAAUGAGCAAAGGGUAACUAAAUUAAUCUAAAAGUGAAUUGUUGUCUUCCAUCAAAACGAAACAUAGAAAAACAAAAGAUUUGCCUUGGGUAGAUGAAUUAAUGAAACAUUGCAAAUAAAAUUAUCUUAGCACAAAAUUUUGUAUAGAAAUUUACAAGACGAAAAUCAAGAAGUUACACAGGAUAGGAUAUGGAAUUUGCCUGGUUGUCUUUUUAAGGGAAAAAGAAUAAUUAAAAAAGAAGACAAUAGGUAAUGGUGGGUUUUGGCUUGGGCUUUCUGUUAUAGGAUUGGAUAACUAAACUGGUAUUGGGCAUUCUUAUUUUUCAUGGAAGUAGUUGACAUGGUGGAAUUUUCGGUGCCAUUUGAAUUUGGUUUUGGAUGGGAAUCAGAGUUGGACUUUCUUUGUUUUAUUAGUACGAGACACAUGCAUAAAUGUUAGGGGACAGACUUCUUGUUGUUUUAAACUUUAAGAAUAAUUUGUAAGUAAAAUUAAAAGAAAAAGAAUAAUUUAUAGGCACUUGCUUGGUGUCGAAAGGGCACUUGUUAACAAAUCUAUAUUUCAUCCGAAAUAUUAUAUAUAAACACACAUUAAUAAUCAUUAUCCGUCAGAUAGACUGAUUUUAAAUAAAGACCCUAGAACACUUGCUCUAUGACAAGACAAAAAAAUAGGGGAAAUUUUAUUAUUUUUUUCAUUUAUAAUUACAUUAAGACUUUUUUAUUUGAUGCUUAAAGCACCAAAUAAGCAUAUAGAAAAAGGAAAUUGGCCCACCAUUAAACCUUUAAAAUUACCACCCUGAAGUACAGCACUUUAGCAAACAAAUUACCCUUUUGAAAAAAAAAAAAAGGAGACCCACUCCUUAUGGUGCUUUCAGGGCACAAAAUAUAAACCCAAAAGAUAAGACAACAUUUAAAUCAGUAACUAAUCUAAUCUAAUUUUAUUAGAUGAUGUCUAAUCUGAUAUUUAUAAAACAUUUACGUAUCUUAACUAAGGGUGCAUAUCAGGAUCAUCAUGAUUUGAGACUUUUUAGGCACCCAAUUAUGCAUUGCGACCUAAACUUCCUUUUAAGUGUUCUACUGUUACACUAAUACACCAUCACCUAUGAUAUCUGGACACCAAAUUUGACUUAAAAAGUUUUAAAAAAUGAUGAAAUACAGAGUCCUCCUUAAAGUGCCAAUAGUUUUUCCUGUCAAUCACAACAUCACAGAUCACAAUUCCCUGGGCUUUCCUUACCCAGAAAAAGAAAGAAUGAAAUGAAGGAAAGAAAAAUCCAAGAUGAAGAACAAGAAAUAUUUUGUUGAUCUGCCAUUAUCUCUCAUACACUUGCUAAGAUAUUCACUUGUAUAAUUUUGGGUUGAUAAUUUUGUAUUUUUUAAUAUCAACUUCCAUACUCUAAAUUUCAUCUAUGCAUUUGGGGAUUUCAUAGAAUUUUAUAUACCUUUAAAUUCUCAAGAUUUCUAGGUUAUUUGUGAUUAUUUAUGUUGCAGAAUAGUUCACAGAUGUAGUUAUUCACUUGAAAAAGUUCAUAUGCUAAAUGUGAAGAUUGUAUAAAUGCAUCAACUAUCCUUUUUCUUUUUUGCGUAAUCAUUGAUAGUUGGGAUAGCCAUAUUUACACAAUUAUAUGAAUGGUUUUUACAAUUAUAUGCAUCAUAUUUACACAAUUAUAUGAAUGGUUUUUUCUUUGCUUAAGGAAAAGGGAAAAAGAUUGGCUAAGUUACAUUAAAAAGAAGAACAGAAAAAGGUAAGUGCAAUAAAGAAAAGAAUAAAGAAAACAGAAAAUUAAAUGACAAAAUUGGGUAAAUACUUUAAACCAAAAAAAAAAGAAGGAAUAACAAAUACGAAGAUUGUAUGAAUGCAAGAACAAUGUUUUUUUUUUUUUUGGUCAAAGGUAAUUUUUUAUUAGAAAAAUUUUGGCAGAGUUUCCCCUUAUAAAUGGACGAAACUCCCUGCCAACAAACUCAAAUACAAGAAAAUUAUCUGCAUGGUAGUAAGUUAAUACAAUGUAACUUUACGACAGUUUGCAAACAAUUUAAUAAUAACUGCACGAUUAAAACAGAAUGUGACGGCCAACCAAAUAAGGCUCAACUGCAGAAUUUCGAACUAGACUUUUCAUCCACUCUAAACACAUUUCCUAAUUGAAGGCAGGCCUAUUCUAUCUAAGCGAAACACCCCACAAGCUUUGAUAGGGAGGUCCACAAGCUGAUGAUAUGUUGUAUUGAAACCUUGAUCACAUCCCAUGUUUGCUAAAGAAUCGGCAACUUGAUUACUUUCCCGAAAGCAAUGAGAAAUUGCAACAAAAUUAGACGACAACUUUAGAAGGUAUUUAACCACUGUAUAAAUACUCAAUGGACAGCUAGAUCCCUGUUUUAGGAUGUGAACAAGAACCAACGAAUCCAUUUCAAUGUGCAAGUUAACAUAACCACGAGAGAGACACAACUUAACCCUAAAGAGAAGAGCGCACGCCUCAGCUUGAAUGCUGGUUACAUUCCCAAAAAAAGAGGAGAAAGCAAGCAGGAAAUUUACUCCAUCAUCACGCAAAACCCCACCACCACCUGCCCUCCCUGGGUUACCCCUUGAACAGCCAUCAGCAUUAAGUUUAAUUACACCCAAGAGUGGCCGACACCACCUUACAAUCAUAAAUGAGACUUUCUUAUGAAUAUAAGAGAGCGAAGAAUAAAACUCCAUCCAUGUUGAGGAAGUGAAUGGGUACCCAGGGAAUUGCAACCUAAAGAGGUCCUUCACAUUGUCAAAAACAAACUCAAAGAUAGUGACGUGAGAAAGAAGUCUCCCUUCAAAACGUGCCGAGUUUCUAGACUUCCAAAUAUUCCAACAAAUCAGAGAAGGUAUAAUAAAAUGAACAAAUGCAAUGAAACCAUUUCUUGGUGCGCUAUACCACCAACCUGCAAUAUAAGCCCGAACCGAGCCACCUGCAUUAAGCACACUUGAAGCAGAGCCAAAGAAAUUCCAAACUGAAACUGCUACCUGUCCACUACAAAAGACAUGGUCCAAAGUCUCACCAUUAGCCUGGACAUAAUAGAAACACUUUGAUGGGCCCGAAAUACCAAGUUUGCAUAACGUGGAGUCCAUGGGUAAUCGAUUUCGCAACAAGCGAAGAAGAAAAACAGACACUUUGGAAGGAAUUCGUGGGUGCCAGACUUUUGAGAACAUAAAUGACCUUUGCUUAUGUGAUUGCACCAGGUUAAAAGCUAAGUUCAGCGUGAAAACUCCAGAUUGAGAAGGAGCCCAUAUCAUUAAAUCUUCCAUACCAAUCUCAAUUUGAGGGAGAGAGAACAUUCGGAUGUCGUUGAUAAUAAAUGGAGGUACCCACAAACCCAGCAACUGAAAAUUUCACCUGCCAUCAACUAAAAUAUCAGACAUCUUGUGAUCCGAAACACUCCCUAACCGCAUAACCAAAGGCCCAGAACCUAACCAAUUAUCAAACCAGAAAUUAGAGUCCCCAGAGUGGAUAAUGAAAGUUAUAUGUUGUUCAGCAAUGUCCCGAACAUAUAACAUCCUACGCCAUGUAUGAGAGGCCCCUUCCGAACGAACAACCAUACCUGGGUGCGCAUUCGAAUAAUAUUUGGCCAUCAUAAAAUUAGCCCAAAGAGACGCAUUUUGUCGAAACCUCCACCAUAGCUUAAUAGAAAAGGCAUUAAAAACAUCAUCCAGUGAUCUAAAACCAAGCCCACCCUCCUCUUUUGGGGCACAAAGAUCCUUCCAACGAAUCCAAUGGCAUUUUAAACCACCCUUAUCUGAACCCAAAAAGAAAUUUGCAAACAAAUGCUCGAGAGUAGAAAAUACAGAUUUUGGAGGUGACACAGUAGCUAGCAAAUGCAAUGGAAGCGAGGACAGUACAUGUUUAAUAAGUACAACCUUACCUCCUAGUGACAACAAACGAUUUUUCCAAGAAGCAAUCGUAGCAGCCACAGUCUUGAUCAAAUUGUGGAAAUAAACCUUUUUACGUCUCCCCACCAUUAAAGGACAACCAAGAUAGUUAAAAGGAAAUUCCUUGGGAAAAAAGUCCGUCAUGCUCUGAAUGAAUACCUUCCUUGUUCGGGAUAGUCGCGGGUGAACCAUGAAACAACUCUUUGACGCAUUUAUUCUCUUGCCCGAAACAUGUUCAUAUUUUUUCAGCGUUUCCAUUAACAACUUCAGGGAUACUGCUGAGGCAUUAGAAAAAAUAAGAAUAUCAUCUGCAUACCCCAGGUGACUAACUAGAGGACACCCUCGAGGAACCUUGAAACCAUUAAAGCGUGGAUGCAGCAGAAGUUGAUUCAAAAGCCGGGAAAGCACAUCUGCACCUACAAUAAAUAAAGAAGGAGACAAAGGAUCCCCUUGACGAAACCCCCGAGAAGAUGGGAAAAAACAACAUGGCACCCCAUUAAUCAAAACAGAAAAUCAUGGAUUAGAAAUAAGAUGCCAAACCAUAUCAAUACAUCUUUCGCCAAACCUAAAAGCACGUAACACAUUGAUCAAAAAAAAUCCAAGAAACCCUAUCAUAAGCUUUGGUCAUAUCCAAUUUGAGAGCAACAUUACCUCCCCUAUUCUUCUUACCAAUACCUAUAAUAAUUUCUUGGGCAAGUAAGAAGUUAUCAGAUAUUAGCAUACCACAAACAAAUCCACUUUGAUUUGGAGAGAUAAUUUUAGGGAGCAACUGUGAUAACCUAACAGCCAGGAGACGUGAAAACACCUUAUUUAUAAAAUUGCAUAAACUAAUAGGACGAAAGUGAGAAAAAUCUUUUGGGUUCUUCACCUUGGGAAUUAACAUCAAUAACGCCGCUAUCACUUUUUUUGGCAACUCAGCACCACAAAAAAAACUAAUAACAGUGUUUUACAAAUCUUGAGCAACUAUAUCCCAAGCAAAAGUGAAAAACUUUCCAGUAUAACCAUCAGGACCAGCCGCACUAUCACCAUCCAUAUUAGAAACCACCCGCCUCACAUCUUCCAUUGUAGGAAUUUCUUCUAACUUAGCAUUAUCAGCUGGCUGAAUUAAUUUCGGGAUAACAGAAGAUAAAUCCCAAGAAGAUGUAGCCUCAGCUGAAAAUAAAGAAGAGAAAAAUUUGACGGCUUCCUGCCCUAUGUCAGCUUCAGAAGAAAGCCAGUUUCCUCCCUCGUCUUGGACUCAGUGAAUAACUGAUUGUAAUCUCUUCUGCUUUACCACUGAAUGAAAAAAUUUAGUAUUUUUAUCUCCUAAAUCUAACCAACGGACCCUUGCUUUUUGCUUCCAGAAGCUUUCUUCCACUAUCAAACUCUGACGAAACUUUGCCUGGGCUCUUCGUAAAGAUUCCUGAGCACUAAUCGAGAUAUCAUCCUCCACUUAUUUCUCAGCUAAAACCACCUCCUUCUCAGCCCUUUUUACAUUAUUAAAAAUAUUACCAAAACAUUGUACAUUCCAAACUUUAAUAUCUGCCUUUAAUCUUUUAAGUUUGGAGCAAAACACUUGAAUAGGAGCACCAACAUACUCUUACUGUCAAGACUUUCUAACAACUUCCAAAAAGUCAGGAUGAGUAGCCCAAGCAUUAAGGAAACGAAAAGGGCGAGGUUUAUCAUCCAAACGGGUAGUAAACGAAAGCAAAAGAGGUGAAUGAUCAGAAGGAUCCCUAGCAAGAUGAGUAACAGAAACCCCAAAACCCGCAUCAUAAUAGGAAUUAUUAAUCAACAGGCGAUCCAAACGUUUCCAAAUUCACGCCCUUCCAAAUCGAUUAUUACACCAGGUGAAGGAAGAUCCAGAAAAGUCAGCAUCAAAUAAUUCAGCAGAAGACAUAAAAUCCAAAAACUCAACUGCCUCAGACAAACGAAAGGGCUGCCCACCUUUUUUUCCCCCCACAUCUACCACAACAUUGAAAUCCCCACAGACUAACCAUGGCACUACAAGAGGCUUAUCUUGCAACAACCCACUCCAUAAGCCUUGUCUCUCCUCUACCGUGCACAACGCAUGAACAAAAGAAGCAGUAAAAGGGGCUGCGUAGAAAUUAUGAUAAACUGUAAAAGAAAUAUGUUGUUCUCCCUCGCCCACCAACAAAAGAUGAAAAGGAUCAUUAUAAAAAAAUCCAAAGAGAUCCAGACUUGUUACACAGGACAUGUUCAAAAUGAAGCUUUAGUCGAAAGCUUUCAGCAAGGAUAACAUUAGCAUUAGCUUCACAAAUAACUAAAAAUUGAAUUUGUUGCUGAGAAAUAAUUUUUUCCUAACGUCUAAAGUGAGAAGGUUUAGACAAACCUCUUAUAUUCCAGAAAAGAGACUUAAUCAUUGGAUGGCAGUUGGAAAGAAAUCUGUGAAUUUUUUAAUGAAGAACGCAGCUGCCUAUCCGAAGGAGUGAUAGUAUGAAGUCCCUUAUGUUUCCUACCAUCUUGGAAUGAAUCAUCUUGAACACACCGGCCAGCUUCUGGAAUCGAAGGCAAAACCACUGCCAAUUCGCCUCUUGGAGAAAGAUUACCAGAAGAAAAGGUAACAUAGAGUCGACAUUUACUUCGUCAUCCAAAACCUCCUGCUGCUUGUGAAGGGAACAAGAGCCAUGGUCAGGUUGGUGAGCAGAAGCACUAGCAAAAGACUGAUCAGACUCAACUUGGACAUCUAUAACAGCUGCUUGACAUGCAGACGCAGACUUAGUAGUUUCAAGAGGCUACUGUUCUUGAGAUUCCACCAUCAACAUAUUAUCUUGAAGAUUAUUUUCCGCCGGAGCCCAAGGUAAUGGAAUAGUAGAAAGUGCCGCAGACGUAGCAAUUUGAAAUUUCUGCUGUGCUUGCAACUCUGAAGAUAUCACCUUGUUGGGGGUAGCAUCAUCAACGUGCAACGUCGCAGCCGUAGCUUUCGUAUCACAGUGCUGAUCUUGGGCCAAAGAAACAGCUUGCACCAUUGUGUCUGGUUUAUUUGUCGAAACUGGAACCCAAUUUUUUUUUGUAAUGUGGCCACCAUCCAAACCUAUAGAACCUUUUCCUAUACGUUGAUUAAAAUCCUCCUCCAAAGGCAUAUGGUCCUUACCCAACUGUUGAGACGAAAUUCCAGCAAGCACAUCCUUAUUACAAGCAGUACUAGAAUGUCCUAAAUGGCUAGAGCAAUAUUGGGGCAAAUUUUCAGCUUGCAACUGCUGCCAAAACCCCUCAUUAGAAUUCUCAGUCCCAAUCCAAACCCUAGAAGGAAGUGGGUGAAGUAAAUCUACUUCCACGCAGAUACGUGCCACACUUGGCUUGGACAGAUUAGCAGUUGCAGCAUCUAUAAACAUUGGCUUCCCCAACGGAUUCACAAUGGAGAAAAGGGAAUAUUUGUCAAAUAGAUGAAUGGGUAAACUCGGGAGAGAGAAUCACACCGGCACCAAUGAAGAUUCUUUAGUCACAUGAAAUGAGGGAGUCCACUUAAAGACUCACAUUGGAAAAUUACCAACGUACCAGAUUCCUCUGGUCCAUAGGCGAUGAAAAUCUGUUUCUGAAGCACAGCGAAUGAGAACAUGUCGAGCAUCCAUAUGUCCAACCGAGCAUGCAUCCUUUAAAUCAAAAGAGUGAAUGAACUUUCUGAUCUCCUCCAAUUAGAACGACCACGUACGCGAGAAUUUUCCAACCAAGGCCAGCCGAAAAGGUGAAGCUAACUUAUUAAUAUCAUCAAGUGAAAAGAAUAUCGCAGCUUGCCCUUUAUGAGUUGAGAGGGAUUUAAUGGAGAUGGGAGAGGAUGGAACAGGGUCAAACAAUUGGGCAAAUGAUUUCUUUUCCCCCAUAAUGGCUUGGGCAUUUAUUCAAAUAGCUAAUAGGCAUAGCAGAACUAAAUGUAUUUCUAUUCAACUUGUACCUAAAGUGCCCAAUAUUUCACCAAUCGAAACCGAAGACUACUACAAGCUAAUUAUUCUAUAGAAGCUCUAAAUAGAACCUGGAUUUGAAGAUCUGGUGUUUAGCAAGUACAAUGUCAUUACAAUAGAAUAUUUAAGAAAGCUUAGGUGAUAAUAAACCAUUGAAUGCUGAAAAAGUUCCAAAUCAGAAUGAAUCUGAUAUAAUUUAAACUCCUUUUAACUAAUAACACACUCCAAGAAUUGUGAACCAAGACAGCCUUUAUAUUGGUUUUGUUACCAAACGUAUACAUUGUAAACCCGGGCUAUCCUUCAUAAUUCGUUGGUACAAUGAUAUAAUUGAUAGACUCAGUUUGGAAGCCAACUUUACUAUGUACAAAUGAUAAAAGUUCAAGACACAUUGUUUGUUCGAUCAGCUGGGGAUUAAUGUUCAUAAAUAAAAUUGCUCUUCUAUUUUUAAAAAAUAUCUAAAGAGCGACAACAACUUGCAUUUUCUUUCAAGCACAUCCUUAUACCCCUAAGGUGGAAGAAGUCAAUUAGUGUGAAGAAGCAAACAUUGAAACGAUCCCCUAAUUUCCAACAAUAGUGGGCAAAUUUAGAUACCUUCCUGGUAAAUGAAUCAUGCCUCAAAAUCUAGAACAUAAUGCUGAUGAUGAACUUGAUAUUUUCUUCCAGAAUUGGCCUAUUUCUUCCUUCAUCUGGGAUAUGGUUCAGUAAUUGAUGCAUCAUUGACAGAGCUUGGAGCUGAAAUUCUUUUAGUGUUGGAUUGAUCAACUUUCAGCUCGUCUACCCUGCUCUCCGAUCCAUUGCUUCGGAAAACUGCCGGACGAUGUGGAGUUGGUAGGGAAACAGAACCAGGAUUGAGCAUGCAGACCACGGAAGCCAUUUUGUGUCUUUUACUGGCAUCUUCUUCAACACAUAGUAAGCCAACUUGGAUGCAUUGAAUGACUUCAUUUCUGGCAUAAGAAUCUCCAAUGCUUGAAUCCAAAAGAGCUAAAGUUUGGCCGCGUCUCCAAUGGUUCCAAGCCUUUUCGAAAUAAUCCCACUCAUAAGGUGUACAUUCUUAAAAACUUCAAUUAGCUUAAAUAGAUAUACAGGUAAAUGUCAAUAUUCACAAUAGGCAAUUGUCAAUACUCUCUAUUUCAAGUUUAAUCAUAUAAAAAGAUUGAUUAAUCUUUCUUGCAUUGAUGUCAGCGUUGGAUGAAUAACAAUUAUGCAAAAUUUGAAUUUUAAAUUUAAAUUUUGCAUACAUGUUAUGAAUCUAAUGGUAAUAGUAUAUACACUGUCUGAUAUAUGAGAUUUAUUCAUAAAAGAUUUCGAAUCGCAACCUUUUUUCCCAUCAUUGUAGUUAAGUAUAACCUGAGAAAGAAGUACAAUGGUCUUUACUGAAAUUUACAAGUACUCUACUUUGAGCGUGUGACAACGUACAAAACGAGAGAAAGAAUAGCAAUUAUGACAAGUCUUGCAUCCGACAUCUAAAAAUUUCCAUAAGAAGCACAUAAACAGAAAUACGUAUUUAUUUAGGGCAGGUAGUUCAUAAAUUAUCGUGCCAUUUUGGUCUGGUUCACACAAAAAAUGGUAUUGCAAGUUUAGGUGAAUUUAAUAAUGAAAAAAAAAAGAAAAUGUGUAGAAUUUAAUUGAAAUAUUAAAUGUGUAGAUAUUCAAAUUCACAAAAGCAAAAUAUUUCAUGCAAAGACCUUGUAUACACGACCAAAUCCACCUUCGCCAAUUUUGUUAUCCACUGAGAAGUUAUUUGUGGCAAUUUGAAUUUCAGUUAAGCUAUACUGUAAGGAUUCGGCUGUUAAGAUAUCAGCAACACCAUCUACACCAGAAAUAAGCAAAUACACUCAAUUUAUUUGUUCAAACAAAUCUGAGGUUUCCUGUAAUUGCAAUCAAUAAACUUUACCACUUGUUUCCGGUGCCAUAGCAACAUAACUCUUCCGCAAUCUCCAUUUCAGGAAAACUAAAGCCAUGAUAAAUAGCACAACAGCAACCCCAGUUAAUGGGACAGCAAUUCGAAAAGCUGCUCGUAGGGGGCUUCGCCCUUUGCCUGGAUGAAAGUUAGUUUAAUUUAGCUUCGAAAGUCAGCUGAUCAUAGGAGAUCAAGUUUAUUAAACUUCGAGGUAGAGUCACUCUGAGACAGCCUUACAUAGACAAAAAGCUAGAGUUGAGAUCCUCUCUAUUACUUUCUCACCAUUUAUGUGCCUAAAUUUAUGUCAGUAAUUUUACUUCCACAAGUUGAUCAACAUACUUAAAAUUCAUUCUCAUUUAUGAAUUUUUUGUCAUUCAAUUUGUACAAAACACUUUGACGGUGCAAUAUGGGCCAAAAUUAUAAUAAAAAAUGUAAAGUUUGAUCCAAUAUUAAAAUUUAAUCAAUUUAAUUUGAAUUUUUUAAUAUACUUUAAACAACACGAGAAAUAUAAUUUGGAUGACCUUUUAUUUCAAAAAUAGUAGUAUAACCAUGUUUACUUAGGUGUAAUGGAGAAAAAAUUUUCUUCAAUUAAUGGAGAAGAGCCUAACCCAAAAAGCUAUGCAAAAACACAUUAUUUGAAAGAAUAUUUUUUUUUUCAAUUCUUUUUGAAAGUUUUUCACCACCUUUUGGCCUCACAUGCUUCAUGUUGACGGUAAAUGAAGAGAGAUUUUCAUUAUCAAUUUUCAAUAUUAUGGAUUAAUAUUAAGAUACUCCCCUGAGGAUUGAACAUAUACAAGGUUAAUUGUGUUUGGACCAAAUUACGACUACCCAUUGUAAGCGAGGCUGUCCAGACCCAGUGAUUAUAAGGAAAUGACAACAAUGCCAAAUAUUACCAAAUUGCUGUAGAAGAACAAAGGUUGAAGAAAAUUAUUUACCAAAUUAAGAAGAGAGACAAAUCACCAAAAAUUCUUUAGCCUAUGCACUUGUAGCCUUGUGUAGAAAUGUAAAUCCUUAUUUCUUAUUCGCUGGAUGAUUUCGCACCACGCAUCUGUGGUCCUGUGAAAUUGGAUAGCAUAAAGUUUCCUUCGCUUUCAGAAGACCACAAAUCUGAGGUGGGAAAUCAUCCAACGAUGUGUUUCCUCUGCUGUGUUUUUUGUUCUUUUGUCAUGUAUUUGGUUUUAGUUAUUCCAUUUUCAUUUUUUAUGACCCUACAUGAAGAAUACAUGGCAAUAUGCAUAGUUAUUAAACUCGAUUGGACAAGAAAUCCAACAAAGGGACCAGGGCAACAUGUGACUAGUUUAACCAAUUAGUCAUUGGUUGAACUAGUGGGUACUAAAUUAAUAUUUACAAAUAUAAAAUAGCAAUAAAGUGCUUUUAGAUACUAAUUAUUAUACUUUGAAAGAUAUACAGUGAAUAUACAAAUAUUAAUAGAAGAUUUAAUUUCAUUUUAUUGUACUUGUACAUAAAUAAAUAACACAUUCAAAUAUAGAACAGAAUUGUAUCACUUAUUUUCAAAGGUAUAGCAUCGUUUUUAUUAUUUUAUCUUUCAAAAAUAAAAUAAUUUUUAACAACUCAAAUAUUGUAAGUUUGAAAGUUAAAAGAAUUAAUUGUCUAACAAAAAAGUAAACAAGUUUAUUUAAUAAAACAUUUAAUUAUCAAGUAAAAACUAAGGAAGUAGUAAAUUUUUUUACACAUUUAAGUGGAAAUCCAACAUACAAAUCUAGUCAAAAUUAUAUUACACUUUAUUUCAAAAACAAUGAUCCACAAUUGUAUUAGAAAAAAGAACACAGUCAACUGGAAAAUCGAACGGGCUCUGAUUGAACCACCAUGUCAAACAAGUUUGAUCGGACCAACCCAUUCUUCAAUCAAACUGGAAAUCCUUUCGGCCGGAUGGUCGAGUCAUUGAUAGGGUUGCAAACGAAUCGAACCGCUCACGAGCAACUCAAUACAAAACUCGACUCGAGCUCGAUGUGCUGCUCAUGAUAACUCGAGCUCGAUCAACAUCGAACUCGAGGCAAGCUCAACCUGAUCAAAUCGAACUCAAAUUCGAACUCGAGUUCAAAGCUAUUCAACUCGAUAGUUCAUGAGCCAACUCAAUUUUAUAUAUAUAUAUAUAUAUUAUUUUUUAUUUUAAUAGUAAAAUUACAUAUAUAUCCCUAAUAUUUUAUUUUUUGUUAAAAAAAUUAUUAUUUUAUUCCCUUUUUGAAAAAUAAAAUAACUAUUUUUUUAUUUUUUUAAGCUCCAGUUCAAGUUCAAACUCAAUUCGAAUUUGAGUUAAGCUCGAGCUCGAGUUGUUACAUUGAGAGCUCGUCGAGUUCAAGCUUGAGCUUGAGUUUGAUAAAACUAAGUCGAGUUUGGAUCGAUUAAACCAAAGUCGACUCGACUCAACUCGUUUGUAGCCUAUUUCAUUGGGCUGAUUGUUUCAAUUGCUAGGGUCACGUCAGGUUCAAUAACAAUAGGGGAUGAAAUAAAAAGUAAAACAGAAAAUCCAUUGUGAAACAAAUGUAAAAAAAUUUUAUUUGGCAAGAAAACAAUGAUAGGGUUUAAGAGUGGAGGAGAAAGGGAAUUUGAAUCUAAAAUCUCUAAAUUCUAAGGUCUCAACCUUAGCCACUAAGCAUAUAGUGCGUUACGUCAUAAUCUCCUUAUGCAUGUGAAAUUAUCCUAUUAUCUUGGCCCCUUGAACUUUCUUGUGAAGUGGAUCACUGAUUUUUCUUUUUUAGGCUAAAUUAACUUCAAGGAGGGUAAAUAUGGUAUUUGGUUGAUUUCAAUGCGAAUAGUUGUCUUGUAUAUUUUUUUUCUCAGCUAUUUUCUACUUUGGGCUCUCAACUAUAGACAUACUGCCACUUUAAUCAUUAAAUUUCAAAGUUGAGCACUUUAUUUCUUAAAAUAUGAAAUUCAUCCUACUUUAGUUCUUAAUAAUUGUAUUCAAAAUUUUGACAGCUAGUUUUGUUACAAAACAAAAAAAGAUCAAAUGGAUUCACGUUACCAAAGCACAACUAAGGUAAAAUUGCGAUUUUGAAACCACAGGAGGUGAAGAGCAAAACAUUAAACCGCGAAGAAGUACCAUUAAUUUACUUAUUUAAUAUCAGAUUUUAAACUAGCAGACAAAUUAUAUUGCACUAUAACGGAAAAUCUUUUACAUGCGUACAAUACAUCCUCGAUCUUCUUCAAUGUCUUUGUCUAAAAUUGGAAAAACUAAAAUGGAUUCUUCUUUGCAUUAUGCCAUAGAAAUUUCAUAUUUUUUUUACGUAAUUUUGCAAUCAAUACCGCCCAUAAUAUAACUCAUGUACUAUUUUACUUACACACAAAAGUUAAAUUAAAAAUACCAAACUUUUUCCAUUUGAUUAAUCAUUGCAAAAUUUUCCAUGAACUUGAGCCCUUUUACACUAUGUAAAUGUUUCUAGCAAAUUGAAUGCAAAAACUUUCUCAAAUGCACUUUAUAUUCAUGUAUGCUGAUCAACCAAUCAAAAUAAAAUUAUAACAUAAGCAUAUGAGUUUUAAAAACCAUAUAAUAGAUAAAUGGAUAGAUAACUAAAUGACGAUGUAGCUCUGAAAUUAGAUAUGUCAAAGGCUUAUGACCGUGUUUCCUGGAUUUUUUUGACAAUGGUUUUGAGGAGAUUUGGUUUUAGGGAGCAAUGGAUUGAUAGGAUUUGGAGAUUGGUCUCGAAUGUAUGGUUUUAAUCAACGGGGCCAGUGUGGGUUUCUUUAAGUCUACGCGAGGGCUUUGUCAAGGGGACCCGUUAUCCCCAAGUUUUUUUUUUUUUUUUUUUAAACCCAUGUAUAUAUCUAUUUUUUUUUUUUUUAAAAAAAAACUCAACUUUUAUUGCCACCGAGGGAACAAAGUUACACAGAGCCAAAAAGUCUAGACAAAACUACUAAUGCCGGACCCUGCCUAGCCGAAUCGAGGGAACUGAGAGCCUGUCCAACUGGAGAGCGGACCGAGCCUUCCGAGGAAGCUCAGCCCUGACUGUAAAAACGCCAUCCUGUUGUGGCCGCGAGCACGCAAGGGCAUCCGCUACCGUAUUUGCUUCUCGAUAGAUGUGUGCCACUGAGACCCCCAUUUGCCCUGAAAGCCAUUGAAUAUGACGUAGAGUAUUGACCAAAGGCCAUCGGGCAGGACCGCAAGAGGAGACCAUGCGCACCAAAACACUCGAAUCCACCUCAGCCACAAAGUGCAUGAUGUGCCGAGCAUAACAUAACCGCAAACCUUCCAAUAACGCCAACGCCUCUGCCGUGAGCACAUCGCACUCCCCGAACUCCUUGUAAAAUGCAAAAACCAGGUCGCCAUCUGAAGUACGCACCAGUCCUCCCCCGGUGGCCAGCCCCUCGGUGACGCUAGCAUCGGUAUUCAGUUUUACUGAGGACGUGGGUGGCAAUGCCCAAGUAACUGCGCGGGGUAUAACCUGCCGUCGAUUGUCCAUGCCAAAUGUCGCCCACUCGCAAUCCGCAUCCCCCUGGAAGUCCUUCCGGCGUAACCGACCUCCCCUUCCCAGCUGCUGGAUAAAUGCGCUAACCUGCAAAAUGAUAAUCCCUGGGGACAUGGCCGUCCCCUCAAAACGAGCUGCAUUACGGGAUUUCCAGAGAAACCAUAGGAUCACCAUAGGGAGAAGGACACGAAUAUGAUUCCUGCUCACACAGGAGUGGGAGAAGAACCUGCUGGAGAGUCUAGCCUGCACCCCCCGCCCCUGUGUCUUAAUCCCAAAGCGAUCUGCAAAACUCCUCCACACUGUCGUAGCCACUGGCCCAGAUACCAAGAGAUGGCCAGUGGUCUCCGUCGCACUCCCACAACAUGAGCACCUUGACGCCAAAGGACGUCCCCGUUGCUGUAACACCCCAUCCAAUGGCAGCCAGCUCCUCAGUGCCCUCCACCCAAAGAAAGAGAUCUUUUUUGGGAUAAUCGGGCUUCAUAAAAGGGAGUCCACCAUGGAGAUGUUUCUUUUCCCCCGAAGCUGCUCCCACGCUGAGGUGAUGGAGAAUUCCCCCGACUGGGAUGCCACCCAGAUCAUCCUGUCCCGCAUACCCGGGAACACACGUAGGGCCAGGACCUUUUCCACCAAGGCUCCCGGCAACAACUGCCGCAGGCGCUGAGCAUCCCAUCCCGUGUCCAUGAAGAGUUCCCCUACCAGAAGAUAUGAGUGACUAUGGCCCGAGACCAGCUGGGCGAGGGGGACAUCCGAGCACCAUCUAUCCUGCCAGAAAUCUACCAAACCCUCACCAAGGCUCCACCGGAUGUUUUCUUCAGCAACCCCCCGCACCUCCAGCAGACGUCGCCACACAGCCGAAGGUCGAUGAAUCGAAACCAAGCCCGGAUGCUCGCCUUUCACAUACUUGCAAUGCAUAAAAUUUGCCCACGGUGACUCAUUUGCUCUUAAUUUCCACCACAGCUUGCAUGCAAACGCCUGCCCUAGCGUUUCAAAUGAACGAAAUCCUAACCCCCCUUCCUCGACCGGGUAGCACACCUUCUCCCAUGCCGUCCAGUGAAUUCGGCGAGAAUCUGGGUUGUUCCAUAAGAAGGCAUUGCAGAGCCGACCCAUCGCUACUAGCACUGCCCCUGGGGGUUGCAGAGCCUGAAGCCAAUACAAUGGUAUAGAACCCAAUACGUGACGGAUGAGGACGAUCUUGCCCCCCAUUGACAGAAUCUUUGAACUCCAGUGACAUAAUCGCCGCCGCAUCCUAGACAGUAGACCAUCAAAGAUCGCACUCGUAACGUUAUUAUUGGCGCGGAGGUGCUGUCCCGUUCUUUGAACCAGUUAGUGGAGCAUCGGGAGUUCAAGUGCUUUUCAGUUCCGCGGGGCUGUCCUAAGAUCACUCAUCUCAGUUAUGCAGAUGACGUCCUGGUUUUUUCAGGUUCUUCAUCCUCUUCGCUGAGAUGUGUUAUGCAGAUUAUUGAGAACUAUGGAGCAGUUUCGGGGCAGGAGAUUAAUGUUCAGAAGUGCGGGUUCAUGGUGCAUGCUAAAUUGCCUAGUCACUGUGUGGCAAGGGUUCGACGGGUAACUGGGUUUGGUCUUAAGUCGUUUCCCGUGCGUUACUUGGGUUGUCCGCUUUUUGUGGGGCGCCGAAAGUGCCUAUAUUUCAUGGAGCUGGUACAGUCAGUUAUUUCUAAAGUUUCAUCAUGGAGGUCCAGCUUUCUAUCCCAUGGGGGUCGGAUUGUACUCAUCAAACACGUGCUUUCAGCAAUCCCAACUCAUUUAUUGGCAGAUUCAUGUCCUCCGAAGGGAGUUCUAGCCUUAGUUGAACGGGCUAUGGCAAAUUUUCUCUGGGGGGAACGGGAAGGUGGCCUCCGACAUCAUUGGAUUAAGUGGGCAGACCUGUGUGCCGACUCGUCACAGGGCGGGGUUGGUGUUCGAUCGCUACUGGAUGUUCAUACAGCAUUCUCGCUCAAAUUGUGGUAGCGUUUCCGUACGGGAGAGUGUUUAUGGGCGACAUUUAUGAGAGCCAAGUAUUGUCGGCAGAGUCAUCCAUGCAUGGUAGCGGCGGUUCAGGGCAGUUCAUAUAUGUGGAGGCGUUUGCUUCAAAUUCGUGAGGUGGCGGAGCAAAACCUUUGGUGGGAGGUGCGGUCGGGACAGUGUAAUUUCUGGUUCGACAAUUGGAUGGGUUCUGGUCCUCUGUGUCAACGGUUACAAAGUGUUUCUGAUCACUUAGUUUGGGAUUUCGUAUUGAAUGGAAGGUGGAAUCAACAGUUGCUACGGCUUUGGGUUCCUGAUGACAUAGUCUCAGAGAUAGUUACUAAAGUUGCCCCAGUGGGGUUCACGGACGAUCGUGCGGUGUGGGCCUUGACAGAGUCAGUAGAUUUUUCCAUUGCUUCCACAUACGUGCUGCUUGGUAGUCAGACCCCCUCAUCUUUCAUGUUUGAUAGGGUUUGGCACCCUGUAAUUCCAAUCAAGAUUUCAUUCUUCAUGAUAAGACUGCUGCGGGAUCGGUUACCGUUGGCGUCAUCCCUAGGAAGAUUGCAAGUGUAUGGCCCUUCCAAGUGUUUUUGCUGCUUGGCCUCGCAAUCUGAAUUGUUGGAUCAUGUCUUUGCGGAAGGUGAGUUAGCUCAGUUCUUGUGGACCUUUUUUGGGAAUGGCGCUGGAGUGAGUUAUAGAGGUAUGGGGGUGCGGUCGCGUUUGGCGGCUUGGUGGUGCCAACCGGUUCGGCACUCUCAUAUGAAGUCAUUACACUCGGUUUUGCCUUGCAUUAUUUGUUGGCAUAUUUGGUUGGCACGGAAUCUUGCAAUUUUUGAAGGGCAGCUCCUGCGUCGACAGACCAUUUGUGAUCGUAUCUUGGCGGACGUGGUAGGGCUAUUUUCCAGGAAGUUUGCAGGUGAGUUUAUUGGGGUUGGCUCCUGGCCGGCGGUCUUCUCCACCUUCUCUGGGUGGAGGCCUCGGUAUUCCCAUAGAGUGGUUUGUUGGGAAUUUUCAGCCCAGGGAGACUUCAAGUUAAAUACGGAUGGGUGCUCGCUUGGCAACCCGGGCAUUAGUGGCGGGGGUGGUGUUCUUAGGGAUUCGUCUGGUGCUUUUUUGUUUGGCUUUUCAGUUCCGUUUGGGGAACUGACAUGUCUGCAGGUGGAGAUAAAGGCUUUGGUGGUUGGGGUGCAACAAUGCCGUCUUCGGGGAUUCUCGUGGAUUCGGGUGGAGGUGGAUUCUCUUGUGUUAGUCAACCUACUGGUACGACGAUUCAGGUGUCCGUGGUUAGUUCGGUCGGAUCUGGAAACGUUACUGGCAAUCCAAGGUUUGGAGUGGACGGUGGGGCAUUGUUAUCGGGAAAUGAAUCAAGUGGCGGAUGCCUUAGCCAAGGUUGGGGCACAAUCUGAGGGUAUUAUCUUGUACACGACACAGUCUGAGUUGCCAAGGUUGGCAAGGGGGGCCUUAGGUUUAGAUAGGUCGCAGAUUCCUGCGAUUCGUACUGGAGCUAUUUCUCACUGAAGCCUGUAUAUUUUCUUGAUUUUAAUAAAAUGAGAAGUUUUGAAAAAAAAAAAAAAAAAAACUAAAUAAAAACGUAAUGCACGUUAGGCCAUCACAGUUAAAGGGAUUCCGCAAUGACCAUAACAAUUCUACUUCAACAUAUAUUCAAUAGUUAUUACAGUCCUAAUGCCUGCAAAAAGACCAAAUUUACUGUCCUAAGAAGUAUGACCACUUAAAAUCUUCCAUAAAUUGAUGCAUGUGAUCAGUAAGAUGUGCUGAUGCGGAAAUCUUACUGUUACGUAUUCAACUAAAAUUUGACUUAGAAAAUUCAAUAAGUUACGUGGUGGCCUGGGAAAACUUGACCUUGGCAAGCCUUACAACCAAGUCGCCUGGACGUGAACCAUCAGCUGACUGGCCUGUAACCAAAAUUCUAUAGUCAGUAGAUGCUAAGGGUAUCGAACAACGACAUUUGUGGAGGAUAAUUGGAAAUUGACUAAUGCUGAGAAGAAUAAAGUGGACCCAGAUGGAAUCCCUACCUAGUAGUUCAGAGUUCAUACUGGUUUGAGAAAGAGUUCUCUAUAUACAGUUAAAAGGAUAGAUUAUACAUAAUACCCCCGUGGAUUCACUUGUUGUCACAUAAACGACCUAAUAUUUCUAAAUACCCACAUAAAUCUCAUGUGAUUUCAUGUAAAGUGAAAACUUGAAGGAAAAUAAAUCCCGUAAUAUUGUUAGUUACUAGUACUGUCCUAUUCAAGCACACUAAAUCAAUCAACACUUUAACCACCAUACAUAAAAUCAUACGGGAAUAAUGUGGAUAAAUGCAAAAACUAUUGAGAGCUAAAGUGAAUAUUCAUGCAAAUCGUAGGGACUUUAAAUGGAUAUUUUGAUUUCAUUACACGUUUUUUAUAUAUGGUUCAAUCAGUGUAACUAUUGGUGCUUCCUGUCCAUUUUUCAUAUUACAUGAAACCACAGGAGGUUACAUAAAUAUUUUGAAAUCCUAAAGGGAUUGUAUGGAAAUAUGGAAAAUUAUUUUUUGGGGGGGUUGGGGGGGGCUAAUUUAACCUGGUCAAAUCAUGUAAAGUCUGUCGCAUUUUCGUUAUUGGAUUGAAACUUCCAAAUAAUUUUCAUUGUCGAAAAUACCAUUUGCAAUAUAUAUGAGUGUCUUCACCAUUUUGUCCAACUUGUUUACAUUUCAUGGACUUUUCUUUUUCUUUGGCUCAAGUGGGAAUAUCACAAGACAGGCAUUAAAUCAAAGGGCCCUCCAACGAAAGAAAUACCUGUCCAAUUUAAUACGCCAUGUGCUUGUUGGCUUUUAAUUUAUGUUAAAAUUAACUUUUCAAGAUUGGUGUUCUUUUUAUAUUGUUUUUUGUUCGUGUUAAGAAAUUAUUGUGCAGGAUUUUAAAUCUAAUUCAGUAUUUUUGUUGUCAAAAUCACCCAAAUUUUACAACAUAUGUAUAUUUUGGUGUACAUAUUUGUGUUGUUCAUAAGAUGCUUGUAUUUAGUUUAGAUAUUUAUUCUGUUUAGUAAUUAUAAGGAUGCACAUUCUUCUACGACCUAUUAGUGCUGAAAUUAUCAAAUGUGAAUAAUUUUUAUUGUUUUAGUUAUUAUUAACAUUUAUCAUUGCCCAGAAAGGGAAAAGAAGAACAGAUUUUUUUUUAAAAAAAAGAGAACUUAGAGGAAAAGGGUUUUUCACGAAUGAAAGGAACUAUUGAAGGAUCCUAAAAAACCCUUGAUCACUACUAGCUAGUAGGCCCUGAUAUAUUCCUUAGUAAUUGUGGAUGACAGAGAGAGGAUUGGAGGGUGGAGAAGAAAGAGAAGGAAUUUUUGUGUAGGGUAAAAUCGCUACUUCUAUUUCAUGUUACUUACAAAUUGUUAUUGUUUUAUAUUAAAAUCUUUCAGAGUAUCCUAUGAUACCUUAUGAUCAUGUUCUAAACCAUAUGAUCCUGAAAAUUCAAUGAUGAAAAACAAGAAGAAUUCAUGGCAGAAGGUUUGACAUAUUUGUAAUGGCUGAGCUGGAGCCUAGUUAGCUGACGUCAGGAAGUUAGUUAGAAGGAGAUAUUCCAAAUAACAGAUUGCAUGUGUUGGUUAGCUAAUCGUGCAUGUGAGUCAUUUCAUAUUGCAUGCGUUAGUUAUAUUGUUAGAAUACCAGAAACUAGUAUAAAACAGAGGAGGAAGAUAAGAGAUGUAGCUUGGGAUGUAAACAUUUCUCAUUUUCGUCUAUACUAUCCCAGUCUUCCUUCUACUCUUUCUUCUCUCUUUCUCCGUAUCUACAUUUCUCUUAUUUUCUGUCUUGAAUUCGUUCCUUGUGGUGCAAGUCCAGUACAAUUGGUAUCAGAGCUUGCAGUCCUUGGAUCUGCAAGCUCAGCUACCGAAUCUGUAGCUGACUAUGGCAGAGGGCACCAGAAUGAAAGGCUUCGAAGAACAGCUGAAGAAGCAGGAUUCAAGGAUCCAAAGCAUCCUUGAAGCCAAUGCAGCUGAAAGACUAGCACUGGAAGAGAAGUUGGCGACAAAUCACUCUGAUAUGAAGGCGCUCUUGGAAGCAAACUCAGCUGAGAUGAAAAAUUUCAUGGUUUCCAUGAAUGCUCAAUACACCGCUUUUGUGAGAAGCUUGCAAAGCGACUGAGGGAUCUUAGGAAUUUCACCAGACAACACGGAGAGAAAACCUGUCCAAAGGCCUCAGAGAAACUUGGAGUUGGGGCUGUCCAGUCAAGGGGAGAGGAAUUUCCUACCUGUAGGGACUCCUAAGGUGGAAUUUCCCAAAUUUGAUGGCUCUAACCCCAGAGAGUGGGUUAGGAGAUGUGAGAAGUUUUUCCGUUUAUGUCACAUUCCAGAUUCGCAGCAAAUGGAUUUAGUGGAAUUGCAUCUGGAUGGAAAAGCUAGUAUCUGGUAUCAAGGCUUCAAGAUGGACAAGGGGGAGUUACGAUGGGACAGAUUCAGCCAAGAGUUUUGUAGUAGAUUUGGGAAUUUAGGGGAGGAUGAUGUUAUAGAGGAGUUUAACAAGCUUCAUCAGACUUCCACAGUAAUCGCCUACCAAGAAAAGUUUGAAGAGCUGCGAGCUACCGUGAUGCUCAAGGUCCCUAGUCUUACUGAAUCUUAUUAUAUUUCCAGUUUCCUGAGUGGACUAAAGGAGGAGAUUAAGUCUGUAGUCAAGAUCCACAAACCUGCAACCUUGCAAUCAGCAUUUGAGAAGGCGAGAUGGCAGGAGCAUUAUUUACAGGUUAUGGCUAAGCAACACAGGAUGGCUACAAAACCAACUCCAGUUACAGAGACAAUACAGAGGAAGCCUGCACAUCAGGUGUUUGACAGCAGCAACAACAAAACUACCCCCCAAGGCUCUAGGAGGAUUACCCCCACUGAGUUCCAGUAUAGGAAGGAUCACAAUUUAUGUUUCAAAUGUGGAGAGAAGUUCUCCCCUGGGCAUGUUUGCAGAAAUAAGGGAAUUCAUUUGCUGCUAGCAAAGGAGGGCGAGGCUCAAGUAGAGGAAGUAGCAGAUGAAGAGGAUGAGGUCAUUGAAUAUCAAGGCAACAAGUAUGGCAGGGAUGUUACACUAUCCCUCCACUCAAUUUCUGGCCAAUUGUCUUCCAGUACCAUUAAAAUGUUGGGAUAUUAUGGUGAUCAAGAGGUGUCAAUCCUGCUGGAUGGAGGUAGCACCAACUGUUUCAUAAAGCCAACUAUUGCCCGACUCUACCCUGAAGCUGUUGAGAAUCAUAAACCUUUUAAAGUCAGAAUUGCUGAUGGGAAAGAAUUAGUUUGUGAGCAAUGGAUUCCUAAUAUGAAGUGGAUAAUGCAAGGCCAUCAUUUUACUCACAAUGUGUAUGUACUAGACUUGGAAACGUACGACCUGAUUUUGGGGGUUGACCGGAUGAAGUGUUAUAGCCCCAUGACUUUUGACUUUCAAAAGCUGUCAUUAUCAUUUGAGAAGGAGGGUGAAAUGGUGCUACCACAAGGGGAUUCCCACUCUGCUAAGGUGUUGAUGAAGCAAGGAGUAUCAGCCCAGAAGUAUUGCAGAAACAAAAUCAGAACAGCCUUGCAACAUUCUUGCAUGAUACGAGUACAAAACUCACAGGUAACUACUGUGCCCAAAACACUCACUCAAUUACUUGCUCAAUAUGAUGACAUAUUUGUUGCACCUACAACUUUACCACCCAACCGUAGCCUCAAUCAUCAAAUACCUUUGAAACCUGAUGCUAAACCUUUCAAGAUUAGCCCUUAUAGGUAUCCCCACAGGCAAAAAACAGAAAUAGAAAGGCAAGUCAAGGAAAUGUUGGCCACUGGUAUCAUCCAAACCAGCCAUAGUCCUUUUGUAUCCCCAGCCUUACUAGUUAAAAAGAAGGAUGGCACUUGGAGGUUAUGCAUUGACUAUAGACAACUUAACAGCCUCACUAUCAAAGACAAGUUUCCCAUCCUAAUCAUUGAUGACCUCCUUGAUGAACUGCAUGGUGCCAAAAUUUUUUCAAAGAUUGAUUUGAGGUCAGGAUACCAUCAGAUAAGAAUGAACCCAUCUGAUAUCCAAAAAACAGCUUUCAGAACCCACUCUGGCCUCUAUGAAUACUUAGUGAUGCCAUUUGGCCUCACUAAUGCACCAGCAACCUUCCAGGCUUUAAUGAACUCGGUAUUUGAACCUUUUAUUCGAAAAUUUAUGCUAGUGUUCUUUGAUGACAUUGAUAGGGUAUAAUUUGUUAGUAUUUUUAUUAUUAAUUUUCCCUUCUAUCCCUGACAAAUAUUGUGUUAAUUGCUGAUAUUUACUCAUAUUUGGUAUUUGAAAUCAAUUUCAGGAAUAAAGCAGAAAACUACCAAAAAGGAGGGACUUUGUGAAAAAUAUGGAGACUUCUAAGGGCUUCAAUCCUUGGGCCCUUGAAUUGGUGGGGGGACCACAAGCUAGUGAAAGGCAUUUGGUCAUUUGGGCUUCAAAGAAAGCAACGUAGAGAUACUUGGAACAAGAAGUACUUGGGAGGCUUUGUCCACAUGUGUGGGGACCACCUAGAUAGCUUUUAGUCAUCUUUCUUUUGUUGCUUUAAAAGGGGGACAACGUACAGAAGCAAAAGAUAUCUAGGGCUUUAGUUUUAGUUUUUUAGUUGAGUUCUAGUUUUUCUUUCUUUGGACUGGCCUCUGACACACGCCAGGUAUUCGACAAUAUUUCCCAACGGGGAGAUUUUCUCAUGAGGCGUGGUUAAGCUUUUCUAGUCAAGGGGACAACUGACGAUUUGGUUCGACAAUUACUGUGAGAUCGAAUCUGUUUUAAUUAUUUUCUUCAUUUAUUGGUAUUUAUAUGUUUCUUGAUUUUAAUUGCUAUGGCCUUGUGUAUGAUUGAUUAGUGCGCAAUAAUUAAUUAUUCAUAUAGGCUAUUUUUGCUAAAUAGGGGUAAUUGAAUCCGUAAUUGUUCGUUAUCUCUACCUCAGUAGCAACUAGCGUAAUUGGGUUUAUGUCAGGGGAGCAUAUGAUGUAAGAUUUGACUGUUAUACAAAGCCAAUUCCCAUCCUUCAAUCCUAGAGACUAGGAUUGUUUGAAGGGAGGGCAACUGUAAUGGCUGAGUUGGAGCCUAGUUAGCUGACGUCAGGAAGUUAGUUAGAAGGAGAUAUUCCAAAUAACAGAUUGCAUGUGUUGGUUAGCUAAUCGUGCAUGUGAGUCAUUUCAUAUUGCAUGCGUUAGUUAUAUCGUUAGAAUACCAGAAACUAGUAUAAAACAGAGGAGGAAGAUAAGAGAUGUAGCUUGGGAUGUAAACAUUUCUUAUUUUCGUCUAUACUAUCCCAGUCUUCCUUCUGCUCUUUCUUCUCUCUUUCUCCGUAUCUACAUUUCUCUUAUUUUCUGUCUUGAAUUCGUUCCUUGUGGUGCAAGUCCAGUACAAUAUUCAUGUUUUAGCAGUUUCAAGAUCGUGAUCCUAACCCAUGAAUACUCUAGAAAAUUGGACAACCUAUUAAACCUAGAAGUUAUAUGAUACAGAGCCGUUUAUGAUGAAGUUUCAUGGUUUUUGUAUUCUACAACAGCAGAACCAUGACUUGGAAAUAAGAAAAACUCAUAAUCUUGCAUAGCAUAGUUGCAUUGAAUCGGUCAUAAUUUGGUGUAUAAAGCUUGGAUUAAGGUGCCAUGUGCUUUCCCAAAGGGCUUUUACUAAUAAAGUAAUUCUUCUGGUUCAAUUUAUAUUGAAGGUAGAAAUUUUUUCAAGGUUGACUGUUUCAAUUCAAAAUCUUGGAAUAGUUUCUCAUCAAAGUUUUAGCCUCUUGAUGUAUAUAGUAGUGGAAAGCCCAUUCUUGUAUGAUUUUUUCAAACUCACGAGCAUCCGAUUAUGUAAAUCUAGUCCAUUCUGGAAGUUUUAGUUCUGGUAACCUUGUAGUCAUAUUUGAAUGUUCUAAAAUUAAGAUUUCGGAGAUGACUCCUUCACGAAAGCUAAAGACAUCAUUGAUCUUUCCAAAUUCCAACUGUAUAAAUAUCUUGUGAAAACAGUGAAUCGGCCGGGACAAUUAAAUCUUUUAACCAUUGUCAAAUCUUGAUAUUUCCUGAUUUGCACAAGUUGAAUAUUUUGAAAUUGAAAGAGACUUAUAAACUCAAUGAUUUUUAAUAACUGUUUACUGAAAGGUUUACUAGAAUCAAUUAAUGGUACAUGGAACUAUGUUAAAGAAUUUUUAGAUAAUUAUUGUUAGUUACGGAUGAAAAACUUUUUAAAAUAUAUCGAUGAAUGCUGAUGGGAUUUUAUAUUUGCUAAUUUCCAGGUUUUAGAUGAAACUCAUGUUUUCAUUCAAAGGGUUUUUAUUUAGUGUAAGAUUAGUGUUGUGUGUGUAUGUGUAUGUGCCUAUAUAUAUACGAUUAAUUACAAAAUCUCCCCCCUAAGAUUUAACCAAUUUUGUACUUUGUCCCCUAACAUUAUUUUUGAUUUUUGACUUUAGCCUCUAAACCAUUAAUCAAUGCUAACAUUGUAUAAUGGAAAUGUCAAAAAGACAUUGAUAUCCCUAAGGGUUAAUUACAAUAAAUUCCCUUACGAUAUAAUGCAUUUUGCACGAAUUUCAGAUUGGUUCUGUAAAUGCUGCCGGUAGGACUGUUAGGAUUGUAUGUAGUAUUUCCACAGUAAUACUCAAGAAAACUAACGGGGCUAGUGAAUGUGGUAUGGAAGCUAAUAAGCAAACAAAGUAAUAAUGGAAGUGAAGCAACAAAUUUCUGGAGAUCAUUUCAAAGGCAGGCAUCAAAAGAGCAAAAGGCUAAAAAUCCACAAAUUACAAUUGUAACAUAGGUGCCAAAGUUUUGGUUGAGGGAUCAUGAAAGUUGAGAAAAUUCUUAAAUUGUGAUGAAAAAACAAGUUAUUCUACAAAGGGGAUAAUUUGUGAAGUUGGUUCCACAAAUGUGAUCUUCGCAUUUGUGAAAUGCGAGUUCAGAUACCUCGCAUUUCACAAAUGCGAGGUAAGUGUUUCCAGAAAAAAAGAAAAACAAGCUCGCAUUUGGAGAAUGCGAGCUGAGUGCGAGGUACUCAAUCUGAACACAAACAAAGUUCCCAAUUUCGGCAUUCAAGUCUGUCUCACUCUCCCUUCACUCUCUCCGUCCAGCUCACUCCUCACUCUCUCCUCUUGGUUGCCGCUUUCUCAUCGGAAAUCUUGGUCACAGCUAUGUCGUCGGAAUCUCUCGGCCUUCUCGUCGGAAGCUCUUCUAUUUUGUAGAGCUUCAGCAUUUCUCCUCAAGCGAAAUCUGGCGGCGGCACUUUCUCGUCCGAAGCUCUCAUCGGAAGCAUUAGAAGCUCUCGCCCAUUGCAGAGCUUCCCCUUUGGGAACAUGACCUCUGCUAGCUAGCUGCCCCUCUCUCCCUCCUCCCAAUUUGCCAUUUUUACAACCUCAACAGGAUACCCCCUCACUUUUGAGUCCCAUUUGCACUGCACAUUUUAUUUUCUCUUGGCAUCUGGCUUUCUCCAUUUGUUGUUUGCUCAGAAACAGCAUAAGAGGUAUGCAUUAAAUUUUUUUUCUGAGUUUAAAUUUUUUUUGGGAUUUUUUGUUUUCCGAAUUGAAGUGGCUUUUCUGAUUUGGCAAUUUAUUGGACAUUGUUGUUGUUUCGGUUGGUCUUUUAUUUGCUUGCCAUGCUUAGUCUUCUAUGAUGGUGUCUUCUUGUAAAUCUGCAUUUAGUCUUCAAUUCAUUAAACAUCAAUGAAGUCAGCCCUUUGAGUCUAUGAAGUUGACCUGAGAAAUUAUACAGAACUGACCACCAAAAUAAUUCCAUGUUGGCAAUAUGAUUUGUUAGUGGAUUUUUGCAUAAUGGAUCUUGCACGGGCAUGUCCGGGGUCUGGUUGUCAAAUAUCAGGCCCUUCAAAUCAUUCUGGUAUUGACCCUGAGAUAUUUUAUGUUGCUUCCAAUUGUAAGAUACCAUUAAUUAUACAUUUUUAUGAGGAUGAACCUCUUAUAAAUUUUAUAAAUUUCAGAAUCUUCUAUUAAUAUUUUUGUAAUUAUUUAUAUUGAUGUGUAAGUUGUGUUUGAGAAAUUUCCAAUUUGAUGACGAAUUUAAAAAAAUUUCUGCAAAAAGGGUGUUUUAAGUAUGGACUAAUAUUACUUAAUUGGACAAAUGCUUCCACAUACUUGAGUAAUUCAACAAAAUUGGUACCCGAAAUGCCAUAAACAAGCUCAAUAGCUCUUCUUCUAUCAUACCAAGCUUUCAUAUAAGAAAUUUUAGCAUUCAAAUUUUUCUUCAUGGAGGAUAUUAUUUUUUUAACUUUAUUGUUCUUAAAAACAAACUCCAUUUUGUUAAGAGAACAACUCAUGUACAAUUCUUUUUAAAAAACAAAAAAUGUGAAUGUGAGGUCUCACCUUUCUUUUUUUUUGUUUGUUAUUUUAUUUUUGUGAAAACAUUAUGGUUGGUUGUUUUUGUUUUUACAUCUGCAUUUUAUAGAAUUAUUGAAAAAAAGAUAAAAAUAAGAAAAGGAAAUCAUCAUGAUUUACUCCUUGGCAUCAAGAGAAAGGACCAUUAGUUUUAUAAAGGAUGAACAAAUAAUGAGAUAAAUAUAAACUCUUUGUCGCGCCCCAUUUUUGAAAAGAAAAAUAAAAGACGAGUUUAGAAAAAUGAAAAUUUAAUUCAAUUUUUGAUUGAAAAACAUGAUUUUUGAUUUAAAAAGAAAAUGGGCCUAAAUGGGGUUUGUAAUGCGACGAUGUGGGCCCAAAUUAUAGUUUAAAAAGGGUUUUUGAAAAAAAUCGAAGUCACCAAUUGGUAAUGAGUUAAGGUGUACCAAGUCACCUAAAAAUGAAUUUUUAAAAAAAAUAAAAAAAACCCCUUUUUAAACGACUCCAAAUCUACGUAAAUCAAAGGAAAAGGUUCGGGAGUCACAUUUGAAGAAAGGGAAGGCAAGGAUAAAAAUCUGAGGCACCCUUUCAACCUAACCAAGGCUAGUUGCGUAAUUUAGUCAAAGAUUUUCUUAUUCUUAACCUAAAAAUUUAUCACAUUUAGAUGUACUAUAUGAAUGCAAACCCUAGACCUAGGAGGGUGUCGGGGGGUCGAAAUGUAUCUUCAAAACUUAUUUGGUACCAAUCACAUUUAUUAUGACGCCCAAUGAAGACUUUUCGAAGAAGUCACGAAUAAUGCAAAAAUAUGAGACUCUAAGAAAAGAAAAGGAAUAAAAUAAUUAUACAAAUAUACAUGUCUUAAAGGAGUGCAUCAUGUCGGAUACGGGGGACUAAUGUUCGUGACUCAAUUUUCCAUUUAGUAGAGGGAAUACGAGCGUGCUAAGGCUAGAAAGCCAAACUCGUCCAUAUCCCAUAUCCAAAGGGCAAUUUCCCUAAUCUAAUCAUGCAAAUGUACUAGCUUAGUUCUAAUUCUUAAAUGGGAAUGCAAGUCUAAUGUCAUGUUUUCAUACAAAGGGGUAAGGAAUAUACAUAUAAGGGGAAAAUACGGGAUAAGGGCUAUACAUAUAAGGGGAAUAUUAUACAAAAUGAUAAAAGACCUGAUAAGGGUUUAUUUUACGUAUUUUUAAGUGUAUUUUAUUAGUUAAUUUGGUUUGAUUAUUUAGUUUUAUAACUAAAAUAACUAAGAUUUUGGUUAAAAUCUACAUUUUAUGUUAAAAUGGCUAACAUUGCAUUUCUAUUGGAUUUUUAUGGUAAAAACUUCAUAUUUUGUAGGUUUAAUGAUUCAAUCAUCAAAUGAAGUGCAUUGAAAAGAUAUUUGGAUGAUUGAAGAUGGAUUAAAGUGGUGAAAAUUAAAUAUGAAGUGUAAAAGGAGAAAUGCAAUUUGAGGACAAAAGAAUCAAGAAAAGUCAGCUUUGACAACUCUGAUACAUUUUCGUAUUUUGACUAUAUCUGGAGCUACACAUAUUGGAUUGAGGUGAUCUUUAUACCAUUUUGAAGCUAAGAGAUAGACCUAAAAUUGGUAUGAAGACAUCUGAAUCCAAUUCAGCCGUUUUCUCAGUCAAAAAGUCAGAAUACCAAAAUUCAACACUGCUAUCCAAAGUUGAAAACAAGGGUUUGACCAGGUGAUAGUAUUUCGAUCAUAUCUUAGGCUACAUAGCUCCGAUUUGGGUGAUUUUUAUAGCAUUGGAAAGCUAACUCAAAGGGGUACAACUUUGGUGUUUUACACAAAAGCUAGUUCAGCCUGUAUCAUGGAGACAAUCGUAGUUGAAGUAAGGCCAAAGUGAAAACGCGAGUGUACAAAACGUGAGUUGUAGCCGCGUUUUGUAGCCGAAAUUCUGCAAUUUGACUCAGCCAUUUCUCUUGUGUUCAUACCACUUUCCAGCUAUAAGAUGCAAGGGAAUUUGGUGCACAUGCUUCAGAAGACAAAAGGGCAAGAAAAGUGGCUUAUUUUCAAGUCAAAAACAUUGGUUAUUGACUAUCCUAACAAAGUUGAGAUUUGGGAAUCAAAAGGUGGAAUUUGACUUGGAAAAAUGGAGCUCUUGAGCAGUUUUUAUGCAGAGACAUUGGGAGAUGUCUGGACAUCCAUACGUAGCCGGAAUUUCUGAUAGCAAAUUCUCUCUAGCUAGCAAAUAUUGAGAAUAGAGACAUACGGGAGAACUUGGAGAGUGCAGAAAUGUAGCUCUUUCAUCUUCUGUGUGUUAGAUUUGUUUAGUAUAGAGUAGUAUAGUUCAUCCAUUCUUGUAUAUUGGCUAGAUUAGGAUGAAGAUGGAGAUGAAGAAGGAGGAGUUGAAACUCAAGUGACAUGGGUUAUCUCUUCUCUAACUCUUUAUCUUUUGUAUCAGAUUCUUAAGUUUAGUUAAUAUACAAGUUCUGGAUUUUGUGUUUAAUAUGUGUCUCUAAAGUUUAAGUCUUGGGUUUGGUUGAACUUUCUAUGAUUGUUAGUGCUUAUUAUUUGGCUAUUUGACUGCUAUGAUUUGAGCAAGUUAUUUAGUACUUUAACUCUUUAAAUCAUGAUUAAUCUGGUACAUUAAUUGUGAUUAUCUAAGGUGUUAUUUCUGCAAUAAAAAUUGAGAUUUAACACUAGUUCAAGAGUGCUAAACAUAAGGAGUACACUCACAAAAGUAGAGGUGCACCUAUGUGGUUUUCAGUGAUUCAUUUCAUGUAAUUUCACUGAAGAAAUGAACUUGUAGCUAAUUUCAUAACCAUGAGAAUAGGUAUGGAUUAGUUAUAAGUAUAAUUGAUUCACUACGAAAGUAUGAUUCAAAUGCAUAAGGAAAUUACACCUUAACUAGCCUAGAUGUAGUACUAAAUGAUCCAAAUAUAGCACUUGUAUGAGUAGUUAGGGAUACUACAACCUAAGGAGCUUUUAUUUGUUAUUUUGUAUAAUUUCAGUAGGUUAAAUUUGUUAUAAUUCAUUGAUAGUCUAAAUAAUAGAGAAGGUUUAGUAAAACCGGUAAUUGUUCACUCUUCCCUGUGGGAUCGACCUGAUAUAUACCCUAAACUACUAGUUGAUCUGUAGACUUGCAGUGAACGGGUGUAAUUCGGUUUUUUAACUUGCCCGUAUGUAAAAUACCCGUCAAGUUUUUGGCGCCGUUGCCGGGGAAGAUUUGACAAUAUCGGUGUGAAUAGCAACUUUAUUAAUUUAGACGUUUCAUUAGUUAUAGUGUGAAUGUUAUUUUCUGUUGUUUUUGUGUUUUAUGUGUGUAUGUGUUUCAUUACCUAUUUUUCUUACUAAUUUUGCUUUUGAAGUUGUUUAAAAGCAAUUUUAGGUGAUGAGAAGGGUAGGUCAAUUUGGAGGACAAUGCUUGAGAAGUGGAAGAGUGGCAAUGGAUGGUUAGCAAGUGCAAAACUCCUUCAACAGAGGUAACCAAGAAUUUACUGAAUGUAUGUCUUUUGAAAAUGGUUUAAGGUGCUUAAAAGCUAAAUUUGAUGUAAUUAAGUUACAAGUUCAAAUGGACACCAUGAUGCAUGAAAUUGAGCAAGGGAGGAAUGUUAAUGCUUUUAAUUCUUAUCAUGUGAUUUGUGACUUGUGUGGCGGUUAUCAUGCUUCUAAUACAUGUAGACAAGCACAAAAUGUGGAUUAUUAUGAUGAAUUAGAGCAUUACAAUCCCUGUUUUGAUCGAUAUAGUGCUAAUUGGAGCAAUUCUCCUGCUUAUGGUUGGGAUAAUCAAUGUACUUAUAGUGAUUCUCCAAAUUUUUAUGAUUACCAACCUAAAAGUGUCCAAUAUGAAUCAAAACCAUCUUGGGAGUUGGCAAUAGAAAAGUUAGCUAAUGCACCUCUACCUUGGGAGUUAGAAAGUGAACCAUUAGUUAAUGAUUCUAAUGCAUCUUGGGAGCUAGCUGUAGAACAUUUUUCUAAUCAAUUUGAUUUAGCAAUAGAAAAGCUAGCAAAUGCAACUUCCGACCGUUUUGGUAGGAUUGAGGAAAGAAUAGAUGAAUUAGUUUCUCACUUUGGUAGAAUACAUCAGCAAUUGAAUGUAUUGUGUGAAGUUAUUUCUUCUAAUAAUUUGUAAAAUGAUCCUAGCAUGAAUGGUGGAAAUGUUGUAUGUGAAAAUGGAUUGCAUUUGGAUGAAAAUGAUGAAUCUCAAUUAUAUUUCAAUGAGCAAAUAUCCAUUUCACAUGAUAAUACCUUUGAAACUAACUUUGAGCCUCAAGAGGUGAGUUUUAAUGACUCAUUUUUCACCUCUCUUGAGGAGUGCAGUGAAAGUAUAGGUUCUAAAGGUAUUCCUACCCAAGAUACUCUCAUGACAUUUCCUUUGGUAAGUUCUCAAGUGGUGCAUAUUCAUGGUAAUAUUUAUGAAACACUUGGGAUAGGUAAGUCACUUCCAUUUCUUACAUCAAUAAAUCAUGUGGUUUUGCUAUAAAGUCAUCAUUUAAUGAUCAACCACGUCCAAAAAUGGUGGAUUAUUCGUUAACUAAGCCUCCUUGAAAAAAGGAGGUGAUAUAGUCGAGCCAACGACUAUAAACAAAAGCGCUUGUUGGGAGGCAACCCAAUGUUUUAGUACCUUAUGUUAUUUUGGUGUGAUUUUGUGGGUUGAAUAAGUGUUUUAGUUGAUUUGUUGUUUUUGUGCUAUAGGGUUGGCAAUUGGAAGCAAGAAUGACCAUUUGAGAUAAAAAAAAGGCGAACUUUGAUCAAGCCACUCAACCCCUUGAUUUGCGUUAAAGAUGUAUUUGAUCCGUCAAAAAGGGGUAAAAUGCAUGUUUUUAUCAAUUUACAUGUGUGCACAUCGAUAAAAUUGGUAAAGAAAUGAUCUAUGAUGCAUUUUGAGUGAUUGGGGUACUUGGUGUAAUUUUUGAAAAGUUGAAAUUCUGCUAAAAGUCGCAGCAGAAAACGCGUUUACAAAGAAAACGCACCACAAAGUCGCGUUUCUAUGAAGCGCGUUUUCAAUUCUGCAACGAGAAUAAUGAAAAUGCGCUACAAAACGCGACAUUUAAUCGCGUUUUUAUGAUAAAUCGCGUUUUCAAGCCUGGAUCAAAACUCAAAAACGCGACUAAAAGUCGCAUUUUCCAACACAGCCGCGUUUUCAUUCCUACAAGAUUUGUGCAGGAAACGCGACUAAAAAGUCGCGUUUUAUGUGACUGAAUAUAGGUUGCAGAAACGCGAUUUCCAGGAUUUCUUCUUCUUCAAACUUCAUCUCGCAGACGCGUUUUUCCUCUUGCUUUCUACCCAACUCACAAAUCUUCAUUUUUACUCCAUCAUCUUGCUAGAAAUCAUCAACCCAACACCUUUUGAGCUUCAUACAACCUUUUUAACCGAUUAAAAUCCAAGAAAAACACCUAAAAUCAGGUUUUUGAGGGAUUGAAGGUUAGGGUUCUUAAACUCUAAUUUCUUCAAUUGGAGGUCAAUUGGAGGUUGUUUCAUAGGGCUUUUGAUAUUUUUAGCAUCACCAAACUUCCUUCUACGUGAUUUGAGGUAAGUUUCUUCAUCAAAUCUUUUGAUUUUAGAAAGUCAUAUUUUUUUUUAUCCUGAGCUAUCUGACAUCUUUUAUUUUCGAAAAUUUGAUGAUGUAUAUGACCAUUUUUGAAUUUAUUCAUGCUUAUUAAGAUUGUUUAAGCAUGUUUACAUGUUUAAAUGUAGCAAUUUGUUGGUCAUUAUUGCUUUCAAAAUUCACAAUUGCUAUAUUUGGAAGAAAUUGAAAAAUGGAUUUAGGAUGUUUUUGAGCUAUUGGUGAUGACUAAUUAUGGUUAAAAAUGGUUAGUUGAUGAUAUUUUAGCAUGUGCAUUGUGUAUAGCAAGUAAUUUGGUUGAUUUGGUGAGUUAGUUAGUUUAAUUUUUGCCUAAAUAUGAUUAUAGCUAAAAGCAUAUUAUUAUUAUUAAUUCUAAAUAGUUAUAAUCAUAAUUGUUCCUAUUUUUACUAAUUAAAUUAUAAUUGAUACAUAUCUUGUGUAAUUUGGUGAUUUUGGGCAACUUUAGGCAGAAAAUAUGUCUUGUUUUGUACGAUCAUUGAAUGAUUAGAACUUGAGCAAUUGUAUUUGAGCUUAUUUGGAUUAAUUCUGGAUUUUUGUUGCCAAAUAAUGAGUUGUAGUACAUGUGGAUAAUUGAAAUAUUUUUUUAAGUACUAUGCCAAGGGGAAGAAGAGCGGUACUUUCAUCCUCUAGUAGUGAGGAGAGGGAGGUUAAUGAAGAGAUGGAGGUGACUGAUGAGGAGAAUUCACCUUCUCCUCCACCAGUUAACCGUCGACCUGGUGAGGGCACCUCCCGUGGAGCGGAAAAAUCGGUAUUUGACAGUGCUAGGUUCAACACUCGCAGGAAUCAGGAGUGGCAUGAGGCGCGUGCUAAUUUGGAGUUUUUGUUCGAGAUGCACAUCAGUCCACCAGUUGAGAUGAUGUACAACAUUUCAGAUGCUUUUGCUCAACUAGGAUGGGCUCCGAUUCUCACCCUACCAAACCAUUACUACCCCGACUUGGUGCGCGAGUUUUACGCCAACAUUGAAAGUAAGGCGCGCUAUAGUGGAGAAAUAGUUGAGUCCUGGGUGCGUGGAAGACGAAUCACCUUGUCACGUCAGAAUUUGGCUGCUAUUUUGAGGUGUAUGGAUGACGGCCGUCCAGUAGAUUUGAAGAAGGAGUUUGUUCCCCCGAAUAGGAGAUGGGAUCCCUCGCUGGCCAUGACUAGGUUUGAUCUUGAGUACCAACCUUUUUGCUCUACAAGGAAGGAGACCAUUUUGGCAAAUGUCUUUGAACCUCGUCAUCGGCUUAUCAUUUACAUGAUGGCUCACAAUGUCGUCCCAAAGAACACGGGGCAUACGGAGGUUCGCAAGAGCGAUAUUUACUUCCUUGAUUACAUGUUCCACAACCGAACUUCCCCGUAUGCUCGAAUUUCAUUGCCAAACAUCAUCAUCAACCACAUUAGGUCUACGGCGAGGCGUAAGACAACGUCCUUCAAACUUUCAUUUCCUCGUCUACUGACUUUAAUCUUCACCCGUUUUGAGGUUCGAUUGGAAGGCAUGCGGCGGGAGUAUGUUCCACCACGUGCUGAGAUGACUAUCACUACUCUUCGCCGCCUUGGUAUUGGCACGGGGGACAUUCCACGCCCUGUUCAGGAGCGAAGACAGAAGGCUAGACAUGGUCGGGAUGAAGCUGGACCAUCUACUGCAGCACCACCUCCUCCUCCACCACAAACUAAUUGGCAGCGACUUUUGGAUCAUAUGGAGGAUUUUGCAUUCCAGUUCGCUGACGUUAGGAAUCGUCUAAGCCGAAUUGAAGAUCAUUUGGGCAUUCAUUCACCACCCAAUCGUGAUGCAGAGGAUGACGAUGAUGCCGAGGGGGAUGCCUGAUUUGGCACACUAAAGAUGCCAUCUUUUGUUGCUGUAUUUGCUUGCCUUAUUGUCUUAUCUUGUGGAUCUUAAGUUGUUUAACUUCAUUUUAAUUUUUUUGUUUUUUAUGUGGUAGGUACUUGUAUGUUGACAGUGGUUCGUGAUUAGUGGCUGAUAAGGAUCUCAGCCAUUGACUUGGGAAGUACUUCUUUCUUUUCUUUUCUACUUUUGUUUAUUUCCUUCCCUACACAUUGAGGACAAUGUGUAAUUUAAGUGCGGGGGGAGAAAUAUGUGUGGUACUUGUGGUUUUAGUUGUGUUUGAUAUAAUUCUUAUGCUUAAAUUGUGUUUCUUGUGGUUGAUGGUAGGGAGUUUUAGUCCACUUUUAAGGGGAGACUCUGUCAAAAUUUUUCCAAAACCUUAUACAUAUAUAUGUUAUUAACCAUAAUAAAUAAAUAAAUUUUGUCACUUAUCCUUUUGAAAUAAAUAUAUGUGGUUUUGAAACUUCUUUUCUCAUUUAAUUUGAAAAUGACUAUUAUGUGAUUAUAAUUUUUGCAUUUGUAGGAAAGUAUAUCUUGUAAAGUGGAGAAAAUUAUGCCUACAUUUUGCAUAUUUGAUAAAAAAAUUCUUCUUUUUAUCUGAUUUUAUAAGAUAAGAAAUUAAUAUGGUCAAUAAGUGUCAUACUUUUCUCAUGAUUAUUCUUUAGAGGGAAUAUUAUUGUAUCAUUUACCAAAAAAAAAAAGUUAUUCUACUCCAAUGGUUUUUGUACUAAGUAACCGGGAGUCUUCAUCUACAAAUGUUGACUUUUGCGUAAAACGGUACUUAAAUUAAGAGUAUGAAAAGCAACUUGAAUAUGUGAAAUGUUGAGUAACCGGUGAUCUUCAUCUAAAAAUGUCGAUCUUCGCGUCAAAAGGCAUUUUUCACAAUUUAAGUAAUAUUUAACCCUUAAAAUAUAUACAUAAAAAAAAAACAAAGAGUAAGUAAAAUAAAUCCCUCUUUAACAAAAAUAAGAAGUUGAUCAUGGGUUUAGGAAGCAUAUUAUUGACCAUAUGAGUUACUUGCGUAUAAAAUUGGUUAAGGAUGAGAAAUUGACUUGAAUUUGUUAUAAUGGUGGUAUAAUUGGCUCUCCUUUACUUGAUAUUAUGAGUACUUGAGAAUUAAUGAAAGAUUGCAUAAUUGUUAUUUACCUUGUUUUGAGAAUAUGAAAUUGAUUGUGUACAUAUAUUUAUCUUCAAAUUUUGGAUCAUUGUUGGUUUGUAUUUCUUAUUGCAUGAGGACAAGCAAUGGUUCAAGUGUGGGGGUAUUUGAUAAGGGUUUAUUUUACGUAUUUUUAAGUGUAUUUUAUUAGUUAAUUUGGUUUGAUUAUUUAGUUUUAUAACUAAAAUAACUAAGGUUUUGGUUAAAAUCUAAAUUUUAUGUUAAAAUGGCUAACAUUGCAUUUCUAUUGAAUUUUUAUGGUAAAAACUUUAUUGUUAUUACAAUAGAAUACUUAAGAAAGCUUAGGUGAUAAUAAAUCAUUGCAUGCUGGAAAAGUCCAAAAUCAGGAUGAAUCUGAUAUACUUUAAACUCCUUUAACUAAUAACACACUCCAAGAAUUGUGAACCAAGACAGCCUUUAUAUUGGUUUUGUUACCAAACGUAUACAUUGUAAACCUAGGCUAUCCUUCAUAAUUCGUUGGUACAAUGAUAUAAUUGAUAGACUCAGUUUGGAAGCAAACUUUGCUAUGUACAAAUGAUAAAAGUUCAAGACAUAUUGUUUGUUCGAUCAGAUGGGGAUUAAUGUCCAUAAAUAAAAUUGCUCUUCUAUUUUUAAAAAAUAUCUAAAGAGCGACAACAACUUGUAUUUUCUUUCAAGCACAUCCUUAUACCCCUAAGGUGGAAGAAGUCAAUUAGUGUGAAGAAGCAAACAUUGAAACGAUCCCCUAAUUUCCAACAAUAGUGGGCAAAUUUAGAUACCUUCCUGGUAAAUGAAUCAUGCUUCAAAAUCUACAACAUAAUGCUGAUGAUGAACUUGAUAUUUUCUUCUAGAAUUGGCCCAUUUCUUCCUUCAUCUGGGAUAUGGUUCAGUAAUUGAUGCAUCAUUGACAGAGCUUGGAGCUGAAAUUCUUUGAGUGUUGGAUUGAUCAACUUUCAGCUCGUCUACCCUGCUCUCCGAUCCAUGGCUCCGGAAAACUGCCGGAUAGUGUGGAGUUGGUAGGGGAACAGAACCAGGAUUGAGCAUGCAGACCACAGAAGACAUUGUUGGUCUUUUAAUGACAUCUUCUUCAACACAUAGUAAGCCAACUUGGAUGCAUUGAAUAACUUCAUUUCUAGCAUAAGAAUCUCCAGUGCUUGAAUCCAAAAGAGCUAAAGUUUGGCCGCGUCUCCAAUGGUUCCAAGCCUUUUCGAAAUAAUCCCACUCAUGAGGUGUACAUUCUUAAAACUUCAAUUAGCUUAAAUAGAUAUAUAGGUAAUGUCAAUAUUCACAAUAGGCAAUAUUCAAUACUCUCUAUUUCAAGUUUAACCAUAUAAAAAGAUGGAUUAAUCUUUUUUAUAUUGAUAGUGUAUACACUGUUGUCAGCAUUGGAUGAACAACAAUUAUGCAAAAUUUGAAAUUCAAAUUCAACUUUUACACACAUGUCAUGAAUCCAACGGUGAUAGUGUUUACACGGUCAAUGUAUAUAAGAUUUAUUCAUAAAAGAUUUCGAAUCACAACCUUUUUUCCCAUCAUUGUAGUUAAGUAUAACCUGGGAAAGAGUACAAUGGUCUUUACUGAAGUUUACAAGUACUCUACUUUGAGUGUGUGCCAACGUACAAACGAGAGAAAGAAUAGCAAUUAUGACAAGUCUUGCAUCCGACAUCUAAAAAUUUCCAUGAGAAGCACAUAAACAGAAAUACGUAUUUAUUUAGGGCAGGUAGUUCAUAAAUUAUCGUGCCAUUUUGGUCUGGUUCACACAAAAUGUUGACCUUUAUGCUUUGCUUCAUCCCACAUCGGCCAAACGGAAGGAAAGGCUCCUUUGGAAAGCCUAUAAAUAGAAGGGCCGAUUGAAGGUUUUAAGUGUACUAAACCAAGAGAGCAUUAGUGGGUUAUUUGGGUCUUUGGGUCAUUAAGCCUUUUGAAGUAGAAAUACUUUGGACUCUCUUAUGUUUUAGUAUUAGGUACCUCUUUGGCCUAGGAACCAUUUUUUUAUGGCUUUUGUGUAUCUUUUUCAUAAUAGAAAUAUUGCUCCUCUUCCACCCGUGGACGUAGGUCAAUUUGACCGAACCACGUAAAUUUCUGUAUCUUUUAUUUUACUUUGUUAUUUGUCUUUAUUGGGUUGCCACAACCCUUUUAUAUGAUCGAUUUUACCGCCUAAGUAUUAUAUGGCUGGUGUCUACUGCCAAACAUUAUAUGGUCGGUUAUAUUGUCUAAUUUGUUUUAACUUUAGUUUGUUUAUUCCUGGGCCAGUCCUAAUAAACUGGUAUCAGAGUUGGUUGAUAUAUUUUGUAAAACAGGUUCAUCUCGUGAGGUCCAUUCAUCCUGUGGGGUUCGUUCAUCUCGUGGAGCCCAUUCAUCCUGUGGGCCCGUUCAUUUGGUGGGGCCCGUUCAACCUGUGGGACCCGCUCAUCUCGUGGGGCCCGCUCAUCCUGUGAGACUCGCUCACGAAAUUUGCGUAUUUUUUUUACUAGUUUUUGAGACAAACUUUAGAUUAUAGAUUUUGUGGCAACAAUGACAAUAUCAAAGACGGUUGUCGAGAAAUUCAACAGGAAUGUCAACUUCGGCAUGUGGCAACUCAAGAUGGAGGCCAUUUUGGUUCAAGACGGAGUUGACCUAGCGAUACACGGAAUCAAGAAAAAGUCAAAGGAUGUGACAGAUGCAAAUUUUGCUGCGAUGGAUAAGAAGAUCAGAUCCAGCAUAAUCUUAAAUCUCUCCGAUGAGGUAUUGCGUGAGGUAGCAACGGAGACUUCGGCCAAGACUAUGUGAGAUAAAUUGAAAGUCUUUUAUAUGAAAAAGACUGUCGGGAAUCAGCUAUAUCUGAAGCAAAGUUUGUAUAUGCUUCGGAUGUCUGAAGGUACAUUUAUACUCUCCCAUCUUGAUAAAUUUGAUUAUAUUAUUAUAGAUUUGGGGAAUAUAGAUUCGAAAUUGAUGAUGAAGAUCAGGCCCUAUUACUUUUGUGUUUCCUUCCCCAGUCCUUUAAGCAUUUUCGUGAUACUAUGAUUUAUGGAAAGGAAAUAAUUUCGUAUCGAAAAAUUAAAUCUACAUUAAAAUCUAAAGAGCAGAUAGAUAGGGAUAUUACUGGGAAAACUAGUAGGAGUCAAGCCAAUGGUUUGUUUGUUGGCGGUAGAUCUGAAAAGAGAAACACAGAAAAAAGAAGUAGAUCCAAGUCCAGACAUAAAAAUGUGGUGUGCCACUAUUGUAAAAAGAAGGGCCAUGUUAUCUCUGAUUACUUUAAAUUGAAAAAUAAAGAAAAGCAAAAGGAGAAAAAGAGUGAGACCACCGAGACUAGUAUUGUAGUUGAUGAGAAUAAUGGAACCAUUUUCUAUGCAAUAAAAAAUAAUUUUAAAUCUAACAAUGAGUGGAUUUUAGAUUCGGGUUGUUCAUAUCAUGUGUCCCAAUAGGAACUGAUUUUCAACAUAUGAAUCAACUGAAGAUGGAGUUGUUUUAAUGGGUAACAACGCUGUUUGUAAAGUUGUUGGCAAAUGCACAAUCCGAAUUAAAAUGUACGAUGGUAUUGUGAGGACGCUCACAGAUGUUAGACAUGUUCCAGAUUUAAAGAAAAAUCUCAUCUCUUUGGGUACUCUUGAGUCUAUUGGGUGCAGGUAUUCAGCUGGAGGUGGAGUUCUCAAAAUCAGUCGAAGUGCUCUUGUUGUUAUGAAGGCACACAAAUCUAGUACUUUAUAUAUUUUGCAGGGAUCUACUGUUACAGGUGCUGCUGCUGUUUCAACAUCAACUUUGUCCGAUUCUGAUUUCACCAAAUUGUGGCACAUGAGAUUGGGGCACAUGAGUGAGAAAAGCUUAUCUAUUUUAUGUAAACGAGGUCUUCUUGGUAGCCAGAAUAUUGAAAAGAUGGAAUUUUGUGAAUAUUGUAUUUUUGGAAAGCAGAAGAGAGUUAGCUUCCAGUUGCCGGCAGUUCACAGGACAAAAGGAAUUUUGGACUACAUUCAUUCAGACCUUUGGGGGCCUUCUCGUGCUCCUUCUAAAGGAGGUGCCAGGUACAUGUUGACUUUCAUUGAUGAUUAUUCAACGAAAGUUUGGGUAUAUUUUCUUAACCAUAAAAAUGAUGUUUUCCUAACUUUCAAGCAAUGAAAAGUUUUGAUUGAGAAACAAAUAAGAAAACAUAUUAAGCGGUUGAGAACAGAUAAUGGCAUGGAAUUUUGUGGAGGCGAAUUUGAUAGAUUCUGCAAAAAUGAAGGAAUUGUUCGGCAUCGCAUUGUCAGAAUGACGCCUCAAUAAAAUGGUGUAGUCGAACGUAUGAACAGAACGGUUUUGGAGAGAACGAGAUGUAUGAUGUCCAAUGCAGGGUUAACAAAUGACUUUUGGGCAGAGGCGAUCAAUAUGGCCUGUUAUAUUGUCAACUGUUCUCCUUUUGCAUCUCUUGAUUUCAAAACUCGUGAGAAAGUUUGGUCAGGUAUUCUUGCUGAUUACUCCAAUUUAAAGAUUUUUGGGUGUCCGGCAUACAUGCAUGUGAAUGAUGGAAAAUUGGAGUUUAGGGCUAAAAAGUGUAUUUUCUUGGGUAUGCUUCUAGGGUGAAAGGAAACAGAUUAUGGUGUCCUGAUCUCAAAUCUCCAAAAUUUGUGAUCAGUAGAGAUGUUACUUUUGAUAAAUUGUCUACGUUAUCUUCCAAGAAGGAGUCUUUUAAUCCUUGUACUACUGAUAGUACACAGAAGCAGGUGGAGCUUGAUAUUGGUAGUUCUGAUCCUUCUCAGACCAAAUUUUCUAUUCAACAAGUGCUAGUAGAUGCACCUGAAUCUAUUGUUGAAGAUAGUUCAGAAGAAGAGGAGUAUUCCAUAGCUAGAGAUAGACCAAUGAGAGACAUUGGACCACCACGAAGAUAUGCAAAUUUAGCUGCAUAUGCUUUGUCUGUUACAGAAGAAACUGAUACAGUUGGUGAGUUUUCCACCUAUUCAGAAUCAGUUUCUUGUGAUGAUUCUGCGAAGUGGUUGAUUGUGAUGAAUGAAGAAAUUGAAUCUCUUCAUCAGAAUGAAACUUGAGUUCUUGUAAAGCCGCCGUCAGAUAAGAAAAUUGUUGGAUGCAAAUGGGUUUUCAAGAAAAAGGAAGGUAUUCCAGCGGUUGAAAAUGUAAGGUAUAAAGCACGAUUGGUUGCAAAGGGCUAUACUCAGGUACAAGGUGUUGAUUUUAAUGAUGUGUUUUCACCUAUUGUUAAACAUAGCUCUAUUCGUGUUUUGCUUGCUUUAGUUACCAUGUAUAAUUUGGAGUUAGAACAGCUCGAUGUUAAGACAGCUUUCUUACAUGGCGAACUUGAAAAACAAAUUUAUAUAAAGCAACCCCAGGGUUUUGAGAUUGAAGGUAAGGAAGACCAUGUUUGCUUGUUGAAGAAAUCCUUAUAUGGAUUGAAGCAGUCUCUGAGACAAUGGUAUAAAAGGUUUGAUUCCUUUAUGUUGGGUCAUGGUUAUUCAAGGAGCAUGUAUGAUAGUUGUGUUUACUUCCGGAAGUUAGAUGAUGAUUCUUUUAUCUAUUUGUUAUUAUAUGUUGAUGACAUGCUCAUUGCUGCCAAGAAUUUGUCGGAAAUUUACACUUUGAAACUGCAGUUAAAUAGUGAAUUUGAAAUGAAAAAUUUGGGAGCAACUAAGAAAAUUCUUGGCAUGGAUAUUAAGCGAGAUCGAGGAGCAAGGAAGCUGUUCUUGACCCAAGAAAAUUACCUGAAGAAAGUCUUGGAGCGUUUUGGCAUGAAAGAUGCAAAACCUGUAAGUACUCCUCUUGCUAACCAUUUUUGGUUAUUUGCUGGUCAGUCACCACAGUUAGAUGAAGAGAAAGAUUAUAUGGCACUGAUUCCUUACUCUAGUGCAGUCGGAAGUAUUAUGUAUGCAAUGAUUUGUAGUCGUCCGGAUAUUUCACAAGCAGUCAGUGUUGUUAGUAGAUAUAUGUCUUGUCCAGGUAAAGAACAUUGGCAAGCUGUGAAGUGGAUUCUCAGAUACUUGCAAGGAACUUCAAACGCUUGUUUGGAGUUUGGAAGAAAUAAAAUCACUCUGAUUGGUUUUGUAGAUUUAGAUUACGCCGAGGAUCUUCAUAUAAGAAGAUCACUUUCUGACUACGUAUUCUACAUUGGGGGGUUGUGCAGUCAGUUGGAAAGCUACUUUACAACCCUUUGUGACUCUAUUUACUACGGAGGCAAAAUACAUGGCAGUGACCGAGGCAAUCAAAGAAGCCUUGUGGUUGAAGGGAUUAUUUGGCGAGUUUAAUCUACAUCAGGGGGUUACCGUUAUUCACUGUGAUAGUCAAAGUGUUAUACACUUGACUAAAGACCAGAUGUAUUAUGAGAGAACAAAGCACAUUGAUAUAAAAUAUCACUUUAUCCGGGAUAUCAUUACUGAAGGGAAAGUCCUUGUUCGAAAGAUCAAUACCAAGGAGAAUGCUGCUGACAUGUUUAUGAAAACCUUUUCCAAUUUACAAGUUCAAUCAAUGCUUGGACUUGAUUGGUGUUCAUUGUUUGUGAUAUGGCCCGUUGGGGCUUAUAUGAAGAAGGUGGAACAAGUUUAUAAUCUCUUGAUGUUGGGGACUCAUCAAGGUGGAGAUUUGUUGACCUUUAUGCUUUGCUUCGUCCCACAUCAGCCAAACGGAAGGAAAGGCUCCUUUGGAGAGCCUAUAAAUAGAAGGGCCUAUUGAAGGUUUUAAUUGUACCAAAUCAAGAGAGCAUUAGUGGGCUAUUUGGGCCUCUGGGUCAUUAAGCCUUUUGAAGUAAAAAUACUUUGGACUCUCUUGUGUUUUAGUAUUAGGUGCCUCUUUGGUAUAGGAACCACUUUCCUACGGCUUUUGUAUAUCUUCUUCAUAAUAGAAAUAUUGCUUCUCCUCCGCCUGUAGACGUAGGUCAAUUUGACCGAACCACGUAAAUUUCGGUGUCUUUUAUUUUGCUUUGUUAUUUGUUUUUAUUGGACUGCCAAAACCCUUUUAUAUGAUCGGUUUUACCGCCUAAGUAUUAGAUAACUGGUGUCUACCGCCUAAAUAUUAUAUGGUCGGUUAUACCGCCUAAUUUGCUUUAAUUUUAGUUUGUUUAUUUCUGGACCAAUCCUAACACAAAAAAUGGUAUUGCAAGUUUAGGUGAAUUUAAUAAUGAAAAAAAUAAAAGAUAAAAGGUUGAAAAUUAGGAGUGCCAAUAUCAAAUCCUCCUCCCCAGUUCUGCAAACACCAAAAAAAAAAAAAGAAGAAAAGUAACGACUAUAGCAAAGGUUUUGCAAUUUGUACUUACAUAGCUAAGAAGGUCUUCGGAAUCUCUAGAUUGAUGGAAGUCACUGCUCUUCUUGCCCGUCACAAUUUCCAAAAUUACAACCCCAAAACUAAAUACGUCUGACUUUACUGAGAACUGACCCCAUCUUGUGUAUUCAGGAGCCAUAUAACCACUACAAGCCACAAUGAUUGUUAUAAUUAGUACAAAGAAAAUCCGAAUGAUGCAAUCAAAUGGAGGUGUACAUAAUUUUCCAUGAAAGAUUCAAAGUGAUAUUAUGUGAGAAAGGAUAGUAUGGGAGCAAAACUUACAUUGUCCCAGCAAUUCUAUUUGUGUUUCCUUCAUAUUGAUCAACUCCACAAAUCUUUGCCAUGCCAAAAUCUGCUAUCUUUGGACUCAUAUUUCCAUCCAAUAAUAUAUUACUUACUUUGAGAUCGCGAUGAACAAUUCUUAGACGAGAAUCCUCAUGCAGAUAAAGAAGUCCUUUUGCUAUACCUCCAAUGAUAUUGUAACGUCUUGACCAGUUCAAUGAUCGUUUAUUUUCUGGAUCUACGCAAAUUUAAACACAAUAUAUUGUGCUAGCAUUGAGAAUUAUUAAAUCAAAAAUUCCAGAAAGCAUAAUCAAAUAGGUAAAUUACAUUUUUAGCUUUUAAAAUAUAAAUGCACUCUCAGUUUAGUUCUCAAAUUUUUAUUGUGGACACUUCACAUUGUCCCACUUCAGUAUAAUUAUUAAUGAAAUCAUUAAAACAAAUGGAAUAUUCCAUCCCACUUUGAUCAUUACUUGCCAUUAUUCCAUUAGUUUUUACAAUUGAGUGAGUGAUUGUAAUGAUGUGUGACAAAUGUGAUGCUUUAGGAGGUGAAGUAUCCAAAAUUAAAGUUUAAGAACUAAAGUUUGAGUGCGUCUGUGGUUUAAGGGUCUAAACUAGAAUUAAACAUUUGUCUAGAGGCAAUUUGUCCGUCAUUUCCAUAAAAUGGCAAGUCAAGUAAAAUAGAAUAAGAUCACAUGGAACAACAAAAAAUUACUAUAAGUAUGUCUAGAUUGAACUCACCAAAGAGAAAGUAGUCAAGGCUUUUGUUAGGAACAAAUUCAUAGAUGAGUAUCUUUUCUUCUCCUUCCAGGCAAAAUCCCAAUAGCCGAACUAGAUUUCUGUGUUGAAGCUUUGCGACUACUACAAUUUCAUUUUUAAAUUCUUCUGCACCUUGCACUGAGCUCCUUGACAGCCUUUUAACAGCUACUUCUUGUCCAUUACCAAGUACACCCUGAGUAAACAUGCAUACUAGAAUUUAAUUGAAAUAUUAAAUGUGUAGAUAUUCAAAUUCACAAAAGCAAAAUAUUUCAUGCAAAGACCUUGUAUACACGACCAAAUCCACCUUCGCCAAUUUUGUUAUCCACCGAGAAGUUAUUUGUGGCAAUUUGAAUUUCAGUUAAGCUAUACUGUAAAGAUUCGGCAGUUAAGAUAUCAGCAACUCCAUCUACACCUGAAAUAAGCAAACAGACUUAAUUCAUUUGUUCAAACAAAUCUGAAGUGUUUGUAAUAUUAAUCAAUCUACUUUACCACUUGUUUCCAGUGCCAUAGCAACAUAACUCUUCCGCAAUCUUCUUUUCAGGAAAACUAAAGCCAUGAUAAAUAGCACGACAGCAACCCCAAUUAAUGGGACAGCAAUCCGUAGGGGGCUUCGCCCUUUGCCUGGAUGAAAGUUAGUUUAAUUUAGCUUCCAAAGUCAGCUGAUCAUAGGAGAUCAAGUUUAUUAAACUUCGAGGUAGAGUCACUCUGAGACAGCCUUACAUAGACAAAAAGCUAGAGUUGAGAUCCUCUCUAUUACUUUCUCACCAUUUAUGUGCCUAAAUUUAUGUCAGUAAUUUUGCUUCCACAAGUUGAUCAACAUACUUAAAAUUCAUUCUCAUUUAUGAAUUUUUUGUCAUUCAAUUUGUACAAAACACUUUGACGGUGCAAUAUGGGCCAAAAUUAUAAUAAAAAAUGUAAAGUUUGAUCCAAUAUUAAAAUUUAAUCAAUUUAAUUUGAAUUUUUUAAUAUACUUUAAACAACACGAGAAAUAUAAUUUGGAUGACCUUUUAUUUCAAAAAUAGUAGUAUAACCAUGUUUACUUAGGUGUAAUGGAGAAAAAAUUUUCUUCAAUUAAUGGAGAAGAGCCUAACCCAAAAAGCUAUGCAAAAACACAUUAUUUGAAAGAAUAAUUUUUUUUCAAUUCUUUUUGAAAGUUUUUCACCACCUUUUGGCCUCACAUGCUUCAUGUUGAUGGUAAAUGAAGAGAGAUUUUCAAUAUUAUUGAUUAAUAUUAAGAAACUCCCUUAAGGUUUGAACAUAUACAAGCUUAACUGUGUUUGGACCAAAUUACGACUACCCAUUGUAAGCGAUGCUGUCCAGACCCAGUGAUUAUAAGGAAAUGAGAACAAUGCCAAAUAUUACCAAAUUGCUGUAGAAGAACAAAGGUUGAAGAAAAUUAUUUACCAAAUGAAGAAGAGAGACAAAUCACCAAAAAUUCUUUAGCCUAUGCACUUGUAGCCUUGUGUAGAAGUGCAAAUCCUUAUUUCUUAUUCGUUGGAUGAUUUCGCACCACGCAUCUGUGGUCCUGUGAAAUUGGAUAGCAUAAGUUUCCUUCGCUUUCAGAAGACCACGAAUCUGAGGUGGGAAAUCAUCCAACGAUGUGUUUCCUCUGCUGUGUUUUUUGUUCUUUUGUCAUGUAUUUGUUUUUAGUUAUUCCAUUUUGAUUUUUUAUGACCCUACAUGAAGAAUACAUGGCAAUAUGCAUAGUUAUUAAACUCAAUUGGACAAGAAAUCAAACAGAGGGACUAAUAUUCUUCAUGUAAAGUACUUUUAGAUAUGCAAAUUAAUAUUUACAAAUAUAAAAUAGCAAUAAAGUACUUUUAGAUACUAAUUAUUAUACUUUGAAUGAUAUACAGUGAACAUACAAAUAUUAAUAGAAGAUUUAAUUUCAUUUUACUGUACUUGUACAUAAAUAAAUAACACAUUCAAAUAUAUAACAAAAUUGUAUCACUUAUUUUCAAAGGUAUAGCAUCAUUUUUAUUAUUUUAUCUUUCAAAAAUAAAAUAGUUUUUAACAACUCAAAUAUUGUAAGUUUGAAAGUUAAAAGAAUUAAUUUUCUAACAAAAAAGUAAACAAGUUUAUUUAAUAAAACAUUUAAUUAUCAAGUAAAAACUAAGCAAGUAGUAAAAGUUUUUACACAUUUAAGUGGAAAUCCAACAUACAAAUCUAGUAAAAAUUAUAUUACACUUUAUUUCAAAAACAAUGAUCCACAAUUGUAUUAAAAAAAAGAACCCAAUCAACUGGAAAACCGAACUCUCUGAUUGAACCACCAUGUCAAACAGGUUUGAUCGGACCAACUCAUUCUUCAAUCAAAUUGGAAAUCCUUUCGGCCGGAUGGUCGAGUCAUUGGUAGGGUUAUAAACGAAUCGAACCGCUUACGAGCAACUCAAUUCAAAGCUCGACUUGAGCUCGAUGUGUUGCUCAUGAUAACUUGAGCUCAAUCAACAUCAAACUCGAGGCAUGCUCAACCUAAUCAAGUCGAACUCGAAUUCGAACUCGAGUUCAAAGCUAUUCAACUCGAUAGUUCAUGAGCCAACUCAAUUAUAUAUAUAUAUAUAUUAUUUUUUAUUUUGAUAGUAAAAUUACAUAUAUAUCCCUAAUAUUUUAGUUCAUGAGCCAACCUCCUCGUUACCAAAGCACAACUAAGGUAAAAUUGCGAUUUUGAAACCACAAGAGGUUAAGAGGCAAAACAUUAAACCACGAAGAAGUACCAUUAAUUUACUUAUUUAAUAUCAGAUUUUAAACUAGCAAACAAAUUAUAUUGCACUAUAACGGAAAAUCUUUUACAUGCUUACAAUACAUCCUCGAUCUUCUUGAAUGUCUUUGUCUAAAAUUGGAAAAACUAAAAUGGAUUCUUCUUUGCAUUAUGCCAUAGAAAUUUCAUUUUUUUAACGUAAUUUUGCAAUCAAUACCCCCCAUAAUAUAACUCAUGUACUAUUUUAGUUACACACAAAAGUUAAAUUAAAAAUACCAAACUUUUUCCAUUUGAUUAAUCAUUGCAAAAUUUUCCAUGAACUUGAGCCCUUUUACACUAUGUAAAUGUUUCUAGCAAAUUGAAUGCAAAAACUUUCUCAAAUGCACUUUAUUUUCAUGUAUGCUGAUCAACCAAUCAAAAUAAAAUUAUAACAUAAGUAUAUGAUUUUUAAAAACCAUAUAAUAGAUAAAUGGAUAGAUAACUAAAUAAAAACGUAAUGCACGUCAGGCCAUCACAGUUAAAGGGAUUCCGUAAUGUCCAUAACAAUUCUACUUCAACAUAUAUUCAAUAGUUAUUACAGUGCUAAUGCUUGCAAAAAGACUAAAUUUACUGUCCUAAGAAGUAUGACCACUUAAAAUCUUCCAUAAAUUACAAAUGAUGAUGCAUGUGAUCAGUAAGAUGUGCUGAUGCGGAAAUCUUACUGUUACGUAUUCAACUAAAAUUUGACUUAGAAAAUUCAUUAAGUUACGUGGUGGUCUCCUUUCGUUUGAAAGUGAAUUCACACCCAUCAUCCUAUAUUUACAUAUUCUACUAACUUCAAUAAUAUUAAUUCCAAUAACAAAGGUAUGAAUUUAAAAUGAAGGAUGUAAAUUUAGUGCUUUUCAUUUUCGACCUAGAAUUUACUACAAACAAGAAAUUGUAAGAAUUAAGAUUGUAUUCAACACCAAUUCCAAGAAGAGACGGCCAUAGCAAGGCUGCAGAACUUACCUUCAGUGGAAUUAGGAGGAGGACCGCCAGGAGAGUUUGGCGAGGCAGAGGAUACAUUAUCAUAGAAGCUGGAGACCUCAUACCUCAGAUUACAGCUUGGAUAAAGUACUCUCCCUCCCUGCUUCUUGGAACAGCACGCGGGUACAUCCAUUAUAGCCUCUCUGAGGCAACUUUUGCAGUCAUAAGGGGAUAGAUCUGGUGUGCACUGCGUAAGGGUAUACAAUCUCUUUUGAUCAGUGGAAUAAUUGCCUUCUUGGACAGCAAACUUUUUGCCCAUGGUAUGAUUUGCAGCCUCAUCCGCAGCGUUAUGCAAUAAAUUGAUCAAUACCAUUUUGAAUUUGUCCCAGUCAGGUCCAGGGACAUCGAAUGGAUUGCGCCUAGUCACAUUCUCUCCCAAAUCAGCCUUGGAGAAGAUCGUCUGGUCAGAAAAACGUACCAAGCACUCGUCAUACCAAACAAUAGCAGCUGUUUGAUUCGGGCACUCCUGAAGUAGUCGUGUGUGGGCAUCUGCGACGCAUUCUUUGCAAACAUCAGUGUUGACAUCACCUCGACAGAGAAAGAGGCCAUAGACCUUGUUUGAAGGGUCAUCGCCAGUACUGAAAUUAUAGAAGCCAUUGUUGUCUGUCCGAGAUGCAUGCGAAGACAGAUUGUAAAGCAAGAAAUUCAGAUUGGCUCUGUAAAUGCUGCCGGAAGGACUGUUAGGAUUGUAUGUAAUAUUUCCACAGUAAGAGUCAAGAUAGUUCCAGGGGUCUGUGUCGUUGGAAGUGGAACAACAAUAUUCAAUGGUAUGGAAGCUAAGCAAACAAAGCAUGUAAUAUUUGAAGUGGAACAACAAAUUUCUGGAGAUCAUUUCAAAGGAAGGCAUCAAAAGAGUAAAAGGCUAACAACCUACAAACUAGAUUGGUAGAUUAGGAGCCAAAUUAAGUAUUGUUUGAGGGAUCAUGAAAGUUGUAUAAGCCAGGAAAACUUAUGGCCUGGGAAAACUUGACCUUGGCAAGUCUUACAACCAAGUCGCCUGGUCGUGAACCAUCAGCUGACUGGCCUGUAACCAAGAUUCUAUAGUCAAUAGAUGCUAAAGGUAUCGAACAACGUCACUUGUGGAGGAUAAUUGGAAUUUGACUAAUGUGGAGAAGAAUAAAGUGGACCCAGACUGAAUCCCUACCUAGUAGUUCAGAGUUCAUACUGGUCUGAGAAAGAGUUCUCUAGAUACAGUUAAAAGGAUAGAUUAUACAUAAUCCCCCGUGGAUUCACUUGUUGUCACAUAAACGACCUAAUAUUGCUAAAUACCCACAUAAAUCUCAUGUGAUUUCAUGUAAAGUGAAAAUUGGAAAGAAAAUAAAUCCCAUAAUAUUUUGAGUUACUAGUAGUGUCCUUAUUUAAGCAUACUAAAUCAAUCAACACUUUAACCACCGUACAUAAAAUCAUACGAGAAUAAUGUGGUUAAAAGCAAAAACUAUUGAGGGCUAAAUUGAAUAUUCAUGCAAAUCGUAGGGAAUUUAAAUAGAUAUUUUGAUUUUAUCACACACGUUUUUAUGUAUGGUUUAAUCAGUGUAACUAUUGGUGCUUCCUGUCCAUUUUUCAUAUUACAUGAAACCACGGAGGUUACAUAAAUAUUUUGAAAUCCUAAAGGGAUCAUGUUGCAAUAUGAAAGAUUAUUUUUGUUGUUUGGGGGGGGGUUGGGUUUGGUUUAACCUAGUUAAAUCAUGUAAAGUCUGUCGCAUUUUCGUUAUUGGAUUGAAACUUCCAAUAAUUUUCGUUGUCGAAAAUACAAUUUGCAAUAUAUAUUAGUGUCUUCACCUUUUUGUCCAACUUGUUUACAUUUCAUAGACUUUUCUUUUUCUUUGGCUAAAGUGGGAAUAUCACGAGAUAAGCAUUAAAUCAAAAGGCCCUACAACGAAAGAAAUACCUGUCCAAUUUAUAUUAUCAAUUUCAUACUCCAUGUGCUUGUCGGCAUCUCAUUUAUGUUAAAAUUAACUUUUCAAGAUUGGUGUUCUGUUUAUAUUGUUUUUUGUUCGUGAUUUUAUAUCUAAUUCAGUAUUUUUGUUGUCAAAAUCACCCAAUCUUACAACAUAUGUAUAUUUUGGAGUACAUAUUUGUGUUGUUCAUAAGAUGCUUGUAUCUAGUUUAGAUAUUUAUUCUGUUUAGUAAUUAUUCUACGACCUAUUAGUAUUUUAGUUUCAUAAAUGCUGCAAUUAUCAAAUGUGAAUAAUUUUUAUUGUUUUAGUUAUUAUUAACAUUCAUGAUUGUCCAGAAAGGGAAAAGAAGAACAGAUUUUUGGAAAAAAAAAAAAAGGACUUAGAGGAAAAGGGUUUUUCAAGAUGAAAAGGAACAAGUAUUUUCUUGCUCCGCAUUGGAACUUUAGCAAGGAAUUUUAAGUGCUGUCCAACCUAAUUCCACAAAGAUUAAAUAAGUACAAAAGUGUUAAGUAUUGAAGGAUCCUAAAAAACCCUUUAUCACUACUAGCUAGUAGGCCCUGAUAUAUUCCUUAGUCAUUGUGGAUGACAGAGAGAGGAUUGGAGGGCGGAGAAGAAAGAGAAGGAAUCCUUUGUGUAGGGUAAAACCGCUACUUCUAUUUCAUGUUACUGACAAAUUGUUAUUGUUUUACAUUAAAAUCUUUCGGAGUAUCCUAUGAUGAUUUAUGAUCAUGUUCUAAACCGUAUGAUCCUGAAAAUUCAAUGAUGAAAAACAAGAAGAAUUCAUGGCUGAAGGUUUGACAUAUUCAUGUUUUAACAGUUUCAAGAACGUGAUCCUAACCCAUGUAUACUCUAGAAAAUUGGAGAACCUAUUAAACCUAGAAGUUAUAUGAUACAGAGCCGUUUAUGAUGAAGUUUCAUGGUUUUUGUAUUUUACAACAGCAGAACCAUGACUUGGAAAUAAGAAAAACUCAUAAUCUUGCAUAGAAAAGUCUGCAUAGCAUAGUUGCAUUGAAUCCGUCAUAAUUUGGUGUAUAAAGCUUGGAUUAAGAUGCCAUAUGCUUUCCCAAAGGGCUUUUACUACUUAUAAAGUAAUUCUUCUGGUUCAAUUUAUACCGAAGGUAGAAAUUUUUUCAAGGUUGACUGUUUCAAUUCAAAAUCUUGGAACAGUUUCUCAUCAAAGUUUUAGCCUCUUGAUGUAUAUAGUAGUGGAAAGCCCAUUCUUGUAUGAUUUUUUUCAAACUCACGAGCAUCCGAUUAUGUAAAUCUAGUCCAUUCUGGAAGUUUUAGUCUCUCUGGUAACCUUGUAUUUGUUGACUUUGGUGGCAGAAAUUGAUGACUUUUCCAAACCAAAAUUGUUGACAUUUUUUUGGCAAACAUUUAAUCCCACAUCGGUUGUUUUAGAAGUUGUAGGAUUGCUUGAGAAUUAUAAAAGGACUCUCAAGGUUCCUAAUAAUAUUUACCAAAUACACUUACAAAAGAAUUACACCAAAAGGAUUUUGUAAUUCUUUUGUAAUUCUUCCUUCUUCCAAAAUUUAUAAGAGCGGAUCGCUUGAGCGGUGCUCAGAAAUUAGGCAAAAUUGGUCGAACUCUGUUAUCAAUUUUUCGGAUGCGUUCUUUUCUUAUCUCUUUUAUUUAUUCCGCAUUUAUUUAGUAGUUUCUUUUCUAUUGUAGUAUAGUAUUCAAUAUAUUUGUCGGGUAUAUUUGUAGCAUUUUUAUACGGUUCAUUUGGGUGUAUUUAUUCUUAUUCGUGUGUACGUAUUAUUUAUGUAUACACGGGUAUAUUUGUGAUAAUACACUGUGCACGUAAAUUCUGUCUAGGAAACUGGGUUUUAAGUGAGACCGCUUGUGACCCCUCCAGCCUGUCCUGAGAAUUUAUUUGGAAUGAUAAUUCUGUCUUAGGAGAUUGUUUGACAAUCUUUUUUGGGAAUUAUCGAAUCGGUUUAAAUCACUAGUUGAAUUUUUUGAGUGGGAAAUUACCCGAUUUCCCUAACAAGUAGUAACAGAGCCGAAGGUUCGUCCUUUGGCCUGUUUUUAAUUUUUAUAUUGAAUACUAUUAUUUGAGUUUGUAAUGACAUCAAACGAUUCCACGUCAAGAGUUACAUCUGGGGCAUCGGUUUCCUUGUCCACAUAGUCGAGGAUUCCAAUGUCAAGUUCGAAGUUGGCGAUGGAGAUAUUUGACGGUACUGGCCAUUUCGGCAUGUGGCAAGACGAGGUUCUAGACUCUCUUUUCCAACAGGGUCUUGACAUUGCCAUUGAAGAAAAGAAAUCAGAUGAUAUAGAAGAGAGGGAGUGGAGUACCAUAAAUCGGUUGACAUGCGGAACUAUUCGAUCGUGUUUGUCCAGAGAGCAAAAGUAUGCUUUCAAGAACGAGACUUCUGCAUGGAAAUUGUGGAGGGCAUUGAAGGAGAAAUUUCUGAAGAAGAGUGGUCAGAAUAAACUCCUAAUGAAGAAAAGAUUGUUUCGAUUCAAUUACCAACCAGGUACUACUAUGAAUGAACACGUCACUAUGUUUAAUCAGUUAGUAGCAGACUUGUUAAAUUUAGAUGUUAAAUUUGAAAAUGAAGAUUUGGCUUUGAUUUUGUUGUCAUCCCUUCCUGAUUAAUUUGAACAUUUGAAAACUACGUUACUUCAUGGGAAGGAAAAUAUAUCUUUAGAUGCUGUAUGUUUUGCUUUGUAUAGUCAUGAAUUGAGAAAGUAGGAUAAAAUGAAAAAUAAAAUAGUUGUAACAGAUGAAGCGUUAGUCGCAAGAGUUCGUUAACAAAGCCAAUCAAAUGGGAGAAGAGGAAGGUCCAAAUCGAAAAGUAGAGUUGCCAAAGAUGAGUGUGGUUUCUGUCGUGAAAAAGGGCACUGGAAGAAAGAUUAUCCAAAGUUGAAAAAGAAAGAGAAAGCUCCGCAAGACGCAAAUGUAUGUUACAGAGUGCAAAAGCGAUGCGGAAUCGGAUUUCUCUUUAGCUGCAUCACCUUCAACAUCUUAUCCAGAUGAAUGGAUCUUGGAUUCAGGUUGCACCUAUCAUACGUCUCCUAUGUGAGAGUGGUUCUUCGAACUUGAAGAGCCUGAUAGUGGAGUUGUUUACAUGGGGAACAACAACCAUGUAAAACAGUUGGGAUAGAUUCAAUCAAACUGCGUAAUUAUGAUAGAUCCACCAGAAUCUUGAAGGAUAUUCGGUACGUACCGAAUUUGAAGAAGAAUCUCAUCUCUUUAGGACUCUUGGAGUCAAAAAGCCUGAAAGUGAAGAUGCAAGAUGGAAUUCUUAAAGCAAUUUCGAGAGCACUUGUGAUGUUGAAAGACGUGAGAAAGAAUAAUCUGUAUUACUACCAAGGUAGUACAAUUGUUGGGACAACAACAGCAGCAGCAACAUCUUCCAAUAACAAGAAGGAUGCAGAGACAACAAAGUUGUGGCAUAUGCGAUUGGGACAUGCUGGUAAAAAAUUCUUACAAAAUCUUGCCAAGCAAGGAUUAUUGAAAGGUACGAAAACUUGCAAAUUAGAAUUUUGUGAGCAUUGUAUUCUGGGAAAACAGAGAAGAAUAAAAUUUGGCCCACCCAUCCAUAAUAUCAAGGGUAUUUUGGAUUAUGUGCAUUCAGACGUGUGGGGACCUGCCAAGACUUCAUCCCUUGGAGGCAGGUACUAUUUUGUCACUUUUAUUGAUGAUUUUUUCAGAAGAGUUUGGGUGUUUACUAUGAAGAAGAAGGAUGAAGUGCUUGGGAUUUUCCUUAAAUAAAAAACUUAGGUUGAAAACCAGACGGGAAGAAAGAUCAAGAUUCUUCGAACAGACAAUGGUGGAGAAUACAAGAGUGAUCCUUUCUAGAAGAUAUGCCAACAAUGUGGCAUAGUUCGGCACUUCACAGUAAGAAGAACACCGCAGUAGAAUGGGGUAUCAGAGCGUAUGAAUAAGACACUAGUGGAGAAAGUACGUUGUAUACUGUUUAAUGCUGCAUUAGGCAGAAAUUUUGGGUUAAGGCUGUGGUAUACGCUCAACAUUUCGUCAAUUGCUUGCCAUCAUCUGCAAUAGGUGGCAAGACUCCAUUAGAGGUAUGGUCUGAAAAACCUGCAAUAGAUUAUGAUUCUUUGCGUAUUUUUGGUUCUACUGCAUAUUAUCAUGUAGAUGAAUCAAAGUUGGAUCCACGUGCAAAGAAACCUCUCUUUAUGGGCUUUAAUGCUGGAGUUAAGGGAUACCGUUUGUGGUGUCUAGAAGCAAAGAAGACGAUUAUCUGUAGGGAUGUUACCUUUGAUGAAUCUAUCAUGUUGAAUAAGGUAACACUAGGUGAGACCAGUAGUACUCCGCAACAGGUGGAGUGUACGUCGAAACAGGUAGAGUUCGAGCAGAUAAUGGUGAAUCCAGCAAAAAUCACUGUCAGUGACUCUCCCAUGAUAGAUGAGGAGUCAGAUGAAAAAGAGGUUUCAACCCAAGAACCUCAGCAGCAGUAAGAGUCAAUUGCCGUCAAUAGGUCAAGACGAGAAAUUCAAAAACCUGCUUGUUUUGCUGAUAUGGUGGCCUAUGCACUUCCAGUUGUUGAAGAUGUUCCAUCCACAUUUUCUGAAGUAGUUUGAAGUACAGAAAAUGAUAGAUGAAAAGAUGCUAUGAAAGAAGAGAUGCAAUCUCUUCAGAAGAACAAGACGUGGAAGCUGACACAACUACCGAAGGGCAAGAAGGAAAUUGGAUGUAAAUGGGUAUUUGCAAAGAAAAAAAGGUUUCUUGACAAGAAUGAUGUUCGCUACAAGGCAAGAUUGGUGGAUAAAAGUUAUGCUCAGAAGGAGGGAGUUGAUUAUAAUGAGGUAUUUUCUCCAGUUGUUAAACAUUCCUCUAUUAGAAUUUUGUUGGCCUUGGUAGUGCAGUUGAAUUUGGAGUUAGCUCAACUUGAUGUGAAGACCACGUUCCUUCACGAUGACUUGGAGGAGGAAAUCUAUAUGUCUCAGCCAAAUGGAUUUAAAGUUGCUGGUAAAGAAGAUUGGGUUUGUAAACUGAGCAAAUCAUUGUACGGAUUGAAACAAUCACCGAGGCAAUGAUACAAACGAUUUGACCAGUUCAUGAUGGGUCGAAAGUACACAAGAAGCAAAUAUGAUCAUUGUGUGUAUUUGCGCAAGUUACGAGAUGAUUCCUACAUCUACUUACUCUUGUACGUAGAUGAUAAGCUAAUAGCGUCAAAGAACCAAGUUGAAAUUGACAAAAUGAAGGCUCAGUUGAGUAAAGAGUUUGAAAUGAAGGAUUUGGGAGAAGCCAAGAAGAUUCUCGACAUGGAGAUAAGCAGGGAUAGAACGAGAGGCAAGUUUUGUCUGACACAGAAGUAAUAUUUGAAAUAGGUACUACAAUAUUUUGGCAUGAAUGGAGAUUCAAAACCUGUAAGUACUCCGCUUGUUUCUCAUUUGAAACUUAGCAACCUAUUAUCUCCAAAUACGGAUGAAGAGCGGGCAUACAUGGCGAAAGUCCCGUAUGCUAAUGCAGUUGGUAGCUUGAUGUAUACAAUGGUGUGUACUAGACCCGACAUUUCACAAGCAGUUGGUGUGGUAAGCAGGUUUAUGCAUGAUUCGGGCAAGGGUCAUUGGCAAGUUGUGAAAUGGAUUCUACGGUAUAUCCAAGAUACUGUAAACGUUGGAUUAGUAUUCGAGCGGGAUAAAUCACUUGGUCAAUGUAUAGUUGGAUAUUGUGAUUCUUACUAUGCAGGUGACUUGGAUAAGCGAUAUUCUACAACUGGCUACUUGUUCACAUUUGCUAAGGCGCCAGUUAGUUGGAAGUCUACUUUGCAGUCAACGGUGGCUUUGUCUACAAUGGAGGCAGAGUAUAUGGCGAUUACAGAAGCUGUAAAGGAGGCAAUUUGGCUUCAAGGAUUGCUUGAAGACUUGGGAGUUGGUCAAAAACACAUUGAUGUAUUUUGUGACAGUCAGAGUGCUAUUCACUUAGUAAAGAACCAGGUCUUGCACGCAAGAACGAAAUACAUUGAUGUUAGCUAUCACUUUGUGUGGAAAAUUCUCGAAAAGAGGAGAUUUUUGUCCAGAAGAUUCGAACUGUGGAGAAUCCUACAGAUAUGCUGACCAAGGUGGUUACAAGAUCUAAGUUUGAACAUUGUUUAAACUUGGUCAAUAUCCUGCACAUUUGAGUUGGCGUCUGAGGACACAAAUUUGGAAGCACCGCAAGAACCAUUUGUUAUUUUUGUGAGAAGAUUUAUAUUUUUUGGUGGGAUUAGAAUUUAUGCCAAGGUGGAGAUUUGUUGACUUUGGUCGCAGAAAUUUUGGUGGCAGAAAUUGAUGACUUUUCCAAGCCAAAAUUGUUGACAUUUUUUGGCAAACAUUUACACAUCAGUUGUUUUAGAAGUUGUAGGAUUGCUUGAGAGUUAUAAACGGACUCUCAAGGCUCCUAAUAAUAUGUACCAAAUACACUUACAAAAGAAUUACAUCAAAAGGAUUUUGUAAUUCUUUUGUAAUAUUUCUUCUUCCAAAAUUUAUAAGAGCGGGUCACUUGAGUGGUAGAUGGAAAUUAGGCAAAAUUGGCCGAACUCCGUUAUCAAUUUUUCGGGUGCGUUCUUUCCUUAUCUCUUUUAUUUAUUUCGCAUUUAUUUAGUAGUUUCUUUUCUAUUGUAGUAUAGUAUUCAAUAUAUUUGUCGGGUAUAUUUGUAGUGUUUUUAUACGGUUUAUUUGGGUGUAUUUAUUCUUAUUCGUGUGUACGUAUUAUUUAUAUAUACACGAAUAUAUUUGUGAUAAUACACCAUGCAUGUAAAUUCUGUUUAGGAGACUCGGUUUUAAGUGGGACAGCUUGUGACCCCUCUAGCCUGUCCUGGAAAUUUAUUUGGAAUGGUAAUUCUGUCUAAUGAGAUUGUUUGACAAUCUUUCUUGGGAAUUAUCGAAUCGAUUUAAAUCACUAGUUGAAUUUUUUUGAGUGGGAAAUUACCCGGUUUCCUCAACAGUAGUCAUAUUUGAAUGUUCUAAAAUUAAGAUUUCGGAGAUGACUCCUUCACGAAAGCUAAAGACAUCAUUGAUCUUUCCAAAUUCCAGCUGUAUAAAUAUCUUGUGAAAACAGUGAAUCGCCCGAGACAAUUAAUUCUUUUAACCAUUGUCAAAUCUUGAUAUUUUCUGAUUUGCACAAGUUGAAUAUUUUCAAAUUGAAAGAGGCUUAUAAACUCAAUGAUUUUUAAUAACUGUUUACUGGAAUCAAUUAUUGUUAGUCACGUGGAACAAUGUUAAAGAAUUUUUAGACAAUUAUUGUUAGUUACGGAUGAAAAACUUUUUAAAAUAUAUCGAUGAAUGCUGAUGGGUUUUUAUAUUUGCUAAUUUUCAAGUUUUAGAUGAAACUCAUGUUUUCAUUCAAAGGGUUUUUAUUUAGUGUAAGAUUAGUGUUGUGUGUGUAUGUGUAUGUGCCUAUAUAUAUAGGAUUAAUUACAAAAUCUCCCCCCAAGAUUUAACCAAUUUUGUACUUUGUCCCCUAACAUUAUUUUUGGUUUUUGACUUUAGCCUCUAACCAUUAAUCAAUGCUAACAUUGUAUAAUGGAAAUGUCAAAAAAACAUUGAUAAGGGUUAAUUACAAUAAAUUCCCUUACGAUAUAAUGCAUUUUGCACUUUACCUCUAAUAUCAUUUUUUUCUUAAUUUGUCUAUUUAUCGCUAAAAUCAUUAGUCAACUCCAAUUUUUUUCAUACCAUUCAAGAUAAAUAAUGUAUAAAAAUAUUAAUAUCCCCAACAUAAUAAUAAAAUUUAUUAUAUAUUCAUGGGUAUAGGUUUUGAUAAAUUUUAUCCCUAUAAUUACAGGUUUUUUAGAUAGAGGAAAAUAUCCCGCUAAUUUCACAUGAUAAGUUAAAAAAAUUAUUAGUGCAGAAUUAAACUAUGAAAAUGUUGUUAAAGGUCUAUAGAUUGGGUGUGUUUGAAUUGAAGAUUACUUGGAAAAUCUUUUAGAAUAAUAGCACUUUUUGCUAUUUGAUGUUUGUGAAACAAAAAGAUGGUUGAAAAAAUAAAGUUGAUUGGGAAAUAUGUUAUAAUGCAACAGAAUUUUUUUGAAAAAGAUAGCAAUCAAAAUAAAUUUUAAUAUCAUCUAAAUAUGGUAUAUUAAAAGAACAACAAUAAACUUUGAAACCCAAAUCAACUAUAUUUCUCUCUUUUUUUAGUAUUACCAACAAAAAAAUGUAUACUUCGUUAUAAAGAAAUAUUUAGCUAUUAAAAGAAAAGCAUAGUCAUAUGCAUACUCCCAAAGAGAAAUUGACAAUAUCUUGACCAUUUUUAGACUUUUAAAAUAUUUCACACUUUAAUUUUUCAAUAACAAUUUUUAUUUUUUCAUUAUUGUGUCAAAUUAGCAAGAUAUUCACCUCAAUCCAAAAAAAAAAUGUAAUUAUGGAGUGGAAUAUAACUAGGACUGUAUCAAUAAAAAUAUUAUAUUUUCAUUAUUAUGUAUGGAACAUUAAUUUUUUACAAAUUAUUUUCUUGGGUGCUAUCAAAUAUUGGAGUUCGCUGAUGAUUUUAGUAACAAACAAACAAAUUGCGAAAAAAAUGACGUUAGAGGAUAAAGUCAAAACAAGCUAUAUGUUAAAGGGAUUUAUUAUAGUUAACUCUUAGGGAUAAAGUGUUAAGAGAUAAAGUGACUAGCAGUUAAGAGAUAAAGUGAGGAAAAAAAUAUCAUUAAAGAAUAAAGUGUAAAAAUGAUUACACCUAAGGAGGAAUAUCUGUGAUUAACACACACACGUGUGUGUGCACGUGCACGUACUGGUUAUUAAGGGAAAUAUUUGCCUAAAAACACAAAGAAAGAAAAAGAGUUCUUCACUAAUUUAAGCAAAUUUUCUGGUUUGGACAAAUUCAGUAUUCGUUAUGAAAGGUUGAUGAGACUCAGCAUCUUUUAACAAAUGUUCCCCUAUCGAUACUAUAUGCUGAAUAUAGCAAUAUAUAGAAACUCUUUUUAAAUGUUUGUGUAGAAUUUUCUGGUUAUUAAGAUGGUCUUUUCUCAUGGUUCAAAUCCGAAAUUUUUUAAAAGAAGUAAAAGUCCUCUCAUAAACAAGAAUAUUAGGGCUCUAAAGGGAGGGGUAACUAAGGUUGCAACUUGAAUAUUUAUGAUUGUUGUCAAUAUAGGUUAUGUAAUAUAAUUUAUGCAUAAAUGUUAAAACUUAACUGUAAAUUUGCUUUUUGUAAAAAGUAAACUGUCUAGUUAUUGGAACUCUAGUGAAGUUGAAAAUUUUAGCUUGCUUUAUCUAUCAUUUGUUAAGUUGACUUUGAUCUAGGUUUUCAAGUUAUAAAUCCUAAUUAUCCUAUAUAUUUAAGCCCAAAUACUCUACUUUACUACAAGUUUACCCGUCAAAUGAUACAAUGAUAAUUGGAUUGAUUCGAUACCGGUGUGGGUAACUACCAUGGUCUUUAAACUUACUAUGGCCUUAUUCGGCAAGCAAGUUUUUGAUCAAAUUUGUCAGCUACAAGUUUUUUAAUAACUUUAACAAUAGUAAUUUCAAAAAACUUCUCAAAAAUUUUAAACUAUACACUUCAAAAUAUUCACAAAUAUACAUAUUUCAAAAAAAUUUCCACAACUUCAACAGUAAAAUUUUAGACAAAUACCAAAAAACUUACUUGCCAAACAGGCUCAUAUCUAAAAAACAAAGAAAUCAAGUAAAAACAAUACUAUUGAUUAAACUAAUAAAAACAAUCAAAAUGACAGUGAAAAACUUGGUACGAGGACUUCCUGAAGCUACAAAUCCCUUGUUGUUCAAGAUUAAGAAAUAAUCCGAUUGAUUUAGGCCAUUAACUCAUGAUUGGUUAAGGAUAUAUAUAUAUAUUUCAAUUUUUUUUGAAUAUUACUUUCACGAUUACUCAAACAUAUACUCGCACUAGACCUUCACCGAUAUGAUCUUAGCUCAUGAAGAUCAAUGUAGUUUUUAGUUAGUCUGCCUAAAUACAUCUCCUACAUAACGUGAACAUGUGUUUUAAGUUUCAUGAAUCUUGAACUAUACUUAUAUGGCAACCUUUAAUACUCAACAAAUGAUUAAGUGAUUCAUAGUUGGUGACCAAACAACUACAAAUGUAAGCAUAGACUCAUGAAUUCACAAAUUCACAAGCUAGCAAAAAUCAACCAAAACUACUUCUAAACAAAUUCAUCUUCAUUUUAGCAAAAAAUAGUUUAGCUAGACAUAAAGUUAAGCUUAUUUAAACACAAGACAUAAAUGAACACAAUAAAUUCAUGUAACAAGACAUAAAUGAACACAAGAAUUUAAACAGCAAAGGAUGAGAGAUUCUUAUUCAUGAUGUUGAAAUAAGCUCCUCAAUUUUCCUUUACUUUUGGUUCAAUCUGCUAAGUUUACAAGCUCUUUUCUUCUACACUACCUCUCUCAAAACUCUCCAAAGUCUCUCUAAGAGUUUCUAAGUCCCCAUGGAUGUAUCUUCAAUCCCUAAUGCAAGGUAUUUGUAGAAGAAAAACCCUAACUAAGUUACUUCUUGGAAAGACACAAAAUCACUGAUUAAUUUACGUAAUAAUUAUAUGAUAUAUUAUAUUAUUUUUAGUCACUUUGGUUACAUUAUUGGAAGAAUAUGAAUCAUUUUGGCUAUAAUUGGUGAAAAAUGCUUUUAAGUGAUUAAAUAAGGUUUUUACCACUUUUUACUUGGAUUUUGUGAAUUUUGACAGUUUUGACAUAUUUUCGUAUUUUGGCUAUAACCUGAGCUACAAUGAUCGGAUUGAGAUGAUUCUUGAACCAAUUUGAAGACAAGAGAUAGAUCUACAACUUUGGUGAAGACAUCUAAAUCCAGUUUGAAGCUUUUCUAGGCCAAAAAGCGGAAUUAGAGUAGCUAAUGUCUAUUGGUCGAAGCUGAAAUAGGGCCAUGAGCAGUCAAGGGUAUUUUGGUCAUUUAUCAGCCUACACAAAUCCAAAUGAGGUGAUUCUUGAUUCAUUGAAAAUUUAACUCAAAGAGCUACAACUUUUAUGUUUCGGUCAAGAGCUAGUUCAGUCUUCAUCAUCAAGAAAAGUUCGGUUGAAAUUGAUGCAAAAACGGAGUAGAGCUGAAAAUUGAACAAAAGUGCACAAAAUGACACUAUAGCAAUCCCGUCGGAAUUUGGCCGGAUUUGUGGCAGGAUUUUGGCUGGAUUUCUGGCCGGAAUGUGGUCAGAGAAGACUACUCUUUACGUGGAAAACUCAAUUUCACCUCCACUAAGUCACAUGCAAUGCUAGACAUGUGAGAAACAUCACCAGCUGUAAAAGGAAGGUGGAUGCCUCAUUUCUUGACCAACUUUCAUCAUAAAAUAGCCAAGACUUGCAAGAUUGAGGGGAUCCAAUAGAGGGAGAUACGGGAGAAGCUUGGAGCGCAGAAAUGUAGCUCUUUCAUCUUCUUAGUGUAGGUUAGUUUAGCUAGUUAGUUCAUCCUUCUUGUAUAUUAGCUAGAUUAGGAUGAAGAUGGAGAUGAAGAAGGAGGAGUUGAAACUCAAGUGACAUGGGUUAUCUCUUCUCCAACUUUUUAUCUUUUGUACUUGAUUCUAAGUUCAGUUAAUAUGCAAGAUCUGGAUUUUGUGUUUAUUAUGUGUCUUUAAAGUUUAUGCCUUGGGUUUGGUUGAACUUUCUAUGAUUGUUAGUGUUUAUUAUUUGGCUAUUUGAUUGCUAGUAUUUGAGCAAUUUAUUUAGCACUUUAGCUCUUUAAAUCAUGAUUAAUCUGGUACCAUUGAUUGUGAUUAUCUAAGGUGUUGUUUCUGCAAUGAAAAUUGAGAUUUAACACUGUUCAAGGAGUGCUAAACAUAGGGAGUACACUCACGAGAGUAGAAGUGCAUCUAUGUGGUUUUGGUGAUUCAUUUCAAGUAAUUUCAUUGAAGAAAUGAACUUGUAGCUAACUUCAUAACUAUGAGAAUAGGUAUGGAUUAGUUAUAAGUAUAAUUGAUUCAUUACGAAAGUAGGAUUCAUGUGCAUAAGGAAAUUACACCAUAACUAGCCUAGAUAGUAGUAUUCAAUGAUCCAAAUAUAGCAUUUGCAUGAGUAGUUAGGGAUACCACAACCUAAGGAGUUUCCAUUUGUUAUUUUCUUGCAUAAUUCAGUAGAUUUUAAUUCUUAUAAUUCAUUGAUAGUCUAAAUAAUAGAGAAACUUUAGUAAUACUGGUAAUUGCAAUCUUCCUUGUGGGAUCAACGCUUAAUACCCUAUACUCACUCACGAUUCGUAUACUUGCGAUAAAUCGCUUGUGGGGUAUUUUGAAGUUUAUAAAUGCAAAACUUGAUUGUGAAUGAGCUAACUAUUAUAUGUAUACCCUGCGCACGUCAAGUUUUUGGCGCCGUUGCCGGGGAAGAUUUGGCAAUAUCGUUGUGAAGAGUAACUUUAUUAAUUUAGACAUUUUUACUUGUUAUAGUCACUACAAGAAAUAUGUUUUUCAGUGACAAAAAUUUAUGUGACAACAAAAAUCUUGUCACAGAUAACCUAAUUCAGUGACGACAUUAGGUGUCAUCACAGAUGAGUACAGCACAAGCAUAAUCAGUGACAACAUUGGAAGUUGUCAUUCUCAACUCGUCACGAAAUAGUUGGCGCGCAUCUCAUUUGAUGCCGUGGGAAAUGAAUUUAUGACAACUCAAGUAAAGUCGUCACAAACGCUCUCUCUACAGUGACAACAUAACUUGUUGUCAUUGAAAGUCUACCCGAUUCCAAUUUUGUGACAACUUUUUGCAUCACUAUAUACUACAGUAUUUUCAUCAACUUUCACUAAUUCUACUAUGACACCCUAAUUUUAUUUUUUAGCCCCCAAUUCUUUUAUAUUAGCAAAAGCACCGAAGAUAUGACACCCUAAUUUUAUAAUUUAGCCCCUAUUCAUUACGUAUUAGCAAAAUGCAAAUGAUAUAAUAACAAACUAUUUUUAGAUAUUUGUAAUUUUUGCUAAGUUGACAUAAUAGACAUGUCUGAGCAUAAAAAAAAUUGUUUAUUAUUCCUUAUAACAACCCCCAAAAAUCAAUAACUGAAAUAAUUUGAAAAAGUGUAAUUGAAUAUAAUUUGUAGUCUAAUGUUAGCACUGUGAAAGAUUAGUAUAACGUGUAAUACAUCAUAAGUAAUAAUUAUUUUCAUAUGGAAUGGGUAUAUACGAAAUUAAAAUUAUUCAGUAAAAUAUCUGUCGUGCAAUAAGAUUGAGAGUUGUAACACAUUUAACAGAAUAUUUGAUUACAUGUUUCUUUUAAUUUAUUAUAAAAACUAAGUAAUAGACAAAGAGUAGGAUAAGCAUGAGUAAGAAGUGCUAUACUGUAUAUAAGCAAUUCUAUAGUAUUUUCAUCAAAUUUCACUAAUUCUACUAUGGCACCCUAAUUUUAUUAUUUAGCCCCCAAUUCUUUUAUAUGAGCAAAAGCACCGAAGAUAUGACACCCUAAUUUUAUAAUUUAGCCCCUAUUCAUUACGUAUUAGCAAAAUGCAAAUGAUAUAAUAACAAACUAUUUUUAGAUAUUUGUAAUUUUUGCUAAGUUGACAUAAUAGACAUGUCUGAGCAUAAAAAUGUUUUCACGAAUUGUUUAUUAUUCCUUAUAACAACCUCCAAAAAUCAAUAACUGAAAUAAUUUGAAAAAGUGUAAUUGAAUAUAAUUUGUAGUCUAAUGUUAGCACUGUGAAAGAUUAGUAUAAUAUGUAAUACAUCAUAAGUAAUAAUUAUUUUCAUAUGGAAUGGGUAUAUACGAAAUUAAAAUUAUUCAGUAAAAUAUCUGUCGUGCAAUAAGAUUGAGAGUUUUAACACAUUUAACAGAAUAUUUGAUUACAUGUUUCUUUUAAUUUAUUAUAAAAACUAAGUAAUAGACAAAGAGUAGGAUAAGCAUGAGUAAGAAGUGCUAUACUGUAUAUAAGCAAUUCUAUAGUAUUUUCAUCAAAUUUCACUAAUUCUACUAUGACACCCUAAUUUUAUUAUUUAGCCCCCAAUUCUUUUAUAUGAGCAAAAGCACCGAAGAUAUGACACCCUAAUUUUAUAAUUUAGCCCCUAUUCAUUAUGUAUUAGCAAAAUGCAAAUGAUAUAAUAACAAACUAUUUUUAGAUAUUUGUAAUUUUUGCUAAGUUGACAUAAUAGACAUGUCUGAGCAUAAAAAUGUUUUCACGAAUUGUUUAUUAUUCCUUAUAACAACCCCCAAAAAUCAAUAACUGAAAUAAUUUGAAAAAGUGUAAUUGAAUAUAAUUUGUAGUCUAAUGUUAGCACUGUGAAAGAUUAGUAUAACGUGUAAUACAUCAUAAGUAAUAAUUAUUUUCAUAUGGAAUGGGUAUAUACGAAAUUAAAAUUAUUCAGUAAAAUAUCUGUCGUGCAAUAAGAUUGAGAGUUGUAACACAUUUAACAGAAUAUUUGAUUACAUGUUUCUUUUAAUUUAUUAUAAAAACUAAGUAAUAGACAAAGAGUAGGAUAAGCAUGAGUAAGAAGUGUAUACUGUAUAUAAGCGAUUCUAUGCAUGUUAAAUUUUUGAAACAUGUUUUAUUGUGUAAGUUUUAUUGUAAGGUAAUUUCUUAAAUAAUUUGUAUAUUGAGUUGUCCAAACCCAAAAAGAUGUAUAUAGACACAAACAAGCACACAUAUAUAUACAUGCACAAAAAAGAAACCAAUAUCAAAUAAUUUAUUUGAUAUUUAUAGAUGAGAUUAAGGAAAAAAAAAGAGAUUAAGUAUGAAAAAAGAAACCUGAAAAAAAAAAUUGGCUAAAAAAAAAAAGAAAAAAGAUGUAUGAAGCUAAAGGCGUGAAUCCUGGAAUCUCAAAGACGUGCUUAGAUGCCAAAAAAAAAGAGCGCCAGUCUGAAAUCUGAAAGAGGCGCGAGGUGGGUGGCUGAAAUCUCUACAAAACGACGUCGUUUUGGUUGUUCACACACAAACAAAAGUCUCGCCGCUUCUCUCUUCCAACACUUAGACAAAUUUCAUUCUCAGUCUUUCCUUCCUAUGGUGAACUAACCCUCCUUCCCGUGAGCAAGAAAAGCUGAGGGGGAAGCCUGAGAAAGGGCGGCUAGGUUUUAGAGGAGAAAAAGAGAAAUAGAAGAGCAGAGAAGCAGCUAGGGUUCUUGGAAGGGAGGCCUUGAGCGUGAAAAGAAAAAAAACAGAGUGAAGGAAGAGUGGCGGCUGAUAGGAAGAUCAGGAGAGAAAGACGCGGCAACGGACAGAGGAGGAAGAACCAGGUCACCACCAGUCCGCGUCCGCUCUGCUGCUGUCUGCCAUCGCCAACACCGCGCACAACCUCCCGGGCUGCUGCCGUUCUCUGUAUCACUAGAUGAAGGCUCUCGGAGGAAGUCAGACCUAGUCAUCUUCCAAUUCCAACUCACCGUCUUCACCUUCGUCAUAAUCGCCGUCGCCACCGCUCAAGUAAGAGCACUAUAAGUCGCCCCUUUUUCUUUGAAUUUCAGUUCCUUCCCAAGUCCUCUAAGCAUGUCUGCCAUGGCUUCGUUUAUUGCAAUUGCCCCGUUGAUUGUUCAAAUUUUAGCAUGCGCAUGUUUAUAUCAUGAUUGAAUUUGAAAUCCCUUGUACUUCUGAUGAUUUUGGGGCCAACCGUGGCUUCAUUUGAGCAAAGAAUUGCUGGAAUUUUUCAUGUUCGUUUACUGUUUGUUGAAAUGCCCAAGUGGUCUAACAGCAGGCCGUAACAGGGCAUUCGUUCAAUGCUCAUUGCUGCAUUUCCCUAUCCAUAUUAUUGACUCAAAAAGACUCCAGCAACCAAAAAAGCUAUUUUGUUCCAGAAAAUGAUAGGUCAAGUUUACUCAACUCACGAUUUUAUCAUAUGAAAAAACACUUUGAAUAAAGCAAAGAUUCAAAGUAGGCAACUGGACUUUAUUUAGUUACAAAACAGUAGAAAAAGGACAUGGUUUUGACGAAUUUCUUUUUUUUUUUUAAUGCCGGAAAUAUUCCAGCAGGUUGAUACUGAACACCUGGAAAAUCAUGAGGCUGCUACCUUUUAUAUCCGUGACAAUGCGUAAGGGAAUAGGAUCCUUCCAUCUUCUUCUUUUUUUACAGUAAAGCAAAGCGUAUACUACAUGGUAAUAGGAACCUGAGCUUAUCCCGUCAUCUUGAUUCUUUUCUUUUCUUUUUUUUUCCCCGAAGGGUAUGACAUGCUCUGCCCUACAAAAUGGGAGCUAUAGUUUUUUUCUUUCAUUUCCUUUCUUUUGAGAAGACAUGGUUUCAUUAGUUUAGUAUUAUAUUUCUGAUCAUAUAUCACUAUCGGAAUUGGUAGUAGUUGUAUUCAUGGAAGUUAAACAUUUAUGUUCCUAACAGGUGCAUGGGUCCUUAUUGUAAAAUAUAUAUUAAUUAGCUAAAUACAGGUUCUCUCUUCUUGGUUUCUUAAAAUCAGCUAAUUAUAGUUUCUUUUAAGCUAAAAGCAUCUGAGUAACAAAAUCGAUUUUAUGCAGAAAGGCUAUUUAUGAGGAGCAGUCUUCUAGUUAGUUUUGAAAACAGCUUUUUAGGUUGGAGAAAUUUUAAAAGUGAAACGUAAUUCCAAAUUUUUGGAGUUCACCUUUUGGAUGAUCACCUUUUCUAAUCAGCUUCAGAAAAGCUGAAUCGAACAAGGGCAGCUUAUUUUUAUUGCAUGGUCUAAUUAGUUUUGAUAACCUGUGCAUGCUAACAAUUUCAACAACAUGAUUCUGUAGGGUACUGGCAAAUAAAACUUGAUUGCUUGUGUUGGCCAUCUUCUAUGAUUUGGCUAUAUACUUGGCUUUCCUGAAUCAGGAAUAUUGGUCGAUGCAAUAUGUUGUUGUUUCUUGAGUUGCAUGGAGCACAUUUUGGUGCCAUCCAUUUGGUCCUAUUUACUGAUUUUAUUGUGAUAUAAGAAAAGAAUAUAGUUGUUAUCUUUGGAAGAUAACUUAACAAAUUGAUAUGGAAAUCCGGAUGUUUCCAUAUAAUCAAAAGUUGCAAUGUUGGAAAGAGUUAUAGGACGACAAUUGCAGGCUGGAGGAAAAGAUGGACUAAAACCACAGUGGAAUGUUAGUAAUUUAAUUAAUAUGUGGUCUUGCUGCUUAUGGAAGAGCAUGACCAAAAAAGGGUAGAAUAGAAGUAAAGGGCUGAUGUACAAGGGUGAGAUUGAAUAGGAUAAAGUCUUGGUUGUGUUCUUGGCUUCCUGAUUAUCACCAUGUUUAACAUCAUGGAAACUUUGUCAAAUGCAAUAAAGAGAAGAAGGCAUGUUUUCAAUUUAUAUUUGUAUUUACUAUGUGUUUCCACAUUCCUUUAUAUCUUUGAUGCUCUGAUGUCGGGCUGUUAUGAUGACCUGUGUUUGAUGCUUAUAUUCUUUGAUAAUAGUCCCCAGGUCAUUUUCUUCCUAAUUGCAUUAUCCUUUGUAUUAUUGCCAUCUGAAAGCAAAUGCAUCUUUGUUACCCCAAUUUUGGUGAUAAUACUUCUCCCUUCCCUUGAGACGCAACAUGUCCACUAGCCAUAUGACCUUUCAUUUUCCCCCUUUUUUUAGAUAAUAAAUAAUCUGAAUAUCACCUCAUUACAUAAUUAAAUGUAUUUGUUGUGUCGCAGGGAUUGUAUCCUGGGUACAUGAUUUUCUUUGUUCAGUCUGCUUUGUUUAUUGCUGGUUCAAGAGGUAUGAAUAUGGUCUUUACUUUGGCAUAUUGUGCUUAGGAAUGUAUUUCAUCAUUUGCCUGGAUAUCUAAUUUCUUUUGUGGUAUAAAUAAAUUGUUUGCUCUUCAUAGUUAUUACAAUUGAGGCACUUGAAUUCUGGUUCUACAAAAUAGAGAUUCAUUUUUAAUACAAUUGGGUUGCUUGAUGUCAAUUUAGUUGCUUGAUGGCACUUGAAAUCUGGUUCCACCAAAUCUGAUUCCUGUUUAAUGCAAUUGAGUUGCUUGGGGCUGAUUUAGGUGCUUGAAAUCUUGUUCAUGUUUAAUUACAGCCAUUGAGGUGCUGGAUGUUGCAACCAAAACUUUAGUGUUUUUAAAGCAAAUGUGUUUGAACGUUGGGAUGUAUUCCACUUUUUUCUUUGUCGAACUCAUCUAAAUUUUUCUGUAUCAGAAUUUCUUUUUUGUGCUAAGGAAAAAGAGGCACCUGUGAUUGUGUGUGUGUGUGUGUGUAUUUUUUUUCUUGAUAUACUGUGUGGUUCACGGUCAUCUAGGCUCUCAAUGAUUUUAGGAUUUUAUUGCUGUUAUUGUUAUUGUUAUUGCAUAUAUAUUUGUGAACAUGCAGAUAUUUAUUGUGUUUGUAUUGUUAUUCUAUAUUUCACAGAAUAUACAUUCAAUGUCUUAUUUGCUAUAAUUUCACUUUAUUUUUGUGUUAAGCAAUUUACUUAGAUUGCUAUAAUUUCAAAUUAGAGUGACAUUAGUUUUUAUAAUAUGGUGCCUAUCUAGAAGUGUAGUUCCAGUUUUAACACCAGUGCUCAUUGCUUCAAUUUUGGUAACGUGUAGGUUCUAACACGAUUUCCAAGAAGAAGAAGCCAGUCAUUGCUGUGAAGAUGGUUUUUGAAUUGAAGACUACAAGGCCUAUCGUGCUCAUGUUUUGUUCUAGAUGAGAAUCGUGCUCAUAUUUUUGUAUAGAACUUUACUACUCUCUAUUGUGGAUGGGAAAUCACUAGUAUUGUAACUGAAUGGCUUAUUUUGGAUGGUGCAUGGUUUAUGACUCAUUUGAGGCAACAUUUAUAUAUAUAUGUAUUUGGGUUGAUCUUCUAUUGGAAAUGAAUGUUGGCUUUCUUUUCGUAUGUUGGCUUUUUUUUUCUCCUUGCUACUCAAUGAACGUUUUGUGAUUGUUGGCAGAUAUGUUGCGUAAUUAACAUUAGAUUAUUGCUUUUUACAAAAAAAUAAAUGACAAUAAAAAAGUUGUCACUGCCAACAAGUUUCACUAGUGACACCAGAAAGUCGUCACUUUUUAUGGAUGGAAAACAAUGACAACAAAAGUCGUCACUGAACGGAAGCAUAAUGUGACAACUCCAAGGGUUGACUAUGACAAGAAUUUAGCCAGCUUAGUGACAAUAAAAGUCGUCACACAAUGUACAACAAUGAGUGACGACAAGAGUCAUCACAAAAGCGAAAUCGUUUGUGACGACUUUCAACAGUCGUCACAUGGACCCCCUUUUGUGACAUAGAUCUAGUGACAGCUCUAUGACAGCAGUAAAAGUCGUCACUGACUUUUUUUGUGAUGACUUCUGAAUUUUUAGUGACGACUUUUGCCUGUCACAGAAACGCAAUUUUCUUGUCGUGAGUGUGGAUGUUAUUUUUGUGUUUUAUGUGUGUAUGUGUAUCAUUACCUAUUUUUCUUACUAAUUUUGCUGUUGAAGUUGUUUAAAAGCAAUUUUAGGUGAUGAGAAGGGUAGGUCAAUUUGGAGGACAAUGCUUGAGAAGUGGAAGAUUGGUAAUGGAUGAUUACCAAGUGCAAAGCUCCUUCAAUAGAGGUAACCAAGAAAUUACUGAAUGCAUGUCUUUUGAAGAUAGUUUAAGGUGCUUAAAGGCAAAAUUUGAUGUAAUUAAAGUUCAAAUGGACACCAUGAUGCAUGAAAUUGAGCAGAGGAGGAAUGUUAAUGCUUUUAAUUCUUAUCAUGUGAUUUGUGACUUGUGUGGAGGUUAUCAUGUUACUAGUACAUGCAUGCAAGCACAAAAUGUGGAUUAUUAUAAUGAAGUAGAGCAUUACAGUCCUUGUUUUGAUCAAUAUAGUGCUAAUUGGAGCAAUUCUCAUGCUUAUGGUUAGGAUAAUCAAUGUACUUAUAGUGAUUAUCCAUAUUUUUAUGAUUACCAACCUGAAAGUAUCCAAUAUGAAUCAAAACCAUCUUGGGAGUUGGCAAUAGAGAAGUUAGCUAAUGCACCUCUACCUCGGGAGUUAGAAAGUGAACCAUUAGCUAAUGAUUCUAAUGCAUCUUGGGAGCUAGCUGUAGAAAAUUUUUCUAAUCAAUUUGAUUUAGCAAUAGAAAAGCUAGCAAAUGCAACUUCCGACCGUUUUGAUAGGAUUGAGGAAAGAAUAGAUGAAUUAGCUUCUCACUUUGGUAGAAUACAUGAGUAAUUGAAUGCAUUGUGUGAAAUUAUUUCCUCUAAUAAUUUGCAAAAUGAUCCUAGCAUGAAUGGUGGAAAUGUUGUAUGUGAAAAUGGAUUGCAUUUUGAUGAAAAUGAUGAAUCUCAAGUGUGUUUUGAUGAGCAAAUAACCAUUUCACAUGAUAAUAUCUUUGGAACUAACUUUGAGCCUUAAGAGGUGAGUUUUAAUGACUCAUUUUUCACCCCUUUUGAGGAGUGCAUUGAAAGUAUAGGUUCUAAAGGUAUUAAUGCCCAAGAUAGCCUCAUUGCAGCUCCUUUGGUAAGUUUUCAAGUGGUGAAUAUUAAAGAUAAUAUCUAUGAAUCACUUGAGAUAGGUAAGCCACUUUCAUUUCUCACAUCAUUAGAUCAUGUGGUCUUGGCUAUAAAGUCACCAUUUAAUGAUCCACCACGACCUAUAAUGGUGGAUUAUUUGUUAACCAAACCUCCUUGAUAAUGAGGUUAUAUAGUCAAGCUAAUGACUAUAAAGAAGCGCUAGUUGGGAGACAACCCAACGAUUUCUUAUUUUUAGUAAGUUUAAGUUGUUUAAUUAUUGUUUUUGUGUGUUUUAUAAGUGGCAAUGGCAAUGGUUUAUCCAAAUUGUUCAAGUGCAAAAGAGAUUAGAAGGAAGUAAAAGGGAGUUUUCUUGUUCAUUUGAUCUAAUUCAUGCAUUUAAAGUGUUUUAAGCUAAUGCUAUAUCGAUGCAUGAUUUCAUGAUUCUAAUUGCAUUCAGUUGAGAAAAGCACAUAUUUCGUGUUUAAGGUGAGUUUUUCUUGAAAAAAAUGAAGAAAGUUGAAAAUUGGGUGAGUUGCAAGCUUGAUUAAAUGGAAAACGGAAGGAAAAAGUGCAGAAAUAAAAAUUUUCUGCAACAAAUCCGACUUCAAAUCCGGCCAUAAAAUGGCCGGAUAUUUGGCCGGAUUAACAGGGGAAGAAAAUGAAAAUUUUUGGAGCUACUGGCUCGAAUCCGACAGGAAAUCCAGCCUAAUUUUGGCUGGAUAUGCAGAAUUGAAAAAAAAAAAAAUUCAAUCCGGCCAGAAAUCCGGCCGAGUUUCGGCCCUACAACUCGGCCGGAUUGAUCUGCGAUAUUGAAAAAAUUUUGUUUGGCUACUGGCCAGUACUCGGCCGAGAAUCCGGCUGGAUAUCCUGCCAAAAACCGGUGGAUUCUGGCCGGUUUUGCGCAUCAAAGGGGAAUCCGUGCACGCACGGAUUCCCCAAAUUCCUUCUUCCUUUCUUCUUCAAUUCACACACACACUCACACCUAAAACACACACUAUUCCUAAAAUUCAUCUUUUCACCAUCCAAUCUCCAAACUGAAUACAUCAAAACAUUCCCCUUUCCCUUGUGAGUUGAUUUCAUAACUUAAAAUCCUUCAAAAACAAGUUUUAAUUCGGAUUUGAGUUUGAGAAGAACAAGGGUUUCAAAAUUUUGAAUUCUUCAUUUGGGGCCAAAUUGGAGUGAAAUUUUGGGGGUUUCUUCACCAUUUGCAUCCAUAAUCAUCAACAAACAAGUUUGAGGUAACAAAUCUUUACCAAAUGUUGUCAUUUGAAUUUUGCCAAUUUUCAUUUUUUUUUCUAUUUUUGAGCAACUUCGAAUUUUUUUCAUUUUGUGAAGUUUGAUGCUUUUUAUUAUGCUUAUUGAGCUUAUUGAUGAUUAUUGGUGAUGUUUAACUCAUGGGUUUGUGAUUAUUUGGUGACUUUAGCAAUUUUUAGCUAAUUUUGAGGAUUAAUUUGAUUUGAUAAUUAUUAGCUAAAUUCUUGAGCCAAUUAGAUUAAAGAAAAAUGUAGGAGAUCAAUGGAUUGUUCUAGGAUAUUUACAUGCUAAAUUUAGGCUUAAUUGGCUUAUCCUUUGAUUUUUAGCACGUUUAUUCUAGAAAUUUUGGUGAAAAGAAGAAUUAAUGACCUUUUUAAGUUUAAAAUUCAUGGUUAAGGUGUUGUUAAUACUUAAUUAUGCUUAUUUAGGUCAUUAAGUUGGGAGUGAGUUGUGUGUUUGUUUAAUUGCUUCCUCUAAUUAUUUGGACAUUAUAUGCUUAAAUGUUUUAUUUGGGGAAAUGAUAAGAGCACUUGUUGUUGAUAAUCAAUUUUGAUUUUUACUUAUGGUGUUAAUUGUUAAUUAUUAUAUAAGUAAGUUGAUAAGAUUGUCUAAUUAAAGAUAAAGGGGUAAAAGUGAAUGAGUUUUCCUUAUCUUUACUUAGCAAUGUACCUAUUAAAUGAAGUUAAUGUUUAAUUAUUGAAUUUAGGUACAAUGGCUCGCACUAAGAAAGCCGGAGUGAAAUCUCCUCCUCCUAAUAGAAGAGGAGAAUCUUCGACGUCUAGACCACCGCGCAUGAAAAGAAAAGCAAGUAGACGUUUAGUUCUUGAGGACGAGCCAUCAUCUGGAGAAGAGACUCAACAACAAGAGGAACAAGAGGCACAAGGGGAACAAGAGGAGGAAGUCUCUUAUGAUAAGUCGCGCUUCACCUCCGUCGAAAAUGAAACUUGGUACAAUGCUAGGAAGGGAGCUAAGGUAUUGGUGGAGAAAGAUAUCACUCAGGAUGCUGAGGAGGUCUACCAUCUCAAGGCCUCCUUUGCCAAAUUGGGAUGGGAAAACUUCUUUAACAUCCCAAACUUCUAUUAUGAAGAGUUUGUUCGAGAAUUUUAUGCAAAUGUGGAGGACAAGAAGGUUUUUCACUACGAUACAGAGGUGAUUACCAGUACAGUGCGAGGGAGACAAGUUCGAGUCCAUAGAGCUGAUUUGGAGAGCUAUCUUCAUGUUUCGGAUGUUAGGUAUAAGGUAGAUUUGAAGAAAGCUUUCAAACCCAACGAUUUGGACUCUUGGAACAUGCUAGAGGCACUUGUACGCUUGGGGAUUGAGUACAAGGCUACUCGGAAGACUGGGAGAUAUUCAGUAUUGACCUCAUCCUUUCCGGAGUCACAAUGUCUUCUUAUUUACCUGUUCGUCCAAUACUAUUUCGAGGGCAAGUGGAACCAAUGAGGCACGCACAAGUGACAUCUACUUCUUGGAUAAAAUGGAGCAUGGUCUAGGCAACAUCCGAGAUAUUCCAUUGGGAAGCAUUAUCACCAAUCACAUGUGGACAGUGGUUCGCACUUCGCAGUAAUGACAUUAAACAUGCUUUCUCAUAUCCUCGCUUCUUGACCUUGGAGUUUCAAAGGGCUGGAGUGGAUUUUUCUAACGCUAUCCCUACAGGUCUCAAGAAAAUGACGUCUUUACACUUGAAUUUUGCAGGUUUAUUUUGAAGAGUAAAGACGUAGGUGGUCCUUCAACUCAAGAAGGUGCUCAUGGAGAUAUUAGGCACGAGGAGGAAGCGGAAAUUGCAUGAAUUGAAGGGGUUGACACAACCACCCCCCGGGUUCAACUGAGCCAUCUUCCUCACAUCGUCCAUCCUCGCCUCAGGACACUCGAUCAUUUCUGAAGAAGAUAAUGGAUAAACUGCUUUGCGUUGAGACUGAGGUGAAGAAGAGUCGACAAGAGAACAAGCGGAACUCCGAGCGUCUUCGUCGCAUCGAGACCAAACUGGCCAUUGAAGCUCCUCCGACUCCACCCUCUUCACCUGACCAAGCGGCUACUUGAGGGAGUGCUCGUCACCAUGUGACAUUGCCGCUAGUUUUUUUUUUUUAUUUUCUGUAGUACUUGUGAUGUUUUCCUUUUUAGUAAUUUUCUUUAUUUCUUUUUUGUGGACUAAUCCAAGCGAUCUUCAUCUUUGUUGUGGUGUUAGUGAUUCGGACUACUUAUGGUUGGAAAUUCAUCACUUGGACAUGGAUUCGGAUUGCGCAAGUUCAAUUGAGCAGUAUUUUCUUUUACUCUUUAUUUAUUUUCCUUUUCUCACAUUGAGGACAAUGUGAAGUUUAAGUGUGGGGGAGGGAAAUAUUUGAACUUGCAUUUUAAUGUUAUGUGAUGAUAUUUUGUGGAUUUAAAUGCUUAGAAAUGUUGGAAUUGUGCUUGGAUAUAUUGCCAUGUGGAUAAUUUGCUUGACAUUGGGUAUGUUGGCAGAGAGUUUCAUCUGUUUAUAAGAGGAAACUUUGUCAAAAUUUUUCUAAAAUCUUUUCCAAUAUUUCAUUAAGGCCCAAAAGUUCUUCAAAUUUUUGCAUUUUUAUUCAAAAAGGGCCAAUUUGUUCCAACCUUAAGUGUUUUAUUCUUCCAUUUGUUGAAACGUUAUAUGUAUUUUGGAAUAUUUAAUCCUCAUUUAACUUGGAAAUGAUUAAUAUGCAAUUAGGAUUCUUACAUUUUAAAAAGUAUAUCCGGUAAAGUUGGGAGAAUUAUGCCUAUAAUUUUGCAUUUUGAAUGAGAUUUCUCCUCUUUAUUUAAUUUUUCAAUUAAGUGAUUGAUAUAGUCGAUAAAGGUUAUACUCUUCCUUUGAUUAUUCUUAUAUAUUUUCUAUGAAGGAAAAUUUAUUUAUUGUCUUAUAAAAAAAAGAAGAAGAAAAAAAAGAAAAAAAAGAAAGUAAAUAAAAAUUAUUCUACUCCAAUGAUUCUCGUAUCAAGUAACCAGGGGUUGGCAUCUACAAAUGUCUACAUUCGCGUAAAAAGGUAUUUGAAUUAAGAGUAUGCAUAGCAACUUGAAUAAGUGAAAUGUUGAGUAACCGGGGAUCUUCACCUAAAAGUGUCGAUGUUCGCGUAAAAAGGCAUUUUCACUAUUUAAGUAAAAUUAGUGUGAAUAAGCCCCUCUUAGUUGUAAAAUAAAAAGAUAAAAAAAAAAAGAAAAGGAUGAAGAUAGGAGGAGGAAUGCUAUAAAUUGACUAUAUGAUUUGCUUAUUUGUGAAAUUAGAUUAGGGUGAGAAAUUAAGUUUAAUUUGUUAAAUUAGUGUAUAAUUACCUUUCCUUUACUUAAUAUUAUGAGUAUUUAGUGUAAUUUGAACAAUUACAUAAUGAUUGUUUUCCAAGUCAUGAGGAAUUAAAUUUGACAAAAGUGCAUAUAUUGUUUUACCCCUUGAAUCAUUGUAGUUGAUUAUGUAUGGAUUACUUGAGAACAAGCAAUGAUUUAAGUGUGGGGGACUUUGAUAAGUGACUAAUUUACGUAAUAAUUAUAUGAUAUUUUAUAUUAUUUUUAGUCACUUUGGUUACAUUAUUGGAAGAAUAUGAAUCAUUUUGGCUAUAAUUGGUGAAAAAUGCUUUUAAGUGAUUAAAUAAGGUUUUUAUCACUUUUUACUUGGAUUUUGUGAAUUUUGACAGUUUUGAAACAUUUUCAUAUUUCAGCUAUAACUUGAGUUACAAUGAUCGGAUUGAGAUGAUUCUUGAACCAAUUUGAAGAUAAGAGAUAGAUCUACAACUUUGGUGAAGACAGCUAAAUCCAGUUUGAAGGUUUUCCAGGUCAAAAAGCCCAAUUACAGUAGCUAAUGUCUAUUGGUCGAAGCUGAAACAGGGUCAUGAGCAGUCAAGGGUAUUUUGGUCAUUUUUCAGCAUACACAAAUCCAAAUGAGGCGAUUCUUGAUGAAUUGGAAAGCUAACUCAAAGAGCUACAACUUUUAUGUUUUGGUCAAGAGAUAGUUCAGUCUCCAUCAUCAAGAAAAGUUCGGUUGAAGUUGAUGCAAAAACGGAGCAGAGCUGGAAAUUGAACAAAAGUGCACAAAAUGACACUAUAGCAAUCCCACCGGAAUUUGGCCAGAUUUGUGGCAGGAUUUCUGGCCGGAUUGUGGUCAGAGAAGACUGCUCUUUACGCGGAAAACUCAAUUUCACCUCCACUAAGUCACAUGCAAUGCUAGACAUGUGAGAAACAUCACCAGCUGUAAAAGGAAGGUGGAUGCCUCAUUUCUUGACCAACUUUCAUCAUAAAAUAGCCAAGACUUGCAAGAUUGAGGGGAUCCAAUAGAGGGAGAUACGGGAGAAGCUUGGAGCGCAGAAAUAUAGCUCUUUCAUCUUCUUAGUGUAGGUUAGUUUAGCUAGUUAGUUCAUUCUUCUUGUAUAUUAGCUAGAUUAGGAUGAAGAUGGAGAUGAAGAAGGAGGAGUUGAAACUCAAGUGACAUGGGUUAUCUCUUCUCCAACUCUUUAUCUUUUGUACUUGAUUCUAAGUUCAGUUAAUAUGCAAGAUCUGGAUUUUGUGUUUAUUAUGUGUCUUUAAAGUUUAUGCCUUGGGUUUGGUUGAACUUUCUAUGAUUGUUAGUGUUUAUUAUUUGGCUAUUUGAUUGCUAGUAUUUGAGCAAUUUAUUUAGCACUUUAGCUCUUUAAAUCAUGAUUAAUCUGGUACUAUUGAUUGUGAUUAUCUAAGGUGUUGUUUCUGCAAUGAAAAUUGAGAUUUAAUACUGGUUCAAGAAGUGCUAAACAUAGGGAGUACACUCACGAGAGUUGAGGUGCAUCUAUGUGGUUUUGGUGAUUCAUUUCAUGUAAUUUCAUUGAAGAAAUGAACUUGUAGCUAACUUCAUAACUAUGAGCAUAUGUAUGGAUUAGUUAUAAGUAUAAUUGAUUCACUACGAAUGUAGGAUUCACGUGCAUAAGGAAAUUACACCAUAACUAGCCUAGAUAGUAGUACUCAAUGAUCCAAAUAUAGCAUUUGCAUGAGUAGUUAGGGAUACCACAACCUAAGGAGUUUCCAUUUGUUAUUUUCUUGCAUAAGUCAGUAGAUUUUAAUUCUUAUAAUUCAUUGAUAGUCUAAAUAAUAGAGAAAUUUUAGUAAUACUGGUAAUUGCAAUCUUCCUUGUGGAAUCGAUCCUUAAUACCCUAUAUUCACUCACGAUUCGUAUACUUGCGAUAAAUUGCGUGUGGGGUAUUUUGGAGUUUAUAAAUGUAAAACUUGGUUGUGAAUGAGCUAAUAAUUAUAUGUAUACCUUGCACACGUCAGAAAAACAGCUGAAAUCUAUGCUAUAAAUGAAGUUGUAAAGCAGUGUGAAAUGCCUGCAAGUAGCUGCGCAAGGACUUGUUCAACUGCAUUAAGAAUACGCGGGUAGGAAAAUGUGGGUGUGGUCCGCAUUUUAGUUGGCGUUCUUGCCUCCUCUACAUUUUCUGAUUUUCUUUCUUUUAGGGUUCACCUCAAAACGUGUGUGAAAACAUGAGUAGCCACCCAUUUUUGUCCACAUUUUAUAUUCGGGAAACUUGAGUUGCUCACUUUUGUCAUUUUCUAAUUGUCAUCAAAUCAUUUCCAACACGUUAUUUGUAUUCUACUUGUUCCAAAUCAAUCAUCAAUCACCAAAACCUACCAAAAGUAACAUAAUUUGUAAGUUAAACCAUUCAAAUGCAUUUUUUGGUUGUCAAAUGUGACUUAUAGAAAUAAUUGGCAAAGGAGCUAAAUUUCAUCUUUAUCCCUUAAAAACACACCAAAAACUAGUAAUAAAUUACACUCAAAACAUGCAAAUAAAAUGCUUGCCAAAGUUUAUCAUCUAGUGGUUCAAAUUUCUGUGAUUCCAAUUGAGUUUUAUGAAAUUUCAUUUACUUUUUUUGUUUUAUACAUUGAACAAAAGAAUCAAUUUAGCCAAAUUGUACAGUUUCGGAGCUAAAUGUUUUAGGCAUCAAUACAAGGGACAAAUUUAGCAGAAAUUAUAUGCUUCAUAAUGAACUUGUUUUGCCAAAACAUUGGCCAUCACCUUGUGAAAUAUCCCACGUCGACAAAUAGAAGACGAAGGGAAAGGAACAUAAUGUUCGAUCGAUCUGUUGAUUUAUUUAUAACAUUGGGUUAACCAUUUUAAUUUCAUAGUUUCAGCUCAAAACUAUUAUUGGGCUAGCCUAUUGGGUGCAGGCAUUACAAAUGGCAUUAGAGUGAAUUUCGCGUGAUCUCUAUAUGAAUGAGUCUAGGGUCAAGUGAUGUUAUGGUUCCAACUACAGUGGUCUUCAAAUUUGCAUUUUUUAUCUAUUAUCGUCAUUGUAAAUUACCUUCAUUUACAUAAUUUUUUUGUUAAAAAUUAUUGGCUCUGUUUGGAUUAACUGUUGUUGAAAAUAUUUUACUACAGUAGUAUAUGUAAAAAACUUUUACUGUAGAUUGUUUUUGUGGUGUUUUUUGAGGGUUUUUGGAAUAUAUUUUGGUGUACUUUUGAAAUUAAAAAAUUUUUUAAUAUACCUUUUAAAAAUUAACACUAUCACCCACAAUCGCCACCAUUCUAUCCUUGUUAUUUUCUCCUCCCUCUCCCUCUUCCUUCUUCUCUUUCUCUCCUUCCCUCUUCCUCCUCCCCUCUUUCCAUCCCUCUUCCUGGAGGGAAAGAGAGAAAGAGAAGAAGGAAAAUGGAUUGCUAUAGUAAUACAAUGCUACAUCGUCUUUGGUUUUGAACAAUAUAUCAUGUCUCUCUUCUGCUUUUUCCUUGUUAUUUUCUUGGAACAGUUGUUCACUCCUUUAGACCAAUUUUUUUUUUUUAUUAUUGAAUUCUCGAUUACUGGCCGGUAAGCACCCCCACCCAUAACUCAUGACUAUGCAGCAUGAUUGUGUUGCUAAUUUGCUAUUAAGAAAAGGGUCUAUUACAAGGGAAACUAGUUUGGACGUUCCUAUGCAUUCUGAUUGUUCACUUCGUUCUUCAAUGAGUAUACUUUGAUUACCAUUAACAAUUGCAGAUUUUUAUGCCCUUGAUAAUUCAGGAUAGAACAGCAAUACAAACUGAAAUUUUAUAUCAGCUAUUUGUUUAGAAUUUUGUCCUGUUUUGGUGAUACACAUGUAAUUUACUUUGAUUUGCUAUCAAAAGUGGAUUGGUUGUGGUUCAAUUUCUAGCCAAUUCUAGUUAACCUAACCGUAGCUAUUGGUGUAGGAAUAAGAAUAGAGGAAGAUGAUAGAAGCUGUUCCUAUGAAAUUGGAAUAGGCUUGAUGGAAAAUGCAUUGAAUUGUUAUCAAAAUGGAUUCCUAGCACAGUGUCCAAGGUAGUAACUAUAAUAUUACCACGCAACUUACAAGUACAGAGUUCAUGUUUCAAUUUGUGCUCCAAGUUAGAAAUUUGGAUGAAAGAGAACUCAAAGUAAUAAAUGUACUGUAAUAAUUUGGAUGCUGAAGAUAGAAUCAACAUGCUUUUGUAAGUGUCUUGAGUCACAUCCUAUCCCGUCAGUUAAAACCAGUGUUUUAUUUAUCACAUUGAUGGGUGUACAAAUGGACUAUUAUUUAUAAUAUAACAUUUAAUGACAGAAAAGAGAUCGAUACUUGUCCCUACUGAAGAAGCUGGAGCUGAAGCAGCCUAGAAGGCUAAUUUUAUAAACUUUCUGGAUAGAGUUCUGUCUUUCUAUUCGUAAGAAUUCAACUGUCAAAGAGUUUUAUGUUUUGUUCUCAGACAAGUAUGAUCUAUCUCGUGUGAAAACAUGGAUCACUGCUGCUUUAAGUGCUAAUGUCCAAGGGCUUCGUGUUUUGUAUGGGACUAUUCGGUAUUCCCUCAUUUGAUUUUCACUUGUGAUACUUUUAACAGAGAUGGAACUCAGACUCCGCAAGUUCAAAAUUCCAACUGAUGCACAUUCCUUGAACCUUCAAACCUUAGAUUUCCCUAAAGUUGAAUUUCAGGAUGAUUACUCUUUGCAAUCUAACCACCACUUGUUUAACUUCCCAUUCCUUGAAGUAUUUGUAUUGUCUAGCUGCAAAUGGUGGAAUGUGAAGCUUCUUACAUCGAAACACCCCGGCUUUCUAGUUUCCAGAAGUCAGACCCCAUUUUUGAAUUUGUGAGCGAUGGAUGAAAUGACUGGAAAAUUGAGAUCUGUAGAACCAGCCUCAAAGAAUCCAAAUGUAGCGCGAAUGAGUCUGCAAAUUUCCAUUUUUCUAGCCAGUCAACAAACGAUGAUGCAUCUGUACAGUACGGGGCUUGCUGCAUACUCAUCUUAUCCCAAGUGGGGAGAUAUGCUGUCAAGCCUGUAUGAUCCUAAAAGGGUUCUCUGCUUUUAUUAGAUUCCUGGAACUAUCUAGUGAUCUUUCCAAGGUAAAGAUCCUUCUUGAUAUGAUUACUUAAAUUUUAGUAGUUCGACUAUCAUGUUGCCUUUAAAAUUGAUCAAAAUUAUCUUUUGUUACUCUCUUUCAUUGUUCACCCAAUUUGAGAUUGUACCUAUGAGUUCUGGGCAGAUUUAGUCUGUGUUAUAAGUACUAGUGGUUUAAAUGGUCUUCCCAUUUCGGUAUGAUUUGUUUCCUUUUUUUUUUGACGUACAUGAUCUUGCUACAACAUAUAAUUUUGAUUUUUUCUCAUGUUGUAUAUCUUGACUAAUUCUAGCUAUAUUCCAUUAUUUCCUAAGGUACUUUCUCAUAGGGAACCACCACGUCCUCUUCCAUUUCUUGAUAAGCUUACCGACCUGAAAUUUACACGGCUAGGAUAGCAGUAGGAAGUGAUGGAGUGGCGAUACACUUUUUGAAAAUGGAAACAGUUUUUCAAUCACUUAUUAUUACUAGGUUGGCUCUUCAAGUUAUAGUUUCACCUGCCCCCAGAAGCUAAGGAAAAACAGGUUUACGGGCUUGCAUAAAUAUGAUGGCAAUUGAGUGUAAUGUUCAAUUUAACUCUUAAGCAUUGUUUUUGUGUAUAUGUUUUGUCAUAUCAGUUUUGUUAAAGCUGGCGAUUUUCAUUUUCUCUUUUGUAACUUUACGACACAGGCUUGUACAGACAAUGCUGCUGACAACUACAAGGGAAUCAAAUUGAUGCCUGGUGGGGUCUUUUGUCUAACUUGCCUCAAGAUAGUGAAAUUGGAAAUUCCUAUUAUCCUAGCACAAUGGAGAAUUCUUUGGUAAAGGUUUUAGAACAGAAUGCGACAGAGUGGAAUGAUUGUAAAUAUACAUGCUGGAUGACGGGCAGAUGAUGAAACAGGUUACAGGUCAGCUGUUCAAGUUUUCCUGAGGCUCAAAUCAUGAUCAAUGGUGCCCUUUUGGAAGUGAUAUUGACCUUACCCAGAGAAUAGUCUAGGAUUUUCAAGUGAACUUCCUUUGGAAAAUGCUAAAGAUUUUUCCUUGAGAUUUCCUAAAUUUCUGUUUUUGUUUAUCCUCAGGUUUGCAAAUAUAUAUAUUUCUUCACUAAUCUAGAUUUCUUUUUCUUUCCUUCACACUGCUUUAGUAUAUUGUCAUUUGUUUUGUGACUUUUGUCUCUCUCUCUCUCUCAAAAUCUCGGUUUAUGGUUUAUGUAGCAUCCCAUCCCAUAUUUACCAUUGAUGACAUGCAAUUGAGGCCCAAAAUCCCAUGGAGUCACUGAGUAUUUCACCUAUAAUUGAAGUAAACCAGCAGAAAGGAUGUUCGUCACACUAAAACAGAAGGAGAAAUGUCUAUAAUCUAGCUUCAGUCUUUGUCCUUUGCUCUCGUGUUAAUGUUCAACAAUUCUAUCCUCCAAGUGAGAUAUAAUAAUCGUGAAGGUUUGGCGAGGAGAACCGAAACAGUUGUGCCUUGAAUUUCAGGAACUGACCCGAAUUAUAACCAUUGUCCUUAAUUAGUGGUACGGGGGACAAGGCGCGCGAUAUGGCCUAUACCAUUUUAAUUGGGUUAUGUAUAAAUAAGCGGGUCUAGGAUUUACUGUGGACACUUUUAGUCAGUUUUUUUUUCAGAAAUAAGAAUUCUUUCUCUCUGCCAGUGGAUAUAGGCCACAUUGGAAGAAACCACCAUUUGUUAUUUAUCACUUCUCAAGAGGAUGAAUAUGGAUAGCAUUUAUGACAAACCAUUAUUGGAGUGGAACCUGUGUGUAUGUUUGGAAGUAGUUCAUGAACCUCGUAUCCUGUAGCUCUUUCUAAGAAUUCAUCGAUCAAAGAGUGUCACCUUUUGUUUCUAGACGUGUAUGAUCCAUUUCGUAUGGAAACUUGGAUCACUGCUGCUCUAAGCGCUGAUGUCCAGAGGCUUCGUAGUUCAUAUGCUGGGGUCUUGGUAUUUCCUCGUUGGUUUUUCACAUCUAAUUCUUUGAUGAAAUUAGAACUCAAACUCUGCAAGAUCAAAAUUCUGAUGAAUAUAUCUUACUCAAACCUUCGUAUCUUGGGUUUCCAUGAUGUUGAAUUUCAGAAUGAUGACCCUUCUAGCCCCCUAUUUCUUACCUUCCCUGUCAUUGAAGAGUUUCUGUCAUUGGAUUGCAAAUGGAGGAAUGUGAAGAAGCUUAAAAUAGAGGCGCCAAGGCUUGCUAGGUUUGAGAUGACAGGCUGCAUCUUUGAACAUGCAAAUGAUGGAUCAAAUGAUUGCAAAAUAGAGAUUCGUGGGAGUAACCGUGCAAAAUUCAAAUGUAGUGUUGAUAUAUUUGCCAGUUUCUAUUUUUCUAGCCAAUCAAAACUUGUUGAUGCAUCUCUGGAGUAUUGGAAACCUGACAUGAAUGAUGAUAUUAACCAAAGAAGCAAGACAGGUUUUCAAGCCUGUAUGAUCUUGACACGGUCCUCUGCUUUCAUCAGAUUCCUAGAACUAUCUACUGAUCUGAUCCAGGUAAAGAUUCUCCUUUAUGCCAGUUUCUAAAUCUCACCUAAUUUAAGCAACUUUGUUCCUUUACAAUUGUUCAGAAUUUAAGUUUGCAAUUACCUCUUGCUAUUGUCUUUCAUUAUUCAAGCAAUUUGAGACUCUGGAUAAGAAUAUAGAUGCAAGCAACAGGCUCAGCCUUCGAUUUAUCACGACUCAUGAGUGAAGAUGUCAUGCCAUUCUGAUAAAUGAUUAGCUACAUGAUGUACAUGAUCUUGCUAGAAAAUACGGUUAUGCCUUUUUCUUGUGUUGUAUCUUGACUGAUGCUUACAGCUGUAAAUAAGCCUAAUCAAACCAAACAUCAUACUGUUCAAACUUCUUUGAUUAUUCAAAAAAGCUUGAAAUUGUUUUUGAGCUUUCAUUUUUUAUUUAUCACGCUGAGGUUUUACCGAGGCAAGCUUGAGUAGGUUGGAUUUUUUACCUAUAAAUUCUAAUGAGCCCCAGCUUGAAAGUUGAUGCUAUUCAAGUUUAACUUGGUUAGUUAGCAAACCUAUUGUGAACAAUCUCUUAUUGAGCUAAACUAAAUUCAAGCAUCGAGUAGUUGGUUCUCCUUUCAGCCCUGCUAAUGCUAGCUUAAUUGCCUUAUCUCCUCAAGGUGCUUGCUGAUGCGAAUCCACGAUGUCCUUCUAAUUUCUUUAGGCUUGCCCGUCUCAAAGUGUAUUCAGCUAGCAUUGCAAUUCAGUGUGAUGCAGCGCUGAUAAACUUCAUGAAAAUGGCACCAGGUCUUGAAUCACUUACAUUUACAGGGGUAAAAUAAAGAUUAGCUUUUCCUUUUUUUUGCAGGCUUCAUAAACUUUUGCAUUUAUGUGCUUUGGUGGUUCCUUGAUGUUUAACCUGUAGUCCUUGUCAUUGUCUUCCUCGUUUGACUUUGUUAAACAGGAAUUUUCGAGGCAAGCUGCUGGUGACUACGAUCAAAUUCAAUUGUUGCCUGGAUAUCUAUCUUUCCUCGAGGUAGUCAAACUGGAAUAUUCCUGCUCUCCUAAGCCAACGGAGAGUACUUUGGUGAAAUUUAUUCUGCGGAAUGCUGUAAAGCUUAAGGAGCUGUUGAUUUAUUCACAACAUGAGGGCCAUAAGGUGGAUGAAGUUAGAGAUCAUCUGUUCAAAUGUUCUAGAGGCUCAAGAAAUGUGUCGAUACUGUCCCUUUGAAAGUUUCAGUGUCUAUUAGCUCCAAAAGAAUUCAGGAUCUUCAAGUCAAAUUGCCAUUACAAAAUGGUAAAGGUUCUUAUUGUCUUUUGAGCUCCUGUUAUUCCUUUGUUUAUACAUCUUCAGAUUUGCAGAUUAACCUUCACUAAUCUGGAUUUCAUUUCCCUUUCCAAGUACUUCCUUGUACAGAUUUUCUUGGGUAGGAAAAAAAAAGAAACUAUCAUGAAUAGAAGCAAAGAAUAAUAAUAUCCAUAUCCCAAAUAAUAACUAGCUAUUGCUACUCUCACUAUUUACAAAUUCUAUCGUACUGAACCAUUCCUGCACAUCCAGCACAGUACCCAGUAACGCAUCAUUGCCUUCAUUCUUUUGAAUUUUAGCUCUUAGGACUUCAUUGCCUGGUACUAUUUGCACCUUGUUCCAUCCCUGCUCCUGUGCUUUGAUCCAUCCACGCAAACUUCACAGCCUCAGCUUGAUCCAACAUUUGAUGUCCAUUUUUCUGUUCUACUAGUGCCCAAGCAGUAUCCACCAUGUCAUUGCUUCUCUUUGCUACAUGCCGGUCUCCUCCCAGCCAUAUCUUGCUUAGCUGUUACUGAGAUUUUAACCUGGUCUGUUGGGAUCUCCUGGUCACUCCUUUCAGCCACUUCUUUUGUUUUCUCUCUGCUUCCAAGCUUCACUUUAUGCAAUACAACUCUGCCAUAUUCCUCCCACUGAUUCCAUGCUUUCUGGACUAUUUCUGUAAAGCUUUUCCUUCUCCCAUUCAGUUGUUGAUUGUUCUUUUCCUUCCACAGCUGCCAUAAAUUUUUGCUUUCAAUCCUAUGUGGUCAUUUCCUUGGAUUCUUUUUUUUUUUUUUUGGCCUUCAUUACUUCUCUCCGGCGUCCGCCAAUUUCUGAAGUAGUGACGGACAUAUCCCUAAGUACAAUAAUAGUAUACAAGGAACAUAUUAUACCCUACAACUCAUUGAAAUACAAACUUUUAGUAUUUAAAAACCCACUUGCGAAUUGGAAUUCUUAGUAUAUUGGACUUGUACUCUUGCAGUCAUUCAUUAUUUCUGGCAUUUAAUUUUUGCAAUGAGAAUUGUUUUCAAAUUACCUAUAAGUAUAUAUGUAAAUUGACUUUCUACAAAUUAAUUAAAAUAAAAAAAAAUCUUUAGCCUUGAAAUGACCAUCUUUCUUUAGCCAGUGGAGGCACAUUUAUCAUUUAAUAAGACAAAAAUUAAAUCUUGUUAAAAAUACAAUGACUAAAACUGUGGCUUCAUUUGGAUUAGUCUAUUUUUUCACAAACUAUUUUUGUUUAUAAAAUCUAUAAUAACGAUCUCCAAAAGUACACAUUUCAAAUAUAACCUAUAAAAACACAACGAAAUUUUAAAAAAAUUCUACCACCUUUUCUUCUUCCACUCGCUCCCGCCAUCACCCUCCCCUCUUCCCUCCUUUGUCGCUAUUGCUACCCGUUCCCCCUCCUCACGAUUUGAACCCCGAAGACGAAUACACUAGGAAUUCUAAGAGCUCUCUUUUGACUGUAGGCCAACUUUAGUGGUUGUAGCAUGCUAGUGAAGGUUGCUACAAGCCCACUGAACACUUGUCACCACAAGUAAUUGGACAAAUUAAAGGUAAAUGAAAACUUUUCAACUAGAUGGCUGGAACGAAAUUAUACAUGUGUUUUUCCGUCACUGUUCAGGGUGUUAAUUGGAUCUUAUGAGUUGGAUUUUGAAAAGUUCAAGUUUUUCUUACAAAAACAAAGUAGAACUCCAGGGCUCUGGGACUCAGUCUUUGGGCUCAAUCUAUAAAGCUCAUACAUGACUCAUCAAGAUGCAAGAGUUUUCGGCCCAAUUCAAAUUUGGCACAAAUUCACAAUUAAUUCAUAAUUUUAAGAACAAUAUGCAUGUAAUAUUUAUUUUAUUUUAUCAUUAUAUAUAAUUCAUAAACUAUUUACAUUAUAAUAUAUAAUUAUUAAAUACCAUACAUCAUUAUGAAUAAAAGAAUAUGUGUUUAUGUACUUAAUUGUUCAAGUCGGGUUUUAACUGGGUUGAGCCCCUUUAAAUCCAAACUCGGGUCACAAUUUAAUCAUGCAUUAUUUUGAGCUCCAACCUCAACCUAGCCCUAGAGCCCAAUGAUAUGCAAGGCUUGACUCGAAUUAUAUUGAAUUGAUCAAUCUGAGUUGAGGUUGAUCCAACACAUUAACAACUCUAAUCACAACCGCUAUUUUUUACUUUCCUUGGAUACAAAGACAGCCUACAUAUAGAAAUAGUUGCUAGGCAUUGAAGCCUUUUUUUUUUUUUAAUUUUCCUUCUACUCUCUUAAAGCCAAUCUCAUUACCAAUUAAUUUGUGCUUCUUAGACAAGACUAUUUCAUACAGUUUAUAUAUUUUUUUCUUUUCAUGAUGCUUUUUUCAACUAUUUAUGGGUAAAAUAAUUAUUUUUAAAUACUCUAUUUACUUAAAAUAUUUCAACAAAUAAUGUGAGAAAAUAUUUAUACGUGUGCACGACAAAAGAAGACAUUUUGCAUAAACAUUUUAUGAAGAGUGCAAAAAACUAAGCAAGACUAUCUUCAUUAUUGUGAUAAGAAUGAUAAGUGUUUAUUUUGUAUAUUUUAGUGUAUUUAUAGCUUAAUUUUGGUGUGUUUUAAUUAUUUUUAUAGUUAAUUAAUUAGAUUUCUAGUGAAGUUUGCAUUUUAUGGUUUAACUGUGAAAAUUUGCAUUUCUAUGGAUUUAAGUGGUUGAAAUUUCACGUUUUGUUGGAUUUAAUGAUUCAAUCAUUAAUUGUUGUGAAGUGAGAAUAUAUUUGGAUGAUUCUUGAUGAUUUGAAAUGAUUUAAAGUGAAUCUAAAGUGCAAUAUAUUCAAAAGAUGAAAUGCAAUCAAGUUUAAAAGAAGGAAAUUUCAACAAUUUUCACACCUUUUAAUAUUUUGGCUAUAACCUAUGUUACAAGCUUUGAAUUGAAAUGAUUCUUAAACCAUUUUGAAACUAAUACAUAGAUGUACAUUUCGUAUAAAGUAUUGAAAUCCCAUUCAAGCAUUCUCAUGGUCAAAAGGUUGAAAUACAGUCGUGCAUUUAUGCUAUCAAAAUCACAGACUCACUCUUCUUCAACAUCUAAAUUAUAUUCUAGAUUCCUGUCAACCUUUGACUCCUUGGUCUAACACCAACCAGAUCCCUUGUCAAACCCAUGACGCACUUGGUUCAACACCAACCAAACUCCUUGGCAUUUCGAUCCAUCACUAAGAAGAGAAUUUUCAUCGAUUCAACUCCAAAAAGGAUCCACUUGCCCAUGAGUAGUCCAGUCUCACAACCUGAAACUCUAAUACUACUUGUUAGGGGAGAAACAUCUCGAGAGAGUCCACCAAAGAACCUAAUAUGUAAGUUAGGAAUUCAACUCUAACCCAAAACUUAAACUAUUAGGUCUCGAAUCAUUACUUACAUAUUAACCGAUCUUUCUUCGUCUCUUGACCUAAUAUGGGACAUAGUCUUUUUACUCAUGAACCUAAUACCAUUGUGAUUUAACACUAGUUCAUGAAAGUAUUAAAUCGAGGGAGUUAACCCACUAAUAUAAGGUUACACCUUUGUGGUUUUGGUGGCUUGUUUCAUACAAUUUUAUAGAAUUUAACGAAUAUAUAGCUAGUUUCAUAUCACAUUAAUAGGAAUGGGAUAGUUAUAGGUACAGUUAAUAUAUCAAUGGAAGCAUAUAUCACAUAUAUUUGGAAAUUACUUCAUAACCAACCAAAAAAAUGGAUUCAAUUAAUUGGUUAUUUCAUUUUCAUAAGUAGAUAGGAAUUCCUUAACACUAAGCAUAUUUGCAUGUCAAUUAUGCAUGUCAAGUUUUACUACUUGUGUUGCAUGUUGGUAGUGUAGAUUCAUUUGCUUUAUUUGUAAUAAUCUAAAUAAAAGAGGAGUUCAAAUAACACCGGUAGUUGACAAUAUUCCUUGUGGGAUAGACAUCUAAUAUCCCCUAUAUUUGAUAAAUGAUAUGUAUACUUACACAAAAUGGGAUAUUUUGGCUUUUAAAAUUUGGUGUAAAGUAAAAGCCUGAUCGAACCAAUUCAUAGCAGAAGCUUUGCCAAUGUUGUGGAGUAAAUUGUUACAAAACAUGUUUAGGGUGCAUUUGGUUCUCCAUAAUUAGAAUUGAAUUAUAAUUGGAAUUCUAUGAAUUGGAAUUCCAAGUCAUUCCAAUUCUUUCGUUUGGGAAAUGCAUAGAAUUGAUACGGAAUUUAUUUGGAAUUUCAAAUUCUUUGUUUGCAUGAGAGAAGAAUUCAUCAGGAAUUAGAAUUGUUUUCAUGAAACAUUUGCUUACAUAUAAUUUUUCUUUUUUUUCUUUUUUCUAUAUAAUAAUUUCUUUUUUUCUUACAUUUAGCUAAUUUUUACUAAAGAUUUAAAAGAAAAAACCAAUUUAUGCCUUUAAUAAUCUAUUUUUUCCCACUCUCAUAUCAAUUUCUUAGGUGAACAUUUCCUUUAACAUGUUUUGAUCCAUUAUCCCUUUUUGUGAAGAAAUAUAUCCCCAUCUCAAAUGUGGUAUUUCAAUUGUGUUUUGAUAUAUUAUAAUAAAGCAAACUUCUUUCUUACUUCUAAUACUUACACAAAAUUCAAAAAAGAUUUAGAGAGUUAGAACUUUCCCUGUGGCGCAUGGAGCCAACAUGCAUCAGAUGGCAAAGACAAUUGUACACAGGAAUUGUCUAAUUUGUGCAACAUCCAAUGUCGGUCGAGGGAUGCACCAGAAACCAUGUACCAUAACCCAUUCAUCUGUAAUUUAUUAACUUGCAAGUUCGUUAGUCAUAACUACUACAAGUUCCAAGUCUCCAUUUCACUCCCCAUGCUUCAAAUUUUCUGCAAUGUGUCACAGUAGUCAGAAAUUACUGAUUACUUCAACACCAAUGUGUUUAAGAUUUAAUUAUGUGUAAAACCUCAACAGCAAAAAUACCUAAAAUACACAUUCAGCGAGUGCAAAAACAUAGAAAUUACAGCAACUCAAGACUCCCAGAUGCUCUUCCUCCAGUGACCUAACAAUACAACCGAAUGAAAAUGCCGAAGGCCAGCAUAAAAAUUUGGAAGCAAAAUUUAAAUGCCAACACAAGUAUCAUUUUCUGACUUGCAUGUCCAAUCAGACUCGACAAAUAACACUUCUUAACCAAUCUCUAGUAUGAUGUGAAAUGUGCUCAACAAGCAUCUGGAUAGCAUGAAAAAAACAAAAAAAACAGCAGCAUUGAUCACCACAUAGGUUCAUGCAGCUCAAGGACAAGUCAGGUCAUCAACAUAGGCUGCUGUGUUAAUCUCAAUACCUAAAAUGCUAGUUCAUCAGACAAAAGAUCCAAUGUCCCAUUCUUAUUCAUCUCAAAAAUCAGACAGAAAAUAGCUGAAAUACUCCCUAGAAUCUUUCUAUAAUCUUGCUUUGAUCCAUUACAUGAAAAACAAAGAACUCAUCAGAAUUUAAAAAGUCAUGUGGAUAUAUGAUGGAGUAGUAACAGCCUCUGCUUUCUCUACUUGGCUUCCAGCAAUAUGCUCAACUUCUUCUCCCAACAGAAACAACUUCAAAUGGAGGUUACCAAAUAAAAUCAAUUACCAAUGUGCAUCAAUAGCCAAUCCUUUUUUAAGUCAUCUCGGAGACCAGAAAAGUAUCAUACUUUGUCCUGUCAUUCAUAAGUAAAUCGAUACCCUUUAACAGUUGAAAUCUAUCCAAUUCAAUUUUAGAUAACUCAUCUUCCACCAUUUUAGUUGUAACUUUUGAACAUUCUGAAUUUAAGUACUUAUCCAGUGAAUCUGCCAUUCGUCCCAACACCUUGUAAAGUGCUUAAGAGCUUGUUAGUUUCCUCUUUGUGCCACGAUCAUUUGUUGAAGAUGGCGAUUUUGAUUUUGACCGUUGUCGAGCUAGCAAUGCAUUCAUAACUUCAUCUUCUAAAGAACAUGAAUCAGUCUCAAAUGAUUCCUCUACAUUAGCAGACUCUUCAACUUCAGUUUCAGCAUUAGCCUCGAAAGCAGUUUGGGGCGCCCUCUCCAUUUGCACGAUCGUGUGAAAACAAUGUACAGAUAUCCUCCCAAUUUUCAACCACAAUUUUUUUUCUAUAAGGAACAAUUUUAGGAUUCUCACUUACUCGAGCAUUCCAUACAUCCUCAUCACGAACAUCAAUUUUACCUCUAGAGUAGUCCCAUAUUAUCGCAGACCCAGAGUUACAUGACUGGAGCAGUAGGUAUAGGAUAUCAUAGUGUUUCUCUCAUGUCUUGAAACAAGAUAUAAUAUUAGCCUUUGUCACAGAUAUAUUGAGCUUAUCGAAUAAAGCAUUCAUUACAGUGGUGUAGGCUGCUGUCUUCCAUGCACAUUUACCAUCCAAUUUGUUUCCUUGGUUCAUUUGGUCAAUAAAACAGGUGCCCAUUACACGAUCCAUAUCAGGAGUCUAAGUGAAAUACCCUUUGCCUUUCCCUUUUGACUGAGAUGUUGCUUCAGAUGCCAUAUCUGAGGCAAAUAUGCACCAGAAAAACAUCACAAUGUCAUGUUCUUAAGAAUAGAUUCAGCAGCCACUGCAUUAUAGAACGAAAAAUGAAAGGCAAAUAGGCACCAGAAAAAUCCAUACAUAUGUUAAAUGAAGAACUUAUGCUGACUUAUCUGGACAGAAUCUUUCUGCAAAAGUAAUUUGGAGAUGUUGCUGAGAUCAUCACUUAUGUGCACAAAAUUGUUUGGAGAUGUCCUAAAUUUAUUCUAGUGACUUAAAGCUUCUGCUGGUUUUGCAUUUAAAAUAACAAAGGUCUGUUUGAUUCAGAAGUGACCUUUAAGGUAUGGUAAGGAUUUUCCAGCAAACUGCAACAAAAGAAGGAAACAAAAAAGUCCCUACAAAGCUUUCUUUUUAGAAACAAGACUAAUUGGCUAUGAGGAACAUCAGAAUCCUUCUAAAGCCUUCUAUGAGUCUCAUCAAAAGGAAAGAUUUAGUAGUCUUAUCACAAGACUAUCACGUCAAUAUUACAAUCAUACAUAAAGACUACAGGUGUUAGGCGCAAUGCAACUCAAUUCAACAACUCGAUACCUACAAAAACAACCACCAUCAUCAGCUUCACUGACCCAACUUUAUAUUCAAUAUCUCCCCAAAAGUAUUCCCACCCCCCUCCCCCGCCCUCAAAGCCUCCAGUUUGAAGUCAAUAAAACGACUGUUGUAAAUGGAGCUAGAAUUCUAUCUGUCUGCACAUAAAGUCAGCUCAAACCAAACGACAGGACAUGCUGAGGAAUUACUAGGAUAGGAGACAUUUAAAAAUAAACAACAGAGGCAAUUAAGAAGUACUACUAGUUAAUAUUGGGAAUCAAGCUAAAAGCAAGAGAUAGAAAAUUAAGAGAUGAAUAUAAUGGUGGUAGCAGUAGUAUUAUUAGUUUACUUCUAAUCAAAGUUGAUUUUUCCAAAAGCCUCGGGAUCAAUUAAAAAGUGUCCAAGUUCCUAAUAAGUACUCUCAAAUCCUACACGUUCAGGCAUUAUCCCGAAUGGGUUCCAAGUCAAACUUUGACUAAUUAACUAAAACUCAAACAAACAAGAAAAUGGAAACCAAAGACCAACUUGUUAUUUUGUUCUCAUAACAUCGUAAAUUAUAAGCUUAAAAUAAUAAUAAUAACCGCAUAGAAUCAAUCAAUACCACAAAUUAUAAAAAAAAAAUACCUUAAAAAAACAAUGUUUAAUAGAAAAAAAAUUAAAUUAUGAAGUUACCUUUAUAAACUCUAAUUCUAUCUGAAAAAUCUGGAAUAGUAGGGAGUAAAUUGCAAAGCCAUGUCGUAUUGGUUAUAGUAUCAGUCAAUCCUGGAGUAAACCGUACAAGUGUGGUAUUUAUUGUUUGUUUGCAGCUGGGAUUUCUUGACUUGAUGAAGAUCUGGAACUACAAAGCAAGCGAAUGAAGUUUGGAGGGGCCGAAGACGACUUCUUCUAAUGUAGCUUCAAUUUUUGUACGAGGAAAUUGCCCCUUUUUACCAAUUCAACUGCUAAUAAUAGAGACUAUUCCUCGUUCUCUCCUGAACAAGUAUCGGCUUCAAGGAAAUAACGAAGAAGUUGGGCACUUUUGUUUGUUCCCGGACGCUUAGAUGGAAUUGAUCAAUGAAUUUUCCCAAAUUGGUAAUGAAAUUUCAUUCUUCCCUCAUCGAAUCAAUUCUCAAUUCAUUCACUGGAAGGGAAGGAGAAGAUUGACAGAAACUAAUUAAAACCCCAUAAUUUCAACCUGAGUUAUGCAAUGGCCAGCGAGUGGAGCAUGGAGGGGUGGAGGUGGCAGCAAAAGUGAUGGGUGAAGGCAGCACAAGUGGAGGAGGCAGCGGCAGGAAUGCUCCAACAGAGCAUUAGAUAUGGCGAUUGAUAAUGGAAAGAGAAGAGAGAGGUUUGAGUUUCUUCCAUCAAUUUUACAGUUGACCCAUUUUUGAGAUUUUACCCGUAUAAGACCCGCGUGUUGACCCGAUUUAGGAGUUCAGUCGUGGAAUUGGAAUUGAAAUUCUUUGGUCCAGCCAAAGAAUUGGAACCAUAGAAUUCGAUCGAUUUGGAAUUGCAAUUGAUUCUAAUUCUACAGGAAAGAUAGUACCCAAACACAAGAAUUGAAAUUGGAGCUCCAAUUCCAAUUCUACACUCCAAUUCUAUGGGGAACCAAACGUAUCCUUAGUUUUACUACUUCAAGUGUAUAUUCCAAGUUGUUUUUGUCCAAAAUAUACAGCUCAAAAACUUGGACAACAAAAUAUAAUUGAUGUUGCAGGAGCAAUCAUUGCUUGUUUGUAGGCAUUUGACUUGCAAAAUCAAAACAUGGUUGGCAUCGAGGAGGAAUCAUUGCUUGCAUAAUUUGGUACUUGAGGAGGAAACAUUUGUUCUAGGCAUUUGACUCGUGGUGAAGACUUCUACUAUCCCGCACUAUUUCAGAUAAUGCCCAUCACAGUUUCUAGUUUAAGUUUAUACCAAAGUAUUGUUUUAAACAAUGACCCUAUGAUUCUUGCUCUAAUACUAUGAUAAAGAAGACAACAAAUAGGGAAAAAAUAAUUGACAGACUAAGUUACGAAGCCAUCUUUGCUACAUAUAAGUGAUAAAAGCCAACUUUGCUCAAGACAUGUUGUCUAUUUUACAAAAAAAAAAAAAUGUCUAAAGUGCAACAACAACUUGCAUUUUUCUUUCAAGCACAUCCUUAAAUCCUCAAGGUGCGAGAAGUCAAUCAGAGUGAAGAAGCUAAUUUACAACAAUAGUGGAGAAAGAUGCCUUCCUGGUAAACGAGUCAUGCAACAAACACUACAACGUGGUGCUGGUGAUGCACUGAAUAUUCCCAACAAGAAUUGGCCUAUUUCUUCCCCUAUCUGGGGUAUGGUUCAGUAAUUGAUGCCUCAUUUACAGAGCUUGGAAUUGAAAUUCUUUCGGUAUUAGAUUGCUCAACUUCCACCUCUUCCACCAUGCUUUCCGAUCCAUGGCUCCGGAAAUCUGCUGGACGAUGUCGAGUUGGUAGGGUAACCGAGCUACUAUUGAGUAAAGGUGGCAAAUCAACCCACUUAACUAAAUUUACCCAUACCCGUCCAUGAAUAGAUGGGUAUGGAUAUCUUAAAUUUUUGUAUAUGGAUAUAAAUGGGUUAGGUAUUAUUGAGUAACCCAUCAAACCUAAUUAACCCAUUUAGAAUUCUCUUCUCCUAAAUCUCUUCUCUUCCCCCACCCAUUUUUCUUUCCAAAUUUUUCAUUUUGUCAUGAUGUUAACUACUUUUGUUUCAUUAUUAUUAUUAUUUGUUGGUUUUAUUUUAUUAUUUUAUUUUCUCUUAAUUUGUUAACUUGCUCAUUUUUCAGCAUUACCAAUUUAUGAUAAAUUUAAGCCUCUUUUCUUAUCUUUCUAAAAUGAAAUUUUAAAUUUAUAUAUGGAAAAAAUGUUAGGGGUUCAAAAUUUUUGAAUUAAAUUUUUAUAUUAACCUUUAUAGUACUUAGUUCAAAUUUUUAUAUUCUUAUUAUUCAAUUAUUAAAUAAUAUGUAAUUUUGUGAAAUAGAGUAUAAAUGAAAAAAAAUUGGUAAUUAGGCUUAUUAAACAUUAUAAGUAAAUAUUUAAAACUAAUGAUGGGUACAAAGAGCGGUAUAAAUUGAUAACUUAGUUUGUAAAAAUGAAUUUAAAUGAAUUUACAAAAAAUUAAAAUAAAUGGGUUAUAAAUGGGUAAUUGGGUUACCCAAUUCAUUUUUUAAUUUAUCCAUUUAUACCCAUCUAAUUAAAUGGGUACAAAUGGGUUGACUCACUUAUACCCAUUAUCCAUUUUACCCAACCCAAACACGCCCAAGUCACCCAUUUUGACACCUCUACUAUUAAGCAUAUUGACCAGGGAAGCCAUUGUAGGCCUUUUACUGACAUAUUCUUCAACACAUAGUAAGCCUCAUUGGAUGCAUUGAAUGACUUCAUUUUUGGCAAAAGAAUCUCCAAUUCUUGAAUCCAGAAGAGUUAAAGGUUCGCCACGUCUCCAAUGCUUCCAAACCCUUUUGAAAUAAUUCAACUUAUAAGGAGUUCACACAUAAAAACUUCAAUUUGUUCAACCAUUUAUACGUGUCACAAGUAAUGCCACCUUUCGAAUCGACAUCAGUAAAUGCUCUACCUUCAAAGUUUAACCAUACAAAAGGUUUAGAAUCACAACCUUCCUAUCCAUCCUUUUAUAUGGUCUGCCAAAUUAGUUAAAAUGACUUGUAAAAAGAAAAGGAAGCAAACUAGUCUUUACUAAAAUUUUGAACCACUGUACUGUGUGUAACUAUGAACAAAUGACGAAUGAUAAGGCCUAAUGGCAUCAUGACGGUGAGGAUUCGCAUUGGACGUCUAAAUAUUUCCACUAGGGGUGCCAAGUUAAAAUCCUUGACUGCAAUUGUGCAAAACCACAGAAAAUUAAUAAAAACAGUAGUAGAGGUCUUACAUAGCUUACGAGGUCUUCAAUUCGCACUUACAUAGCUUACGAGGUCUUCAGAAUCUUCAGAUUUUUGGAAACUACUAUUCUUCUUGCCUGUCACAAUUUCUAAAAUAAGAACCCCAAAACUGAAUACAUCUUACUUUAUCGAAAACUGGCCCCGUCUCAUAUAUUCAGGACUCAGGAGCCAUGUAACUACUGCAAGCCACAAUGAUUGUUAUAAACGGUGCUAAGAUGACCCCAAUGAGGCAAUGAAAUGGAAGUGUAGAUAAUUUUCCAUGAAGAUUCAAAGUCAUAUUCCCUACAAAUACCACUGACCACGUGCUUUGGCCUGCUGCAAAUUUCUUACAGCCAACUAUCGAACAAUAGAAGUUAAUUCAGAUAAUUGUUGUUGAAUUGACGAGACAUUUACCUCAUUUACUCGAUGAAUAUAGAUAUCUUCCCUUGUGCCAAAUUGUUGAGAAUUUUCUGCCAUCCCUUCUAUCAAUUCCCAAACUUCUCGAGGGGUCUUAUUCACCAAUGCACCUCCAUUGACAGUAUCUAUAAGACUUCUAUCUGCAUAAAGCAAGCCUGCAUAGAAAUACUGAAUCAUUGCUCACUAAUUUGGUGCUGGGGACAACUUGUACAUAGCUUCUUAAACCUAUCCCAGAACUCAUACAGAAAUUCUCCAUGCUGCUGCUUAUUUGAGCUUAUUGCCCAAAAUAUUUGAGCUUAUUGCCGCAGCUAUUCUUCAAGAAUGCGAUGAAGUACCGAAAUAAGAAGAAAAGGAAAGAAGCGUCUGUCUGUCUCUUGCCAAAAAGAUACCUCCUGACUAGUCUCUCGCUUCGAGAAAGAUAAAGAAACUAUCAUGUGUCCUAUUGUUCUGUUUCCUACUCCUCCUAAAACUGCUCCUCUAGUCCCUAUAGAAAGAAUGGACUAGUGUCCUAUUACAAAUGAAUGACUGUCCAUUCGGCCAACUGAAUCCAAUCCUCACGACUUUGAUUCGAAGUUGGAAAUAUUCUCACGAGCCAAAUCCCAAAUUUUCUGGAGGUGCAGAGAGUUAUUUUAAAUACCAAAUCACGUCUUUAAUCCCUUUUUGUUUCAAAUUCCUAUGAUCAACACCAAUUAUCAAAAAUAAGUAAAAUCUACCAAUUAACGCAAUAUUUGAUAAAAUACAAGAGGAAAACAAUCAUAAAAUUAAUAACAAAAAUGCAUAUUUUUAUCUGAAAUCUGAAUCCAUUAACUGAUUAAAUUGUUAAUUAUUAAAUAAAAUACAUUUGAGUAUAUAUUAUUUUUAGUAUUAAGUGAAUAGUUUAUCACUUAUUUUUGGAAGUAAAUUUUACCUAGAAAAUUCAGUGACACUUAAUUAAUUCAGAUGCUCAAUUUUUUGUUAUCAAACGCAUCUAAACAUAUUAAAAUCUAAAUACAUUAAUUUUAAGUGCUGAAUUGGACUAUCAAACAGAGCCUAAGUCUUCACUUUAGAUUUCACCACAAGAUUAGGGAAAUUAUAGUAUUUGGUUAAAUUCGGUUCAUUGGCAAGAGCGAAUUUCAAUGGUUUGAGUGAAAUACAUCCUUAGCAAGGCAAGAGCAUUAGUGAUAAUUGACUAUUUCAUCCAAAGUUAGGUACAUUAGAUGGAUUAUAUAUCCUAAAACAUUUGUGUUUAGUUGAGUUUUUUCAAAUUGUUAAUUUUCCUUGCAUUGUUUUAGCAUUGUGAUUAUUUUACUUAGUUGAAAUUCUUGAUUAGUUUAAAUAAUAGAGUGAGCUAAAAGCUUUAAUAGUUAAAAGUAAUUCUCAUAGGAUCAAUCCUAACUCCCUAGUAAUACGAGCCAUGACCUUUAUACUUGCAGUGAACUAGGGAAUUAGUUAAAACUUAGAGCCUAGGCUAGAAUCUCGUCGGGUGUAGCGUUAUAAUUGAUAGACUAAGCUAGGAAGUCUAGUUUUUCUAUCUGCAAAUGAUAAAACCUCAAGACAUGUUUAUUUUUUUUUAAAAAAAAAAACCUAAAGAGCGACAACAACUUGCAUUGUUCUUUGAAGCACAUCCUAAUACCCUUAGGGUCCGUUUGCUUCAAUGUAAAAUUUUUUUUCCAAGGAGAACAUUUUCAAUGAAAAAAAUUUUCCUGAAAAAAUUUUCUUUUCCCUUCAUUUUCAGAUGUUUGGUGCAGUUUUAAGAAAAUUUACCACAAAACUAAAACAUACAAGAAGAAGAUUCCCCAAUAGAACCCCUCCAACUACCACCAUCCCAUGUACAUUGGAUUUACAAUCUCAACCCAGAGAGUCAUCCAAUCUCCAAAUCUAUCAAACUCCAUAAUCAGGAAUUCAUAAUUUCUCAAACCAAUUACACAUUGUACCAAUGAAGAUUCAAAUUAAUAAUAUGUCAAUAAAAAUUGCUUCAAUAAUUAAAACCUUAUAAUUGAUCAACCAUCAUAUGGACAAGUAGCUCUUGAAUUCUGUUACAAACUUUUCUGCACAAAAGUCUUCCUCCACUCUAUCUCUUUCACUUUUCUAGAUUUCCCUCACCCAAAAACUUAUCAAGACCCACUCUUGGGAUAGAUUUUCUACAUCUCCAUGGAUGCAUUGUUUAUGCUGGCAUGGGAGGAAAGGAGUAGAAUUGGCGAAGAUGAGGAGGAGGGAAAGGUGGCUAACAAUGGCGUUUUUCGUAGCAGGCACAGGGAUGGAUUUUUAACAAUAGUCUCGGUAUUGGUUUUUGUUAUAUGUUACGAGCAUCUUAAUAGGUAAGCCUUGAAAUGGUUGAUAAGCUUCAUGAGUUUGAUUGAAAUUAACUUCCGUAUGCCUGCUCCAUAAGUCAUUUUACGUCCUGUAGCGUAAAACAUUUUACAUUGGAAAAUAUUUUCCUAACAUCUUCUGCUGCCAAACACCAGAAAAUCCAAAAAAUAUUUUCAGUUCAAACAAACAGACCCUUAAGGUGUGAGAAGUCAAUCAGAGUGAAGAAGCUAAUUUUCAACACUAGUGGAGAAACUUUAGAUACCUUCCUGGUAAAUGAGUCAUGCUACCAGAAAUACAAUGUGGUACCGAUGAUGCACUUGAUGUUUUCUUCUAGUAUUGCCUUUGUUUAUUCCUUUAUCUAGGAUAUAGUUCAGUAAUUGAUGCCUCAUUUACAGAACUUUGAGUUAAAAUUCUUUCGGUAUUAGAUUGAUCAACUCCCAGCUCUUCCACCCUGCUCUCUGAUCUAUUGCUCCGGAAGAAUGCUGGACGAUGUGGAGUUGGCAGGAUAACAGAAUUACUAUUCAGCAUGUAGACCACGGAAGCCAUUAUAGGUCUUCUACUGACAUCUUCUUCAACACACAGUAAGCCAACUUGGACACAUUGAAUGACUUCAUUUUGGGCAUAAGAAUCUCCAAUGCUUGCAUCCAAAAGAGCUAAAGCUUCGCCACGUCUCCAAUGCUCCCAAACCUUUUUGAAAUAAUUCCACUCAUAAGGAGUUCACACCUAAAAACUUCAAUUUGCUCAAACAUAUAGGUGUCACAAGUAAUGGCACCUUUCCAUUAGGCAUUAGUAAAUACUCUACAGUCAAAGUUUAACCAUACACAACCUUCCUUUCCAUCAUUUUAUGUGGCCUGUCAUAUUAGUUAAAAUGCCUUAAAACAAAAAGAAGUAAAUUCUGAGCUACUCUACUAUGUUUAACAAUGUAGAAAUGGCAAAUGAUAAGUCCUAGUGCUGUCAUGAUGGUGAGGAUUCGUAUUGGACAUCUAACUAUUUUCAUUAGGGGUGCCAAGUUCAAAUCCUCCACUGCAAAUGUGCAAAAGCAUAGAACAACAGUAAAAACUGUAGUAAGUUUUUGCAAUUCGCACUUACAUAGCUUACGAGGUCUUCGGAAUCUUCAGAUUGCGAGAAGGUGCUGUUCUUUUUUCCGGUGAUAAUUUCCAAAAUUACAACCCCAAAACUGAAUACAUCUGACUUUACCGAGAACUGGCCCCUCCUUGUGUAUUCAGGAGCCAUGUAACCACUGCAAGGCUCAAUGAUUGUUAUAAUCAGUACUAGGACAAUCCCAAUGAGGCUAUCGAAUGGAGAUGUACAUAAUUUUCUAUGAAAGAUACAACGUCAUUUCAUGCGAGAAAUAUAGUAUGGGCAUAAAACUUACAAUGUCCCAGCAAUUCUAUUUGUAUUUCCUUCAGAUUGAUCAACUCCACAAAUCCUUGCCAUGCCAAAAUCUGCUAUCUUUGGGCUCAUAUUUCCAUCCAAUAAUAUAUUGCCUGCUUUGAGAUCACGAUGAACAAUUCUAAGGCGAGAAUCCUCAUGCAGAUAAAGAAGUCCUCUUGCUAUACCUCCAAUGAUAUUGUAACGUCUUGCCCAAUUCAAUGAUCGUUUAUUUUCUGAAUCUACACAAAUUUAAACACAAUAUAUUGUGUUAGCAAUGAAAGUUACCAAAUUAAUAAUUCCAGAAAGCACAAUCAAAUAGGUAAAUUACACUCUUGGUUCUUAAACUAUAAACACACUCUCAAUUUAGUUUUUAAAAUUCUAUUGUGGACACUUCACCCUAAAGGUUUCAAUUUAUCCCACUUCAGUAUAAUCAGUAAUGAAAUUAUUGAAAUGAAUGAAAUAUUUUGCUCUACUUUGAUCAUCACUUACCUAUUAUCGUUAGUUUUGACAAUUCAUUUAGUUGUUAUACUGAUGUGUGACAAAUUUGAUACUUUAGAGGAUGAAGUAACUAAAAUUAAAGUUUAAAUACUAGAGUUGGAGUGCGUCUAUGGUUUAAGGUUCUAAACUGGAAUUCACUCCAAUGUGUUAUCUAUCAUUUCGCAUAACAUGGUCGAAUCAAGUAAAAUAGAACAAGAUAACAUGGACCAAUAAAAUAUUACUUCAAGUAUGUCUAGUUCGACCCACCAAAGAGAAAGUAGUCAAGGCUUUUGUUGGGAACAAAUUCAUAGAUGAGUAUCUUUUCUUCUCCUUCCAGGCAAAAUCCCAACAGUCGAACUAGAUUUCUAUGUUGAAGCUUUGCAACUACUACAAUUUCAUUUUUAAAUUCUUCUGCACCUUGCCCUGAGCUUCUUGACAGCCUCUUAACAGCUACUUCUUGUCCAUUACCAAGUUCGCCCUGAGUAAACAUGCAUACUAGAAUCUAUUUGAAAUAUUAAACGUGAGAUAUUCAAAUUCACAAAAGCAAAAUAUUUCAUGCAGAGACCUUGUAUACACGGCCAAAUCCACCUUCGCCAAUUUUGUUAUCCACAGAGAAGUUAUUCGUGGCAAUUUGAAUUUCAGUCAAGCUAUACUGUAAGGAUUCGGCCGUUAAGAUAUCAGCAACUCCAUCUACACCUGUAAUAAGCAAAUAUACUCGAUUUAAUGUUAGCUCAAAAACCUUUAAGAUGUCCUGUAAUUGCUAUGAAUAAAAAUUACCAGUUGUUGCGAGUGCCCCAUCAACAUAUCUCUUCCUCAAUCUUCUUUUCAGGAAAACAAAAGACAUCAUAAAUAGCAUAACUGCAACAAUGAUUAGUGGGACAGCAAUCCGAAAAGCUGCUCGUAGGAGGCUUCGCCCUUUGCCUGGAUGAACAGAAGUUUGUUGAGCACCAAAAUUCAGCUUGUAGGAAAUCAAGUUUGUUGAACUUCGGGUUAGUGUCACUCUGAGACAGCGUAUUGCAUAUUCACAAGGCUAAGCCAAAAAUACAGUAUUUGGAAAAAAAAAUUUAAUAUUCUCUAAACAUGUUUUUUUUUAACCGCAUCUGGUACGCUUCAUGUUGACUAGGAGUGGCAAUUUUCAAUACUACCUAAAAAUACGACACAAACCUAACAUGAAAUUAAUGGGUUUGUAUUGAGAUUUCGCGGGUUCGGAUCAGAAUCGAAUCGAACCGAUGGUUCUGUUAAGACUACAAUGGUAAAUUAGUAAAUUAAAAUUAUAUUUUAGAUCAUUCGGGUUGAUCCACCAACCCGAAAUUUUCAGAUUUAAGUCAGGUAUCUAGACCCGUUUUGGAUUGGUGGGUCGUGUUUGGAUCAAUAGGUUAUCUAUUAUACUCGAGUCUCAACCUAACCCGCCAAACCGAAUCUGACUCGAUUGCCACCCCUAAUGUUGACGGUAAAUAAAACAAAAGUUGAUAGUCAAUUUUUAAUCCUAACUAUUUUUGUUAUGGAUUAACACAAUUAAACUCCCCUAAGGUUUCAACAAUUUACAAAACUUAGCUUUGUGUUUGGACCAAAUAAUGGCCGCCCUUUUAAUUGAGGCUGUUAAGACUCACAUUUGGGUCUGUGUUGGUGGCAAUUUGUAAGAAAUCCUAUAAACAACCUAUCAUCUCCAAGAUAUGCCUGACUCAUGAUGACAAUCAGAGCAAAACCCAUUCAAACUUGUAAAUAAGAACUACCACUUCCACUAGCACCCUUGUUCCUACAUACUCCAUUUCCGGGACUAUGAAUAUUCGAUCCCACUUCCUAUUUCAUUCUAUCCCAUUUUUUUUUAUUGUAUCACUAUUUAUCUUUCAUAAAUAUUAUACUUUAAUUUUUUUUUCUUUAUUAAGUUCUAAUAACUAUUAACAAAGUAAUAUACAAAAUUCAACAAACCUCAAAAAAUCAAAAUACAGAGAAAAGACUGUUGUAUUUUAUUUUUUUUACUGUAUUAAUAGUUAUUUGACAACAAGGAAACAAAAAAAAAAGUAAAGAUUAUGUUUACAAAAGAGAAAUAUUAAUAUAAUAAAAAGUGGAAUAAAAAAUCGAAUAUGAAAUAUAACUGAAUAUCUAUUCCCAUUUGGCUAAUCAGAGGUUUAUUACCACUGCCACCAGAACCACCAUAACGACCACCUUAUUUUAUUGUACCUACUCCUAUUCAAUUCCCUCGAGAUCUGGCAUCACCAAGUAAUUUUCUCCUUUCUAUCUUUCCUUUGCUUCAUACGCUUACAUAAAUGAUACAUACAUACAUAUAUAAAUGCAUAUAUGAUAUUUUGUUUGUGGAAUUUGAACAUAUGUAAUGAUAGUGGUUGUAGAGGAGAUUUGGGCAACUUUUUUUUUUUUGUUUCCCUAGAAUGAAAGGUAAUGUAGAUUUUGAAAACUUUUAAUGUACGGCAUAGUUUGGUAGUCUGAAAUUGUGUGCUAAACGGUUAAAACCGAGUCAAUGAGAAGAUUGGCUGUGUUAAGUAAUGUUCCCUACUUUUCGGAGCUCGGAAUCAGGAGGCCAUGGAGUGAAUAGUGAGGUAAAGGGUAAAGACAAAUGUUUGUUAAACAGAACGAGGAGGAGAAGAGGUUGACCAUUGUCCGUUAACAAGGACAAUGCUAUACAUUGAUGGGUAUUUUGGACAUCUAGCAAGUCUUUCUGUUGACCAUUCAAGUUUAAGCAGAUUAAGUAAUGCCGAAGGGAAGGGACUUCUUGUCAUAGGCUUACCAGCAUUGAUUAGUAAUGGGGUCAAACUUUAAGAUGCCAAAUGUCAUGAGAGAUAAAUGCACAAAAGAUUUUGUAUCAUUUCCUAUUCCAUUCCUUGUCCCACUUUAGGUUAUAUUACCAUGUAUCUUUUAUGAAUAUCUUAUUUUAAUUCUUUUUUCUCUUAGAAUUUUAACAACCACUAACAAUGUCAAAAACAAAGUGCAAUAGACUAAGAAGCCAAAAUUUAAUUUAAAAAUCAUAUUUUUUAAUGAAUUUUCUACUAUAUUUUUUGUUUCUUGAUCAUAUAUUGGUUUUUAGUUGAUAUAUUUUGAUUUUUUUUAACGCUAUUAGUCGACAUUGGACCUCAAGGCAAAAGGAAAGCAUGAUUAAAAUAGAAUGUUCAUGAAGAGUACAUGGCAAUACAAUAGAAGGUGGAUAGAAAAUAGGAGAGAAGAUCCAUUGUGAGAUAAAUGUAAUUAAACAUUUAAUUACUAUGAAUUUUAAUAAUUAACUUCUACAAUUGAUGAUUUAGUGCUUCACCUCAUAAUCUCCUAAUGCUUUCGAAAUGAUCACUUUACCCCCUCCCUUUUUGCUUUCUGGUGAAGUGGAUUGCUUUUUUUUUUCUCAUGGUUAACUGAACUUGAAAGUGGGUAAAUACGGUAUUUGGUUGAUUUCAUUGCUAAUUUUUGUUUUGAACAUUUUUUCCCAAUUAAUUUUCAUUUUGGAUCUUUAAACUAGACAUGUACACCUACUUUAGUCCUUAAAUUUUAAUUUAGGACAUUUUAUUCUCUAAAGUAUGAAAUUCGUCCUUAAACAUUAUUUUUUUUAAUCUUGACAACAAGUUCUGUCACAAAACAAAGAAAAACUUAAUCGCUCCACCUUACAAAAAGACAACUGAAUAAGGUAAAAUUGUGAUUUUGAAACCACAAGAUUGUGAGGCAAAACGUUAAACCACAAAGGGGUAAAUUAAUUUACCUAUUUUAAUGUUAGAUUUCAAACAAGCGAAAAAAAACAUAUUACACUAGAAUGUAAAAUCUUUUACAUGCAUACAAUGCAUCCUCGAUCUUCUUCAAUGCCUUUGUUUAAAUUUGGGAAAACUAAAAUGGAUUGUUCUUUGCAUUACGCCAUAAUAAGUUCAUUUGAAAAAUUUUUAAAUCAACAUUGUCCAUAAUAUACCUCAUUAAUUAUUUUAUGAUUAAUCAUUACAAAAUUUUCCAUGAUCUUGAACUCUUUUAUGCUAUUUAAAUGUUUCUUGCAAAUUGAAUGCAAAUACUUUCUCAAAUGGACUUUCUCAUUAUGUAUGCUGAUCAACUAAUCAAAACAAAAUAAUAUAGUAGAUAAAUGGAUAAAUUACUAAAGGAAAACAAAGUGGAGAGAAGGCCAACCCAUUUUCGUACAUCAAACCAUCAUACCUAAGGGGAUUCUAUAAUGGCCACCAUACUGCUAUUUCAAUAAACAUGCAAUAGUUAAUCACUGUCCUAAUGGUUGCAAAAUGACUAAGUAUGUACAUAAUUAUUGGCCUAAGAAGUAUGAGUCCACUUAAAAUUCUUCCAUAAAAAUGACAAUUCAUGAUGAAUGUGAUCAGUACGACGUGAUUAUGCUGAAAUCUUAACAUUAUGUAUUCCACUAUUGUAUAAAGUUACGUGGUGGCCUCCUUUAGGUAUGUAUUUUAUUUUGAGAUUGAAUCCACACCCUCUCAUCUUAUAUCCACAUAUUGUACAAACUUCAAUACUAUUAAUUCCAAUUAUAAAUGCUUGAAGGCAUGGAUUCAAAUGAAGGGUGUGUGGAUUUAAUUCUUUUCAUUUUCGGCCCGGAAUCUGAUACAAACAAGAAAUCGUAAGCCUGCAUACAAGCCCAAAAAAGACUGCUAUAUAUAACAAUGCUCCAGAACUUACCUUUAGUGGAACUAGAAGGAGGACCACCAGGAGAGUUUGCCGGAAGCGGUGGUGCAGAGGAUGUAGGCGGUGGUGCAGAGGAUACACUACCGUAGAAGGGGUAAACCUCAUACCUUACCUUACAGCUUGGUAACAUCACUCUACCUCCCACUCUGCCAUUACAACACGAGGGCAGCAAUGAUAUAGCAUUGCUGAGACAAGUUUCGCAGUCUAGAGCGGAUAGAUCUGGUGUGCACUGCGCAAGGGUAUACAAUUUCUUGUUACCCGUGGAAUAGUCGCCUUCUCGAACAGCAAACAUUUUCGCCCCCGUUCUAUUUGCAGCCUGAACCGCAAUGUCAUUCACCAGGUUUUCCAACGUUGUUUCGAACUUCUCCUGGUCCCGUCCAGUGACAUUUUGUACAUUGUACAUAGCAAAAACAACGUAGACAUCGACCCUGGAGAAAAUUGCCUGGUUAGAAAAGCGUAAGAAGCACUCCUCGUACCAAACAAUAGCAUCCUCGUGAUACGGGCACUCCUCAAUUACUUUUAUGCCGGCUAUUGCUACGCAUUGUCCACAAACGUCAGUGCUGACAUCGCCUCGACAGAGAAAGAGGCCAUAGACCGUGUUAGAAGGGUCAUUGCCAGUACUGAUAUUGUAGAAACCACCGGUGUCUGUCCGAAAUGCAUUUGAAGAUAGAGCGGCAAGCACGGAAUACAGAUUGUUACUGUAAAUCCUGCCGGAAAUACUGUUAGGUUCGUAUGUAGUAUUUACACAGUAAGACGAAAGAAAAUUAACGGGGCUAGUGAGUGUGGUAUGAAAGCUAAGCAAACAAAGCAUGCAAUAUUGGAAGUGGAACAACAAAUUUCUGGAGAUCAUUUCACAGGCAGGGAUCAAAAGAAUAAAAGGCUAAAAAUACACAAAUUACAGUUGUACAAUAGGAGCCAAAGUUUUGGUUGAGGGACCAUGAAAAUUGUACAGGCCAGGAAAACGUGUAGUCUAGGAAGACUUAUUUUAGCAAGUCGGUCAACGAAGUGCCUGGACGGGAACCAUCAGCUGAAUGGUCUGUAACCAGAAUUCUCUCUAUACGUCCUUUAUGGAUUUUGACGGGAGUGGAAAAUUCGAGGAUGCUGACAAUAUUGAAGAAUGUCAUUGUGACAGAUUAAUGGAGACCAAGCUAAAAGCUAGUGCUCUAAUCGUCCCAAAUUCAAUCUCUAUUUGGUAGUAGAAUCGUUCAACACUACUGGGUUUUAACUUUGGAUUAUUCUUUCUAAACAUUGUCAGUGUAAAUCCAUUUCACACUAAUAAGAUGCAUGACACGUAAAUUUUAUUCAAAAUUUAAAUUCAUUUUUAACAAAUAUAGCAUGCACCUAGAUAAAAAAAUAAAUCUUUAUGCUGAUGGUGUAGAUUAGAUUAAUCCUAUUUUUAAGAAAGAGUUCUUUAGAUACGCUUGAAAAAUCAUGUAAAGUCUAUCAAAUUGUUUCUUUUGUCGCCUUUAUACGAAUGGACCCCUACAUGGAAAGAAAUAUCCAGCCAUUUCGCCACAAUUGACAGCCAAUUUUAUGUCCGCCACUGCUUUUCAAAUCAAGUUUAAUUUUCUAACGUAUUUAUUUACAAUGGUGCCUGCUGCAUUAGUAAGAUAUAUCUUGGGCUGUAAAAUAGCCAGGGUUCAUGCCUUAGUUGAUACAGGAGUAACCACUUUGCUAGUUGCCUGGACAUGAGCCAUCGGAUGACUAGUCUGUAACUAAAACUUCAAUACGUCAUUAAAGGAUGCUAACAACAUCAAAACAACGUCAUUGUGAAGGAUAAUUGUAAUUCUACUAAUGCUCCAAAGAAUAAGUUCGACCCAAAUUUAAAAAAAAAAAAAAAAAAGUUGACCCAAAUUGAAUCUCUAUAUUGCAGUUCAACACCGGUUUUAAGAAAGAGUUCUCUAAAUAUAGUUCAAAGGGUAAAUGAUACAUGGCCCGUGGAUUCAUUCAUUGUCACAUGACUCUAUUAAUAUUUACAAAUAUCCAUAUAAACUUUCUAUGGUUUCAUAUAAAGUGAACAUUUGACGGAAAAAUAACCUCUAAAUAUAUUAAUUUGAAAUACCAGUAUUACCUUUAGGGUAAAUUUCAGAAACCUCCCCUGAGAUUUAGCACCCCUUGAUUUUGAGAAAUCACACUUACAACCCUAGGUAGAAUGAAGUGACAUGCUGUCCUAAUCAGUAAUGGAGAAAUUACCAUGCUACCCCCUAUUAUUAAGUAUUUCUUGUGCAGGAAAAUGCUGCAAAAAAAAAAUUGAAGCUAUAUUAAUUCAAAAUUGAAAGAACAUGAUUCCUAUCAUCUUUGGCCCACAAUUUGAGUGCCAUUUUUGUUAUAUCAGGGCUUUUCCAAGUGGUUUUAACGAGGCUAAAGGCUCCUUGCAGUCCUUACUCUUCGUUUUUGAAGUAGUACAAGUACUUCGUGUCAUCAAAAUGUAUGAUAAGAAGACUUAUUAAUUAUUGUAUUUUUUUAUGCAUUUCAUCUGGUGGAAUAUGCAUUGCCAUAUACUAAUCUUAUAAUAUAUAGCAACGCAUUGAUGCACUAGUUGCUUGGAAAGACACGUUGAUGCAUUAGUUGUACGAACAAAUAUGAAUAGUAGCACACUUUUUGGAAUCUUAGUUUGGCUUAGACUUAGCUAAACAUGUGACCAUGGAAAUGCACAUCUGAUUGCAUUGUCACAAGUACCACACAAAACAGGUUCAACUUCCUCAGCUUUCUACUUUGAAUUGCCUAUGACUAUGAAGGCUAAAACAGUUGGUGAACAAUUAUAGCAUUGCAUGUUGUACUUGGACUUCAUCAAAUUGAUUUUGUAAUCUCAAUAAAAAUGUAGAUAGCAAUCAGUAUUAGAUUGAUGCAUCAGUUGCUCCAAUUUGCCCAAAGAAAAUCGAUGGUGAAUGAUAUUGUUAUCUUGUUUCCAAGCUACUUUAUACAUCUUAAGCACCAGAAGGUUGGAAUGGUCCUGCCCAACGGUCCUCUACAGUAUCAAUGUUAAGAAGCUUCUUGUGCUUAUUGCACUUACACCCCUUUAGCUUCUAAAAUAAUAUCACAUUAUAGCUUUGUUUUUAUUUUCAUAUUGUAAAUUCAAAACUCAUCUUCCAGCAGGGCAAAAGUGGAACAGAAAAAUAGUCUCUCUCCUAUAAACAAUUUUUAAAUACAAUUCUUAUGCAAAAGGGCUGACAAUGUGAUGAAAGUUGUCAUUCUAAGGGUGGUAAGUGUGAUUUCUGAAAGUUGGGGGGGCUAGGUGUGAUCGGAGAAAACCUCGGGGGAGAUUUCUGAAAUUAACCCUUACCUUUAUUUAAACAUUAAUUCAAACAAUGACCAGACCAUCUUACAUAAAAUUAUAGGAGAAUUAUGUAGAUAAAUGCGAAAUUUAUAGAGGAUUAAAAUAGAUAUUCAUACAAAUCAUACGGGACAUUAAGUAUAUAUCAUUAUUUCGUCACGUGCAUUUUUGGAGCACUUCUGUUCAAUCACUAUAGCCAUUGAUGUUUUCUGUCUAUUUAUCAUAUCCCAUGAAAUCAUAGGGCGUUAUGGGGAUAUUUUGAAAUCUAAGGGGAAUCAUGUGCCAAUGAAAAACCAAGGGAGGUUAUGUGUAAUUUACGACAAGAUCAUGUAAAGUCUGUCACAUUUUAAUUGGACUAAAACUUUCCAAUAAUUUUCAUUGUCAAAAAUGCCAAUAAAUUGUCACACUACUUUUAAUUCUCUACGGUUCCUUGUGUUUGGUUAAGUGGACAAAUCAUAAGACAAGCAUUAAUUUUGAAGGAAAGAAACGUCUACCCAUUUUUUAAUGACCAAUUCCAUGUCUGUGCUGGAUUUUCGAACAUAUUUACAAGGGUGCCUGCAGCAUUAGUAAGACGCAACUCAAAAGGUAAAAAUAAACAAUUUUCAUGCCUUAGGAGCGACCACUAUGAUCUUUGUUGGUCUUUGUAUUUGCAAGAAACAUGUCACAAUAAAGCUACACGUGUAACUCCUCAUUUAUAUUAUCAAUUUUGAUAAUCCAUUUGCUUGUUAGCAUUUCAUUGCAAUUCUUAUUUUAAAUUUAACUUUUCAGGAUUGUUUUUCUAUUCGUAUUGUUUCUUUGUUCAUGUUAAGAAAUUAUUGUGCAGAAUUUUAUAUUUGGAUUCAAUAUUUUCAUUAUCAAAUUUGUCCAAAUGUUCAUGUUGUUCAUAAAAUGCUUAAUCUAGUUUAGAUAUUUAUUCUGUUUGGUAAUUAUUAUAAGGCGCAUUCUUCUAGGACCUAUUAGUAUUUUAUUUUCAUAUAUGCUGAAAUUAUCAAAUGGGAAUAAUUUGUAUUGUUUCAGCCAUUAUUAACAGUUAUGAUUGCCCGAACAGGAAAAAGAAUAAUAGAUUUUUGUAAAACUCAAAAGAAUUUAAAAGACAAAGGAUUUUUCAAGAAUGAAAAGGUACUGCUAUUCUCUUGCUCCACAUUGGAACUUUAGCAAACCUAAAUACCUAAGAUCAGAUAACUGCAGAAGUGUUAAGAUUGAGGCAGGUGUGGAGCUACGUUGCCCCCUCCCCACCUUAGCUUCCGAAAAAUACCCUACUAGUUGUGAAGAUUUUUAAUAAGUUUUAAUAGUUGCACUUCUUGAAAUUAAAAGAGUGGGGGUAAUAUGUAAAACACGUACACCUAUUAAUAUUUAACAAAGAGAGUUUCAGAUGAUCAAUUACUUAUGUAACACUAGUAAUUAAAUAAUAAAAUUGACAAUGAAUUAGCUCUUAUUUUGUAACACGACCAAACGCGAUGAUCUAGUUUUUAGGAAAAAAAUCAAGGAACAAAUAAAAGGUGAAAAUAUAUAUAUUUAUCCUUCCACCCCUCUCCACCCCAACUAUUAGGUACAAGAAAGAGUCCUUCCUUUGACCAUUGACCAACUUUAGCAUGGAUUUUUUAGUCUUAAAGCUUUAGUUACUUUAGUCUUAAAAAAGUUUUCCAACGUUGCAAUAUUUCUGCUGAUCUGUUAACUUGUGGUUUAAAAGAGGGUUGAAUUACUCCGGGUGUCUCAGAAGUUGGAUAAGACCAAGGAUGUGUCGAACUCAGUCAGGGCUAGCUAAAUACGACAGGCGGACCCAUAUUAAGAUUGUUGUGGAUGAUUUCUCUAGUGAUUUGGGUAAAGACCUUGAAAGGAUUAAAACGGCGAUUGAAGAGUUCACAUUUGCAUAUUUUUCUAACUUCGAAGACAACACCAAAUAAAAAAAAAAACAAAAAAAAAGUAAUUAUUGCAAAUGUAGAGCUAAAUCUAUGAUUUGCAGACUCCAAUUCCACGAUUUGCUGAGGGAGAGAAGAGAAAAGGAAAAAUGAAAAAAAAAAAAGAGAAGAAAUGGAGAGAGACAGAGAGAGAAAAAAAAAAUUGGCUUAAACCUGCCUUAGUUAUAGUCGCUUUUACUUUUGCCCUGAUUGUUUGUUAAAAGAGUUUUUGGUUAUUUUCAGGCCAUAAGUGGUUGAAAUUAGUGAUUUCGAUCAUAUUAGACCUCUUAUACUUUUAUGAGGAAAGUAAAAUCACCAUUUUAAAUUUAAGGAAUGACAAAAUUCCACUGGCGAAUUGGAAGGUAUAUUUUGGACGAUUUUCCUUCUAUAUAUAAAGCAUGAGGCAUGGUUUUAGUGUUAAAAUUUUUUUAUCAUCUUUUAUUUUUCCAAAAGUAAAGAUUUACUAUAGAUAACUACUAAAAUUCAAUAACUUCCAAUAAUUUCUAAUAAUUUCUUUUUUAUCUGUUAUUUCUUUGGCAAAAAAAAAAAAUCAUACUUCUUUUGUAUUUUUGUUUGCAACAAAAAAUAUAAAAGUUAUAAUAACUUCCACUGGCAUGAAUAAAUAUAACUUAAUUUUUUAUUAAUUUGCACACCAUAUGGCAUGCUUUUUCCAUUGAUCUUUCUAUAUAUAAAGCAUGAGCCAUGCAGGGGUGGAGCUAGAAAAAAAUUCAAUGGGGGCAAAUUUAAAAUGUGAAAUUGUGCUACUUUCAAAUUUUAAAUCCCUAUCAAAAUUCUUAAUAAAGUUUUAUCUAUUUGUGAAGGUGAAACAACAAGAGAGCUAGCAAUUUUUACAAAUUUAUAUGUGUUGAGAAAAAAAAAACAGCAACUUUUCGAAUGGAUUUGUAUGGUGAGAGCAAAUUGGACAAGAGUGAGAAGAAGAAUAAAGAUAAAGUUGAAUCUUUGGUGAUUGGUUUUUAUUUAUAUGUGAGAGGCGAAAUGAGUUAUUUAUUAUUUUUAAUCAAUCUUCUUGGAGUAGACAAAGUGAUAAAAAAGAAUAAUAUUACUUAAAUAUGUUUAAAAAGAAACUAAAAUCUUGUUGAAGAGCGGUGGGGCAAUAUUCUCUAAUUAUAGGGGUAAAGGUAUGAACUUGUAUGUGUCAAAUUCGAACCAGUGUUUGCAACAUCUUCUAGCACCAUAAAACUAAGCCUCAACCCCUAUUAGAUUAUACUACAGCCCACACCAUCCCAUCACUUAUCUCAAUAUUAGGGAUUCAUUCGAUCAGCAAUCUUACCCUUCAAUUGUCAAACAUAAAGGGCCGACACUAAAUCCUAGAGAUGGCAAAAUGGGCAAAUUGAUGGGUAUAAAUGGAAUUAGAUUCGUAUCAAACCCAAUCUCAAAAUUGGAAAAUCCAUCCUGUCUAAAGGAUGGGUAACCCAUUGAAAUUUGGGACAGAUUGCUAUCACCACUAAAUCCUAACUCAAGGGUUCAACCGAUCAAACUAUGGAGACUACAUCACAACACACAUUGGUUCGAAAACUAGAGAAAGAGUCCUUAAUAUGUAAGUGAGGACUCAAAACUAAUAAUUUGAACUUUUUGGUCAAUGAUGGAUUCCUGACUUAAUUACAUACUGGGUCUUUUUGGUGAACUCUCUCUGGUGUUUCCCCGAAUCUUCUAAUUGCGAGAUUGGACUACUCAUAGGCAAGUGAAUUUUUCUCAGAGUUGGAUCAAAGAACUUCUCUUCUUGGUGGUGGGCUAAAGUGCCAAGGAGAUUGGCUAGUGUUGGACUAAGUGCGCCAUGGGUUGGCAGGAGCUUGGAACCCAAUUUGGAUAUUGAAGAAGAGUGGGUCUAUGAUUGAGAGAAGACAUGACCUUGGACGUUAAUGUGGGUUUGCAUUGAGAUUUGAAGUGUGCUUGAAGAAGAGCUUAUCUUGUUGGUGAUAGACUGAAGUGCCAAGAAGUUUGACUACUGUUGGACCAAGUAUGCCAUGGGUUGGCCGGGUUUGAAAUCCAGUUUGGAUGUUGAAGAAUAUUGGAUCUAUGAUUGGUAGAGGAAAUGACAUAGAUGAUAUGGUGGAAUUGCGUUGAGUAUUAAAGUAUCUUGAAAAAGAAUUUGUUACUCAUGAAGAGGGAGAUUAUUAGACUCAUGAAUAAAGAAUUAUGUCUCAUGUUAGUUUGAGAGAGAGAGAAAGAGUCCUUAAUAUGUAAUUGAGGGCCCGAAACCCAGCGGUUUAACCUUUUUCAUCAAUGUUAGGUUCUUAACUUACAUAUUUGGUCUUUUUAGCAAGCUCACUUGAGUGUUUCUCCCUAACAAGUUGUGAUUCAACUACUGAACAAACAUGUUUCAAAGUAUACAACAAUUUAAUGACAAAUAAUGAAAAAUGUUUAUCCCUAACAAGUUUGUUGUGAUCUAACUGCAAGAUAAACGUCUCAAAGUGUACAACAAUUUAAUGACAAAUAAACUACAAACAUGAAAAUAAACGAGACACGAGAUUUUUAUGAGAUUAUAAUAACUUGAACCUAAAUCCAGCCCUUGUAUAUUUUUUCUUAUCUCUUGAGUGUUUCUCCCUAACAAGUUUGUUGUGGUUCAACUGCGAAACAAACAUGUUUCAAAUUAUACAACAAUUUAAUGACAAAUGAUGAAAAGUGUUUCUCCCUAACAAUUUUGUUUUGAUCCAGCCGCGAAACAAACAUGUCUCAAAGUAUAUAACAAUUUAAUGACAAAUAAACUAUAAAUAUGAAAAUAAAUUGGACAAAGGAUUAUUAUGAGAUUAUAACAACUUGAACCUAAACCUAACCCUUAUAUAAUUUUUCUCACCUCCCAAGAACUCUCUCUCAUCUCAUGUAUAAGGCUACAUAAUGCCAACAAUACCUUCUCCGAUGGACUCUCCGAUGGGCAAGGGAAAUAGGAAAAUUGCAAUGUGACUACCUUAAGGGAAGAUAAGAAGUCUCCAGGCAUCAAUUUGGUUCCUUCACGGUUGUCGGCAGGCUCAUCUGAAUAAUCCUGUUAGGUGAAGUUAUAAAAAAAAAAAAGGAAAAAAAAUGAAAACUGGUUUCAACAAGGGAUGAUCUCUAACUUUACUAUUUCAAUUACUUUAUCUAAACAGUGCCAUAGUCGGUUUGGCAGCAGAUGCAUGAACUUCCACUCCAGUCUGGACCGAUAAAGCUACAUACAGAAUCUGUUUUAUCUUUUGAAAGAUUCAAGGACGCCAUUUUUGUUUAUCACUGCUGUAGCAUCUUUCUACACUUGAUGCCACAAUAAUCAAUUUCUGAGACUCCAUUGCAUUACCUUUUGAAUUCUCAAAUGAUGCGCCUAUUUGGUUUAGGGGGAAUACAGGUGAAAAUUCAAUUUUCUUGUUACCAAAUACAUUGAAUUAUUAUUGAAGCCUAGAGUCAAUUGCAUCUAAGAAGCCCUUGCCUUUUCCCAAUUAACUUAGAAUUAUCGAAUUCUAUCUUCCAACUAACAAGGGAACCAACCAACCAAUUCAAGUUCUAAUCCAACAUCCAAGUGAUCUUAGCUAGUUUCAGUUCUGGUUUUGAAAAAUAGGAAGUAUGGACCAGAAAAGAAGUGGAAGUAGGAAAUUAUUGGACGGUAAAGAAGAUAGAAUCAGUGAACUUCCCGAAAGUGUUUUGAGUCGCAUCCUAUCCCGUUUACCAAUAGAGGAUGCUGUUAGAACUAGUGUUGAUAAAUGCGAGUACAAAUGAACUUCCAUUUAUAACUUAACCUUUGAUGAAGGAAAGAGUUUUCGAUACUCGCACAAGUGAGGCAAAUGGACGCGGCAGAAGGAGCCUAAAAAGACAGAUUUUAUGGACUUUGUGGACAGAGUGCUUCCUCUUUCUAAGAAUUCAUCUAUCAAAGAGUGUCACCUCUUGUUUCUAGAUGCCUAUGAUUCAUUCCGUUUGAAAACUUGGAUCACCGCUGCUCUAAGAGCUAAUGUCCCGAGGCUUUGUAUUUCAUACGAAGGGAACUUAGUAUUUCCCCGUUGGUUUUUCACAUUUGAUUCCCUGACGAGGUUGAAACUCAAACUCUGAAAGUUUAAAAUUCCAAUGACCAUAUGUAAUUCAAACCAUCGAACUUUGGAUAUCCAUGAUAUUGAAUUCCAGAACGGUGGCCCUUCUGGCCAUAUUUCUUACCUACUUUGUCAUUGAAGAGUUUCUGUCAUCAGAUUGCUAAUGGAGGAAUGUGAAUAAGCUUAAAAUACAGGCACCAAUGCUUGCUAGGUUCGAGAUAACAGGCUCCAUCUUUGAACAUCUGUGAACGUGCAAAUGACGGAACAACUGACUGGAAAAUAGAGAUUUGUAGGGGCAACCUUGCAAAUUUCAAAUGUAGUGUUGAUAAGUUCGCCAAUAUCUAUUUUUCUGGCCUAUCAAGAAUUGUUGAUGCAUCUCUAGAGUAUUCGGAGCCUGAAAUGAAUGACAAUAUUAACCAAAGAAGCGAGACAGGUGUUCGAGCCUGUGAUCUUGACAAGAUUCUCUGUUUUCAUCAGCUUCCUGGAACUAUCUACUGAUCUGGUCGGGGUAAAGAUUCCCCUUUAUGCCAGUUUCUAAAUCUCACCUCAAGCAAAAUUGUUCAUUUAUAGUUCUUCAGAAUUUAAGUUUGCAAUUACCUCUUGCUAUUCUCUUUCAUUAUUCACGCAAUUUGAGAUUGUAGAUAAGAAUAUAGAGGCAAGUAACAGGCUCAGUCUACGAUAUAUCAUGACUCAUGAGUUAAGACGUCUUGCCAUUCUGAUAAAUGAUUAGCUUCAUGAUGUACAUGAUCUUGCUAGAAAAUACCCCUAUGCCUUUUUCUUGUGUUGUAUCUUGACUGAUGCUUAUGGCUGUAAAUAAGUCUAAUCAAACCAAACAUCAAACUAUUCAAACUUCUUUGAUUAUUGUAAAAAGCUUGAAAUUGUUUUUGAGCUUGCUUUAUUUAUUUAUCAAGCUGAUCUCAAAUGAGGUUUUACCAAGGCAAGCUCGAGUAGGUUGCGUUUUCUUAUCUACAACUUCUAAUUUUCAUUUUUAUACUUUGAAAGUUGAUGCUAUUCAAGUUUGACUUGAUUAGUUAGCGAACCAAUUCUAAACAAUCUCUUAUUGAGCUAAACUAGUUUCAAGUAUGGAGUAGGUUGGUUCACCUUUCAGCCCUUCUAAUGCUAGCCUAAUUGCCCGAUCUCCUCAAGGUACUUGCUGGUGCGAAUCCGCAAUGUCCUCCUCUUUUCUUUUAUGAGCUUGCCCACCUCAAAGUGUAUUCAGCAAGCAUUCCAAUUCAGUGUGAUGCAGCACUCAUGAAGAUGGCACCAGGUCUUGAAUCACUUACAUUUGCUGGGGGUAAAAUAAAGAUUACCAUUUCCACGCUCCUAAAAGUCCUUUUUUUUUUUUGCAGACUUCGUUAACUUUUGUGUUUAUGUGCUUUGGUGGUUCCUUAAUGUUUAACCUGUAGUCCUAUUCAUUGUCUUCCUUGUUUAUCUUCAUUAAACAGGAAUUGUCGAGGCAAGCUGCUGAUUACUACGAUCAAAUUCAAUUGUUGCCUGGAUAUCUAUCUUUCCUCAAGGUAAUCAAACUGGUAUAUUUGUACUUUCAUAAGCCAACGGAGAGUACUUUGGUGAAAUUUUUUCUGCGGAAUGCUGUAAAGCUUAAGGAGCUGUUGAUUUAUUCACAGCAUGAGGGGCAUAAGGUGGAUGAAGUUAGAGAUCAUCUGCUAAUGUUUCUCCAAUCCCAUGAUUGGAGAACUCUAAGAGCUCUAAGAGUCUAAUUGCGAGGAGAACUCUAAGAGCCUUGUUUGAAUUAUGGGCCAAUUCCAGUGAUUGCAGGUUAAUGAAAGUUGCUACUAGCCCACUGAACACUUGUCACCACAAGUAACUGGACAAAUUAAAGGGAAAUGAAAACUUUUCACCAAGAUGACUAGAACAAAAUUAUGCAUUCAUUUUUCCAUAACAAUUAGGGGUAUCAAGUGGGCCUUACGAGUUAGAUUUUACGAAGUCCAAGUUUGGCUUAUAAAAAUAAAGUAGCACUUUCAUGUUUUGGGACUCAGUAUCUAGGCUCAAUCUGUAAACUCAUACUCAGUUCACCAAAAUACAAGAGUUUUGGCCCAAUUCGAACUUGGCCCAAAUUCACAAUUAAUACAUAAUUUUAAAAAUAAUAUACAUAUAAUAUUUAUAUUAUUGUAUCAUAAUAUAUAUAUGUUAUAAACUAUUUACAUUAUAAUAUAUAAUUAUUAAAUAACAUACAUCAUUAUGAAUUAAAAAAAAUAGCUAUUUAUGUACUUAAUUGGUCAGGUCGAGCCGAGUUUUAAUCGAAUUGAGUCUCUUUAAACUCAAACUCGACUCACAAUUUAAUCGAGUCUUAACCUUAACCUAACCCUACAGCCCAAUAAUAUGCAAGGCUCGACUCAAAUUAAUUCGGAUCAAAUAGGCUGAGUUUAGGUUGAUCCAACCCAUUAACAACCCUAAUGGCAACCACUAUUUUUCACUUUCUUUUGGGUAUGAAAACAACCUACUUAUAUAAAUAGUUGCCCAGCACUGAAGCCUUUAUUCUUUUUUUUUUAAUUCUCCUACUACUCUCUUAAAGCCAAGCACAUUACCAACUAAUUUGUAUUUCUUAGACAAGAUUAUUUCAUGCAUUUUAGAUUAUUUUUUAUUUUCAUGAUGGUUUUUCAAUUAUUUUUGGUAAAAUAAUUAUAUUCAAAUACUCUAUUUACUUAAAAUUUUUCAUAAAAUAAUUUAAGAAAAUAUUUAUACAUGUACAAGGCAAAAGAAGACAUUCCGCAGAAACAUUUUAUGAAGAGUGCAUAAAACAAGUAUAUUUGUUUAUUUAAAAUAUUGUUUUUCUUAGGUACAAUUUUCCAAGGAAAUGUUUGUAAAAAGGUACAAAGAAUGAGUAAAAAAAAAAAUGAAAGACAUAAAGAAAGGAAGAAUGAAAGGUUGCAAUUUUUAUAAAAUUCGUAAAUAAGGCAAAAGGAUUAAAAAAACACGUUAUUAGCAUUACAUUGAGGACAAUAUGUUUACAUUGAUAUUGAUGCAGACAUGCAUCCAUAUGCACAAGUAUUGGUGGCUUUUUCCUCUUUUAUUUUAACUGUGUGCACAUCUAAACAAGUAUUGUUAGCCUUUUCUUUCGUAUUAAUGCUCAAUAAUUCUAUCUUCUAAGUGAGAUAUAACCACCAUGAAGGUUUGGUAAGGGCAACUUUCAUGUGCAAAAAGUUACAAAAUUAUACAGCUUUUCCACCUUGAAUGUCACGGAGUUGAUCGUUUUACCAAAACUGUAGCUCCUGGGCUUGAAUUAUGUCAUAUCAAGUAAUGACAGUUCCAUUCAAAGGGUUAAUUCUUAUACGCUGUCAAUUGCUUCAGGCUUGCAUUUAUGUGAUAUAGCAGUUCCUAUAUGAUAUCGUUAUCAUUGAGUAAUGUGAAGGCAAAUAAUUGACCUGAAUCUGAGCCCUAUAACUGGAGCAUUUGCACUUGUUAUGAAUUGUAAACAUACCCAAGUCCUUAUCCUGCAGAAGUAUAUCAUAAUGCAAAGAAAUAUUGGUCAAAUUAGUUUCUACCAGGUCUGUUUCUUUUCUUGUGAUUGUGUGCAUUGCAGAAUACUUGAUAUCGUAGAUGUGAGAUUGUAUGGCUGUGUGUGUAGAUCAAAAGUGAGUACUUUGUAAUAUUGAAAGUUGACUAGAUUAAAUAUCUUUCUUUACUUCUUUUUCGGGUAAAUUACAUUUUACCCCCCUGUGAUUUACCCUUUUUUUACAUAACCCCCCUAUGGUUUCAAAAGCUAUACAAAACCCCCUCAUGGUUUGGAUUAAAGUGUCAAAGUAACGGAAAUAGUCACUCGUAACGGAACUUCUAAAAAUGUCGAAAUUACCCUUAUAAAUACAUGACACAUUAACCCCCUAUGAUUUUUAUAUUUUACCAUAUAACCCCCUAUGGUUUAAUACUUUACCAUAUAACCCCCUUAUGAUUUUCAAAACAUACACAUAACCCCCCUUGGUUAAUACAUAAAUUUCAACCUUACAUAAGGGUAUUUUUGACAUUUUAGGUGACACCGUUACGAGUGACUAUUUCCGUUACUUUGACACUUUAAUCCAAACCAUAAGGGGGUUAUGUAUAGCUUUUGAAACCAUAGAGGGGUUAUAUGAAAAAAUGCUAAACCACAGGGGGGUAAAGUGGAAUUUGCCCUUCUUUUUCCUAUGUCACUUCAAAAUUGAUUAAUACAUUCAAUCCCAGGAUCUACUCACAGCUAAUAGAAUUGCUGCACACAAAAGGCAAUUAUGCAACAUCCCUAUCAUUCUGGUACGUUUCUUACUAUUUUGAUAACCAUACAUAAUUUUCGUCAAAGGAAUUCGUAAUAUCAAUAAGGUGACAUCUCCAAGUUCUGCAUAUGAGAGCACUAAAAUGCCUUUCCUGUCUCAAUUGCUUUAUCUGCACAGUUCCAUAGUUAGCCUGGUCAGAGAUGCAUGAACUUCCCCUCCAAUAUGGAGUCGUAAAGCUACAUACUGAAUCAAUUCUAUCUUUUGAAAGAUCCAAAGACACCAUUUCUUAUUUUUCAUUUCUCAAGAGGAUAAAUAUGGAUAGCAUUUAUGAUAUACGAUUAUUGGAAGAAUUCAUUUGCGAGAAAAAAUGUGGAACCUGUGUGUAUGUUUGGAAGUAGUUCAUGAACCUCGUACACUGUAGCAUCUAUCUAUAUUAAUGCCACCAAUACUCAAUUUCUGAGACUCCAUCUGAUCACCGUUUUAGUUCCUAAAUAUGCGUACGUAUGGUUUAGGGAGAGUACUUGUGAAAAGUCAGUUUGCGUUUUCCUUGUUACCAAAUACAUUGAAUUAUUAUUGAGAACCUUAACAGUGUCAAUUGCAACUAAGCAGACCUUCCGUUUUCCCAACUAACCUACAAAUAUGGAAUUCUAGCUUCCAACGAAUGAAGGAAUCAACCAACCAAUUCCAGUUCUAAACCAAAAUCCAAGUGAUCUUAGCUAGUUCGAGUUCUAAGUUGAAAAAUUGGAAGCACGGACAAGAGAAGAAGUCGAAGUAAGGAAUUAUUGGACAGUAAAAAAGAUAGAAUCAGUGAACUUCCCGAAAGUGUUUUGAGUCACAUCCUAUCCUGUUUGCCAACAGAGGAUGCUGUUAGAACUAGUGUCUUGUCAAGGAAAUGGGAGUACAAAUGGACUUCCAUUUACAACUUAACCUUUGAUGAUAGAAAGAGAUUUUGUUACUCGCACAGGUGGAGGAAAUGGAAGAGGAAGAAGCAGCCUAAAAAGACAGAUUUUAUGAACUUUGUGGACAGAGUUCUUGCUCUUUCUAAGAAUUCAUCGAUCAAAGGGUGUCACCUUUUGUUUCUAGACGUGUAUGAUCCAUUUCGUAUGAAAACUUGGAUCACUGCUGCUCUAAGCUCUAAUGUCCAGAGGCUUCUUAUUUCAUAUGCAGCUAGUUCGAGUUCUAAGUUGAAAAAUCCAAGUGAUUUUGAUGGCUUGUUUCAUUUAAUUUCAUAGAAUUUAACGAAUAUAUAGCUAGUUUCAUAUCACAUUAAUAGGAAUAGGAUAGUUAUAGGUACAGUUAAUACAUAAGUGAAAGCAUGUAUCACAUAUAUUUGGAAAUUACGUCAUAACCAACCAAAAUAAUGAAUUCAAUUAAUUGGUUAUUUCAUUUGCAUAAUUAGAUAGUAAUUCCAUAACACUAAGCAUAUUUGCAUGUCAAUUAUGCAUGUCAAUUAUUACUACUUGUGUUGCAUGUUGGUAGUGUAGAUCCAUUUGCUUUAUUUGUAAUAAUCUAAAUAAAAGAGGAGUUCGAAUAACACCGGUAGUUGAUAAUAUUUCUUGUGGGAUCGACAUCUAAUAUCCCCUAUAUUUGAUAAAUGAUUUGUAUACUUACACAAAAUGGGAUAUUUUGGCUUUAAAAAUUUGGUGUAAAGCAAAAGCCUGAUCGAACCAAUUCAUAGCAGAAACUUUGCCAAUGUUGUGGAGUAAAUUGUUACGAAACAUGUAUAGUUUUACUACUUCAAGUGUAUAUUCCAAGUUGUUUUUGUCCAAAAUAUGCAGCUCAAAAACUUGGACAACAAAACAUAAUUGAUGUUGCAGGAGCAAUCAUUGCUUGUUUGUAGGCAUUUGACUUGUAAACUCAAAACAUGGUUGGCAUCGAGGAGGAAUCAUUGCUUGCAUAAUUUGGUACUUGAGGAGGAAACGUUUGUUCUAGGCAUUUGACUCGUGGUGAAGACUUCUACUAUCCCGCACUAUUUCAGAUAAUUCCCAUCACAGUUUCUAGUUUAAGUUUAUACCAAAGUAUUAUUUUAAACAAUGACCCUAUGAUUCUUGCUCUGAUACUAUGAUAAAGAAGACAACAAAUAGUGAAAAAAUAAUUGGAAGCCAUCUUUGCUAUAUAUAAGUGAUAAAAGCCAACUUUGCUCAAGACAUGUUGUCUAUUUUUUUUAAGAAAAAAAAAAAUCUAUAGUGCAACAACAACUUGCAUUUUUCUUUCAAGCACUUCCUUAAAUCCUCAAGUGUGAAGAAGCUAAUUUACAACACUAGUGGAGAAAGAUACCUUCCUGGUAAACGAGUCAUGCAACAAACACUACAAUGUGGUGCUGGUGAUGCACUCAAUAUUCCCAACCAGAAUUGGCCUAUUUCUUCCCCUAUCUGGGGUAUGGUUCAGUAAUUGAUGCCUCAUUUACAGAGCUUGGAAUUCAAAUUCUUUCGGUAUUAGAUUGCUCAACUUCCAGCUCUUCCACAAUGCUUUCCGAUCCAUGGCUCCGGAAAACUGCUGGACGAUGUGGAGUUGGUAUGGUAACAGAGCUACUAUUGAGCAUAUUGACCACGGAAACCAUUGUAGGCCUUUUAAACAAAUAGGUAAAUUACAUUUUUAGCUUUUAACAUAUAAAUGCACUCUCAGUUUAGUUCUUAAAUUUUUAUUGUGGACACUUCACCCUAAAGGUUUUAAAUUGUCCCACUUCAGUAUAAUUAUUAAUGAAAUCAUUAAAACAAAUGGAAUAUUCCAUCCCACUUUGAUCAUUACUUGCCAUUAUCCCAUCAGUUUUGACAAUUGACUGAGUGAUUGUGAUGAUGUGUGACAAAUGUGAUGCAUUAGGAGGUGAAGUAUCCAAAAUUAAAGUUUAAGAACUAAAGUUUGAGUGCGUCUGUGAUUUAAGGGUCUAAACUAGAAUUCACACCAAUUAAACAUUUGUCUAGAGGCAAUUUGUCUGUCAUUUCCAUAAAAUGGCAAGUCAAGUAAAAUAGAACAAGAUCACAUGGAACAACAAAAAAUUACUAUAAGUAUGUCUAGAUUGAACCCACCAAAGAGAAAGUAGUCAAGGCUUUUGUUAGGAACAAAUUCAUAGAUGAGUAUCUUUUCAUCUCCUUCCAGGCAAAAUCCCAAUAGUCGAACUAGAUUUCUGUGUUGAAGCUUUGCAACUACUACAAUUUCAUUUUUAAAUUCUUCUGCACCUUGCACUGAGCUCCUUGACAGCCUUUUAACAGCUACUUCUUGUCCAUUACCAAGUACACCCUGAGUAAACAUGCAUACUAGAAUUUAAUUGAAAUAUUAAAUGUGUAGAUAUUCAAAUUCACAAAAGCAAAAUAUUUCAUGCAGAGACCUUGUAUACACGACCAAAUCCACCUUCGCCAAUUUUGUUAUCCACAGAGAAGUUAUUUGUGGCAAUUUGAAUUUCAGUUAAGCUAUACUGUAAGGAUUCGGCUGUAAAGAUUUCAGCAACUCCAUCUACACCAGGGAUAAGCGACUUCACUCAAUUUAUUAGUACAAAAAUCUCUGAGGUUUCCUGUAAUUGCAAUCAAUAAACUUUACCAGUUGCCUCCUGCUGUGCCAUAGCAGCAUAUCGCUUCCCUGAUCUUCUUUUCAGGAAGACUAAAGCUAUGAUAAAUAGCACAAAAGCAACCCCGAUUAGUGGGACAGCAAUUGGAAAAGCUGCUCGUAGGGGUCUUCGCCCUUUGCCUGGAUUAAAGGAAGUUUAAUUUACUUCAAAAGUCAGCUCAUAGGAGAUCAAGUUUGCUGAACUUUGGAUUAGUGUAACUCCGAGACAGCCCAUUACAUAGACGGAUAGCUACGCAAGAACACAUUAUUUGAAAAAAUAUUCAUUCAGUAUGCUUUAAAAGUUUUUUCGCCACCUUUUCGUCUCACAUACUCCAUGUUGACGGUAAAUAGAAAAAAAUUUUGACGAUCAAUUUUCAAUCCCAGCAUACCAAUUGUUCUAGUUAUGGAUUAAUAGACUUCAGUAAUUAGCUUGGCUUCCCUGUGGCUUCAGUAAUUUACAAAUUUAGCUCUGUGUUUGGACCAAAUUACAACUACGCUUGUAAAUGCGGCUGUCCAGAUCCAACCGUUGGAUAUAAUCAAAUGACAAUAAUGGCCCACUUUAAAAAGACUUGGAAAAUAAAAACCAAAACAAAUGGGAUAGCGUUUUUAGGCACAAGAAUUGCUAGCAAAAAAGCCGAAGAUAAUUAAUUACUAAAUUUAGAAAAGUUGGGUGGCAAAUUAGCAAAUAGGUGUUUCCCCCAGAAGAACAAGAAAGUACGUAUCAGAAUCGAACGAGAUAAAAGACAAAGAAGUGGAGAAGAAACAUUAAAGAUAAAGUAAAGGAAGAUGCACCAAUACUAAGAAGAAAGAAAUACAAGAUAACCAAACCAACGGUGUGGAAAGGCAAAAUAAAAUGAGGAAAAAAAAAAGAAGAAGAAGAAGAAAGCACCUUUUCGUCUCAAACCUUAUUUACUCCAUUUCAGAUCUAUUACAACUGCCACUGCAAUCACCAUAACCACCUCCUCAUUUUAACGUACCUAUUCCUAUUCAAUUCCCUCGAGACUGGUAUCACCAAGUCAUUUUCUCCUUUCUACUUUUUCCUUCGCUUCAUAAGCAUACCGACAUACAUACAUACGCGCGUCACGCGUAUAUACAUACAUAUAUGGUAUUAUAGUUGUGGAAUUUGAACAUAUGUAAUGGUAAUGCUGGUAGAUGAGAUUUGGGCAUUUUUGUUUCCUUAGAUGGAAAGGUAAUGUAGUUUUUAAAAGGGAAAAUUGUUUAAAACAUUUUUCACAUUUCGUUUAAUAAUUUUUUUGUUAUUCACUUUUAAAAUUCUCAACUUAAAUUUUUUGAUAAUUUCUUAUCCUGAAUAUGAUCCACACAUGAUUAAUUUUUUGGGGCAAAAAAGUGAGACCCAUCUGCAAUUAAAUAAUCGACUCGAUCGAUAUUUUUGUCCUUAAAAAUAUAGGAUUUUAUUCAAUCAUAUUCAUUUUUUUUCUAAAAAAGUGGGAUUUGACUCAAUUUGUAUUUGUUUUGCCAUUAAAAAAAAUAAAAUUUGACAUUUUUGUGCAUAUAAAAAAUUAUUGCAUGUCAAUCAUCGAGUGAUUUUAAGUUAAAAGUGGUCAAAAAUUUAGGUUUGUACCAAAAUUUACUAACUUGAAUUUGUAAGGAACACAAAAUUAAGAUUUUAAAAGUGAUUGACGAAAAAAUUCAUUUGAUAAAAUGUAAAAAUCGUUUUAAAUGAUCUUCUUUUUUUGAAAACUUAAUGUACGACAGAGUUUAAUAGUCUAAAAUUGUGCUCUAAACGACUAGAGGCCGAUCAAUGAGCAGAUUGGUUCUGUAAAGUAAAGUUGGCUGCUUAAUGGAGCUUGGAUGCUGGAGCCCUAUUGUAACCAUGGUUAUCAAGGUUCGGAUCAGCAAAAUCGAUUCGGAUCGUAUAUAGAAUCGAAAAUUGCCUUAAUUUGUAUAGGAUCGUUAGCAUCGUUCGUGGGAUCGUAGGAUCAUAUAUAGGAUCGUACGAUCCUACGAUAUCCCAUUGUGAUCCUACGAAUUUUUGAGAAUUUUGUAAAUGUAGGGCUAAAUGGAAAUAUUUUGAGCAUUUUUGUAAUUUAUCAAAGAAUUAGAUCCUUUAAUUAUAAUUUUGCAACAAUUUUUGUCUCAAAAACAAAUUAAAAGGUACAAUAAAAAAGGAUUCGGGAACAAAUGAAUGAAACAAGCAGAGACAAAGUCACAAAAGACGAAGAGAGAGAAAGAUUCUUUGGUUCUUCCCAAUCUCCAUUCCAUACUUUUGCCCUAUCUAGAUUCCAAUAAAAUUUCACAAAAUCACUACAAGAAAAUUGGUCAUCAGUGACAACUUUUCUCUGUGACGAAAAAAAGUUGUCACAAAAGUGGAUCCUUUAUUGACGACUUUCUAACUCGUCACAAACCUCUAAUGGGAGCCAACUCAUUUGUGACAACUUAGAAAAGUCGUCACUAGUAAAUUCCCGCCAAGAUUUAGCAAGAGCGCGGGAGUGUUUGGAACACACAAUAGUGACGACAUUAAAAACAUCAUCACUAUUGCUUGGCCUAGUUACGGACAACUUUUUGUUGUCGUCACUGAUCACUAAAAAAAAGGUUAUUAGUGACAACAUUCUCUAGUGAUGACAAUAAGUCGUCACAAAAGGGGUUUCUUUAGUCGCGACACCUAAAGUUGUCACAAUUGCAUCAAAGCAACUAAAUGUUUAGUGACGACCCGUUAUUUUCGUCACAAACUACAUUGCAAGAAAUAUGGUCAUUAGUGACAACAUUUUUUAGUGACGACAAAAGUCGUCACAAAAAGUGGUUAUUUAGUGACGACAAGGAAAGUUGUCAUAAUUGCUCAAAGCAACUAAGUCUUCAGUGACAACCUUGAAAAAGUUGUCACUAAAAUGAUCUAUAUAGUGACAACUUCUAAUAUCGUCACUGUCACUCUACCGAUUCGGAUUUAGUGACAAGAAUUAAUCGUCACUGUUUAAAGUACUUAUUUCUAAGUCACUUUCAUUAAUUCUACUGUGCCACCCUAACUUUUGCGAUUUAGCCCCAAAUGUUGUAAUAAAUUUCAUUAAUUCCAUUAUGAUACCUUAACUUUUUCAAUUUAGCCCCAUAUGUAGUACACCGAUUUCAUUAAUUCUAUUAUUACUCCCUAACUUUUGUAAUUUAGCCCCAUAUGUAAUUCACCAAUUUCAUUAAUUCUACUAUGGCACUCUAACUUUUGCAAUUUAACCCCCAUAUGUAAUACACCAAUUUUAUUAUUUCUAUUAUGGCACCCUAGCUUUUACAAUUUAGCCCCUAUUUUUUUAUUAGGAAAUUGCGAAUGGUAUCUUGAUAAACUAUGCAUAAAUAUUUUAUAAUUUUCUCAAACUUAAGUAAUAAUUUGUUAUAAAUUCUAAAGAUAUAUCUUUCAUUACAAUAGUUAUAAGGCAGACAGGUCUUUUUAUCAAUGGAAUAAGAAAUUUAUGGCAGAUUUAUCCUUUGUGCUACAUGCCAAGUAGUAUUAGCAAAGGAAUAACAAAGUACUACAAAGCAAUUAACAAAAUAUCUGUAAUUUAUACACAUUUUGCAACUACUACUUUGUGUUUUCUCUGUAAUGAAUUUUUUAACUAUUGAGAACUUAAGUUUUGUCUUGCAAAUCUAUACUAGUACAAUAAUUUUAAACAAAAUUAAACAUUAAAAUAAAUGUUUGAAAAAGAACAAAAGUACAUUUAUCACUUGCAGUAAUGUAACAAAAUUUUCUCAACCAUUAUCAAUAUUUUCACAAAAGUAUUAAAAACUAGCAAUUGACAAUAUUAAAAACUAGCAAUUUAAUUAGUGAUGACUUUUCUUGUCAUUAUAAUCUUGAAUAAAUUAGUGAUAACAUUAUGUCAUCACUAAAUUUUCUUUGAUUUUGACUUAACAAUAAUGUCUUAUUAAUAGCAUUUGAUUAUUUUUAAUGAAAGUCUGUUAUAACCAUAGAAUUUGACUUUCGUUAUUUUCAAUUAAUGAUGUACUUUAGUGCUGCAAUUAUAAAAAAUUGCAGGGCUAAAAUAUUUGCAAAUUAUAAAAGUAUAUUUUCACUUAUAUGUAAUUAACAAAUUUUGCCACCUAUAUUGACGAAAAUUUGUGUUUUUGUACUAAAAAAUAAAGAAUAAUACUAUAGCAAUAAAAUCUAUGCUUCAAACCAAAUUAAAAAUAAAAAAAAAACAUGAUGAUUGGUCUCAAAUGUUGGGAAAAUGAUUAUUUUUAUUGAAACUAUGUGUAGACACCAAAUUUUUGUUUUUUUAAUUUUAUUUUGUUUAAUUAAUUUAAUAGGUUUAUUUGUUUCAAUUCUAGGGCUUUUAUUUUUAUUUUUAUUUUAUUUUAUUUUAUUUUGCUCUAAUUCAUUUUAUUUUAUUAUUUAUUUUUGUCUCGUACUAAAAAAAAAGAGAAAAAGAAAAAGCAAAAAAAAAAUAAUGACAAAUGGGGAUCAUGGAUAGAGACAAGUGUCCCUUUUUGCAUUUGACAACACCUCACCUCACCUAGAUGGUGAGGUGUCUAGACACUUGUAGGAUAGAUAUUUUGAAAAGGAAAAGAAAGAGAAGAAAAGGGCAACGGGGCUUGAAAAAAAAAGGCAAGACAAAGAGGAGGGUUUGGCGGCUGAGUAGGGGGGGAACCUGGUUGGUGGCCGAAAAGAGAAAAAAGAAAGGAGAGAACCGAGAGGGGAGGACGGCUGGAAAAAACAGAGUAAAAGAAAAACCAAGGGGGUGGCGGAUGAAAAGGAACCGUGGAAAACGAAAAGGAAAAAAAGGAGGUGCUUCAUCGGAGGCUAAAGAAAAAGAAAGAGAAAGAUUGAAAGGAAAAAAUGGGAAGUUUAGCGGCUGAAGGCUGAGGAGAGGCUUCGGCUGAGUGAAGGGAAAAGGACGGAGAGGGAAGCUCAACGAAAACAAAAAACAGAGAAAAGGAAAAGAGGGUGGCGGCUGACGGGCAGAGGAGGAAAAAAGAGCAAAAACGCAAGGGGAAAACAGAGGGGCUGAGAACAAGGAGAAGAAAAAGGAGAGAACCGAGAGGGGGGCUUCGGUGGGGAAAAACAGAGAAGGCCGAGAGAGGUUUGGGCUAAAAAGAACAAAGCAAAGGAAAGACAAGGGGCGGCGGAACAAAGCAGAAAACUAAGAGGAAAAUGGACUGCUAGGGUUAGAGAAAAGGGAGACGCGAAAGUGAAAGGGAGAACUUCGGGGAGUUUCUGAGAGGAAGACAAGAGCAGGAACCAGAACAAGAGGAAGAAAGAAGCUUCGGGCUAGGGAAAAAUCAAAACGGAGGCAGAGGAGAGUAAGAACCAGAAUCACCACUGCCGUCGACCACCGCCAGCGCCGCCACUUCACCGAAUCCACCAUCAUCACCGGCCAAUUUUCAUCAAGCAAGAGCACGGUAAGCUGUCUUUUCUUCUUUAAAACUUCAGUUUUGUUCAAGCCUUUGAAACAGGCUGCCGUGACUGUGUUUGGUUGCAAUUUUCGGUUGUUUGUUCAUGAUUUUUUAAUACGCAUGCUAUAUGUGUUAAUUGGACUGUUUGCUGUGUUUCUGGCAAACUUUUGGGGCUGAAAAUGACCUUAAUUGAGCAAAAAAAGUCGGUGAAAUUUUGGUGCCUAUUUGCUGUUCGACGAAAUGCCUAACCGAAAGUCCUGCUUUGAAGAUGAUUUUUGCUUGCGUUUUGCGUUGUUCUUAUCCCAGAAAUUUUGUUUACCAGAGUUGGGUAGUUGAAGUUUUUGGUAAUUAUGCUAGAGGUUGGGUUUUGUUUUUGCUAAGAUGGCAUGCUGUAGCUCCCUGCUUUUCCCUUGUGGUUGUGCAAUCAGCCACGGAUUUAAGGGGGGGCUGGUGGGGGCUUAAGCCCCCCCCAAGCCGCCGGAAAACCCCCUAUAAUCAAACGCUAAGGCUUACUCUGCCUAUCUCAGUCGAUCUCAAGGACACCGCCAUCCCCGACUGCCUCCAGUCCUGCUGCCAGAAGAGCACCGCCGCUAGCAGUCCACCGUAAGUUAUCCCUUUCAUUUGUAUUUCAUUUUUUUUCCUUGAUCACAAGUUUUGGAAAGUUUUUCAAAUGGGUCUGCCAUGACUUGGUUGUUGCGUUUCCCCUGUUGAUGGCCCAUAAUUUUAUGAUUAUACGUGUUUUAUGUGUUGAUUUGGUUGGAUUUUCUUGGGAUUUCUGAUAAUUUUGGGUGCUGCUUUACAUCAAUUGAGCGAGAGAUUAGCUAAAAUUUCUUAUGCUCAUGUGGUGUUUGACGAAAUACCUAACCGACAGUCUUGCUUGAAGACGAUUUUGCUUGCAUUUUGCGUGUUCUUAUCCCAGAAAUUUUGUUUACUAGAGUUGGGUAGUUGACGUUUUUGGCAAUUAUGCAAGAGGUUGGGUUUUGAUGGUAUGCUGUAGCUCCCUGCUUUUCCCUUGUGGUUGUGCAAUAGAUUUGAAAUGAUGAAUUAGAAGAAAGCCACGGUUGGGAAUAAAAUUAUUGCAGAGAAUAUUUGUUGCUCAAAAGAAAAGUUUCUCAUGGCUUUGUAUGUUCUUUUCAAAGGAUUCUACACUUAGCAUGUGAAUAAGUUGACCCGUAUCAAUUUCCCUUUAGUAGAAUAUGUUUUUCAGUUUGGCUAUUGUUGUUUCAUUUCUGCCAUUUUUGAAUGAAAGCUGUUAGUUUCCUUCAUCCGAUGAUCUGCGAGGCUGUUUUGCUGUGAAUACUGAGUUUUUAUUGCAAGAUUAUGGUUGUGCCUAAGAUUUUUAUCUUGUGAGUUUGUUUGAAGUUAUGGCAGAGCUCUAAGCCAUUUUGGUUGCAUUUUGAUGAGCAUCAAAUCUGCAGCAGAAUAAAAUUUUUGCAGUCCUCUUUGCUGUUUUCUUUUUUCUGCAAUUGCUCACCAAGUUUCAGCCAUCCAACCUGCUGAUUGGUCUUAUAUUGAAAAGGUGGAUUAGAUAAGUGGUGUUGGAUUAGCAUGUUUAGUAUUUUGUUCAAAUUCAAGAUCUGAUCUUUAGCAUGUUUUCUUGAAUGUUUUGGUUCGGCACUUCAAACAAGAGUUAAACAUUUUCGCUGCAUUUUUGUUUUGUUAUUUUGAAAACCACUGCUACCCCUUUGUUUUUGCUAGCUGUCACCAAACCAGAUUUUCUGAUUUGAUCUUGCAACAAAAGGGUAAUAUUUGACUUUCUAACUCGUCACAAACCUCUAAUGGGAGCCAACUCAUUUGUGACAACUUAGAAAAGUCGUCACUAGUAAAUUCCCGCCAAGAUUUAGCAAGAGCGCGGGAGUGUUUGGAACACACAAUAGUGACGACAUUAAAAACAUCAUCACUAUUGCUUGGCCUAGUUACGGACAACUUUUUGUUGUCGUCACUGAUCACUAAAAAAAAGGUUAUUAGUGACAACAUUCUCUAGUGAUGACAAUAAGUCGUCACAAAAGGGGUUUCUUUAGUCGCGACACCUAAAGUUGUCACAAUUGCAUCAAAGCAACUAAAUGUUUAGUGACGACCCGUUAUUUUCGUCACAAACUACAUUGCAAGAAAUAUGGUCAUUAGUGACAACAUUUUUUAGUGACGACAAAAGUCGUCACAAAAAGUGGUUAUUUAGUGACGACAAGGAAAGUUGUCAUAAUUGCUCAAAGCAACUAAGUCUUCAGUGACAACCUUGAAAAAGUUGUCACUAAAAUGAUCUAUAUAGUGACAACUUCUAAUAUCGUCACUGUCACUCUACCGAUUCGGAUUUAGUGACAAGAAUUAAUCGUCACUGUUUAAAGUACUUAUUUCUAAGUCACUUUCAUUAAUUCUACUGUGCCACCCUAACUUUUGCGAUUUAGCCCCAAAUGUUGUAAUAAAUUUCAUUAAUUCCAUUAUGAUACCUUAACUUUUUCAAUUUAGCCCCAUAUGUAGUACACCGAUUUCAUUAAUUCUAUUAUUACUCCCUAACUUUUGUAAUUUAGCCCCAUAUGUAAUUCACCAAUUUCAUUAAUUCUACUAUGGCACUCUAACUUUUGCAAUUUAACCCCCAUAUGUAAUACACCAAUUUUAUUAUUUCUAUUAUGGCACCCUAGCUUUUACAAUUUAGCCCCUAUUUUUUUAUUAGGAAAUUGCGAAUGGUAUCUUGAUAAACUAUGCAUAAAUAUUUUAUAAUUUUCUCAAACUUAAGUAAUAAUUUGUUAUAAAUUCUAAAGAUAUAUCUUUCAUUACAAUAGUUAUAAGGCAGACAGGUCUUUUUAUCAAUGGAAUAAGAAAUUUAUGGCAGAUUUAUCCUUUGUGCUACAUGCCAAGUAGUAUUAGCAAAGGAAUAACAAAGUACUACAAAGCAAUUAACAAAAUAUCUGUAAUUUAUACACAUUUUGCAACUACUACUUUGUGUUUUCUCUGUAAUGAAUUUUUUAACUAUUGAGAACUUAAGUUUUGUCUUGCAAAUCUAUACUAGUACAAUAAUUUUAAACAAAAUUAAACAUUAAAAUAAAUGUUUGAAAAAGAACAAAAGUACAUUUAUCACUUGCAGUAAUGUAACAAAAUUUUCUCAACCAUUAUCAAUAUUUUCACAAAAGUAUUAAAAACUAGCAAUUGACAAUAUUAAAAACUAGCAAUUUAAUUAGUGAUGACUUUUCUUGUCAUUAUAAUCUUGAAUAAAUUAGUGAUAACAUUAUGUCAUCACUAAAUUUUCUUUGAUUUUGACUUAACAAUAAUGUCUUAUUAAUAGCAUUUGAUUAUUUUUAAUAAAAGUCUGUUAUAACCAUAGAAUUUGACUUUCGUUAUUUUCAAUUAAUGAUGUACUUUAGUGCUGCAAUUAUAAAAAAUUGCAGGGCUAAAAUAUUUGCAAAUUAUAAAAGUAUAUUUUCACUUAUAUGUAAUUAACAAAUUUUGCCACCUAUAUUGACGAAAAUUUGUGUUUUUGUACUAAAAAAUAAAGAAUAAUACUAUAGCAAUAAAAUCUAUGCUUCAAACCAAAUUAAAAAUAAAAAAAAAACAUGAUGAUUGGUCUCAAAUGUUGGGAAAAUGAUUAUUUUUAUUGAAACUAUGUGUAGACACCAAAUUUUUGUUUUUUUAAUUUUAUUUUGUUUAAUUAAUUUAAUAGGUUUAUUUGUUUCAAUUCUAGGGCUUUUAUUUUUAUUUUUAUUUUAUUUUAUUUUAUUUUGCUCUAAUUCAUUUUAUUUUAUUAUUUAUUUUUGUCUCGUACUAAAAAAAAAGAGAAAAAGAAAAAGCAAAAAAAAAAUAAUGACAAAUGGGGAUCAUGGAUAGAGACAAGUGUCCCUUUUUGCAUUUGACAACACCUCACCUCACCUAGAUGGUGAGGUGUCUAGACACUUGUAGGAUAGAUAUUUUGAAAAGGAAAAGAAAGAGAAGAAAAGGGCAACGGGGCUUGAAAAAAAAAGGCAAGACAAAGAGGAGGGUUUGGCGGCUGAGUAGGGGGGGAACCUGGUUGGUGGCCGAAAAGAGAAAAAAGAAAGGAGAGAACCGAGAGGGGAGGACGGCUGGAAAAAACAGAGUAAAAGAAAAACCAAGGGGGUGGCGGAUGAAAAGGAACCGUGGAAAACGAAAAGGAAAAAAAGGAGGUGCUUCAUCGGAGGCUAAAGAAAAAGAAAGAGAAAGAUUGAAAGGAAAAAAUGGGAAGUUUAGCGGCUGAAGGCUGAGGAGAGGCUUCGGCUGAGUGAAGGGAAAAGGACGGAGAGGGAAGCUCAACGAAAACAAAAAACAGAGAAAAGGAAAAGAGGGUGGCGGCUGACGGGCAGAGGAGGAAAAAAGAGCAAAAACGCAAGGGGAAAACAGAGGGGCUGAGAACAAGGAGAAGAAAAAGGAGAGAACCGAGAGGGGGGCUUCGGUGGGGAAAAACAGAGAAGGCCGAGAGAGGUUUGGGCUAAAAAGAACAAAGCAAAGGAAAGACAAGGGGCGGCGGAACAAAGCAGAAAACUAAGAGGAAAAUGGACUGCUAGGGUUAGAGAAAAGGGAGACGCGAAAGUGAAAGGGAGAACUUCGGGGAGUUUCUGAGAGGAAGACAAGAGCAGGAACCAGAACAAGAGGAAGAAAGAAGCUUCGGGCUAGGGAAAAAUCAAAACGGAGGCAGAGGAGAGUAAGAACCAGAAUCACCACUGCCGUCGACCACCGCCAGCGCCGCCACUUCACCGAAUCCACCAUCAUCACCGGCCAAUUUUCAUCAAGCAAGAGCACGGUAAGCUGUCUUUUCUUCUUUAAAACUUCAGUUUUGUUCAAGCCUUUGAAACAGGCUGCCGUGACUGUGUUUGGUUGCAAUUUUCGGUUGUUUGUUCAUGAUUUUUUAAUACGCAUGCUAUAUGUGUUAAUUGGACUGUUUGCUGUGUUUCUGGCAAACUUUUGGGGCUGAAAAUGACCUUAAUUGAGCAAAAAAAGUCGGUGAAAUUUUGGUGCCUAUUUGCUGUUCGACGAAAUGCCUAACCGAAAGUCCUGCUUUGAAGAUGAUUUUUGCUUGCGUUUUGCGUUGUUCUUAUCCCAGAAAUUUUGUUUACCAGAGUUGGGUAGUUGAAGUUUUUGGUAAUUAUGCUAGAGGUUGGGUUUUGUUUUUGCUAAGAUGGCAUGCUGUAGCUCCCUGCUUUUCCCUUGUGGUUGUGCAAUCAGCCACGGAUUUAAGGGGGGGCUGGUGGGGGCUUAAGCCCCCCCCAAGCCGCCGGAAAACCCCCUAUAAUCAAACGCUAAGGCUUACUCUGCCUAUCUCAGUCGAUCUCAAGGACACCGCCAUCCCCGACUGCCUCCAGUCCUGCUGCCAGAAGAGCACCGCCGCUAGCAGUCCACCGUAAGUUAUCCCUUUCAUUUGUAUUUCAUUUUUUUUCCUUGAUCACAAGUUUUGGAAAGUUUUUCAAAUGGGUCUGCCAUGACUUGGUUGUUGCGUUUCCCCUGUUGAUGGCCCAUAAUUUUAUGAUUAUACGUGUUUUAUGUGUUGAUUUGGUUGGAUUUUCUUGGGAUUUCUGAUAAUUUUGGGUGCUGCUUUACAUCAAUUGAGCGAGAGAUUAGCUAAAAUUUCUUAUGCUCAUGUGGUGUUUGACGAAAUACCUAACCGACAGUCUUGCUUGAAGACGAUUUUGCUUGCAUUUUGCGUGUUCUUAUCCCAGAAAUUUUGUUUACUAGAGUUGGGUAGUUGACGUUUUUGGCAAUUAUGCAAGAGGUUGGGUUUUGAUGGUAUGCUGUAGCUCCCUGCUUUUCCCUUGUGGUUGUGCAAUAGAUUUGAAAUGAUGAAUUAGAAGAAAGCCACGGUUGGGAAUAAAAUUAUUGCAGAGAAUAUUUGUUGCUCAAAAGAAAAGUUUCUCAUGGCUUUGUAUGUUCUUUUCAAAGGAUUCUACACUUAGCAUGUGAAUAAGUUGACCCGUAUCAAUUUCCCUUUAGUAGAAUAUGUUUUUCAGUUUGGCUAUUGUUGUUUCAUUUCUGCCAUUUUUGAAUGAAAGCUGUUAGUUUCCUUCAUCCGAUGAUCUGCGAGGCUGUUUUGCUGUGAAUACUGAGUUUUUAUUGCAAGAUUAUGGUUGUGCCUAAGAUUUUUAUCUUGUGAGUUUGUUUGAAGUUAUGGCAGAGCUCUAAGCCAUUUUGGUUGCAUUUUGAUGAGCAUCAAAUCUGCAGCAGAAUAAAAUUUUUGCAGUCCUCUUUGCUGUUUUUUUUUUCUGCAAUUGCUCACCAAGUUUCAGCCAUCCAACCUGCUGAUUGGUCUUAUAUUGAAAAGGUGGAUUAGAUAAGUGGUGUUGGAUUAGCAUGUUUAGUAUUUUGUUCAAAUUCAAGAUCUGAUCUUUAGCAUGUUUUCUUGAAUGUUUUGGUUCGGCACUUCAAACAAGAGUUAAACAUUUUCGCUGCAUUUUUGUUUUGUUAUUUUGAAAACCACUGCUACCCCUUUGUUUUUGCUAGCUGUCACCAAACCAGAUUUUCUGAUUUGAUCUUGCAACAAAAGGGUAAUAUUUGACUUUCUAACUCGUCACAAACCUCUAAUGGGAGCCAACUCAUUUGUGACAACUUAGAAAAGUCGUCACUAGUAAAUUCCCGCCAAGAUUUAGCAAGAGCGCGGGAGUGUUUGGAACACACAAUAGUGACGACAUUAAAAACAUCAUCACUAUUGCUUGGCCUAGUUACGGACAACUUUUUGUUGUCGUCACUGAUCACUAAAAAAAAGGUUAUUAGUGACAACAUUCUCUAGUGAUGACAAUAAGUCGUCACAAAAGGGGUUUCUUUAGUCGCGACACCUAAAGUUGUCACAAUUGCAUCAAAGCAACUAAAUGUUUAGUGACGACCCGUUAUUUUCGUCACAAACUACAUUGCAAGAAAUAUGGUCAUUAGUGACAACAUUUUUUAGUGACGACAAAAGUCGUCACAAAAAGUGGUUAUUUAGUGACGACAAGGAAAGUUGUCAUAAUUGCUCAAAGCAACUAAGUCUUCAGUGACAACCUUGAAAAAGUUGUCACUAAAAUGAUCUAUAUAGUGACAACUUCUAAUAUCGUCACUGUCACUCUACCGAUUCGGAUUUAGUGACAAGAAUUAAUCGUCACUGUUUAAAGUACUUAUUUCUAAGUCACUUUCAUUAAUUCUACUGUGCCACCCUAACUUUUGCGAUUUAGCCCCAAAUGUUGUAAUAAAUUUCAUUAAUUCCAUUAUGAUACCUUAACUUUUUCAAUUUAGCCCCAUAUGUAGUACACCGAUUUCAUUAAUUCUAUUAUUACUCCCUAACUUUUGUAAUUUAGCCCCAUAUGUAAUUCACCAAUUUCAUUAAUUCUACUAUGGCACUCUAACUUUUGCAAUUUAACCCCCAUAUGUAAUACACCAAUUUUAUUAUUUCUAUUAUGGCACCCUAGCUUUUACAAUUUAGCCCCUAUUUUUUUAUUAGGAAAUUGCGAAUGGUAUCUUGAUAAACUAUGCAUAAAUAUUUUAUAAUUUUCUCAAACUUAAGUAAUAAUUUGUUAUAAAUUCUAAAGAUAUAUCUUUCAUUACAAUAGUUAUAAGGCAGACAGGUCUUUUUAUCAAUGGAAUAAGAAAUUUAUGGCAGAUUUAUCCUUUGUGCUACAUGCCAAGUAGUAUUAGCAAAGGAAUAACAAAGUACUACAAAGCAAUUAACAAAAUAUCUGUAAUUUAUACACAUUUUGCAACUACUACUUUGUGUUUUCUCUGUAAUGAAUUUUUUAACUAUUGAGAACUUAAGUUUUGUCUUGCAAAUCUAUACUAGUACAAUAAUUUUAAACAAAAUUAAACAUUAAAAUAAAUGUUUGAAAAAGAACAAAAGUACAUUUAUCACUUGCAGUAAUGUAACAAAAUUUUCUCAACCAUUAUCAAUAUUUUCACAAAAGUAUUAAAAACUAGCAAUUGACAAUAUUAAAAACUAGCAAUUUAAUUAGUGAUGACUUUUCUUGUCAUUAUAAUCUUGAAUAAAUUAGUGAUAACAUUAUGUCAUCACUAAAUUUUCUUUGAUUUUGACUUAACAAUAAUGUCUUAUUAAUAGCAUUUGAUUAUUUUUAAUAAAAGUCUGUUAUAACCAUAGAAUUUGACUUUCGUUAUUUUCAAUUAAUGAUGUACUUUAGUGCUGCAAUUAUAAAAAAUUGCAGGGCUAAAAUAUUUGCAAAUUAUAAAAGUAUAUUUUCACUUAUAUGUAAUUAACAAAUUUUGCCACCUAUAUUGACGAAAAUUUGUGUUUUUGUACUAAAAAAUAAAGAAUAAUACUAUAGCAAUAAAAUCUAUGCUUCAAACCAAAUUAAAAAUAAAAAAAAAACAUGAUGAUUGGUCUCAAAUGUUGGGAAAAUGAUUAUUUUUAUUGAAACUAUGUGUAGACACCAAAUUUUUGUUUUUUUAAUUUUAUUUUGUUUAAUUAAUUUAAUAGGUUUAUUUGUUUCAAUUCUAGGGCUUUUAUUUUUAUUUUUAUUUUAUUUUAUUUUAUUUUGCUCUAAUUCAUUUUAUUUUAUUAUUUAUUUUUGUCUCGUACUAAAAAAAAAGAGAAAAAGAAAAAGCAAAAAAAAAAUAAUGACAAAUGGGGAUCAUGGAUAGAGACAAGUGUCCCUUUUUGCAUUUGACAACACCUCACCUCACCUAGAUGGUGAGGUGUCUAGACACUUGUAGGAUAGAUAUUUUGAAAAGGAAAAGAAAGAGAAGAAAAGGGCAACGGGGCUUGAAAAAAAAAGGCAAGACAAAGAGGAGGGUUUGGCGGCUGAGUAGGGGGGGAACCUGGUUGGUGGCCGAAAAGAGAAAAAAGAAAGGAGAGAACCGAGAGGGGAGGACGGCUGGAAAAAACAGAGUAAAAGAAAAACCAAGGGGGUGGCGGAUGAAAAGGAACCGUGGAAAACGAAAAGGAAAAAAAGGAGGUGCUUCAUCGGAGGCUAAAGAAAAAGAAAGAGAAAGAUUGAAAGGAAAAAAUGGGAAGUUUAGCGGCUGAAGGCUGAGGAGAGGCUUCGGCUGAGUGAAGGGAAAAGGACGGAGAGGGAAGCUCAACGAAAACAAAAAACAGAGAAAAGGAAAAGAGGGUGGCGGCUGACGGGCAGAGGAGGAAAAAAGAGCAAAAACGCAAGGGGAAAACAGAGGGGCUGAGAACAAGGAGAAGAAAAAGGAGAGAACCGAGAGGGGGGCUUCGGUGGGGAAAAACAGAGAAGGCCGAGAGAGGUUUGGGCUAAAAAGAACAAAGCAAAGGAAAGACAAGGGGCGGCGGAACAAAGCAGAAAACUAAGAGGAAAAUGGACUGCUAGGGUUAGAGAAAAGGGAGACGCGAAAGUGAAAGGGAGAACUUCGGGGAGUUUCUGAGAGGAAGACAAGAGCAGGAACCAGAACAAGAGGAAGAAAGAAGCUUCGGGCUAGGGAAAAAUCAAAACGGAGGCAGAGGAGAGUAAGAACCAGAAUCACCACUGCCGUCGACCACCGCCAGCGCCGCCACUUCACCGAAUCCACCAUCAUCACCGGCCAAUUUUCAUCAAGCAAGAGCACGGUAAGCUGUCUUUUCUUCUUUAAAACUUCAGUUUUGUUCAAGCCUUUGAAACAGGCUGCCGUGACUGUGUUUGGUUGCAAUUUUCGGUUGUUUGUUCAUGAUUUUUUAAUACGCAUGCUAUAUGUGUUAAUUGGACUGUUUGCUGUGUUUCUGGCAAACUUUUGGGGCUGAAAAUGACCUUAAUUGAGCAAAAAAAGUCGGUGAAAUUUUGGUGCCUAUUUGCUGUUCGACGAAAUGCCUAACCGAAAGUCCUGCUUUGAAGAUGAUUUUUGCUUGCGUUUUGCGUUGUUCUUAUCCCAGAAAUUUUGUUUACCAGAGUUGGGUAGUUGAAGUUUUUGGUAAUUAUGCUAGAGGUUGGGUUUUGUUUUUGCUAAGAUGGCAUGCUGUAGCUCCCUGCUUUUCCCUUGUGGUUGUGCAAUCAGCCACGGAUUUAAGGGGGGGCUGGUGGGGGCUUAAGCCCCCCCCAAGCCGCCGGAAAACCCCCUAUAAUCAAACGCUAAGGCUUACUCUGCCUAUCUCAGUCGAUCUCAAGGACACCGCCAUCCCCGACUGCCUCCAGUCCUGCUGCCAGAAGAGCACCGCCGCUAGCAGUCCACCGUAAGUUAUCCCUUUCAUUUGUAUUUCAUUUUUUUUCCUUGAUCACAAGUUUUGGAAAGUUUUUCAAAUGGGUCUGCCAUGACUUGGUUGUUGCGUUUCCCCUGUUGAUGGCCCAUAAUUUUAUGAUUAUACGUGUUUUAUGUGUUGAUUUGGUUGGAUUUUCUUGGGAUUUCUGAUAAUUUUGGGUGCUGCUUUACAUCAAUUGAGCGAGAGAUUAGCUAAAAUUUCUUAUGCUCAUGUGGUGUUUGACGAAAUACCUAACCGACAGUCUUGCUUGAAGACGAUUUUGCUUGCAUUUUGCGUGUUCUUAUCCCAGAAAUUUUGUUUACUAGAGUUGGGUAGUUGACGUUUUUGGCAAUUAUGCAAGAGGUUGGGUUUUGAUGGUAUGCUGUAGCUCCCUGCUUUUCCCUUGUGGUUGUGCAAUAGAUUUGAAAUGAUGAAUUAGAAGAAAGCCACGGUUGGGAAUAAAAUUAUUGCAGAGAAUAUUUGUUGCUCAAAAGAAAAGUUUCUCAUGGCUUUGUAUGUUCUUUUCAAAGGAUUCUACACUUAGCAUGUGAAUAAGUUGACCCGUAUCAAUUUCCCUUUAGUAGAAUAUGUUUUUCAGUUUGGCUAUUGUUGUUUCAUUUCUGCCAUUUUUGAAUGAAAGCUGUUAGUUUCCUUCAUCCGAUGAUCUGCGAGGCUGUUUUGCUGUGAAUACUGAGUUUUUAUUGCAAGAUUAUGGUUGUGCCUAAGAUUUUUAUCUUGUGAGUUUGUUUGAAGUUAUGGCAGAGCUCUAAGCCAUUUUGGUUGCAUUUUGAUGAGCAUCAAAUCUGCAGCAGAAUAAAAUUUUUGCAGUCCUCUUUGCUGUUUUUUUUUUCUGCAAUUGCUCACCAAGUUUCAGCCAUCCAACCUGCUGAUUGGUCUUAUAUUGAAAAGGUGGAUUAGAUAAGUGGUGUUGGAUUAGCAUGUUUAGUAUUUUGUUCAAAUUCAAGAUCUGAUCUUUAGCAUGUUUUCUUGAAUGUUUUGGUUCGGCACUUCAAACAAGAGUUAAACAUUUUCGCUGCAUUUUUGUUUUGUUAUUUUGAAAACCACUGCUACCCCUUUGUUUUUGCUAGCUGUCACCAAACCAGAUUUUCUGAUUUGAUCUUGCAACAAAAGGGUAAUAUUUGACUUUCUAACUCGUCACAAACCUCUAAUGGGAGCCAACUCAUUUGUGACAACUUAGAAAAGUCGUCACUAGUAAAUUCCCGCCAAGAUUUAGCAAGAGCGCGGGAGUGUUUGGAACACACAAUAGUGACGACAUUAAAAACAUCAUCACUAUUGCUUGGCCUAGUUACGGACAACUUUUUGUUGUCGUCACUGAUCACUAAAAAAAAGGUUAUUAGUGACAACAUUCUCUAGUGAUGACAAUAAGUCGUCACAAAAGGGGUUUCUUUAGUCGCGACACCUAAAGUUGUCACAAUUGCAUCAAAGCAACUAAAUGUUUAGUGACGACCCGUUAUUUUCGUCACAAACUACAUUGCAAGAAAUAUGGUCAUUAGUGACAACAUUUUUUAGUGACGACAAAAGUCGUCACAAAAAGUGGUUAUUUAGUGACGACAAGGAAAGUUGUCAUAAUUGCUCAAAGCAACUAAGUCUUCAGUGACAACCUUGAAAAAGUUGUCACUAAAAUGAUCUAUAUAGUGACAACUUCUAAUAUCGUCACUGUCACUCUACCGAUUCGGAUUUAGUGACAAGAAUUAAUCGUCACUGUUUAAAGUACUUAUUUCUAAGUCACUUUCAUUAAUUCUACUGUGCCACCCUAACUUUUGCGAUUUAGCCCCAAAUGUUGUAAUAAAUUUCAUUAAUUCCAUUAUGAUACCUUAACUUUUUCAAUUUAGCCCCAUAUGUAGUACACCGAUUUCAUUAAUUCUAUUAUUACUCCCUAACUUUUGUAAUUUAGCCCCAUAUGUAAUUCACCAAUUUCAUUAAUUCUACUAUGGCACUCUAACUUUUGCAAUUUAACCCCCAUAUGUAAUACACCAAUUUUAUUAUUUCUAUUAUGGCACCCUAGCUUUUACAAUUUAGCCCCUAUUUUUUUAUUAGGAAAUUGCGAAUGGUAUCUUGAUAAACUAUGCAUAAAUAUUUUAUAAUUUUCUCAAACUUAAGUAAUAAUUUGUUAUAAAUUCUAAAGAUAUAUCUUUCAUUACAAUAGUUAUAAGGCAGACAGGUCUUUUUAUCAAUGGAAUAAGAAAUUUAUGGCAGAUUUAUCCUUUGUGCUACAUGCCAAGUAGUAUUAGCAAAGGAAUAACAAAGUACUACAAAGCAAUUAACAAAAUAUCUGUAAUUUAUACACAUUUUGCAACUACUACUUUGUGUUUUCUCUGUAAUGAAUUUUUUAACUAUUGAGAACUUAAGUUUUGUCUUGCAAAUCUAUACUAGUACAAUAAUUUUAAACAAAAUUAAACAUUAAAAUAAAUGUUUGAAAAAGAACAAAAGUACAUUUAUCACUUGCAGUAAUGUAACAAAAUUUUCUCAACCAUUAUCAAUAUUUUCACAAAAGUAUUAAAAACUAGCAAUUGACAAUAUUAAAAACUAGCAAUUUAAUUAGUGAUGACUUUUCUUGUCAUUAUAAUCUUGAAUAAAUUAGUGAUAACAUUAUGUCAUCACUAAAUUUUCUUUGAUUUUGACUUAACAAUAAUGUCUUAUUAAUAGCAUUUGAUUAUUUUUAAUAAAAGUCUGUUAUAACCAUAGAAUUUGACUUUCGUUAUUUUCAAUUAAUGAUGUACUUUAGUGCUGCAAUUAUAAAAAAUUGCAGGGCUAAAAUAUUUGCAAAUUAUAAAAGUAUAUUUUCACUUAUAUGUAAUUAACAAAUUUUGCCACCUAUAUUGACGAAAAUUUGUGUUUUUGUACUAAAAAAUAAAGAAUAAUACUAUAGCAAUAAAAUCUAUGCUUCAAACCAAAUUAAAAAUAAAAAAAAAACAUGAUGAUUGGUCUCAAAUGUUGGGAAAAUGAUUAUUUUUAUUGAAACUAUGUGUAGACACCAAAUUUUUGUUUUUUUAAUUUUAUUUUGUUUAAUUAAUUUAAUAGGUUUAUUUGUUUCAAUUCUAGGGCUUUUAUUUUUAUUUUUAUUUUAUUUUAUUUUAUUUUGCUCUAAUUCAUUUUAUUUUAUUAUUUAUUUUUGUCUCGUACUAAAAAAAAAGAGAAAAAGAAAAAGCAAAAAAAAAAUAAUGACAAAUGGGGAUCAUGGAUAGAGACAAGUGUCCCUUUUUGCAUUUGACAACACCUCACCUCACCUAGAUGGUGAGGUGUCUAGACACUUGUAGGAUAGAUAUUUUGAAAAGGAAAAGAAAGAGAAGAAAAGGGCAACGGGGCUUGAAAAAAAAAGGCAAGACAAAGAGGAGGGUUUGGCGGCUGAGUAGGGGGGGAACCUGGUUGGUGGCCGAAAAGAGAAAAAAGAAAGGAGAGAACCGAGAGGGGAGGACGGCUGGAAAAAACAGAGUAAAAGAAAAACCAAGGGGGUGGCGGAUGAAAAGGAACCGUGGAAAACGAAAAGGAAAAAAAGGAGGUGCUUCAUCGGAGGCUAAAGAAAAAGAAAGAGAAAGAUUGAAAGGAAAAAAUGGGAAGUUUAGCGGCUGAAGGCUGAGGAGAGGCUUCGGCUGAGUGAAGGGAAAAGGACGGAGAGGGAAGCUCAACGAAAACAAAAAACAGAGAAAAGGAAAAGAGGGUGGCGGCUGACGGGCAGAGGAGGAAAAAAGAGCAAAAACGCAAGGGGAAAACAGAGGGGCUGAGAACAAGGAGAAGAAAAAGGAGAGAACCGAGAGGGGGGCUUCGGUGGGGAAAAACAGAGAAGGCCGAGAGAGGUUUGGGCUAAAAAGAACAAAGCAAAGGAAAGACAAGGGGCGGCGGAACAAAGCAGAAAACUAAGAGGAAAAUGGACUGCUAGGGUUAGAGAAAAGGGAGACGCGAAAGUGAAAGGGAGAACUUCGGGGAGUUUCUGAGAGGAAGACAAGAGCAGGAACCAGAACAAGAGGAAGAAAGAAGCUUCGGGCUAGGGAAAAAUCAAAACGGAGGCAGAGGAGAGUAAGAACCAGAAUCACCACUGCCGUCGACCACCGCCAGCGCCGCCACUUCACCGAAUCCACCAUCAUCACCGGCCAAUUUUCAUCAAGCAAGAGCACGGUAAGCUGUCUUUUCUUCUUUAAAACUUCAGUUUUGUUCAAGCCUUUGAAACAGGCUGCCGUGACUGUGUUUGGUUGCAAUUUUCGGUUGUUUGUUCAUGAUUUUUUAAUACGCAUGCUAUAUGUGUUAAUUGGACUGUUUGCUGUGUUUCUGGCAAACUUUUGGGGCUGAAAAUGACCUUAAUUGAGCAAAAAAAGUCGGUGAAAUUUUGGUGCCUAUUUGCUGUUCGACGAAAUGCCUAACCGAAAGUCCUGCUUUGAAGAUGAUUUUUGCUUGCGUUUUGCGUUGUUCUUAUCCCAGAAAUUUUGUUUACCAGAGUUGGGUAGUUGAAGUUUUUGGUAAUUAUGCUAGAGGUUGGGUUUUGUUUUUGCUAAGAUGGCAUGCUGUAGCUCCCUGCUUUUCCCUUGUGGUUGUGCAAUCAGCCACGGAUUUAAGGGGGGGCUGGUGGGGGCUUAAGCCCCCCCCAAGCCGCCGGAAAACCCCCUAUAAUCAAACGCUAAGGCUUACUCUGCCUAUCUCAGUCGAUCUCAAGGACACCGCCAUCCCCGACUGCCUCCAGUCCUGCUGCCAGAAGAGCACCGCCGCUAGCAGUCCACCGUAAGUUAUCCCUUUCAUUUGUAUUUCAUUUUUUUUCCUUGAUCACAAGUUUUGGAAAGUUUUUCAAAUGGGUCUGCCAUGACUUGGUUGUUGCGUUUCCCCUGUUGAUGGCCCAUAAUUUUAUGAUUAUACGUGUUUUAUGUGUUGAUUUGGUUGGAUUUUCUUGGGAUUUCUGAUAAUUUUGGGUGCUGCUUUACAUCAAUUGAGCGAGAGAUUAGCUAAAAUUUCUUAUGCUCAUGUGGUGUUUGACGAAAUACCUAACCGACAGUCUUGCUUGAAGACGAUUUUGCUUGCAUUUUGCGUGUUCUUAUCCCAGAAAUUUUGUUUACUAGAGUUGGGUAGUUGACGUUUUUGGCAAUUAUGCAAGAGGUUGGGUUUUGAUGGUAUGCUGUAGCUCCCUGCUUUUCCCUUGUGGUUGUGCAAUAGAUUUGAAAUGAUGAAUUAGAAGAAAGCCACGGUUGGGAAUAAAAUUAUUGCAGAGAAUAUUUGUUGCUCAAAAGAAAAGUUUCUCAUGGCUUUGUAUGUUCUUUUCAAAGGAUUCUACACUUAGCAUGUGAAUAAGUUGACCCGUAUCAAUUUCCCUUUAGUAGAAUAUGUUUUUCAGUUUGGCUAUUGUUGUUUCAUUUCUGCCAUUUUUGAAUGAAAGCUGUUAGUUUCCUUCAUCCGAUGAUCUGCGAGGCUGUUUUGCUGUGAAUACUGAGUUUUUAUUGCAAGAUUAUGGUUGUGCCUAAGAUUUUUAUCUUGUGAGUUUGUUUGAAGUUAUGGCAGAGCUCUAAGCCAUUUUGGUUGCAUUUUGAUGAGCAUCAAAUCUGCAGCAGAAUAAAAUUUUUGCAGUCCUCUUUGCUGUUUUUUUUUUCUGCAAUUGCUCACCAAGUUUCAGCCAUCCAACCUGCUGAUUGGUCUUAUAUUGAAAAGGUGGAUUAGAUAAGUGGUGUUGGAUUAGCAUGUUUAGUAUUUUGUUCAAAUUCAAGAUCUGAUCUUUAGCAUGUUUUCUUGAAUGUUUUGGUUCGGCACUUCAAACAAGAGUUAAACAUUUUCGCUGCAUUUUUGUUUUGUUAUUUUGAAAACCACUGCUACCCCUUUGUUUUUGCUAGCUGUCACCAAACCAGAUUUUCUGAUUUGAUCUUGCAACAAAAGGGUAAUAUUUGGCUUGGGUGGUGAUUAGGAGUGUGUCUUGCGAUUGUUUGAUUCAAAAAGCUGAUGUUUGUGAGUGACAUAUUCGAAUUGAUAGUGAACUAGAGAAGGUAGCAGGUUGAUGUUGCAUAAAUUCUCACCGUAGCCUUGCAUGAACAGAUUGUAGAAAUGUGCUUUGCAAAAAUAACUUUCUAAAAUUGCACUCUGGCCCCCCAAGUCUCCCUUUGUUCACCGUGGCCCAAAAUCUGGAAAAAUCAAACUAAUUUCACUCUUUUAAGCUUAGUCCUCUGUUUGCAUAUUUUAUGUGGUUUUUUGGACAGAUUAAUUCUGGAAUUUAGACCAUAAUUGUAGCGUUUUCAAAUAUUGAGCAAAUAUUGCAGCGUUUUCAACGGAUGAAGACUCGCAGAAUGCAAUUGCCUCCUCUUCGUUAUUCGAGUGAAACAACUAAGUCUCAUUACUAAGUCUCAUUUCUAACUUCUUGCUGGUGCUGUAAUAUGUGGGCCCAAAUUAUAUGAGGUUCUUAAUGAAUUGUAAUUUUUGUCUUAAUAAUCUAAGUCUCAUUACUUGUUCUUUAUUAUUAUACUCCUCCUCUUACCUACUUCUUUUACUCUUUUAUGACAGAUAAAUGCUAUUCAUACUAGCUUUUGGAAGAUAUCUAUGGUUAUGGUUGAAGAAUGUUGAAGACAAAAUUGCCUUUUGCUCAUGGAGUGGUUCAUUUAGAUGUUCUUCAAUUUCUUAAACUGUGAUUGCUUUUGUAAAUGUACCUUAUGUACAAGUGAUAUUUUGGACAAAUGUUAUUUUUGUAGGCAUUAGUUGGGCAAUGUACACUUGAAUUUGGCAUUUGAGAAUGCUAUAUUAUUACCAUGUAAUCUAAUGCAAAUACUUUUGGUUAUCAAUCGUUCAUGUUUAUUUGUAUGAUUUGUUUAAAAUCAAUGAUUUAGCAAUGAUUACAGGCCAAAUUAUGACUAUUAAGCUAUUAUGAAAUUAUCUAAUGACAAAAAAAAGUUGUCACAAAAUAGAAAAUAAAAACUCCUUGUCACAACAGAGACUGUCACUAAAUCUAAGUUACAUUUGUGACGACAAUUGUUGUCAGUAAAAUAGUUAUAUACAAUGGCUUUCGGUGCUUUUUAGUGACGACUUUAAGUAGAGCAUUUUUGACAAAAGGUCAAUUCGUCAAUAAAACACUUCCGGAUUGUUGUCACUAAUGACAACUAUUUAGUGACGACAUUUCAGGUCGUCACUAAAUAGUUGUCAUUAGUGACGACAAUCUGGAAGUGUUUUAUUGACGACUUGAUCUUUUGUCAAAAAUGCUCUACUUAAAGUCGUCACUAAUGAGAACUAUUUAGUGACGACAUUUUAGGUCGUCACUGUUUACUUUUACCGACGGGGAUUUAGUGACGACUUUGUGACGAUCAAAAAGUAGUCAAUAAAAGGUAUUUGUGACGAUAUUUGUAUGUUUUGUGAUGACUUUGUGUUGUCACUAAUGAACAAUUUUCUUGUAGUGAAUUUUGCCAAUUUCCCAUCUCUAAUUCUCUAUUGUCUUUGCAUCCUUGUCCAAGUUCAAAGAAUUUCUGGCAAAAGAAGUCGCCCAACGAAAACAACUACGAGUACUUGUAACCCCUAAUUUGAUUGUUUAUUUUAAUUAUGCCUAUCAGCUAUAUAUGUGUACUAGAUACUUUUACUAUCAAGCGUCAAGAUAGGUUGUUUCUUAUUUCUAAUGCGACAAGAUGCUCGAACCUUUUCUUUUCAUUUUAGGGUUCCGUUGCUUUAUUUCUUGUCAAACUAUAGGUAAAAAAUGUUAUUUGUUUAUAAAUCAUUUACUUAUUUAAUAUUUUUAAAGUUGUACAAAACUGUAUAUGAACUUUAAAUUAAUUAAUUUAGUUAAUUUGGAAAUUUUUUAUGGAAUCUUACUUACAAUCCUAUGAUCCGAUCCUAUUAAACUAAAAUCGAUCCUACGUAGGAUCCCAUUUUGCAAACCUUGAUUGUAACUAUUAAGACUGGCCCAGGAAUAAACAAACUGGUAUCAGAUCUGGUUGAUAUAUUUUGCAAGACAGGUUCAUCUGGUGGGGCCCGUCCAUCUUGUGGAGCCCACUCAUCCUGUGGGUCCGUUUAUCCGUGG